Molecule: long non-coding RNA, 178479 nt
Filed under: Vitis vinifera (wine grape)
Lineage: Eukaryota; Viridiplantae; Streptophyta; Magnoliopsida; Vitales; Vitaceae
Source: RNAcentral
AGAAAUUAGGGUCUGUAUGUCAUAUAUUUGUGCGCGAAUAUAGAAGAUUGGGAAUUUGGGAUUGGAUUGAAGUAAAAAAGUCAAAAUGAAAUUACAAUAAGAGUACGGUAAAGGGAUAACGUUGGGACACCAGUACGGAUGUACACUUCAAGGAAGUAGGCCAUGCCAUGUCAUGCCACCUGGAACAAAAUAAGGGGUUCUACAGAUUCUCUUAUCGGAAUCAUUUGAGAUAUAGAAUGGAUGCAUAGAAGGGAAGGAGACUCCUCCUCCUCCUCUAAAACUAUUUUUUGUGUGUAGGUGAGAAGUUGGGAUUCCCCCAUCAAUUAAACAUGGCUGAGGAGAGGGAUCCAGUAGAGUUGGGCAUGGCACUCGGCGCAGAUUCGAACAUGAAAGAAGACGGCGUAACAGCUAAGAAGAGGGCAAAACGGUGGGCAAUCACCGCAGAAGCGAGCAUGGAAAGAGAGAAGGGGACGCUUGAUCAAGAUGAAGAUGAUUUGUGUGUAGGUGAGAGGUUGGGAUUCUCCGAUCAAUCAAACAGGUCUAAGGAGAGGGAUCUAGUAGAUCAGUUGGGCAUGGCACUCGGCGCAGAUUUAAACAUGAAAGAAGACAAGGAAACAAGUAAGAAGUGGAGGGCAGAUUCGACACUGAUCAGCUCAGAUUCGACAAUGGAAGAAAACCCUGUACCGCCUGAGGUGUGGGUGCCAGAAACCUCGCCAAUCUUCGCAGAUACUAAGAUGGAAAUAGACAUCAGCUCAUAUGUGACAAUGGAAGAAUACCGAGUACCGCCGUGGGUGCCAGAAGCCAGGGUAGUAGGCAUGCCAAUCUCCGCAGAUGCGAACAUGGAAAUAGACAGGGAAACGCAUCUUGUAAGAAAUAUAAGUGCUCGUUCCACACAGGGACUCCACGCCCCCGCUGAUGAAGAUGAAGAUGCGGAGCAUAAGAAAUUAAUGGACCGCCGCAUGCACGCGCAAGCGACCCCAGGAAAUGUUGAUGGCUUUAUUAAAANNNNNNNNNNNNNNNNNNNNNNNNNNNNNNNNNNNNNNNNNNNNNNNNNNNNNNNNNNNNNNNNNNNNNNNNNNNNNNNNNNNNNNNNNNNNNNNNNNNNCGAACAGGACCUUCAACACUCAGAAAUUCUCUGCCAAGUUAGUCCCCGGAAAAACACAUGCCUCCACAUAGCAGCAAGCUUUGGACACCAUGAUCUUGCCAAGUACAUAGUGAGAGAGUGUCCAGAUCUUAUAAAAAAUAAAAACUCCAAAGGCGACACGGCACUUCAUAUUGCUGCUAGAAAAAGGAAUUUAUCUUUCGUUAAGAUUGUCAUGGAUUCAUUCCCUUCUGGAAGUGGCGCAUCCCAAGAUGUAGAGAAGGCUGAGCCUUCAUUGCUGGGAAUUGUCAACAAAGAAGGAAAUACAGUGUUGCAUGAGGCACUGAUAAACCGUUGCAAACAAGAAGAGGUGGUGGAGAUCCUUAUUAAGGCAGAUCCCCAAGUGGCUUAUUAUCCGAAUAAGGAGGGAAAGUCACCAUUGUAUCUAGCUGCAGAAUCACACUACUUCCAUGUCGUAGAGGCUAUAGGAAACUCUGAAGUUGAGGAGCGCAUGAAGAACAGAGACCGCAAAGUCCAUGGUGCCAUUAUGGGAAAGAAUAAGGGUACUUCCCGCCUCCUUCUCUCUCUCUAUUAAAUUUUCUUCUUCCUCUUCAAACUUAAAAAGCAUUGUUUGCAAUGAUGUUGGGGCUUUAAAUAAUCUGUUGCUUCUAACCAUAGAAGAAGUCUACUGGGCUUUUCUCAGCUUUUGCUUCAAUAUUCCUUGUUCCUAAAAAUUCAAAUUUUUUUAUUAAUUUAUGGGAGAUCCAUAAUAUUUAUAAAUCUUCUUUCCCAACCCAAACCCCGUCGUUGUAAAUAUUCUUCAUCUUUGUUUUCAAAAUCCUAAUCCUAUUUUGUCAUCUUCUUAUUCUUCUUCAAAACUCCAGUCCUAAUUAAUUCUUUAUUUUCUUUUCUAAAUCACAAAAAUUUAAAUAAAAAUAAAAUAAAAAUUGCAGUUACAUAUGGCUUCGUUGUGUGCAUAUGGGAUGGUUUAAAUAGAGGGGGUAAAAAGGGCCGUAAGAGGGAAGAGCAAUUGUCUGUAUAGUUUGGGGUUGACUUCAAGUGAUCAUUUAAGAUUUGAUUCGAGCUUAAGGUUAGAGUUAGGAUUUUUCUUUUCCCUUUUUUUUCUUUAUGUUUUAUGUUUCUUAUAGAUGCGAUGAAGUAGAAUGUAUCCUACACAUUUGAAAUAAACACAAAUUAUAAAUAAUGUGAUGAUUUUCUAUUAUUCCCCAUUUAACUAUUACAAUAUUAUUAAGAGUAGGGGUGGAAAUGAGACAGGUUUGUACAGGUUCCACCCUAUCCCUCCCCUAAUGAGAUGAGUUUGAAAUUUAAAUAAACGGAAUUUGGAACGAGUUUGAGAUUUUUUUUAAAACUUAAACGGAGUCAAACCGGGUGGGACAUAAAUGAGGCCAUUUAAUUUUUUAUUUUUAAUGGGAUGGGAAUGAGAAAUAUUUUGAAUAAAUGAGACGGGGGUUGGGAUAAAAGUGAUCGUCCCGAACCCACCCCAUUUCAAUCCCUAAUUAAGAGGACGAUAAGGUAAAUAACAAAAUUUACAGAAAUUUUAAAAUCCAAGGAGGGAAGAAGCUUUUAAAAGGAUGGGCACCCCAUGUGGUACAACCUCGCACCAAAUUGAUACUGUUUUAUUGAAUUAUAGAUAAUAAAAUAACAAUUAAAAAAAAUUUCUUUUCUAUUUUUAUAUUAAUUUUUCCUUCCUUAUUUUAAUUAUCUAAUAAUUGAACCCUUUCCAAAAAAAAAAUAAAAGCAAUCUUAAUUUUAUUUUUUAUAUGUUCAUAUUUUUUUUAUGUAAUUUUAGUUAUUAAUGACUUGCACUCAUAUAAUAAUAUAUUUAUUAGAAAAAGGUUGUUUGAAACAUUCAUAUAAAAUUUUUCUUUUAUAUAUGAUGAAAAAAUGCCAGAGAUGUUGGAAAAAAUACUAGCCAUGAAGCUCGUCCACCAAAAAGACAAAGAUGGAAGGACUCCACUUCAUUGUGCAGCAUCCAUUGGAUAUCUCGAAGGAGUUCAAAUGCUGUUAGACCAAUCUAACUUGGAUCCAUAUCAAACGGACUCUGAUGGCUUCUGUCCCAUCCAUGUUGCAUCAAUGAGAGGCAAUGUGGACAUUGUCAAAAAGUUGCUCCAGGUCUCCUCUGACUCAAUAGAGUUACUAAGCAAACGCGGUGAGAACAUUCUUCAUGUGGCAGCCAAGUAUGGUAAAGACAAUGUAGUCAAUUUUGUGCUCAAAGAAGAAAGGCUUGAGAACUUUAUAAAUGAGAAGGACAAUGGUGGAAACACGCCACUGCAUUUGGCAACCAUGCAUAGACAUCCUAAGGUCGUAAGCUCUUUAACAUGGGAUAAAAGAGUUGAUGUAAAUCUUGUGAAUGAUAGAGGCCAGACUGCUUUGGACGUUGUAUUAUCAGUGAAGCAUCCAACUACAUUUGACCAGGUAUAUCUAUAUGAUGCAUGAUUCGCAUCUUGUUUUCUAAAUGAUGGGUACUACUAGUAGUUUCACCCUUCAACUGCAUGCCAUGAGUAGGAAAUUAGAAUGCCUCAUCCAUGCAUUGUUACAGUGCUAUGGCAUUUUCCUUCGUAGAUGCAUGCAUGCAAUUAUUCAAGCCUCUGACCCCUGAUUGAAGGUCAAUUUGAACCCAUGAUAUCCUAAAAGUCAAGAAAAUUAUGGAGUCUAACUCAAUCACCAUCACCCUCACCAAGAUUAGAGCGACUCAACCAAGGUUAGGCUAGGUUUCUCCAGCAAGUGCAUAUACUCUUGAUGUCGGCAAAGACUUAUGGGAAUAAGUUUUUUGCAUCAUACUAAAAAGUUUUCGAACUGCUAUAUCAUGGCUUGUGGUUGCUCUCUCGCUGCUUCACAUUGCUUAAUUUCAUACUUCUAGUGGGUGUUCAUUGAAUUUACAGGGAAAAGAGAAUGGCUUCCUAACAAAAUAUUACGAAACCCAACUCAUGGAAUUAUAGCCUACUUUUAGUUAUUAUUAGGACAUACAUUUUAUGUUCUUUCUUUCUCACGAUUACAUUAACAGCAACAUAUUUUUCUGUACCACGCAGGCACUAAUUUGGACAGCACUCAAAUCUGCUGGUGCACGACCAGCGGGAAAUUCAAAGUUCCCACCCAAUAGACGUCGUAAACAGUACUCUGAAUCACCUAAUACGGACAAGUACAAGGACAGGGUAAACACUCUUUUGUUGGUUUCGACCCUUGUUGCCACAGUGACAUUUGCUGCUGGUUUUACCAUGCCAGGUGGCUACAACAGCUCUGACCCAAAUGUCGGCAUGGCUGCCUUGCUGAUGAGAAAUAUGUUCCAUAUGUUCGUCAUCUGCAAUACCACUGCUAUGUAUACCUCCAUCCUCGCGGCAAUCAUCCUCAUCUGGGCACAGUUAGGUGAUCUCAAUGUGAUGGAUACUGCCCUGAGAUUUGCAUUGCCAUUCUUGGGGUUGGCCCUUACUGCGAUGUCCUUAGGCUUCAUGGCAGGUGUUUACCUGGUGGUCAGUAAUCUUCAUUGGCUUGCAAUUGUUGUCGUCAUUAUUGGAAUCAUCUGCCUUGUCGGUCUCCUAGUACCCUUUUUUUUACUUUUCCUCCCAAGUAAGUCUACUAAUCGUAUCCUUAGGCACAUCUCCUAUUAUCCGUUUCUUAUAUUGGUAUGGGCAUCUAAAAGCCCCGAAAUGAAACGGGAAGAUUAGCUCACCCUGUUGAUGAUGUCUGCUAGCUCCAUCUUCCCCUAUGUUUGUUGCUUCUUUCAGCAUUAUCUCAAUGACUUGGUAGACAAAGUAUGUCAUGUAUAAAUGCUUAGUGUGAUCAGAACUUCAAUAUAUUGAUGGUGUUGUACAUGACCAUUUCUUAUAUAAAUCUAUACUUUUUGGAUCUAUAAUUAGGUAUUUCUAUAUAUAUUUCAAUAAAUACUCCAUUCAUACAUAAAAAAUGUGAAUUUGUUUCAGUUUAAUUUAUUGAUUGAAAUUUGAAUUUUCAGUUGCAUUUUUAAAACUUUCUUAAUUAUUAUUCAUAUGAGAAUUUUGGGUAAAGUUUUAUUUUCAAAUCCAAGUUACAUCUUCUACGUUACUAUUCAUUGGGAAGGGGAAAAGGUUUUAAUUUUAGAAAAAAAAUUUAUUGGCUUUUGAGUUCCAAAGUACUUUUAAAAAUUAAGGAGUUCAAUAAUUUUUAAAAUAUAAUUUGAAAAUAAAAUAUGGAGGGAGUUAACACUAGAACCAAAAAUUGGUUGAAAAAGACCAUAUUAAUCUCUAGUCUAUGCACCAUUAUGUUUUUCAUUAUAUUUUAUUAUAUUAUUAAUAUUUAUAUUUAAUUCUUAUAAUCAUUUAAGUUAUCUAAAUAUAGAAAUAAAUGAAAAAAUAAACGAAAUCUUCGUUUCCACUCCUGCUCUCCCGUAGCAAACAGUCCCUAAUCUUAAUUAAUAACAUAACAUAAUUUAUAUAUUUGAUGGACGGUAAAAUCAACCAUUUGUUUGGUAACUCAUAUUAUAGCAAACCUUAAGAACCUAAAUUCCCAAAAAUUUUGAACCCAAUUUAAGAAUGCAUUUAUUGGUAAUUUUAAAAUGAGUUUCUAUCCUUUUAACAUUUUUAAUUUUUUUUUAAAAAAAUUCUUUUUAAAAAAUUAAAAAUGUUAAAAAUACUCCCUACAAUCACCUAUAAUGUUUGGUUCCCGGAAAGUACAAAGGAAAGAAAAAAAAUGCUAAAAAAAAUGAUUUUCUCAUGUUUGGUUGUCCUAUGAAAAAUAUCAAAGAAAAUCAAAUAUAAUUAAAACUAAUUAAAAACUUAUGUAUUUUUAAAUUAUUUAAUCUUUAUAUUGAUGAGUUAAAAUAAAUAAAAUGAGUUUGAAGUAACAAAAAAAAUAAUUUAUCAACUUUUAAUAUAUUUUUUUAUUUUCCUUCACUUUUUCUUUCCUUCUAGUUUUCCUUUGUAUUUUCUUUCCCUCGCAUUUUCCCUCAAAUUUUCCGGGAACCAAACAUAGCAUAUAUAAACUGUAAGGUGAGUCGUAUUGACUACGGAUUGGACGGACAUUAAGUUCAAAGCCGCACAAAGACUCAAACCCACGGAACUUCACAACUGAUUAAAAUAAUUUUAUAAAGCAAAAUGAUCAAACUCUGUAGUUUCUGGGAUUGGUGUUGAUGCUUCCAAAUAGGUUCCAAGAUGUUCCCAUUGAGUUUGGAAAAGAGAGAAGUGGAUUCCUUGAGCUUCUCAAACAUUUUCUUAGAAAAUGUCAAACGCUUGGUCUCAAAAUCUAACCCGUAUGAUUCAAACACACCCAUGAAGACUUUUCUUCAUAGGACGUCACAUUUCUAACUCCAGCAAACGAGUAAGAUAUUUGAGUUGCCGUGCUUCAUAUCCAUUCCGUGUCUGCUGGAAGUCCUAUGUGAUGUAAGUUGGACUAUCAUAUGAAUUUCUUUUGAGUAUCAAAUUUUUUAUUCACUCAUCUUCUGCAGAUCUUUUAUUAUUUGGGUCUUGUUUAGUGUUAUAUGACACAGGCAAGGUCUUUGCGUUGCAUAAUGCGUGCAAACUGUUUGAUGAAAAACCCAACAAAUUGUUUGGUGAAAAAACCAUGGUGAUAUUGAAUUUCAGACUCUUGAUAUCAUAUAGCUUCUCAGUAUUCUAUUGUAAUGAUUUUUAUGACUGCAUAAACUUUUGGAGGCUUUCAUAUGUAUGUAAUGAAUAGGUUCUUCUCUCACAUAUUGACUUGCCCCUUACUUCCAUCCCUAGCAAGAGAGUGCAGGUAUCUCAUGGCCGGCAGUGGACUAAUGAUAUAUGAACUCAUUUUAAAUUGGGUCUGACUAACUUGGCCACAGGGGUUGUUACCUUGAAAGGACUUGAGUGGGGUUCAUGUUUAAGUCUUUCUUUUUUAAUCUAGGUAUGUACUGUGUGUGCUCUCUUCUUGCUUUAGUUGAAUUCGAAGAAUAGUUGUUUCUUCCUAGUCUUGGUAAGUGGUUGGUUAAGGGUAUCAUAUUAAGAUUUUUAUUAUUUUUAUUUUCUGUUUUUGUCUUAGUGCCUUUUCAAGAUUUUGAAUUGUCAAAAAAGCUGGUAAUUUUGUAUAAACAAUCAUCAUAGUAUGAGAAUUAGUAUAUAUAAUUUGGUAUUGAUGUGCAUGUUCUCUUCCUCUGUAUGACCUAUCCUUUGCGAUGAAGUAUCGGACUGGUUUCUUUGUUGCCAUUAUUUCUUUUUUCUUUUAAACUUCUUAACCAACAUAAAUACAAGCACAACUAACGGAUUUGAUUAGGCAAGUCAACUACAAUAGGAGAUACCAUGAGACAAGACGAUUUAAUGAUGAAUUUUGAGAGGCUAAGAAAGCAGGGGAGGGGGGAAAGAAGGAAGACAGGGAAACAAAGGCAAAAACAACCCAAGAAGCAAGCCAUCUUGGCAAUCUCUGAGCAUAAGGAUGCCAAAUUGUUGGAGGACUAUGUGACAGCAAGUUCCAUGGAUCCUGAUUUGUACAGAGCUACAAUACAAGGAGACAUUCUUGAAUUCAUAAAAGCCGUGGAACAAGGACCAGACAAUAGACACGCUGGUGUACCUGCUGCAUCUUGUAUCCAAGUGACCCCUCAGAAGAACACAGUUCUUCACCUAGCAACGAUCUUUAAACAUGACGAGAUUGUAAAACUCAUUUGUAAGGACUUGCCCUUUCUUGUCAUGGAAAGAAAUUGCAGAGGUGACACUGCACUUCACAUUGCAGCCAGAGCUGGCAAUUCACUGCUAGUGAAUUUGUUGAUUAAUUCAACAGAGGGGGUUUUGGGUGUGAAGAAUGAGACGGGUAAUACCGCAUUGCAUGAGGCAUUGCAACAUCGUCAUGAAGAGGUGGCCUGGAAUAUAAUUAACAAAGACAGAAAUAUGUCUUGUUCUGUCAAUAAGGAAGGAAAAUCUUUGUUGUAUUUGGCCGCAGAAGCAGGAUAUGCAAAUCUUGUUAGGUUUAUAAUGGAAAAUCCUGCAGGAAACUACAGCAUUGAAGGAAAGCUCGAGAACAAACCAUCUGUGAAAGCUGCCAUUCUUGGGAAGAACAUAGGUAAAUGAAAUUCUCUCCUCUAAUCUCCCUUUUUUUCCCUUUAUUGGUAUGCUUGUCUUUCAAUUUCAGACUUCCAAGAGCCUGCACUUGGAUUGGAAAUUUUUAAGUGACUGCACUUUCACACUUAGUUUUUUCCUACAAAAAGCCCUGCAACUACUAUAAACCACCCAAUUCUCUGCACCUGUGAAUCAGAAAACUUUACCCAAACUAUAUUGCAUCCAAUUGUCACCAUUAAAAGGUAAUGAUAUCAUGGCACAUAAGAGCAUUCUCAUUUUUCUGGAAGUUGGAAGACCUCAAUUAUUUCUUGCUUAAUUAAUUGGUGAUAUUCCUGUGCUUCCAUGUUUGAAUCAGUGUGUCCAUUGUAAUCUCCUUCCAUGGAUUUCCUUAGGUGUGGCUGCCCAUCAAGAAGAGAUCAGGAAUAGUCCAGAAAUAUUACUGUCUUAUUCUAACUACAUGAGUAUCUAGCAGUAAAGAAAUAUAUCUGUAGUAGCUGAUUUUUUUAGAUGGGUCCUCUAGUUGCUGAUCGACCUUUUUUCUUUACAAGAAGGCUUCUAUUGUGACUUGCGAAGACAAUGAUAAAUUGACAAUAUUUCUAAUUAUCAUUUGGAUUUAGGAGCAUAUUUUACCAUAUAUUUUGUUCUCACACAUGGCAAGAUUUUCAUUUAAUGUGUUAUCAUCAGUCCUGUGAUCACCAAAAAAUUCCCUUACAUAUGGUUCACACUUCUUUGUUUGUUUGUUUUCAUUUUUUUGUUUUGGGAGAUGUUAGAUGUUAUCAAGAUAAUGUGGGAAAGAGAUCAAUCAUCCUUCAAUUUAAGAUGUGAAGAAGGGAGGAACCCUCUUCACUAUGCAGCAUCUAUUGGUUUUGUUGAAGGAAUCAAUUACUUAUUAGACAAAUUCUGUAUCGCUGCUUACCAAGGGGACAAAGAUGGCCUCUCUCCCUAUUCAUAUAGCAGCCAUCGAAUGUCAUUUCCACAUAAUUCAAGAGAUGCUUCAGCAUUGCCCAGAUUUGAUGGAGCUGCUCACUUGCAAAGGCCAAAAUAUCCUUCAUGUCGCAGCAAAGAGUGGAAGAGCUGAAGCAGUUAGUUAUAUGCUUAAAAAAAUGCCUGAGCUUGAGAAGCUUAUAGAUGAGAAAGAUGAGGAUGGAAACACACCUUUACAAUUAGCCACUAUUUUUGAGCAUCCAAAGGUCGUAAGAGCUCUAACAUCGAAUAAGAGAGUUAACCUAAAGGUAGAGAACAAUGGAAGGUUGACAGCACUUGACAUUGCUGAUGAGUACAUGGACACAAUGGUUUCUUUUCGCAAGGUGUGCUUUACAAACUAUUUGUUAGGGGCUAAUCAUCUCAUUUUACUUGUUUAUAUUUAUCAUAUUAUUUGAAAACAACAAACAUUGUUUUAAAGAAUAGAAACGUUUAAAUCAUUUUAUGCUGAUGGUAGUAUGGUACUUGACUUUCAAUGAGCAAUGGUUAACUUUUGGUGAGAUGUAUUUGCUGGUGUAUAACCUGAUAUUUUUAGUUUGAAUAUUCUGAGGGAUAAAAAAGAAAUAAUGAUAUUUAAAUAAGUAUUUUUUAUUUAACAAUAUUAAUAAUUUUAUUUAUGAAUUUAUAUUUAUCUUUUAUUUAAUUAGUAAAUAAAAUAUAUAAUAAGAUAAUUAAGAUUAACUUAUUUAUAGUAAUUCUAUUUUAAUUCAUUUAUAAUAUAAUAUAUAUUUAUAAUUUAUCAAUUAUGUCACAAAUUAGAUGCAUAACAUAAAUGAUGGAAUUAUAAUGUCUUGACAAGAACAAAAUAUAUUAAUGUAACAAGGACAAGGAAAUUUAAAAGAUAUAAGUUAUAAUAUAAAUUUUAUUUAAUAUAUAUAUUUUAAUUUUUUUAGAUAAAUAAAAAAAUUGAAAUUCCUUCUAUUGGUCACACUUUUCAUGUUUAAAAUCCCAAGUAAAUGUUUUAUAUAGCAAGAAAGGCUCCGCUAUGGCUGCUUUAUUAAGAGGAGAAGCUCCAACUAGUGGAAUCAAACAAUCCAACGCGCCGAAUUUCUCCAAACGCCCGCGCUCUCCAACUUUCCUCAUAUUCUAAUUCCCAACUCUCGAUGGCGCUUCUUCCACCUUCUCUUUCAAAUUCCUCCUUCUAAUCUCCACGAUUUUCCGCAGCAUCUAGGGUUUCCUCUACUCCAAAUUCUUCAUGAAGCGCGAUUUCACGGAAAUCUCCGACGACGAGUGGGACAACCACUCCUUCAAGCUCUCCCGAGCCCUCAAAAAGUCCCAAGGAGCACCUCCGCCCAUCGAGUCCUUCUCUUACCGGCCAGAGAAUCCCCAGGUUUCGCUGGAGGAUGUUUCCGAUGGGAGCACCGACGAUUGCGUCAAAAUUAAAGAGGACUUGGAGGAUGAUGAUGUUGGAGUGUUACAUCUCAUAUUGAAAGCAUGGAAUUAAAAAGGAAAGAAGAAAGACUUAAAAUAUAAAGCAAGUUAGAUGAGAAGAGUUGUUAUUUCUUGAUUCUUUACUCUGUUAUUGUGUCAUUGAUGUAUAUAAAUAGGACUCAAAUCUGAUGUAGUUUUUUCAAUUUUUCAAUUUUUGCAAUUCAUUUUCUUUUGCGUCCUCUGUUUCUUGGUGUUUUUCAUUAGUUUCAGAUUCUUCUGAUUCUCAACAUGGUAUCAGAGCCAAACCCUAAAGCUUUCGCAACCUAAAUCGAUCAAUUUCUUCUCAACUUUUGCCUUGCAAAAUUCUGCUCUGGAAUUCUCGCAUUGAUUGUCUUCCAGCUUCUUGCAUUUUCUUGAAUAAAUUCUUGAAAAUGAGUUCUGGUGAUUCUCCUCUUGUCAAUCCCUCUCCUAUGCAUCCUUCUUCAUCUAAUUCUUUUAAUCAGCCUCCUAUCAAUCCUUCAGAUGACUCAUCGAGUCCAUAUUACCUACAUCCAAGCGACAAUCCUGGUGCUUUGUUAGUAUCAGAAAUCUUCAAUGGAGAAAACUAUGUUGCAUGGAGUCGUUCGAUAGUCAUUGCAUUGACAGUCAAAAACAAGGUACAAUUUAUAGAUGGUUCAAUUGUUUCUCUCUCUACUGAUUAGCUUGUUAAACACACAGCAUGGUUAAGGGCAAAUAAUUUGGUUCUUUCUUGGUUUAUGAAUUCCAUUUCAAAAGAAAUACGAAAUAGCUUGCUGUUUGUGGUAUCUAUUGUUGAUAUUUGGAAUGAGCUUAAAGUCAUAUAUCUCAGGAGUGAUGGACCAAGGGUUUUCCAACUUGAGAAAUCUUUGAGUUGCAUCAGUCAAGGUGCUUUGUCUGUUACUAAAUAUUUCAGUACCUUUAAAACCCUUUGGGACGAGUACAUUAGCUAUAGGCCAUUUCCAACAUGCACUUGUGACAAGAUGGCAACAUGCACUUGUGGCAAGAUGGCAACAUGCACUUGUGAACUUUUCAACUUUCUACAAAUCAGACAGUAAUCUGAUUAUGUACUCAAAUUCUUGGUGGGGCUAAAUGAUUCUUAUGCCUCUAUCAGAAGCCAAUUGCUGCUAAUGGUUCCAUUACCAAACAUGUCCAAGGUUUUCUAUCUACUGCUUCAAGAAGCAAGUCAGAGGCAACUCACAAAUUCUACUACAUAUAAACUCAUGCUUUGAUGGCAAAGGAAUCCAAUCAGCAAAAUUACCAGCCACAAUCUUUCAAGGACAAACCAAAGAAAUCAGCCCUACACAAUACUCAUUGUGGCUAUAAUGGUCACACAGUGGACAAAUGUUUUCAACUUCAUGGUUAUCCCCCUAGCUGGAAUGGACCAAAGGGAAAAAGAAAUAUGGCUUCUGCUCAUGCUGCCAUUACUACUCCAGAGGUCCCCAAUUAAAAUAGCAAUGAGCAACAAAAGUUUUGUUUCACUCCAGAGGAAUUUCAUAAACUAAUGGCGCUUGUAAAUUCAGUUCAACCCAAUUCUUCCAAUCAAAAUAAUGUCCAACCAACUAUUAACCUUGUCACCACCUCUCACUUUUCUGGUAAAGUUCAACCUACUCUUAAACCAAUUUUUUUUUCUUGUAAUUCUGUUACUUCUAAGCCAAAUUCUACUUCAUAUUAGCUUCUUGAUUCGGGUGCAACAUACCAUAUGAUUUGUUCACCACUUUUAUACCAUUCUACACCUAGACCAAUUAAUGCAUCCAUCAAUCUUCCUAAUGGUACUACAGUUCCAGCCACACACAUUGGUACUGUAUGUCUCUCAAAUUCCUUAUUUUUACAUAAUUUCUUGUGUGUUCCUCAUUUUUCAUUCAAUCUAUUAUCUGUUUCCAAACUCACUAAACAAUCUAAUCUUUCUCUUACCUUUACUGCUUCUCAUUGCCUUUUACAAGACCAGUCAAUGGAGAAGAUGAUUGGGAUUGCUCUUGAAAAAGAUGGACUUUACCAUUUGAUUCUAGCUUCAUCACAAGCUAAAACCUGCAAUUCAUUUCAGUUUAAUUAUGCUCCUCUUGCUUUGUCCUCUAUUCACAAACACUUAGAUAUAUGGCAUUGUAGAUUAGGACAUGUAUCCAGUUCAAGAUUCCAUUCCCUCAAACAAAUUGACUCUGCUAUCACUCUUGAUCAUACAAAUGUUUGUGACAUAUGUCCUUCAGCAAAGCAAAGAAGGCUUCCUCUUUCUGUAUCACAGAGUAAUUCUAAUAAAAGUUUUGAUUUGAUCCAUUGUGAUAUAUUGGGUCCUUUUGGCACUACUUCUUAUUUUGGUUUUCGAUAUUUUUUAACUAUAGUAGAUGACUUCACAAGGUGUACUUGGGUAUACAUGAUUAAAGCUAAAUCAGAAGUGCCAUCUUUAAUCAAAACUUUCUAUAAAAUGGUAGCAAACCAAUUUUCUUCUUUUUUCAAAGCUAUAAGGUCUGAUAAUGGACUAGAAUUCUUACUCACAAAAUUCUAUCAUAAAUAUGGUAUUUUGCAUCAGAGAAGUUGUGUCGAAACUCCUCAACAAAAUGGUGUUGUGGAGAGAAAAUAUCAACAUCUACUAAGUACUGCUAGAGCCUUAAUGUUUCAAGCAAAUCUACCAUUAAUUUUUUGGAGUGACUGUGUGUUUACUGCUGCCCACAUAAUCAAUAGAAUUCCCACUCCUCUACUUCAAAAUAAAACCCCUUUUGAAAUGCUUUUUAACAAAACACCUAACCUUUCUCAUUUAAGAGUUUUUGGCUGCCUUUGUUUUGCAUCCACUUUAACUAGUCACAGACAAAAAUUUGAUUCACGAGCCACAAAGUGCAUCUUCCUAGGAUAUCCUUCUGAUAUUAAGGGUUAUAAACUCAUGGAUCUAAACACUAAUAAGAUCCUUGUUUCUCGGAAUGUCAUAUUCCAUGAAACAAUUUUUCAUUUCCAAGUGUUGCCCCAACAUCCUGAAACUCAUUCCUUUAUGUUUCCUCUUUCAUAAUCCUUUUCAGAUUCACCUUCUACUAUCUCCUUCUUCAAUUCCUAUCACAAUGUGGGAUCUGCACCACCACCUAAUAAUUCUCCUUUUUUCUCUGAACCUCCUACCCUUCUUGAAUCCAACUCACCUACAUUUCCUUCUCCAUCCCAUCUGGAUUCAACUUCUGAUUCAACUGACCUUGAAGUCCUAUAGCUUAGAAAAUCAACCAGAACUAAACGAAAACGUUCAUAUCUGCAGGACUAUUAUUAUGGUAAUGUCUCUUCUUCUCAAAAUGCAACUCAGGCAUCUACUUCAACUGACUGUUCUCCCACUAAAGGUAAUUUCUAUUCUCUUCACCUUUUUCUUUCUACUAGUAGACUGUCUACAUCCCAUAAAGCUUUUCUCACCUCUAUCACAAACUCUCCAGAACCCAAAUCAUACACCCAAGCUUCUCGCCUCCUUGAAUGGCAAGUUGCCAUGCAACAUGAACUUACUACUUUGGAUUUAAAUAAAACUUGGGACCUUGUUACUCUUCCUAAAAAUAAAAGGACUAUCGGUUUUAAAUAGGUAUUCAAAGUGAAAUAUAAAGCUGAUGGAACUAUAGAAAGACAUAAAGCUAGAUUCGUGGCAAAAGGGUAUACUCAGCAAGAAGACCUCAAUUUCUUUGAUAAUUUCUCUCCUGUGGCCAAGAUUACACCCAUUCGCUUACUACUUGCUGUGGCUGCCGUCAAACAAUGGCAUCUUCAUCAACUAGAUGUCAAUAAUGCAUUUUUGCAUGGUGAUUUACAUGAAGAGGUAUACAUGGAAUUGCCUCCUAGGUUGGCUGUCCAAGGUGAACAGAAAGUUUGUCGUCUUUUAAAGAGCCUCUAUGGCUUGAAGCAAGCUUCCAGGCAAUGGUAUGCCAAACUAUCUCAGACUCUUCUUUCCUAUGGAUUUGUUCAAGGUAAUUCUAACUGUUCUCUGUUCAUUAAGAAAUUUGAAAGUUCUUUUAUGGCCUUAUUAGUCUAUGUGGAUGAUGUGCUAUUGGCAAGUGAUAGCAUUCUGGAAAUUGAAAAGUUGAAGACCUUUUUAGAUGCCAAGUUCACUAUUAAAGACUUAGGCCCAUUGAAAUACUUUCUUGGCUUGGAAGUUGCAAGGUCCAAGACUGGUAUCUCUUUAUGCCAAUGAAAGUAUAUACUUGACAUACUUGAAGACACUGGUUUAACUAGAUCCAAACCUGUUGUCUUCCCUAUGGAAUCUACCCUCAAGUUAUCAGCAAAUGAUACCAAUUUUUAUGAAGAUCCAUCAGGUUAUCGAAGACUCAUUGGCAGAUUACUUUACUUAACUCUUACUAGGCCUGACUUAGCCUAUUUUGUACAAGUACUCAGCCAAUUUUUAGCAAAACCUGCUGUCAGUCACCAUCAAGCAGCCAUUCGAGUACUGAGGUAUCUAAAGGCCAGACCAGGGCAAGGUCUUUUUUUUCCUUCUUCCUCAGAGUUUCAAUUAAAGGGUUUUUUUGAUAGUGAUUGGGUAGGAUGUGUCGAUACUAGAAGGAGUGUCACUGGUUUUGCAAUUUUUCUUGGCAACUCAUUGAUUUCAUGGAAAUCAAAUAAACAAGUUACAGUUAGUUGAUCCUCUGCAGAGGUAGACCGAGCCCUUGCAACUACCACCUGUGAAAUUCAAUGGCUUUUGUAUGCCUUACAAGACUUGGAUAUCAAACAUUCAUAGUCAGCUUUGCUAUAUAUUGAUAGUAAAUCAACAAUGUCCAUCACCACAAAUCUAGUUCAGCAUGAGAGAACAAAGCAUAUCCAAAUUGAUUGCCAUCUUAUUCGCGAAAAAUUACAGCAGCAUGUUAUUAAGCUCUUCCAUAUUCCAUCGUGAUUACAGCUCGCAGAUAUCUUUACAAAGCCUCUCGAUUCUCUACCUUUUCAUCAUACUCUUCGCAAGAUGAACAUCAUUAACAUCCAUGUUCAUCUUGAGGGGGGGUGUUGGAGUGUUACAUCUCAUAUUGAAAGCAUGAAAUUAAAAAGGAAAGAAGAAAGACUUAUAAUAGAAAGCAAGUUAGAUGAGAAGAGUUAGUCAGAAGAGUUGUUAUUUCAAUUUAUUCUUUACUCUGUUAUUGUGUCAUUGAUGUAUUAUAAAUAGGACUCAAGUCUGAUGUAGUUUUUUCAAUUUUUCAGUUUCUGCAAUUCAUUUUCUUUUGCAUCCUUUAUUUCUUGGUGUUUUUCAUUAAUUUCAGAUUCUUCUGAUUCUCAACAAAGGACGUACCAUGCAAAUCGAUCAAGGCAAAAAGAGUAUAUAAUUUUGGCAUUCCAUACAAAAUUGGAAAAGGGCUUAAAUGGCAAAAGUCAAAUAGUGAAGAAAAUGAAGCUAAGAAUAAAGGUAAUUGAAAGUUAAAGCCAACAAGGUGAGCACAAUCCAUGGAGUAUUGAAGAAAAUGAAGGUAAGAAUAAAGGUAAACGAAAGUUAAAGCCAACAAGGUAAGCACAAUCCAUGGAGUUUUGAAGAAAAUGAAGUUAAGAAUAAAGGUAAUUGAAAAUCAAAUCAUAACAUCUUUUAUUGACUUAGAGAUUUACUUGACCAAAGCAAAAGCCAUUAGAUACUUGUCUUGUAAUGCAAUCUUGCUCUUUGUUCAAUUCACAGCCUUAAAUGAUUCACUGUCAUCCAAUUGAUGGAAAUGGUGAUCUUAAUCAGUUUUUUUUUUUUUUUUUUUAAAUAAGACUGAACUUUAAAUUUUGUUUGAAUUUUAAAAUUUUGAAAAAUUAAAAAUUUAGAAAUUUAAAAAUAAAAAAUGUAAAAUCAGAAAGAAUUGAAAGUAUAUCAUAUAUUUGUGCGUCGGUAUAGAAGAUUGGGAAUUUGGGAUUGGAUUAAAGUAGAAAAUUCAAAAUGAAAUUACAAUAAGAAUACGGUAAAGGGAUAACGUUGGGACACUACUACUGAUGUACUCUUCCAAGGCUGGAUGUAAAAGUAGGGCGUGCCAUGUCAUGCCACCUGGAACAAAAUAGGGGUUCUAUAGAUUCUCUCACCGGAAUCAUUUGAAAUAUAGGAGGGAUGCAUGGAAGGAAAGGAGAGUCCUCCUCCUCUAAAGCUUGUGUAAACUUGUGUUUGUGUGUAGGUGAGAGAUUGGGAUUUUCCGAUCAAUAAGGAACUCGGCGCAGAUUCGAACAUGGCAGACAUGGAAGGGCAAAUGCUAGCACGCAUGUCAAUCUCCGCAGAUGUGGAAAUGGCUAGAAAAAAUCAGACGAUCAAUCAAACAAACAGAAGUGCUCCUUCCACACAUGGACUCCACGCCCCUGCUCAGGAGACGCUAGAAAACUUUAUACACCUCGCAUUCUUAGUAUAUAGGAAAACUGAAGAAAACGAGAAGAUGCUUCAUCAAGGAAGUGGAAGUGCUCCUCCCACACAAGGAGUCGACGCUCCCGCUGAUGAAGAUGAAGAUGUGGAGGAGGGAUUAAUGGACAGCCGAGUGUACAUGCAGGCGACCCAAGGACAUGUUGGUGACUUUAUUCGAAUUUUACACUCGGUAUCCUCCGAAAAGGAACUUCAAUCAAUAAUCCUCUGCCAAGUUAGUCACCGGAACAAUACAUGCCUCCACAUAGCAGUAAGCUUUGGACACCAUGAGGUUGCCAAGCACAUCGUGGGACUGUGUCCAGACCUUAUCAAAAAGACAAACUCCAAAGGCGACACUGCACUUCAUAUUGCUGCUAGAAAAAAAGAUUUAUCUUUCGUUAAGUUUGCCAUGGAUUCAUGUCCUUCUGGAAGUGGCGCAUCCCGAGAUGUAGAGCAGGCUGAGCAUUCAUUGCUGAGAAUUGUUAACAAAGAAGGAAAUACAGUGUUGCACGAGGCACUGAUAAACCGUUGCAAACAAGAAGAGGUGGUGGAGAUCCUUAUUAAGGCAGAUCCCCAAGUGGCUUAUUAUCCGAAUAAGGAGGGAAAGUCGCCAUUGUAUCUAGCUGCAGAAGCACACUACUUCCAUGUCGUCGAGGCUAUAGUAAAAUUUAAAGUUGAGGAGCACAUGAACAUUAACAGAGACCGCGAAGCCAAGCCGGCAGUCCAUGGUGCCAUUCUGGGAAAGAAUAAAGGUAUGACCUGCCCCUUUCUCAAUCUCCAUUUAAUUCUCCUGCUCUUCUUCUUCUUCUUCUUCAAACUUAAAAAACACCAUUACAAUGAUCUAGAGAAGGAAAUGAUUCAAGCUCGCCACUUCAUGGCACUUUAAUAAUCUGUUGUUUAAUUACUAACCUCAUCUUUUCCUAUUAGACAAUAAAGGGAAAAAAAAAAACAAGAAGCUACCCACUGACUCAGCUCUACGGUAUCAAUCCGAGGUGGCACAGAAUUGUACACUGUCAUGUGCUAAAAAAAUUUCUCAAAAUUUUAUAUUGCUUGAAUAUUUAAAUAUAUAUAUAUAUAUAUAUAUAUCAGAUGAGUGCAAGUGAUAUAUUAAUAAUAUUAAUUACAUAAAAAUAAAAAAUUAAAGGAUGGGCAUCACAUGUGGUACAACCCCAUGCUUUUAAAAGCCUCCAAUUAUAAAUUCCCUCUUUGGAUUUUAAAAAGGGAGAAUUGUCUUUUGGGCCCAGCUGCGCCCAAAAAUUAACAUUUGGUCCAUAUAACUUUCAUAAUUGAUGGAAAGGAUAUGAAAUGUUAAAAGACCAAGAUAUCCUUCAAAUUUCUAUACAUUACCUUUUAAGGACAUAAAAUAGUGGUGGACUAAAAUACCCAAUGACCUUUCACAUAAACUUUUUUUUUUGUCUUUAUUACACCAUUAUUCAUGCAACCAUAAUAAUUCUAUUUUAACAAUUUGGAUUUUUCAUUAUUUUAAUUUUUUUUAUAAAUAAUUGAAUAUCAACAUUAUUUUCUAUUUUAAAUUAUAAAUAAAGAAAAAUUAUGUUCGGAAGCUAUUUUAAAAAAUACUUUCUAAAAAAUAGUAAUAUGAUUUAUAUUUUUUAUAUUUUCUUUUUGAAAAAACAUUUAUUUAAAAAAUGAAAACUAUUUUAAAAAAUAAAAAUUGAAAACCUUGUUUAGUACUAUUUUUUAUAUGAAAAUAAUAAAAAGAACUAAAUUUCAUUCAUUGAUUAUCCAUUUUUAUUUUUUUUCAUUAGUUAUUUUAAUAAAAAAAAAUAUAGUAUGUUUACAAUUAAACAAAGAAAUUGAUCAAUUAUGUGUUUUUUGUGGGACUAUCUUUUACAUGAAAAAUAAUUAAAUAACUAAAUUAUAUAUAUUUAUUACUCUUUUUAAUUUUAUUUUCUUUAUUUAUUUUUAAUCGAAAAUUUUAAUAUAUCCAUAAUUAACAAAGUAAUAAAUCAAUUGUGCACAUUUUAAUCAAUUAAAAUAAAUUAAUUUCUAAUUUAAUAAAUAAAAUGAAAUAAGUAAAUAAAUUUGGGGUUAUUUCUAUUUUUUAAUAUAUCUUAUAUCAAUAUUUUUUAUGAUUAAAUAAAAUUUUUAUUUUUUAUUUCUUUAAUUCCAAAAAUAAAAUGAAAUAAAUAAAUAAAUUUAGAAUUUUCCAACUGAUCUUAUAUUCAUAUUUCUUAUGGUUAAAUAAAUUUUUUAUUCUUUUUUCUUUAUUUCCAAAAAUAAAAGGAAAUAAAUAAAUAAAUUUGGCUUAAAUAAUAGUUUUUAAGUAAUUUCUUUGUCUUAUUUUUAAUUACAUUUUGCAUUGAAAAUAAAAUAAAAUAACGUUUUUUUUUAGUCAUUGUACAAGGUAUUUACACUAAGUGUACAUGACAAAUAUACUAACUAUACAAGGGUGUACAAGACUAUUAUUUGUGAAGGAUUUUAAGUGAUUCUAAAAAACUUGUUUGUUUAUUUCCCUUAACCAAUGAUAAAUGACAUUCCUUACACACAUUGGUUAAGCAUACAUUCAUCUCAUGUAUUUUAUCUAACUUGUAUAUGGUCAUUUUAAUAGGUACCUCACUUAUGAUGAUUGUAAAACAAAAUUAUAUAACAAUUUUUUUUCCUUUUUAAAACCAAACCGAUGCAAACAUGGUUAACCGACCUAUUGUUAGAUAUUCAUAAAAUGAUGUAUGAAAUUUGAGUUAUUGUACAAGGGUAUUACACUAACUGUACAAGACAAACUUAUUAAUUGUACAAGGGUGUACAAUACUACUUUUUGUUAAGGAUUUAAAGUGAUUUCGAAAAACUUUCCCAUUUUUUUCCACUCAAAUAUUUUUUCCCCACUCAAAUUCUCUCACUCAAGAAUUGUUUCGAAUUUUAUUUUUAAAUUUCAUCAUCAAAUUUUUGUAAUUGCAUAUUUUGUUUUUGUAGUUUUAGCAAUGUUCUUUCUUUCCACUAUUUUUUUUUUUUUUUUGUGAAAUUUUAUCCACAUGAAUCUAUAUUUAAAAUUAUAAUCAUAUUUAUCAAAUUUUUUUACUAAGAUUAUCUUUAAUUUUUUUUAAUAUAUUUAUACUCAUUUUUUUUAAAAAUGAAAAACUAAUUUUUUUUGUAAACAUGUUCUAUUACCUUUCAAGUAAAAAAUUAGAUAAAUUUCAAAGUCAAUAAAUAAAAAAAUUAAAUACCACUUUCAAUAAUUUUUAGAUAAAAUUUUAUAUAAUAUAUUUUAUUUGAAACUUAAUUUUUAAAGUUUAACUAAAAAAUUGUAUUGACAAUUUUCUUGUUGUGGGUCAAAAUACUUUGCAUUAGUCUAUCUAGAUAAGAAAAAUUAUUAAUAUAAUAUUAGAACUUCAUAUCUUAGUUAUUUUUUUUCAACCAAUUUAUCUUUUUAAAAAUUUUAAAAUAAAAACAUUAAAAAUUAAAAAGCUAAAAAGAUAUAUAUAUAUAUAUAAUAAAGUGAAGUGAUAGUUAAUUUUAAAAUUUUUUAAAAUAUGGUUAAUGUAGAAAAUAUAAAAAAUAAGAGAAAAAUAUAGAUGAAAGGGUAAUAUAAAUUUAAAAUAAAAAAUGAAAAUUAAACUAAAAGAUAAAUACAUAAAGAUAAAAAAUAUUUGGAUGAAAAAUCCCAAAAUUUUUAUCAUUGCUUUUAAUAAGAGCAAAAAGAUUCAAUAUCUUUAAAAAUGAAAAAUAAAAAAAUAUUAUUGUUUUUUAUUUGACAUAAAAUAGAAAUAUAUAUUGGAAUAAAAAGGAAAAAAAAAGUUAGAAAUGAGUAAUAUUUAAUAGGGAAUAGAAAAGGAAAAAAAAACACAAAAAAAAUUAAAAUUCACACUCAGGCAUAUAAGGGAUAAGGGUAUUCUAGGAAUUAAUGAAAGACAAUAUCCUUCAUCUUAAUUUUCAUACUUUGUUUGGGUCUUGGGCUUAAAUAUGGGUGGUUGAAGGACCAAAUGUUAAUUUUUGGGCCCACCUGGGCCCAAAACACAAUUCUCCCUUUUAAAAAUUCUAUAAAUUUUGUUAAUUUAUUAUUGCCCUUAUCAUUCUCUUAAUAAUAUUGCAGCAGUUAAAUUGAUGAAUAAUAGAAAAUCAUGACAUAAUUAAUAAUUUUUUAAAGAAGAAGAAGAAGGAGCCCUAACUAUAUCCUAAAGCUCAAAAUAAAAUCUUAAAACUGAUUCUCAUAAUUGAAAAAAAAAAUUAUUAAGGAAAAUGAUUUUCUAAUAUGUUGUUUUAUCAUAAAAAAUAUGAAAGAAAAUGAAAUAUAAUUAAAAUUAAUAAGAAAUUUAUAUAAUUUAAAAUUAUUUAAUUUUUAUAUAGAAUAAUUAAAUAAGUGAAAUAAAUUUAAAGUAAUAUAUAAAAAUGACUUAUUGAUUUAAACUAUCCAAACAAUUCUUCUUUCUUUGCUCUUUUUCUUAUGGCCCUUUUUGCCCCCCUCUAUUUAAACCAGCCAAUAUGCAGACAACAAAGCCACAACAGCAAAUUUUCUUUAGUUAAUUUUAAAAUUUUGUGAUUUAGAAAAGAAAAUUAAGAAUUAGGAGUGGGGUUUUGAAGAAGAAUAAGAAGAUGACAAACUAGGAUUAGGAUUUUGAAAACAAAGAUGAAGAAUAUUUACAGGGACGGAUUUGGGCCGGGAAGAGGAGUUAUAAACAUUAUUGAUCUCCCAUAAAUUAAUAAAAAUUUUAAGUUUUUAGGAACAGGGAAUAUUGAAGCAAAAGCUGAAAAAAAAAAAAAAAAAGCCAAUAGACUUUUUCUAUAAUUAGUUCAACAGAAAAACAUAAAUGUGUUCUCAUUUUAAUUUCUUUUAUAUAUGAUGAAAAAAUGCCAGAGAUGUUGGGAAAAAUACUAGCCCUGAAGAUCGUCCACCAAAGAGAUGAACAUGGAAGGACUCCACUUCAUUAUGCGGCAUCGAUUGGAUAUCUUGAAGGAGUUCAAACGCUGUUAGCUAGAGACCAAUCUAACUUUGAUCGAUAUCAUAGGGACGACGAAGGCUUCUUACCCAUCCAUGUUGCAUCAAUGAGAGGCUAUGUAGACAUCGUCAAAGAGUUGCUCCAGGUCUCCUCUGACUCAAUAGAAUUGCUUAGCAAACACGGUGAGAACAUUCUUCAUGUGGCAGCCAAGUAUGGUAAAGAUAAUGUAGUCGAUUUUGUGCUGAAAAAAAAAGGGGUUGAGAACCUUAUAAAUGAGAAGGACAAAGGUGGAAACACGCCACUGCAUUUGGCUACCAGGCAUGCACAUCCUAAGGUCGUAAACUAUUUAACAUGGGAUGAAAGAGUUGAUGUGAAUCUUGCGAAUAAUGAACAGUGGAGCAUCCAACUUCAUUUCACCAGGUAUAUAUGACGAUUUUCAUCUUGUUUUCUGAAUUAAGGGUACUACUAUUGGUUUCACCUUGAACUGCAUGCAUUGUUAAUGCUAUGGCAUUUUCCUUCUUAGAUGCAUGCAUGUGAAUUGUUAAAAGGAUCAAUCAGGACAACAUAGUUUGUAUUUCUUUCCUAGAAGGACCGACUGAUAUUAAUAAGACCUAGUUCAACUAAAAGAAGAUCAAUUUGAUCCCAUGAUAUCCUAAAAGUCAAGAAAAUUAUGGAGCCUAACUCAAUCACCAUCACCCUCGCCCAGAUUAGAGCGACUCAACCAAAGUUAGGCUAGGUUUCUCCAGCAACUGCAUAUACUCUUGAUGUCGGCAAAGACUCAUGGGAAUAAUUUUUUGCAUCAUACUAAAAAGUUUUCAGUGUAGAGAACUGCUAUAUCAUGUGCACUUGUGGUUGUUCUGUUGCUGCUUCACGUUGCUUAAUUUCGUACUUCUUGUGGGUGUUCAUUGAAUUUACAGGGAAAAGAGAAUGGCUUCCCAACAAAAUAUUUCGAAACCCAACUCAUGGAAUUAUAGUCUACUUAUACUUUCUAUAGUUAUUAUUACGACGCAUACAUUUGAUUUUCUUUCUUUCUCACGAUUACAUUAACAGAAACAUUUUUAUCUCUACCACGCAGACACUAAUUUGGACAGCACUCAAGUCUACUGGUGCACGACCAGCCGGAAAUUCAAAGGUCCCACCAAAACCGCCUAAAUCACCUAAUACGGACCAGUACAAGGACAGGGUAAACACUCUCUUGUUGGUUUCGACCCUUGUUGCCACCGUGACAUUUGCUGCUGGUUUUACCAUGCCAGGAGGCUACAACAGCUCUGAUCCAAGUGCCGGCAUGGCUAUCUUUCUAAUGAGAAAUUUGUUCCAUAUGUUCGUUAUCUGCAAUACCAUUGCUAUGUAUACCUCCAUCCUCGCGGCAAUCAUCUUCAUCUGGGCACAGUUAGGUGAUCUCAAUUUGAUGGAUACUGCCUUCAGAUUUGCAUUGCCAUUAUUGGGGCUGGCCCUUUAUGCAAUGUCCUUCGGCUUCAUGGCAGGUGUUUCCUUGGUGGUCAGUAAUCUUCAUUGGCUUGCAAUUGUUGUCUUCAUUAUUGGAAUCAUCUGCCUUUUCAGUCUCUCAGUACCCUUUCUUUUACUCUUCCUCCCAACUAAGUCUACUAAUCGUAUCCUUAGGCACAUCUCCUAUUAUCCGUUCCUUAUACUGGUAUGGGCAUCUGAAAGCCCCGAAAUCAAACAGGAAGAUUAGCUUGCCCUGUUGAUGAUGUAUGCUAGCUCCAUCUUCUCCUAUUUUUGUUGCUUCUUUCAGCAUUAUCUCAAUGACUUGGUAGACAAAGCAUGUUAUGAAUAAAUGCUUAGUGUGAUCAGAACUUCAAUAUAUUGGUGGUGUUGUACAUGGUCAUUUGUCAUAUAAAUCUGUAGUCUCUGGAGCUGUAAUAUGUGAAAUACUCUAUAUAUAUUUCAAUAAAUACUCCAUUCAUCCAUACCGAUCAAUGCAUAUUUGUCUUUGCUUUUUUAGAAAAGAAAAAAAGAAAAAAUAAAUCUUGGAAAUCCCAAAAUGAUUAAUUUGAGAAAUAUCAUUAUUUAACAAAUAAAAAACACAUAUGAAUAUAUGAACCCCAGUACAUCAUUUUCUUUGAAGUACCCUGUUGCGGUAGGGAAAAUUGAAAAGUUGUCCAAGUCAUAGUGUAUGAAGUGCUUUCCAAAGGAAUUUGAUGAGAGAAAAAGGUUAUCAAAUGAUGAUGCCUUAGUGACAAACUUCUAAACUCAUAUAUAAAAUAUAACAUUAGACUAUGUUUGAUUAUGAAGAGUUUGAAGGGAAAUGCAAAAAAAUUAAAUUAAAUUAAAUUAAAAAAAUAAAAAAUAAAAUAAAAGGAAAGAAAAAAUAAAUUUAAAAUGAAUAAAUUAUUUUUAUAUAUUACUUCAAACUUUUUUCACUUAUUUAACUUUCUAUAUAAAAAUAAAAUAAUUUAAAAACUCAAGAUUACUAAAAAAUCAUCUUGGGAUAGCAAAAAGUUUAUGAUCUUGUUUCUAUGUGGAACAAGUGAUAAUUGAGGACCAUCUAUUCAAUCCCUCUAAUUAGUUACAAUUAUCUUAUUUAAUUUAUGAUUUAUGUAUUUCAUAGAUAAGUUGACAAUUUUAUUCCAUACAUUUUAAACUAAAACUCUAUAUAUUUUCUUGUAACCAACCGAAGUCUAGGGAUGGCAAUAGGGUGGAUUUUUUUAGGUACCUACCCCGCCCCACCCUGCCCCUAAUGGGAUAGAUUUGAAUUUUAACUAAAUGGGUUUAGGACGGAUUUGAUAAUUUUUUUUAAAAGUCAGGGCGUGUUUGGGUACUGUCUUGUCCUGCCCCGAUUAUAUAUAAACUUAAUUUUUAAAAUUAAAUUAAUUUCAUUUUUAUUUUAUCAUUUUAAUAUAUAGAUAAUAAUGAAAUAUUUUUUAAUAAAAUAAGUUAUAAAAAAAUAUAAUAAUUUAAUUAUUUAUAAAAAUAUAUUUAUUUUAAUGUAAUUAAAAAAUUUAAAAAUAAUUUUGGACGGGGUGGAGUCGGUAUGAGAAUUUCUCAUACCCAUCCCUACUCGUUCAAUUUUUUAAAUGGAAUGGGGAUAAUAAUUAUUUUAAAUAAAUUGGAUGAGGUUGGGAUGGGGGCGACCCAUCCCAAACUCAUCCCAUUGCCAUCCUUAUUGGAAUCUGGACUCGUAAAAACUCAAGAUUACUCAAAAUUCAUCUAAGAAUAGUCAAAGUUGAUGAUCUUGUUUCUAUGCAAGGCAAGUGAUGAUUGAGGACCAUCUACCUAGUCUUUCUAAUUAGUUAUGUGAUGCAAGGUUAAAAACCUUAUUUUAUUUCAUAACAUGAUUAUAUUUUAUAGACCGUAAAAUCAACUCUUUGUUUGGUAACUCAUAUGGUAGUAAAUCUUAAGAACCUAAAUUCCCCACGUGUUUGACAUAGAUUGGAAAUUUUGAACCUAAUCUUAAGUUGAGUUUGAUGCUAGUCGAGCGUAGUGAUGACGGAUUUGACGGAGAUUACGUUCAAACCCGCUCAAAGACUCAAACUCACGUAACUUUGAAUUGGUUAAAAUAAUUUUAUAAAGUGAAACUAUUAAACUUCUUAUUUUAUGGGAUUGGUGUUUGUGCUUCCAAAUAGUUUUCUAGAUGUUCCCAGUGAGUUUGGAGAAGAGAGUGUUAGGAUUUCCUAUAAUUAUGUAGAAUAAUUAUAAGUCUAAUUCUUGCAAACAAUCAUAACCCUAGUUUUAGAACUUUGUGAUUUUCACAAAGUAAAUAAAUAAUAAUAAAAAUCAUUAAAUUCAUGUGGAGAAAAAUAAAAUUUAAGCCAAAAGUUUUAAUAUUGUCAAAAUCUCAUCAUAACUAUCAUUCAUCGUCUGAACAGAGGGUACCUGAAAAAUUGUUAAUGAAGGGAAAUGAGCUUAAAACCCAACAAGAAAUAUUAAUACAAUUUCACAGAUAAAACAUUUUUAAUAAAGAUUAUAAAAAGAAGAUAUAAUGUAUAAUAAUUUUCAUAAAAACUUUUUAGUUCAAACAUGCUAAUACAUUCAAAUUUUUCAACAAAACAUUUUUAUAUUAAUGUCAAAACAAUUUUAUAUUAAAUUUAAAUAAAAUAUAUAUUCAAAAUAUUUUUACUCUGAUUAUCAAAUUUCAAAUGAUGCUCAAUUAUGUGAGACUUUACAAAUUAGUGGUUAGUCUCAAAUUUGUUUCUUUUAAGAUGAAACCAAACAUUACUAAUACUAGUAAUAUAUAACCAAACCUCUAAAGGUUAGGGUUCAAAUUAAUUAUAUUCUUCACCACAAAAUGUAAAUAUCAACUAUCUCGCUGAUAGAGGUUAAAAAGUCAACUAUUAUAUCCAGUUGAUAAGAGCCAAAAAGUCAAACAUCCCGUUACCUAUAGUCUAACAAACUAAAGCCAAUCACUUCGUUUUAUUUAUUCAAACUUAUAAAAACAUACUAUUUUCACAUGUUUUUGUUAUAAACAAAAGAAAAGGUUUUAAUAUAUUUUUCAUGCAAAAUAUAUUUGAUUUAUGCAUAAAAACAAAAAUAACAUUUUACACAUUUCAAAAUAACUUGUUAGAAGAAAAUCAUUUUUUUUUACAAAAUCUGCAUUAAUUUCCUUUACCUCAAAAACACUUAGAAUCCUUGAAGAAUUUAAUUCUAUAUAAACAAUUUUUCAUCUAAUAAUAUAAGAAAAAACAAUUAUUACUAUUAACUAUUUGUCUAAAAUUAUAAGUUUGAUAAUCCUAAACAUUUAUAUAUCAAUAUUAAUAUUUCUAAAUAUCAAUGAUAAUUUAAUUAAUUUAUUCCUUAUUUAAGUAAAAUUAAUAAAUUUCCAAUUUAUAUAAAACUUUUUUCUCAAAUUUAAUUCUAAAAAAUAAAAAUACAUUACUAAUUUAAUUAAACUACAAUUUUUAUUUCAUUAAUUAAAUUUUAUUUAUUUAUUAACUUAACAUCUAUACUCAUUAGCAUUAUUAUACCAUCAACUAACCUUGUAAUUCACCCAACUCUCAACACCUAAUUAAUACUAUACAAAUUUUCCUCAUUCUCCCAACAAAGGUAGGACUCGCGUACUUAUCUUUUUCUUAUUUUAUUUCUUUUCUUUCUUGCACAAAGCACACUCAUGGCUACAUUCCUUUUUUUUUUUUUUUCCUACACACACUUCCAAAAAUCACACUGUACACACUCUCCAAGGAGCCAAAAGCUAAUUUUUUUUUAAACACCCAAAUUCCUUUUUUUUUUCUUUUAUGUUGUCACAUAGGUACCAUCCCAAAUCCAUAAAUCCUUUUUUUCUUUUUCUCAAUACCCUAAACCCUCACACAACAAAAUAUAUAUGUAUAUUUAUUGAAGAUUUAAGAUAUAUUAUUUAUUUUAUUUAUUUAUUAUAUUUUUAAAUCUACUAAAAAAAUAUUCAAAAUUUCUUAUUUCUAUCAAUAAAUUAACAUUUAUUCAUAAAUUUUCACUCUUUUUUAUUUAGAAUUUAAAUAAACAAAUUAUAUUAUAGAUUGAGGUUUUUUAAAGAAUAUUUAAGUGUUUAAAACUAAUUAACGAAUCUAAAAUACUAAUUUAAAGGUUAAAAUUCUACCUAAAAAACUAAUUUUCAAACCCUAUACUUCAAAUCUUCAAUCAUAUAUUGUCUUAUGUCCUUUGAUCUUUCUCUAAUCUUCGUAUGAAAGGGUUCCGUAUAGAGAAGUUAAAAAAAUCUAAUUUAUAUUUAAAGCUUUUAAUGCAAAAAGACAUUUCUAACCUUAUUAAAUUUAUUAUUAUUUUUUUCCCUUUACUCUAAUUUAUGGUUUUACCCUUGACAAUAAAAUGGGGGGUGUUACAUAAGGAGCCUAACAAUUUUUUAAAAUAAUUUGAAACUAAAAAAUCGUGCUAGAACCAAAAUUGAAAAUGACUACAUCAAUUUCUCGCCUAUGCACAAUUAUACUUUUUAAAAUUUUCUUAUUAUGUAAAUGAGUUUCAAAUAAAAUGAUAUUUAAUGCAUUAUAGAUUGGUUAGCAAGUCUAAUGAUUUAAAAAAAAUUAAUUUAGAACUUAAAAAUCGACUCAAUUAAUUUCAAAUUUUCAACCAAAAUAGUUUAAAAUAUCCCAAAUGUAAGUGUAUUAAAAAAAACUAAAUUAUUUAUAUAACUAGAAAGAGAAAAUUCAUAAUUUAUAAAUAUUAUAUGUGUAUUAUUUAUUUAUUUCGUAUUGAUCACCUAGAAUUUAUAUAAUAUUGAUAUUCAUUUUAAAAUAAAUUAUGGUUUAUGUGGCUAUUUUUAAAAUACUAUAAGUCAUUAUUAGAAAGUUUAAUAUAUUAUUAGUUAUUUUUUAUAGAAAAUUUGCUAUUAAUAUGUAAGAAAAUCUUUAAUAAAUAAAUAAAUAACCAUUUAGCAAGAGGAGUUUGUGUAGCGGGUGAGAAAAAUGAAAUAAAAGCCAUGACGCUAGGAGAUCUCUUUCAUAACAAUGAAUCUAUUAUAUGAAGGGAAACUGUGAGUGAACCAUUUGCCAUGUUAAUUUUUUUGAAAUAGUGUAAGGAAAUAUAUUUUGGUUGUUACAUGUUUUCCAUAAGAAAAGUAUGUUUAGAAACUUAAAUUUUUUCAACCUAUUUUUUUUUUAAAUAAUUUUUAUUUAUAGUAUUUUAUUUUUUAUUAUUUUUCAUAUUUACAUAAUUAUUUUAAAAAUAAAAAUAAAAAUAAUUAAAAUAUAUUUUUAAAAAACACUAUUUUUUAAAUAAGUUCUCAAAAAUAAUAUUUUAUAUUAAAAAUUAUCAAAUAUGUUUUCUAACCGGCAAGACAAUUCCAAACAUAUUCAUAAUUUUCCUAGUAAGAAAUGUGGUUCAAGAUUGAUUGGUAGUUAGUCACUAUCCAUUGAAUUCAUAGAAGUAAACGUUUAUACACCUCAUCUACAAACAAUGGUUCUAUCCUCAUCAUGUCAUGUGCAUAGCAUUUAGUUCACAUUUUAAAAUUCUGAAAUAGAACAAUGAAAUGAAAAUUAAUAUAAUUUUGAUUUAUUAAUAUACUUGGAUUAAUUGUUUUAUAGAAUGAGAAUAUAAAUAAAAAUUUUAUUAGUAUAAAAAUCAAAUUCCACUCUCAUGAGGAUUUUGAUUCCUUUGUUCUAUUUCAUAGUGAUUUACCUUAUAUUUGGUGGGUUGAAUAGUAUAUAAUAUGUAUAUUUUAAAAUAUCAUAUCCUCUCCUUAUCUAACCUAUUUACAAAAUUUGUAUUUUUCAUUCAAAAGUCAUCUUUUAACGAGACAAUUAAUACAAAGCUAUUGUAUAGUUAUAUAUUUGUCAUAGUUUUUUUUUUUUAGUGAAUUUAAUUUUUUACCAUUGUAUCUUAUUUUUAUAUAAUUAUAUUACAUUUAUUUUAUUUUUUAUAUUAAUUUUUAAAUGUGACUCAUAAUUGGUUGGAGGGUUAGAGACUUUGUAUCAUUAGAAAAACAAGUUGCAUCCUCAUCUAGCUAACAUUGUAACAACAUGUAAAUCUUUUUAUCUAUCACUCAAAAACCAUAUUUUAGUGAGGCAACCUAUACAAAGUCAUUGUAUAGUUAUAUAUUUGUCUCAAUUUUCUUUAAGUUGACAAUGAACUUAAUUUUUUGCACUAAUAUCUUAUUUUUAUAUAACCUUGCUAUAUUUAUUCUUUUAUAUUAAUUUUCAAAUUUCACCCAUAAUUGGUUGGUGGUUUAGUUAUUAUCAAUGGUUUAGAUUGAUCCAAUUAUCAACUAGUGACUUUUCCAAUCCAAUUCACACCUUUAAGUUGUUUUAUCAUUGAAUUCAUAUUCCUCAAAAACAAGUUGCAUUCUCAUCUAGCUAACAUGCUAACAGCAUUUCAAGCUUUUCAUCUACCACUCAAAACCUAGAUUUCAAUAGGAGAGCCAAUACAAAGCCAUUUUAUUGUCAUAUAUUCCUCUCAAAUUUUAUUUUUAAUGUUGAUAAUGAAUUUAAGCUUUUUUGGCCCUUUUAUCUUUUAUAUAUAUAUAUAUACAUAUAUAUAUAUAUAUAUAUUCCAUUUCUUUCUUUCAUAAUAAUUUCCGAAUGUGACCCUUAAUUGGUUGGUGGGUUAUCAUUGUCUAUUAAAUUCAUAUCACCCUCCAAGUUUAGUUGCAUCCUUAUCAGGCGCCUAACGUGUCAAAAACAUGCUGACAACAUUUAAAAUUUUUCAGUAAGAUAAUCAAUACAAAGUCAACAUGUGUCAUACAUCAGUCUCAAUUUUUUUACAUGUUUUUUCUGCACUCAUAUCUUAUUUUUAUAUUAUUAUAUUUUGUUUCUCUCUUUUGUAUUAAUUCUUAACCGUGACUUAUAAUUGGUUGAUGGACAGGGUUCAAAGUAUCGGCCGAGUCGUAUCACACCUGCCACGACGAGACCGAUACUAGAUACGGUAUAAUGCACGAACUCGAUUGGGAAUCGAUUAGACUCGGCUAACUGGUUUGAGUUUCCGAGUUAACUCGGUUGACUCGGUUAGGUUACAGAGAAUUUUCAAAAUUUUCAUAAAAUUAAAAAAAAAAAUUAAUAAGAGAUUGCCCUUCCAAAAGCAAACACUUAUUUUGAAAUUUUAAACCAUCAAUGAGAAUAUCAAAGAAGAUGAAGAAGAAAAAACCUUAAUCGUGACCCGUUCAGAAAUAAGCGGAGAAACCACCGAAGAAUGAGGGCAUGAUUUAGGAUUUACUUAUCUGAUUUUCCUCAAAAUCGAGCAUUACCCGAGGGUGGAGCUUUGGUGUCGGCGGUGGUGACUCGUCAAGUGGACUGAAUAUUUCAUCGGCAACGUCGACAAGACAACCCCUCACUGUCAGAUUGCUCCCCCUCCCAUGUUAGGAACGGUUACAAAUUUGCGAUUGCAGGUGGUGUCGUCUGUUAUGGGUCUUGACAGCAUGGUGGCGAGGACGGGAGAUUGGGGGCACAAAUUAGUAAAGUAAAAAAAGUGUCUUUUAUACGGAUUUACACGAAGAAUUAAGGCCAAUUUACAUGGAAAAUACCUUUCAUGUAAACACUUUAAUAUGAUUUAAUAAUAACUAAUUAGGAAAAUUGAGUACCCGAUUUGCUAAAGUAAAAUGAUAUGAAAGGUAUAUAUGAGGUUUAAUGAUAAAUUAAAAUAUUUAUAUGGCAAAGUGAGAAUUAAAUCCUCAAUUUUUAAUAUUAUCAUAAAUAAUUUUGAGCUAAAUGUGAAAAAAAAAAUUGUUUUAUUUUCAGCUUAUUUAAUUAUAUAUAUUUUAUUUUAUUAUUUAUAUAAUAUUUUUAUAACUUUUUGAAAAUUUUAAUUAUCUUAUUUUACGUAUCGUCCAAUAUCGAAUCGAGACACCGAUACUGAUAUGCCUCGUGACCCUCCGAGUCAAUGACCGAUGCUGCAACUUUGAACCAUGUUGGUGGGUUAGUUGUUGUUCAUCGAAUUUAUAUCACUCGUAGAGCCAAGUUGCAUCCUUAUGCAUCUAACAUGCUAACGACAUUUAAAACUUUUUAUUUGUUACUCAAAAGUAAGGGUCUCCAAAAAGCCCGCGGCCCGCGGCCCGCUUUAGGCCCGGCCCGGCCCGAGCCCUUUUAUGGCGCGGGCUGGGCCGCGGGCCUAAAUUUAGGCCCGGCCCGUAGUCCCACCCUUAGGCCCGGCCCGUAGGCCCGGCCCGCCUUUAAUUUUUUUUUAAAAAAAAUAUACUUUAUUUUUAUAUAUAUAUAACUAACUCAUUUAAUAAGCACAAAAGGAAUGUAGCUUAGUUGGUUAGAGCCUUGAAAUUUAUGCUUGAGGGGAGGGGUUCGAAUCCCCCCCUCUCCUUUCCUUUAUUUAAAAGCCAUUUUGGCUUAUUUAAAAAAGCCCGGCCCGGCCCGGCCCGCCCGCUAGCCCGCGGGCCUAGCAUUUUAGCUCAGCCCGGCCCGGCCCGGCCCGCCCGUUGGAGACCCUUACUCAAAAGUCACUUUUCUGUAAGUCAACCAAUACGAAGCACGGCCACACAAUUUCAAUCCGCCCUCGACCGCACGUUCUGAUUGCAAGACCCACUGGCCACCAAAGUCCCAUCUCUACUACCAGUAUCGUCAUCGCCUUCUCCCCUGGCCAAGCACAAGCGCUCAUCCUCGAUCGACACACCGCCACCGUUAUCAGGAUUCAGGACCAACAGCCCCUACAGGUUUGUUUCCUUAUUUAUUUGUUUAUUAUUUUUAAUUGAUGCCAUUGGUUGGCUAGGCCUCAAGCCAGUAGUUGCAUGGUGGAGCUGGCUUAGCUUCAAGUAAGAGGCGGCAACGAAGGUUUUAUUGGUGGACCAAAAAGUGGGGUAAAUAAAUUUUGAAAAAAAAAAAAAUCCCAUUUAAGUAACAUCUCGCUUCUACACACGUGACAAUAUUGUAUGGAAAGGAAGCAUUUUCCUUUACUAGAAUAUUUGCGAUAGCUCUAGAGGGUUCAAAAUCUCGGCCGAGGCGGAUAGUCGUAUCCGCCUCGGCCAAGGCCGUUACAGGACCGAUCCCCGAGUCAAAAUCGGUGGAGAAAAUAAGCCGAUUUUCAUCUUCAUCCUUCAAACCUAAGCUUUUGCAUCCUCGUAUAAGUAUUUUUCACCGAUUUAAUGCCUUCAAACCUCAAGAUGAUGUGAGAAGCUGUCGUAGAGAGGUGAAAAGAGUAGUUUUUAGAGAAAUGAGUAUUGUGCAAAAAUGUUGUGAGAAGUUGUCUAAGAGUUGAACGGGUAUUGUGGAUAGAAGAUGAAAUGGCCAUUUCGUAAAAAUGGGUCUGUUGGCUGUUGCAGAGAAAUGUGAUAUGAAGGAGUUAUUUGGGUGUGUUGCAGAGAAACCAGAGAGAGAGAGAGGGUUUUUGAUAGAAAUGGGAGAAAGAGAGAGGAGGUUUUUGACCGGAGUUUGGGAUUAUCUAAAAUUUUGGAAUUAUAAAAAAUGAUUAUAAAUAUUUAAAUUUAUAUGAAAUAAAUAGAAUAUAAAUAUUAAUAUAAAAAUUCUAAAUUAAUGUAUAAAAGUAUUAAAACAUAGAUUUAUUUUUAAAACUUAUUUAUUUAAAAGAAAAUAAAAUUAAUAAAAAAAAUCGGUUUUAUUUAGAAUAUAUUUGAUAAGAAAAUUGAUAUUUAUAUUUUUAAAGGUGAUUUAUGGUCAUUUAAAAAAAAAAAAUCAAAAUAUUGAAUUUAAAUAAAUAUAUUAUAAAAAUGAUUUUUUUUACUAGUUUUAUCUAAUAUUUAAUAUGAGGUGAAAAAUAAAAAAGUUUUAAAUAUAUUUUAGUAUGCUUGUUUCAAUGUAUGAAUAAUGUUGUUUUUUAUAUAUUUAUUAAUUUUUUUAGUUUAUGUGAUUAUAUUUAUUUUUAUGAUAAUUUUAAUAAUUUAUUUACAAAUUUUGGAGUUCUUAGUACAUAUUUUACGUAUCGUUUGAUACUUAGACUGAUAUGCCUUGGGACCUUCUAAGUCGAUGAUCAAUACCAUGACUUUAAACCAUGCUAAAAGGUACGGUUGACCUCUAUGACCGUUUCUCAAAUACCAAUUAAGCUCUAAAAAGCAUUGGGAAUGUGUGAAAGAGUAAUGACAAUACCAACAAUAACAUUAUUUAUACUAAGCACAUUCUAUUAUACUUGUCUAAAUGGCCAAAUAUUUAAAUUCAUGAUCCCAAGUCUUUAAUGGCUAGUAUAAACCCAAAGAAAUACAUGGAGUAAAUCUAGUAAUAUGUGGAACAAAAUUAUCAACCUAAACUAGUUAAUUUAAUACACUAACAAUUUUACCCUUUGACAAUUUUAUGAUAAAAUAUUGAAUAACUAAAUCCUCCAAUACUCUCAAAAGGAGUUCUCAAAUCACAUAAUAUCUUGUCUUAACCAAACAUUCUAAGUCAUAUAAUCUUCAAUUAGCUUCUUACAAAAAUCCUAGAAAUUUUUGACAAUUUGUGACCUACACAUGCUCAAACAAUACUCAUUAAAAGUAAUGUGUGGGAAGAAUAUAUGACUAUACCUUGAUGAAAGAAAUGAAGGAAAGUCACUAUACGAAUCUUAUAUAGACCCCAGAAAAUAAAUGGAUUACUAUCACAAAAAGACUAUAUAUAUAAAGAAAGAGAGAGCUAGAGAGAGAACAACAUAACAUUUAUAGCAUAUAAAUACAUGACAUGUGCAAAAUAUACUAAAAUUAAGGGGUUCUACAUAUUCUCUCACCGGAAUCAUUUGAAAUAUAGGAUGGAUGCAUGCUUGGAAGGAAAGGAGAGUCCUCCUCCUCUAAAGCUUGUGUAAACUUGUGUUUGUGUGUAGGUGAGAGGUUGGGAUUCUCCGAUCAAUAAGGAACUCAGGCGCAGAUUCGAACAUGGCUCGCAAGCCAAUCUCAAAUGCGAGAAUGAAGGCUGCAAAAGAUCGGACUAUUGGUCAAACAAGUGCUCCUUCCACAAAUGGACUCGAAGCCCCUGAUCAGGAGGAGCUGGAAUCCUUUUUGCGCACCGCAUUCUAUAUAUGUAGUCAAAUUGAAGAAUUCGGGAAGAUGCGUCAUCAGGGAAGUGGAAGUGCUCCUCACACACAAGGAGUCGACGCUCCCGCUGAUGAAGAUGAAGAUGUGGAGCAGGAGAGAUUAAUGGACAGCCGCAUGUACAUGCAGGCGACUCGAGGACGUGUUGAUGAAUUUAUUCGAAUUUUACCCUCAAUAUCCUCUGAAAAGAAACUUCAACUCUCAGAAAUCCUCUCCCAAGUUAGCCCCCAGAACAACACAUGCCUGCACAUAGCAGUAAGCUUUGGACACCAUGAGCUUGCCGAGUACAUCGUGGGACUGUGUCCAGACCUUAUCAAAAUGACAAACUCCAAAGGCGACACUGCACUUCAUAUUGCUGCUAGAAAAAAGGAUUUAUCUUUCGUUAAGUUUGGCAUGGAUUCAUGUCUUUCUGGAAGUGGCGCAUCCCGAGAUGUAGAGCAGGCUGAGCACUCAUUGCUGAGAAUUGUUAACAAAGAAGGAAAUACAGUGUUGCAUGAGGCACUGAUAAACCGUUGCAAACAAGAAGAGGUGGUGGAGAUCCUUAUUAAGGCAGAUCCACAAGUGGCUUAUGAUCCGAAUAAGGAGGGAAAGUCGCCAUUGUAUCUAGCUGCAGAAGCACACUACUUCCAUGUCGUCGAGGCUAUUGGAAAAUCUAAAGUUGAGGAGCACAUGAACAUUAACAGAGACCGCGAAGCCAAGCCGGCAGUCCAUGGUGCCAUUCUGGGAAAGAGUAAAGGUAUGACCCGCCCCUUUCUCAAUCUCCAUUUAAUUCUCCUGCUCUUCUUCUUCUUCUUCAAACUUAAAAAAACACCAUUUCCAAUGAUCUUGAGAAGGAAAUGAUUCAAGCUCACCACUUCAUGGCACUUUAAUAAUCUGUUGUUUAAUUACUAACCUCAUCUUUUCCUAUUAGACAACAAAAGGAAAAAAAAAAAAAAAAAAGAAGCUACCCACUGACUCAGCUCUACGGUAUCAAUCCGAGGUGGCACAGAAUUGUAUAUUGUCAUCUGCUAAAAAAAUUUCUCAAAAUUUUAUAUUGCUUGAAUAUUUUAAGAUAUAUAUAUGGAUGUCUAAAAUCAGAUGAGUGAAAGUGAUAUAUUAAUAAUAAUAAUUACAUAAAAAAAAAAAAAAAAAAAAUUAAAGGAUGGCCGUGAUACAACCCCAUGCUUUCAAAAGCCUCCUUUAAUUAUAAAUUCCCUCUUUGGUUUUUAAACAUUCUGUAAAUUUUGUUAAUUUGUUAUUGCCCUUAUCAUCCUCUUAAUAAUAUUGCAGUUAUAUUUGAUUCUCAUAGUUUAAAAAAAAAAGGAAUUAUUAAGGAAAAUGAUUUUCUAAUGUGUUGUUUUAUCAUGAAAAAUAUGAAAGAAAGUGAAAUAUAAUUAAAAUUAAUAAAAAACUUAUAAUUUAAAAUUAUUUAAUUUUUAUAUAGAAUAAUUAAAUAAGUAAAACGAAUUUAAAGUAAUAUAUAAAAAUAACUUAUUUAUUUAAAAUCUAUUAUUUAUUUAUUUUUUAUUUUUCUCCUUUAUUUUCUUAUUUAUUUUCUUUUCUUCGCAUAUUCCCUCAAACUUUCCCACCAAACAUAACCUAAGGUUAUGUUUGGUUCCUGGAAAAUAAUAAGGAAAGAAAAAAAAUGUAAAGAAAAAUGAUUUUUUCAUGUUUGGUUGUCCUAUGAAAAAUAAAUAAGAAAAUCAAAUAUAAUUAAAACUAAUUAAAAACCUAUGUAUUUUAAAAUUAUUUAAUCUUUAUAUUAAUGAGUUAAAAUAAAUAAAAUGAGUUUGAAGUAAAAAAUAAAAAUAACUUAUCAACUUUUAAUCCAUUUUUUAUUUUCCUUCACUUUUUCUUUCCCUUGCAUUUUCCCUCAAAUUUUACUAAGAACCAAACAUAGCCUAAAUGAUCACUUGAAGUCAAUCCCAAACUAUCCAAACAAUUUUUCUUUCUUUGCUCUUUUUCUUGUAGCUCUUUUUGCCCCCCUUUAUUUAAACCAGCCAAUAUGCACACAAUAAAGCCACAACAGCAAAUUUUCUUUAGUUAAUUUUAAAAUUUUGUGAUUUAGAAAAGAAAAUUAAGAAUUAGGAGUGGGUUUUUGAAGAAGAAUAAGAAGUUGGCAAACUAGGAUUAGGGUUUUGAAAACAAAGAUGAAGAAUAUUUACAAGGACGGGUUUGGGCCGGAUAGAGGAGUUAUAAACAUUAUUGAUCUCCCAUAAAUUAAUAAAAAUUUUAAUUUUUUAGGAACAGGGAAUAUUGAAGCAAAAGCUGAAAAAAAAAAAAAAAAAAAGCCAAUGGACGUUUUCUAUAAUUAUUUCAACAGAAAAACAUAAAUGUGUUCUCAUUUUAAUCUCUUUUAUAUAUGAUGAAAAAAUGCCAGAGAUGUUGGAAAAAAUACUAGCCCUGAAGCUCGUCCACCAAAAAGAUGAACAGGGAAGGACUCCACUUCAUUAUGCAGCAUCGAUUGGAUAUCUUGAAGGAGUUCAAAUGUUGUUAGACCAAUCUAACUUUGAUCGAUAUCAAAGGGACGACGAAGGCUUCUUACCCAUCCAUAUUGCAUCAAUGAGAGGCUAUGUAGACAUCGUCAAAGAGUUGCUCCAGAUCUCCUCUGACUCAAUAGAAUUGCUUAGCAAACACGGUGAGAACAUUCUUCAUGUGGCAGCCAAGUAUGGUAAAGAUAAUGUAGUCGAUUUUGUGCUGAAAAAAAAAGGGGUUGAGAACCUUAUAAAUGAGAAGGACAAAGGUGGAAACACGCCACUGCAUUUGGCUACCAGGCAUGCACAUCCUAAGGUCGUAAACUAUUUAACAUGGGAUAAAAGAGUUGAUGUGAAUCUUGUGAAUAAUGAAGGCCAGACUGCUUUCGACAUUGCUGUAUCAGUGGAGCAUCCAACUUCAUUUCACCAGGUAUAUAUGACGAUUUGCAUCUUGUUUUCUGAAUUAAGGGUACUACUAUUGGUUCCACCUUGAACUGCAUGCAUUGUUAAUGCUAUGGCAUUUUCCUUCUUAGAUGCAUGCAUGUGAAUUAUUGAAAGGAUCAAUCAGGACAACAUAGUUUGUAUUUCUUUCCUAGAAGGACCGACUGAUAUUAAUAAGACCUAGUUCAACUAAAAGAAGAUCAAUUUGAUCCCAUGAUAUCCUAAAAGUCAAGAAAAUUAUGGAGCCUAACUCAAUCACCAUCACCCUCGCCCAGAUUAGGGCGACUCAACCAAGGUUAGGCUAGGUUUCUCCAGCAAGUGCAUAUACUCUUGAUGCCCGGAAAGACUUAUGGGAAUAAUUUUUUGCAUCAUACUAAAAAGUUUUCAGUGUAGAGAACUGCUAUAUCAUGUGCGCUUGUGGUUGCUCUCUUGCUGCUUCACGUUGCUUAAUUUCGUACUUCUUGUGGGUGUUCAUUGAAUUUAUAGGGAAAAGAGAAUGGCUUCCCAACAAAAUAUUUCGAAACCCAACUCAUGGAAUUAUAGUCUACUUAUACUUUCUAUAGUUAUUGUUACGACGCAUACAUUUGAUUUUCUUUCUUUCUCACGAUUGCAUUAACAGCAACAUUUUUAUCUCUACCACGCAGAGACUAGUUUGGACAGCACUCAAGUCUUAUGGUGCACGACCAGCCGGAAAUUCAAAGGUCCCACCAAAACCGUCUAAAUCACCUAAUACGGACGAGUACAAGGACAGGGUAAACACUCUUUUGUUGGUUUCGACCCUUGUUGCCACCGUGACAUUUGCUGCUGGUUUUACCAUUCCGGGAGGCUACAACAGCUCUGAUCCAGGUGCCGGCUUGGCUAUCUUUCUGAUGAGAAAUAUGUUCCAUAUGUUCGUCAUCUGCAAUACCAUUGCUAUGUAUACCGCCAUCCUCGCGGCAAUCAUCCUCAUCUGGGCACAGUUAGGUGAUCUCAAUUUGAUGGAUACUGCCUUCACAUGGGCAUUGCCAUUCUUGGGGCUGGCCCUUUAUGCAAUGUCCUUGGGCUUCAUGGCAGGUGUUUCCUUGGUGAUCAGUAAUCUUCAUUGGCUUGCAAUUGUUGUCUUCAUUAUUGGAACCAUCUGCCUUGUCAGUCUCCCAGUACCCUUUCUUUUACUCUUCCUCCCAAGUGAGUCUACUAAUCAUAUCCUUAGGUACAUCUCCUAUUAUCCGUUCCUUAUACUGGUAUGGGCAUCUGAAAGCUCCGAAAUCAAACAGGAAGAUUAGCUUGCCCUGUUGAUGAUGUAUAUUUUAUAGACCGUAAAAGCAACUCUUUUUUUGGUAACUCAUAUUUUAGUAAACCUUAAGAACCUAAAUUCCCCACGUGUUUGACAUAGAUAGGAAAUUUUGAACCUAAUCUUAACUUGAGUUUGAUGCUAGUCGCACGUAUUGAUGACGGAUUUGAUGGACAUUACGUUCAAACCCGCUAAAAGACUCAAACCCACGUAACUUUGAAUUGGUUAAAAUAAUUUUAUAAAGUGAAACGAUUAAACUUCUUACUUUAUGGGAUUGGUGUUUGUGCCUCCAAAUAGUUUCCAAGAUGUUCCAAGCGAGUUUGGAGAAGAGUGUUAGGAUUUCCUAUAAUUAUGCAUAAUAAUUAUAAGUCUAAUUCUUACAGAACAAUCAUAACCCUAGUCUUAGAACUUUGUGAUUUUCACAAAGUAAAUAAAUAAUUAAAAAAAAGAGUUAUUAAAUUCUAACUUUUGAACAAUAUCUAAAAAAAUAAAGUUUAAACCAAAAGCCCUAAUAAUAUCAAAAUCUUAUCCUAAUUAUCAUUCUUUGCCUGAACAAAAGAUACCCGAAAAAUUGUUAAUAAAGGGAAAUGAGCUUAAAACCUAAUAAGAAAUAUUAAUACAGUUUCAUGGAUAAAAUAUUUUUAAUAAAGAUUAUAAAUAGAAUAUAUAAUGUAUAAUCAUUUUUAUAAAUAAAAAAAUUUUAGUUCAAACAUGUAAUACAUUCAAACUUUUCAACAAAACAAUUUUAUAUCAAUGUCAAAACAAUUUUAUAUUAAAUUCAAAUAAAAUAUAUUCACAAUAUUUUUACUCUGGCUAUCAUUUUAUCAAAUAGUGCUCAAUUAUGUAAGACUUUACAAAUGAGUGGCUAGUCUUAAAUUUGUUUCUUUUAAGACGAAGCCAAAUACUACUAAUAUUAGUAAUCUCUAACCAAACGUAUAAAGAUUGGAGUUCAAAUCAAUUACAUUCUUUAUCAUAAAAUAUAAAUGUCAACUAUUAUAUUUCAUUGAUAGGGGUUAAAAAGUCAACUAUCGUAUCCAAUUGAUAAGGGCUAAAAAGUCGACUAUUAUAUCAUGUUGCCUAUGGCCAAACAAAGCAAAGUCAAACACUUUGUUUUAUUUAUUCAAACUUAUAAAAAUAUAAUAUUUUCACGUGUUUAUGUUAUAAACAAAAGAAAAGGUCUUAAUAUAUUUUUCAUACAAAAUAUAUUUGAUUAAUGCAUAAAAACAAAAAUAACAUUUUACACAUUUUAAAAUAACAUAUUAAAAUAAAAUCAUUUUUUUUUUACAAAAUCUAUAUUAAUUUCCCUGACCUUAAAAAACACUUAAAAUCCUUGAAGAAUUUAAUUCUGUAUAAACAACUUCUCAUCUAAUAACAUAAGAAAAACAAUAUUUAUUACUAUUAACUAUUUGAGUAAAAUUAUAAGUUUGAUAAUCCUAAAAAUUUAUAAAUUAAUAUUAAUAUUUAUAAGUAUCAAUGAUAAUUUUAUUAAUAUAUUCUUUAUUUAAGUAAAAUUAAUAAAUUUCUAAUUUAUAAAAAAAAUUUUCUCAAAUUUAAUUCUAAAAAAUAAAAAUACAUUACUAAUUUAAUUAAACUACAAUUUUUAUUUCAUUAAUUAAAUUUUAUUUAUUUAUUAACUUAACAUCCAUCCUCAUUAGCACUAUUAUACCAUUAACUAACCUUGUAGUUCACCCAACGACUCUCAACACCUAAUUAAUAUUAUAUGUGUUUUCCUCGUUCUCCCAAUAAAGGUAGGACUCGCUCACUUAUCUUUUUCUUAUUUUAUUUCUUUUCUUUCUUGCACAAACCACACUCAUGGCUACAUUCCUUUUUUUUUUUUUCCUACACACUUCCAAAAAUCACACCGUACACACUCGCCAAGAACCAAAAGCUAAUUUUUUUUUAAACACCCAAAUUCUUUUUCUUUUUUUUUCUCUUUUAUGUUGUCAUACCAAAUAAGAAAAAUUAUUUGGUAACAUACCAAAUCCAUUUUUUCUUUUUCUCAAUACCCUAAGCAUUUAAUAUAUAUAUAUAUAUAUAUAUAUAUAUAUAUAUAUAUAUAUAUAUAUAUAUAUAUAUAUAUAUAUAUAUAUAUAUAUAAAUAAAAACAAAAACUAUAAAAUAAUGAAAUGGUUAAAAAUUUUGAAAUUAAAAAAAAUAAAUAAAGACAGAGAAAGAGAAUAAAAAAAANNNNNNNNNNNNNNNNNNNNNNNNNNNNNNNNNNNNNNNNNNNNNNNNNNNNNNNNNNNNNNNNNNNNNNNNNNNNNNNNNNNNNNNNNNNNNNNNNNNNGCUCACAUAUCUCUUUCUCUUUUUUUAUUUUUUUUUUCUCGCACACAACACACACACGGAGACACUCUUUUUUUUUUUUUUCUCACACACACACAAAAAUCACACUCCACACACUCUCCAAGAAACAAAAAAUAUUUUUUUUUUAAACACACACACUCUUUUUCUUUUUUUUUCUCUUUUUUGUUGUCACACCAAAUAAAAAAAAAUAUUUUUUUACAUACCAAAAACAUUUUUUUUUUUUCUCUAUACCCCAAGCAUUUUAUAUAUAUAUAUAUAUAUAUAUAUAUAUAUAUAUAUAUAUAUAUAUAUAUAUAUAUAUAUAUAUAUAUAUAUAUAUAUAUAUAUAUAUUGAAGUUUUAAGAUAUAUUAUUUAUUUAUUAUUGUUUUAGAUCUACUAAAAAAAAUAUUCAGAAUUUCCUAUCUCUAUCAAUAAAUCAACAUUUAUUCAUAAAUUUUCACUCUUUUUUAUUUAGAAUUUAAAUAAACAAAUUAUAUUUUAAAUUGAGAUUUUUUUUAAAAUAUCUAAGUGUUUAAAAUUAAUUAUCAAAUCUAAAAUAUUAAUUUAAGGAUUAAAAUUCUACUUGGAAAACUAAUUUUCAAAUUCUAAACCUUUAAAUUUUCAAUCUAAAAUAAUAUUGUAGCAGUUAAAUGGAUGAAUAAUUGAAAAUCAUGACAUAAUUAAUGAUUUUUUAAAGAAGAAGAAGAAAACCCUAACUGUAUCCUAAAGCUCAAAAUAAAAUCUUAAAGUUAUAUUUGAUUCUCAUAGUUGAAAAAAAAGAAAAAGAAUUAUUAAGGAAAAUGAUUUUCUAAUAUGUUGUUUUAUCAUGAAAUAUAUGAAAGAAAGUGAAAUAUAAUUAAAAUUAAUAAGAAACUUAUAUAAUUUAAAAUUAUUUAAUUUUUAUCUAGAAUAGUUAAAUAAGUGAAAUGCAUUUGAAGUAAAAUAUAAAAACAAGGAAAAAGUGGAAUUUGAUUCANNNNNNNNNNNNNNNNNNNNNNNNNNNNNNNNNNNNNNNNNNNNNNNNNNNNNNNNNNNNNNNNNNNNNNNNNNNNNNNNNNNNNNNNNNNNNNNNNNNNUUCUUUUAGAUAUUUAUUAUUAUUAUUAUUAUUAUUAUUAUUAUUAUUAUUAUUAUUAUUAUUAUUAUUAUUAUUAUUAUUAUUAUUAUUAUUAUUUUAUUAAAAUGAGAAAAUCAUUUUUCUUAACAUUUUUUUCUUUACUUAGUAUUUUCUAUGGAACCAAACAUAACCUUUAUGUAUGAUGAAAAGACGUUGGAAAAACUACUAGCCAUGGAGCUAGUCGACCAAAAAGAUAAACAUGGAAGGACUUCACUUCAUUAUGCAGCAUCGAUUGGAUAUCUUGAAGGAGUUCAAACGCUCUUAGGGCAAUCUAACUUUGAUCAAUAUCAAAGGGACGACGAAGGCUUCUCACCCAUCCAUGUUGCAUCAAUGAGAGGCAAUGUAGACAUCGUCAAAGAGUUGCUCCAGGUCUCCUCUGGCUCAAUAGAAUUGCUUGGAAAACACAGUGAGAACAUUCUUCAUGUGGCAGCCAAGUAUGGUAAAGAUAAUGUUGUCAAUUUUGUGCUGAAAAAAAAGGCUUGAGAACCUUAUAAAUGAGAAGGACAAAGGUGGAAACACGCCACUGCAUUCGGCUACCAUGCAUGCACAUCCUAAGGUCGUAAACUAUUUAACAUGGGAUAAAAGAGUUGAUGUGAAUCUUGUGAAUAAUGAAGGUCAGACUGUUUUCGACAUUGCUGUAUCAGUGGAGCAUCCAACUUCAUUUCACCAGGUAUAUAUAUAUAUGACGAUUUUCAUCUUGUUUUCUGAAUUAAGGGUACUACUAUUGGUUUCACCUUGAACUGCAUGCGUUGUUAAUGCUAUGGCAUUUUCCUUCUUAGAUGCAUGCAUGUGAAUUAUUAAAAGGAUCAAUCAGGACAACAUAGUUUGUAUUUCUUUCCUAGAAGGACUGACUGAUAUUAAUAAGACCUAGUUCAACUAAAAAAAGAUCAAUUUGAUCCCAUGAUAUCCUAAAAGUCAAGAAAAUUAUGGAGCCUAACUCAAUCAUCGUCACCCUCGCCCAGAUUAGAGCGACUCAACCAAGGUUAGGCUAGGUUUCUCCAGCAAGUGCAUAUACUCUUGAUGUCGACAAAGACUUAUGGGAAUAAUUUUUUGCAUCAUACUAAAAAGUUUUCAGUGUAGAGAACUGCUAUAUCAUGUGCGCUUGUGGUUGCUCUCUUGCUGCUUCACGUUGCUUAAUUUCAUACUUCUAGUGAGUGUUCAUUGAAUUUAUAGGGAAAAGAUAAUGGCUUCCCAACAAAAUAUUUCGAAACCCAACUCAUGGAAUUAUAGUCUACUUAUACUUUCUAAAGUUAUUAUUACUGUUGGGAUUUAUUUGUUUCUGUUAAGGUUUGGCUUUGUCAAAGUUCUGUAAAUAAAUUCCUAUUAGUUAGGAACCAGUAGAUAGGUUUUGACUUUUUUAGUAACUAAUACCAUGUCUAUAGGUAUAAGACGUGGGCUCAGUAAGUGUUCAAUAAAACUGGGGGAUGUUAUUCCAGAUUUGUGAGUUCAUAGCUUUAUAGUUCUUGCUUUCAACAAUUACGAUGCAUACAUUUGAUUUUCUUUCUUUCUCACGAUUACAUUAACAGCAACAUUUUUAUCUCUACCUCGCAGAGACUAAUUUGGACAACACUCAAGUCUACUGGUGCACGACCAGCCGGAAAUUCAAAGGUCCCACCAAAACCACCUAAAUCACCUAAUACGGACCAGUACAAGGACAGGGUAAACACUCUCUUGUUGGUUUCGACCCUUGUUGCCACCGUGACAUUUGCUGCUGGUUUUACCAUGCCAGGAGGCUACAACAGCUCUGAUCCAAGUGCCGGCAUGGCUAUCUUUCUGAUGAGAAAUAUGUUCCAUAUGUUCGUCAUCUGCAAUACUAUUGCUAUGUAUACCUCCAUCCUCGUGGAAAAUGUCACGGAGGAUAGACUAAACAAAAUAUCAAAUGGUACUCAAUUAGAUGAGACUUUACAAAUAGAUGGGUAGCCUCAAAUUUAUUCCUUUUAAGAUAGACUAAACCAAACACUACUAAUACUAGUAAUCUCUAAUCAAACCUCUAAAAGUUGGGAUUCAAAUCAAUUACAUUCUUCACCACAAAAUAUAAAUGUCAACUAUUAUAUCUCUUUGAUAGGGGCUAAAAAGUCAAUUAUUAUAUCCGGUUGACAAGGGCCAAAAAGUCAACUAUUAUAUCCUGUUACCUAUGGCCAAAUAAACCAGAGUCAAACACUUUGUUUUAUUUAUUCAAACUUAUAAAAACAUAAUAUUUUCACAUGUUUAUGUUAUAAACAAAAGAAAAGGUUUUAAUAUAUUUUUCAUGCAAAAUAUAUUUGAUUUAUGCACGAAAAAAAAAAACAUUUUACACAUUUCAAAAUAACAUGUCAAAGGAAAAUCAUUUUCUUUUGCAAAAUCUGCAUUAAUUUCACUUACCUAAAAAAAACAUUUAGAAUCCUUGAAGAAUUUAAUUGUGUAUAAACAACUUUUCAUCUAAUAACAUAAGAAAAACAAUUAUUACUAUUAACUAUUUGAGUAAAAUUAUAAGUUUGAUAAUCCUAAAAAUUUACAUAUUAAUAUUAAUAUUUAUAAGUAUCAAUGAUAAUUUAAUUAAUUUAUUCCUUAUUUAAGUAAAAUUAAUAAAUUUCUAAUUUAUAUAAAACUUUUUCUCAAAUUUGAUUCUAAAAAAAUAUAUAUACAUUACUAAUUUAAUUAAACUACAAUUUUUAUUUCAUUAAUUAAAUUUUAUUUAUUUAUUAACUUAACAUCUAUCCUCAUUAGCAUUAUUAUACCAUCAACUAACCUUCUACUUCACCCAACUCUCAACACCUAAUUAAUAUUGUAUAUAUUUUCCUCAUUCUCCCAACAAAGGUUGGACCCGCUUACUUAUCUUUUUCUGAUUUUAUUUCUUUUCUUUCUUGCACAAACCAAGCUCAUGGCUACACUUCCAAAAAUCACACUGUACACACUCGCCAAGGAACCAAAAGCUAAUUUUUUUUAAACACCCAAAUUCUUUUUUUUUUUUUCCUUUUAUGUUGUCACAUAGGUACCAUCCCAAAUCCAUAAAUCCUUUUUUUCUUUUUCUCAAUACCCUAAGCAUAAUAUAAAUUGAAGAUUUAAGAUAUAUUAUUUAUUUAUUAUUGUUUUAGAUCUACUAAAAAAAUAUUCAGAAUUUCUUACCUUUAUCAAUAAAUCAACAUUUAUUCAUAAAUUUUCACUUUUUUUUAUUUAGAAUUUAAAUAAACAAAUUAUAUCCUAGAUUGAUAUUUUUUAAAGAAUAUUUAAGUGUUUAAAAUUAAUUAACAAAUCUAAAAUACUAAUUUAAGGGUUAAAAUUCUACUUGAAAAAUUAAUUUUCAAACCCUAAACCUCAAAAUCUUCAAUUUUAUAUUGUCUUGUGUUUUUUGAUCUUUUUCUAAUCUCGGUGUAAAAGGGUUUUUGUAUAGAGAAGUAAAAAAAAAAUCUAAUUUAUAUUUAAAGUUUUUAAUGUAAAAAGACCUUUCUAACCUUAUUAAAUUUUUUUUUUCUUUUACUCUAAUUUAUGGUUUUACGCCUAAAAUAAAAUGGGGGGGUGUUACAUAAGGAGCCUAAUAAUUUUUUAAAAUAAAUUGGAACAAAAAAAUCGUGCUAGAACCAAAAUUGUUUGAAAAUGACGACAUCAAUUUCUCGCCUACGCACAAUUAUACUUUUUAAAAUUUUCUUAUUAUGUAAAUGAGUUUCAAAUAAAAUCAUAUUUAAUGCACUAGAUUGGUUAGUAAGUCUAAUGAUUUUUUUAAAAAUAAUUUAGAACUUAAAAAUUGACUCUAUUAAUUUCAAAUUUGCAACCAAAAUAGUUUAAAAUAUCUCAAAUGUAUGUGUAUUAAAAAAAAAAAACUAAAUUAUUUAUAUAACUAGAAAGAGUAAAUUCAUAAUUUAUUUUAAAAAUAUAAUAUUAACUAUUAACAUUUUCUAAAAUAUUAUUAUUCAUUUUAAAAAUAUAUAUAUGGCUUGACAUUAUUAAAAUAUCAGUAUUUGUAUUUUAUAAUAUCCACUAUAUCAUUCUAUUUUUUAAAAAAAAAAUAUAUAUGAUUUUUAUUUUUAUUAUAAUGUUAGUUUCAUAUUUUAUGAAUAUUAUCUGUGUAUUAUUUAUUUAUUUCGUAUUGAUCACUUAGAAUUUAUAUAAUAUUGACAUUCAUUUUAAAAUAAAUUAAGGUUUGUGUGGCUAUUAUUAAAAUACUAUAAUUCAUUAUUAGAAAGUUUAAUAGAUUAUUAGUUAUUUUUUAUAGAAAAAUUGCUAUUAAAAUGUAAGAAAAAAAAAAAAAAAAGGUUUAAUAAAUAAAUAAAUAAAUAAAUAACCAUUUAGCAAGAGGAGUUUGUAUAGUGGGUGAGAAAAAUGAAAUAAAAGCCAUGACGCUAGGAGAUCUCUUUCAUAGCAAUGAAUCUAUUAUAUAAAGGAAAAAUGUGAAUGAACCAUUUGUUGUUAGAUGUUUUCCAUAAGAAAAGUAUGUUUGGAAACUUAAAUGAGUUGAACCUAUUUUUUUUUUUUUUAAAUAACUUUUAUUUACAAUAUUUUAUUUUUUAUUAUUUUUCAUAUUUACAUAAUUAUUAAAAAAAUAAUUAAAAUAUGUUCUUAAAAAACUCUAUGUUCUCAAAAAUAAUAUUUUAUAUUAAAAAUUAUCAAAUUUGUUUUCUAACGGGCAAGACAAUUCCAAACGUAUUCAUAAUUUUCAUAGUAAGAAAUGUGGUUCAAGAUUGGUUGGUGGUUAGUCACUAUCCAUUGAAUUCAUAGAAGUGAACGUUUAUACACCUCAUCUAGCAACAACGGUUCUAUCCUCAUCGUGUCAUGUGCAUAGCAUUUAAUUCACAUUUUAAAAUUCUGAAAUAGAAAAAUGAAAUGAAAAUUAAUAUAAUUUUGAUUUAUUAAUAUAUUUGGAUUAAUUGUUUUAUAGAAUGAGAAUAUGAAUAAAAAUUUUAUUAGUAUAGAAAUCAAAUUCCACUCUCAUGAGGAUUUUGAUUCCUUUGUUCUAUAUUAUAUUGAUUUACCUUAUAUUUGGUGGGUUGAAUAGUAUAUAAUAUGUAUAUCUUAGAAUAUCGUAUCCUCAUCCAUCUAACAUGCUAACGACAUUUAAAACUUUUUAUUUGUUACUCAAAAGUCACUUUUCUGUAAGACAACCAUUACGAAGCACGGCCACACAAUUUCAAUCCGCCCUCGACCGCACGUUCUGAUUGCAAGACCCACUGGCCGCCAAAGUCCCAUCUCUACUACCAGUAUCGUCAUCGCCUUCCCCCCUGGCCAAGCACAAGCGCUCAUCCUCGAUCGACACACCGCCACCGUUAUCAGGAUUCAGGACGAACAGCCACUACAGGUUUGUUCCCUUAUUUACUUGCUUAUUAUUUUUAAUUGAUGGCAUUGGUUGGCUUGGCCUCAAGCUAGAAGUUGCAUGGUCGAGCUGGCUUAGCUUCAAGUAAGAGGUGGCAACGAAGGUUUUAUUGGUGGAGAAAAAAGUGGGGAAAAUAAAUAUCGAAAAAAAAAAUCCCAUUUAAGUAACAUCUCACUUCUACACACUUAACAAUAUUGUAAUGGAAAGGAAACAUUUUCCUUUACUAGAAUAUUUGCGAUAGCUCUAGAGGGUUCAAAAUCUCGGCCGAGGCGGAUAUCCCAUUUAAGUAACAUCUCACUUCUACACACUUAAUAUUGUAAUGGAAAGGAAACAUUUUCCUUUACUAGAAUAUUUGCGAUAGCUCUAGAGGGUUCAAAAUCUCGGCCGAGGCGGACUGUUACCGGACCGAUACCCGAGUCAAAAUCGGUGGAGAAAAUAAGCCAAUUUUCAUCUUCAUCCUUCAAACCUAAGCUUUUGCAUCCUCGUAUAAGUAUUUUUUUUCACCGAUUUAAUGCCUUCAAACCUCAAGAUGAUGUGAGAAGCUGUCGUAGAGAGGUGAAAAGAGUAGUGUUUAGAGAAUGGGUAUUGUGAAAAAAUGUUGUGAGAAGGUGUCUAAGAGUUGAACGGGUAUUGUGGAUAGAAGAUGAAAUGGGCAUUUCGUAAAAAUUGGUCUGUUGGCUGUUGCAGAGAAAUGAGAUUGAGUUAUUUUGAGUGUGUUGCAGAGAGAGAGAGAGAGAGAGAGAGAGAGAGAGAGAGAGAGAGAGAGAGAGAGAGGUUUUUGAUAGAAAUGGGAGAAAGAGAGGAGGUUUUUGACCGGAGUUUGGGAUUAUCUAAAAUUUUGGAAUUAUAAAAAAUGAUUAUAAAUAUUUAAAUCUAUAUGAAAUAAAUAGAAUAUAAAUAUUGAUAUAAAAAUUCUAAAUUAAUGUAUAAAAGUAUAUAUAUUUAUUUUUAAAACUUAUUCAUUUAAAAGAAAAUAAAAUUAAUAAAAAAAUCGGUUUUAUUUGGAAUAUAUUCGAUAAGAAAUUGAUAUUUAUAUUCUUAAAGGCGAUUUAUGGUCAAUUUUUUUAAAUUUUCAAAAUGUUGAAUUUAAAUAAAUAUGAGAUAAAAAUAAUUCUUUUUACUAGUUUUAUCUAAUAUUUAUUAUGAGGCAAUAAAUAAAAAAGUUUUAAAUAUAAUUUAGUAUGCUUGUAUCAGCGUAUGAAUAAUGUUGUCUUUAUAUAUUUAUUAAUUUUUUUAGUUUAUGUUAUUAUAUUUAUUUUUAUGAUAAUUUUAAUAAUUUAUUUACAAAUUUUGGAAUUCUUAACAUAACAUAUUUUACGUAUCAUUCGAUAUUUAGACUAAUAUGCCUUGAGACUUUCUAAGUUGAUGAUCGAUACCGUGACUUUAAACCAUGCUAAAAGGUACGGUUGACCUCUAGGACCGUUUCUCAAAUACCAAUUAAGCUCUAAAAAGCAUUAGGAAUGUGUGAAAGAGUAAUGACAAUACCAACAAUAACAUUAUUUAUACUAAGUACAUUCUAUUAUUCUUGUCUAAAUGGCCAAAUGUUUAAAUUCAUGAUCCCAAGUCUUUAAUGGUUAGUAUAAACCCAAAGAAAUACAUGGAGUAAAUCUAGUAAUAUGUGGAACAAAAUUAUCAACCUAAUAAUUUAAUUCACUAACAAUUUUGCCCUUUGACAAUUUUAUGAUAAAAUAUUGAAUAAAUAAAUCCUCCAAUACUCUCAAAAGGAGUCCUCAAAUCACAUAAUAUCUUGUCUUAACCAAACAUUCUAAGUCAUAUAAUCUUCAAUUAGCUUCUUACAAAUCCUAGAAAUUUUUGACAAUUUGUGACCUACACAUGCUCAAACAAUACUCAUUAAAAGUAAUGUGUGGGAAGAAUAUAUGAUUAUACCUUGAUGAAAGAAAUGAAGGAAAGUCACAAUAUACGAAUCAUAUAUAGACCCAUAAAAUAAAUAGAUUACUAUCACGAAAAAGACUAUAUAUAUAUAUAAAGAAAGAGAGAGCUAGAGAGAGAACAACAUAACAUUUAUAGCAAAUAAAUACAUGACAUGUGCAAAACAUACUAAAAUUAAGAUCCAAAAUACAUUAACUAGAAAUACAUCAAAAUAAAAUAGCAAUAAAGUCCUAGCUAAUCUAGCUCAAGUUGCCGAGUGAAAGGAAUAAUCUAAAGCUUGGACUGUGCAAGGGCAUAUGUCUCGUCAAAAUAAGCUUCCAUGCACAUAAAGCCAACGAUCAUCUUCUCGUUAAACUUGUCAUUGACCUCUUCAAUAGCUGAAGAUUGGUAGCUCCACUAGCCUCUAGUAGUAAAGGUGUCAAAUGGGUCGGCUCACCUAGUUUGGCCUAUGGCUUGACAUGCCAAAGGACUGGGCCGACCCAAUUACUAUAAUUGGUCAUGUUGACAUGACUUGCUCCUUCGGGUUGUGCAAGGCUUAAAGGCACUACUUAUUGUGUUGGCUCAUUGUGUUAGCCCAUCAUGCGCGUCAAUGCCAGCCUACUUAGUUCGUCCAAAUACUACUUUUGCUUAUUUCCUUUUUGCGGGUUAUGCUAGGGUACCGAAAAGUGCUUUUUCGGUACCAUACCCACUUUUUUGGGCUCAUAAGAUGAAGACACAUGGCAUGGAAAAAUAAUAAAAAACUAUACAAAACCAAUUCUUCAGGUCACCAACCGGUUGCCAUGGGAAUUAAUCCCAUGCAACACACAUUUUUACAUCCAUUACAAUAACCAAUUAUAAAUUCCUGUUUAAUGUAAUUAUUUUGUUUGGGGAAUUUUUUUUGUGCAACAGAAAAAUAAAGAGAAAUUUGAAAAAAUAAAUAGCAGUUUUUUUUUGUAAUAUAAAGUGAUUAAACCCAAGAUAAAAAUUAAAUUUUAAAUAAACAAAAAAAAAAUUCAAACUAUUUUGGUGAUAAAAUUUAUAAAUUAAGGAAAAGUAAAUAUAAUUUAUUUUAACAUCAAAUAAUUUGUUGACAAAAUUUGAGAAAUAUUUGAAGUGUGAAAAGCAAUAUAAUUUGUUUAUGAAGUGAAAAAAAAAAGAAAAAAUAUAAAUAAAUUAUAUAAAAUAUAAAUAUUAAAUUUAUAUUAAAUUAAUUGUGUACUAAUUAUUAAUUGAUAAUAUAUGACCAAAUUAUUUCUUAGCGUUUAAAUAGAAUUACACAAAAAAUUAGUUGAAAUAUUGAAAAUACGAAAAAUGUAUAAUUACUAACCAUAUGGAAAUCAAAACGCCUCACAAUAUUUUUUCGUACAUUUUCAUUUUGAAUUUUGAAGAAUCCAUUUCACACCCUCAUACAAGCGGAGAAUGGUGAGGGUUUCUCACAGUCUUCGUACCCUGUCCAAUUUUAUAAUAUUUUUGGAUUUGGAUUUUUCCGAGACUCAUUCAAAUAGCGCCUAAGUGGAAUCAACCUAUUUAAACAAUAUCCAGGCCAUAUGAAGUCCAAAAAAAAUUUUAAAACUUCAAAGAAGUGGAGAUUUGGGAGAGUAUGAAGAAUGUGAGCAUUCCUCACAUUCUGCGUACCUUGUCUAAUUUUUCAAUAAUUUUGGCUUCGAAUUUUUCCGGUACUCAUUCGAACACCAUCUAAGUGGAAUCAACCUAUUUAGACAAUAUCCAAGGAAUAUGAAGUCCAACAAAAUUUUUAAAACUUCAAAUAAGUGGAGAUUUGCGAGGGUACGAAGAAUGUGAGGAUUCCUCACAUUCUUCGUACCCUUGUGAAUUUUUUAGUAUUUUUGGAUUUCGAUUUUUCCGGAUAUCAUUUGACCACCUUCUAAGUGUAACGGACCUAUUUAAACAACAUCCAAGCCAUAAGAUGCCCCAAAAAAUUUUAAAAAGUCCAAAGAAGUGGAGAUUUGGGAGGGUACGAAGAAUGUGAGGAAUCCUCACAUUCUUCGUACCCUUGUGAAUUUUUUAGUAUUUUUCGAUUCCGAUUUUUCCGGAUAUCAUUUGAACACAUUCUAAGUGUAACAGACUUAUUUAAACAACAUCCAAGCCAUAUGAUGCCCCAAAAAAUUUUCAAAAGUCCAAAGAAGUGGAGAUUUGGGAGGGUACGAAGAAUGUGAGGAUUCCUCACAUUCUUCGUACCCUUGUGAAUUUUUUAGUAUUUUUGGAUUUCAAUUUUUCCGGAUAUCAUUUGACCACCUUCUAAGUGUAACGGACCUAUUUAAACAACAUCCAAGCCAUAUCAUGCCCCAAAAAAUUUUAAAAAGUCCAAAGAAGUGGAGAUUUGGGAGGGUACGAAGAAUGUGAGGAUUCCUCACAUUCUUCGUACCCUUGUGAAUUUUUUAGUAUUUUUCGAUUCCAAUUUUUCAGGAUAUCAUUUGACCACCUUCUAAGUGUAACGGAACUAUUUAAACAACAUCCAAGCCAUAUGAUGCCCCCAAAAAUUUUAAAAAGUCCAAAUAAGUGGAGAUUUGGGAAGGUACGAAGAAUGUGAGGAUUCCUCACAUUCUUCGUACCCUUGUGAAUUUUUUAGUAUUUUUUGAUUCCGAUUUUUCCGGAUAUCAUUUGACCACCUUCUAAGUGUAACGGACCUAUUUAAACAACAUCCAAGCCAUAUCAUGCCCCAAAAAAUUUUAAAAAGUCCAAAGAAGUGGAGUUUUGGGAGGGUACNNNNNNNNNNNNNNNNNNNNNNNNNNNNNNNNNNNNNNNNNNNNNNNNNNNNNNNNNNNNNNNNNNNNNNNNNNNNNNNNNNNNNNNNNNNNNNNNNNNNNNNNNNNNNNNNNNNNNNNNNNNNNNNNNNNNNNNNNNNNNNNNNNNNNNNNNNNNNNNNNNNNNNNNNNNNNNNNNNNNNNNNNNNNNNNNNNNNNNNNNNNNNNNNNNNNNNNNNNNNNNNNNNNNNNNNNNNNNNNNNNNNNNNNNNNNNNNNNNNNNNNNNNNNNNNNNNNNNNNNNNNNNNNNNNNNNNNNNNNNNNNNNNNNNNNNNNNNNNNNNNNNNNNNNNNNNNNNNNNNNNNNNNNNNNNNNNNNNNNNNNNNNNNNNNNNNNNNNNNNNNNNNNNNNNNNNNNNNNNNNNNNNNNNNNNNNNNNNNNNNNNNNNNNNNNNNNNNNNNNNNNNNNNNNNNNNNNNNNNNNNNNNNNNNNNNNNNNNNNNNNNNNNNNNNNNNNNNNNNNUUUUAAAAAUGUCCAAAGAAGUGGAGAUUUGGGAUGUGAGGAUUCUUCAUAUUCUUCGUUCCCUUGUGAAUUUUUUAGUAUUUUUCGAUUCCGAUUUUUUCGGAUAUCAUUUGAACACCUUCUAAGUGUGACGGACCUAUUUAAACAACAUCCAAGCCAUAUCAUGCCCCAAAAAAUUUUAAAAAGUCCACAUAAGUGGAGAUUUGGGAGGGUACGAAGAAUGUGAGGAUUCCUCACAAUUUUCGUACCCUUGUGAAUUUUUAAGUAUUUUUGGAUUUCGAUUUAUCCGGAUAUCAUUUGAACACCUUCUAAGUGUAACGGACCUAUUUAAACAACAUCCAAGUCAUAUCAUGCGCCAAAAAAUUUUAAAAUGUCAAAAUAAGUGGAGUUUUGGGAAGGUACGAAGAAUGUGAGGAUUCCUCACAAUUUUCGUACCCUUGUGAAUUUUUAAGUAUUUUUGGAUUUCGAUUUUGCCGGAUAUCAUUUGACCACCUUCUAAGUGUAACGGACCUAUUUAAACAACAUCCAAGCCAUAUGAUGCCCCAAAAAAUUUUAAAAAGUCCAAAGAAGUGGAGAUUUGGGAGGGUACGCAGAAUGUGAGGAUUCCUCACAUUCUUCGUACCCUUGUGAAUUUUUUAGUAUUUUUCUGUUCCGAUUUUUCCGGAUAUCAUUUGACCACCUUCUAAGUGGACCGGACCUAUUGAAACAACAUCCAAGCCAUAUGAUGGCCCAAAAAAUUUUCAAAACUCCAAACAAGUUGAGAAUUUGGAGGGUACAAAUAAUGUUAGGAUUCGAAAUCCAAUUUAAUAGUUUUAUAAUAUUUAUAGUUUAAAUUAUUUAUAUUCAAUUCGACCUUUAUUAUUAACGCACCUUCACAUAAAAUAUAUAACCGCUUGCACGCAACUAAAUGUUGCUUUAUAUGGAUGUUCGUUUACCACAAUGAUGUCCCUUCAAAGAAAGAGCAAUUACAUGUAGCAAAAUACCAAAUGGCCUAUCAAUACAUGAAUCUAUGGAAGAAUCGAAACAAAUUACAACUUAUACAAGGAAAUGUGAACCGGUCGACCGGUUAUCUUCUACCGGUUUCCUACUUAUCUCAACCGGUAGCCACUGCCCAUUUGAGAAUCAAGCAACCAAAAGGGCCAGUGGCUACCGGUUGAGAAAAGUACGCAACCGGUAGCCACUAACCGGUCGACCGGUUAAUAUCAUUCACUUCUUUGGCCUUUUUUAAAUUUUGUGGGGCAUCAUAUGGCUUGGAUGUUGUUUAAAUAGGUCUGUUAUACUUAGAAUGUGGUCAAAUGAUAUCCGGAAAAAUCGAAAUCNNNNNNNNNNNNNNNNNNNNNNNNNNNNNNNNNNNNNNNNNNNNNNNNNNNNNNNNNNNNNNNNNNNNNNNNNNNNNNNNNNNNNNNNNNNNNNNNNNNNAUCCUUGGGAAUUUUUUAGUAUUUUUGGAUUCCGAUUUUUUCGGAUAUCAUUUGACCACCUUCUAAGUGUAACGGACCUAUUUAAACAACAUUCAAGCCAUAUGAUGCCCCCAAAAAUUUUAAAAAGUCCAAAGAAGUGGAGAUUUGGGAGGGUACGAAGAAUGUGAGGAUUCCUCACAUUCUUCGUACCCUUGUGAAUUUUUUAGUAUUUUUGGAUUUGGAUUUUUUCGGAAAUCAUUUCACCACCUCCUAAGUGUAAUGAACUUAUUUAAAUAAUAUCCAAGUGACAUGAAGUCCCAAAAAUUUUUAAAAACUUCAAACAAGUGGAGAAUUGGGAGAGUACGUAAAAUGUAAGGAUUCCUCACAUUCUUCGUACCCUUCCUAAUUUUUUAGUAUUUUUGAAGUAUGAUUUUUUCGGGCAUCAUUUUAACACCCCUUUAGUGUAAUGAGCCUAUUUAAAUAAUAUUCAAGUCAUAUAAAGUCCCAAAAAAUUUUAAAAGUAUCAAAGAAGUGGAGAAAUGAGAAUGUACGAAGAAUGUGAGGAUUCCUCACAUUCUUCGUACCCUUCCUAAUUUUUUAGUAUUUUCGGAUUUUGAUUUUUUCCGGCAUCAUUUGAACACCUCCUAAGUGUAAUGAACCUAUUUAAACAAUAUCCAAGUCAUAUGAGGUCCCAAAAAAUUUUAAAAGUAUCAAAGAAGUGGAGAAAUUAGAGGGUACGAAGAAUGUGAGGAUCCUCACAUUCUUCGUACCCUUCCUAAUUUUUUAGUAUUUUAGGAUUAUGAUUUUUUACAGCAUCAUUUGAACACAUCCUAAGUGUAAUGAAACUACUUAAACGAUAUCAAAGUCAUAUAAAGUCCCAAAAANNNNNNNNNNNNNNNNNNNNNNNNNNNNNNNNNNNNNNNNNNNNNNNNNNNNNNNNNNNNNNNNNNNNNNNNNNNNNNNNNNNNNNNNNNNNNNNNNNNNNNNNNNNNNNNNNNNNNNNNNNNNNNNNNNNNNNNNNNNNNNNGUACGAAGAAUGUGAGGAUUCCUCACAUUCUUCGUACCCUUCCUAAUUUUUUAGUAUUUUCGGAUUUUGAUUUUUUUCGGCAUCAUUUGAACACCUCCUAAGUGUAAUGAACCUAUUUAAACAAUAUCCAAGUCAUAUGAGGUCCCAAAAAAUUUUAAAAGUAUCAAAGAAGUGGAGAAAUUAGAGGGUACGAAGAAUGUGAGGAUUCCUCACAUUCUUCGUACCCUUCCUAAUUUUUUAGUAUUUUUGAAGUAUGAUUUUUCCGGGCAUCAUUUGAACACCCCUUGAGUGUAAUGAAUGUAUUUAAACAAUAUCAAAGUCAUAUGAAUUCCCAAAAAAGUUUAAAAGUAUCAAAGAAGUGAAAACAUGAGAGGGUACGAAGAAUGUGAGUACCCUUCCUAAUUUUUUAGUAUUUUUGAAGUAUGAUUUUUCCGGGCAUCAUUUGAAGACCCCUUGAGUGUAAUGGACUCAUUGAAACAAUAUCCAAGCCAAAAGAGGUGUUACCUAAUCACAUGGCCAAAAAAACUACUUUCUAAUAAGUGGAGAACAAUCUAUGCAUGAAUCCAACACUUUAACAUCUUAUUUCAUUAUCUAUGAAGCGGUCGACCGGUUAAAUGCUACCGGUUGACCUAUUUUCUCAACCGGUUGACACUGCUAUUUCUUAUGAUGAAGCACCAAAAUGGCCAGCGUCUACCGGUUCCAAAAAAAUUGCAACCACUUCGUAUGGUGGUCGACCGGUACACGAAUAUCCUUUAGAUGUCAUUUAGGUUUUUGAUCCGGUGAUUCGUACACUCAAAUGGUAUUACCCAGUUAUGACAUAGAUUGCAUAAUUUAAUGUUAAAAUUUAAGGUAAAUAAGCUAAAUUAAAUAAUCUUUUCUAGAUGGUGUAAGGGGAAAAGAGAUUUGUUUCUACUCCUGCAUUAGACAUACACGUUUGAUAAGAUCACUUCCAUCUUGUAUACAUCCAAUUAAUUUAGGGUAUGUGGGAAUGAGAAUGAUAAAUCAAUUUCAUUUCUUAUUUAUUAUUAAAUUUGGAUUAUAAUUAAAAGUGAAAAAUUCAUUCUUAUAGAAAUCAAGAGUCUAUUUGAUUGUGUGAUAUAAAAUUGUUCCUAUAACAAUUGUUUCCCAAAAUUUAUAAUACUGAUUUGAGAUUAAUUUUUUAGAAACAGUUUUAAAAAACAAAGUGAAUAGAGAGUGAUUUUUAUAAAAUUAAUUUAAAAUAAUAUAUAGAAAUAAUUUAUUGAUUUUAAAUUUUUUUUGUUAUCCUACUUCGCUUUCCUUUGACUUUUCUUUUUUACUUUCUUUUUCUCACAUUUUUCUCAAAUUUUUCAAAAACCAAAGACAAUCUUAAAGGCUAUAUUUGAUUCUCAAAAAAUACUAGGAAAAAAAUAUAUUAAAAAAAUACUUUCCUCAUAUUUGAUUUCACUAUAAAAAAUUAUAAAAGAAAAUCAAAUAUAAUUAAAAUUAAUUAAAUUUUUAUAUAUUUUUAAAUUAUUUAAUCUUACUAUAGUAAAAAAAAAAAAAAUAAGUACAAUGAGCUUAAAUAUAUAAAAAUAAUUUAUUAAAUUUAAAUUUAUUUUUUAUUUUCCUUUAUUUUUUCUUUCCAUUCUACUUUUCCUUUCUAUUUUCUUUCAUUCCCAUUUUCCCUCGAAUUUUCCGAAACCAAACAUAACCAAAAGUUCAAAUCUAUAUAUAUCAUAAAAGCCUUUCUUAUCAUUUGGCAUUCUACUCUGCUUCUACAAACCAUACAAUCAAAAACUGUUUUUUCUCAUACCUUACUUCCACUUGGAAGAUUAUUGAAAGGCUGACAAAUUUUAUCUUGAAAGAUAUUGUCAAUUGAUUGAUCCUUGUGUCCAAAGUUUUCUAGUCAUCCAUUUUUCUUUCUUCCAUCCAACAUAAUGGACUCAUUUUUCCUAUUAUUUGAGAUUCGUCCCAGUAGUUAUUACACUGCUGAUCCAUAUUUGCCACCAAGCUAGUAGCACAGAUCUGAAGUUCCUAGAAGUCGACACAUUUAAUAGAAAUGUUCCCUCAACUUUUGAGGAUACAAUAACAGACAGCUUAAUGUUUAUUGGCACCUUACAGAUCAUGAGAUUCAACAAGCAUUGAAUUGAUCUGAGAUGAAGUCUUUAUUCCUUCUUAGCAUCUGCCUCAGGUAGAAGGCUUUGAUCCUUCCAAGUCCAUCUUCGAGAGAAGGUCGAUCAAUGGCAAAAGUUACUCGAGGCCAGUUCUUCAUUCCCACAGCUACACCUGCAACAAAUACCCCAAAAUGAUUAGACCCACUUCGUUUUUGUAAUCCACUAUACAAGCAACUAAAACUAAAGUAGGGUUGCAACUCCGAUGGGUUCAGUCCGGUUGAUAGCUAACGCAAACCUAACCUGAAUUAAAAAACAAUUAAUCUAAGUCCAACCCAACUCGCCCUUUAAUAUAAGGUUCUCAACCUUAUUUUUCUAAGCUCAAAAUGAGUUUUGAGUUAUAUAGACUAACAUGCAUUAUAAAUAUUAUAAAAAUAUCAAAUCGGUCUAGAGUUAGGCUUUGGUUAUUGGAUCAUUGACCCAUGUCUAACCCAAAGUGAGUUAGGUUGAAAAAAUUUGACUCAAGUCUGUCCAAACAUCGAGUUGGGUCGGAGCAUCCUAAGCUAACCAAGGUUGCUUGCUUCUUACCUGUAAGGACAAUCACUGAUUCCUCUUUAGACAGCUUCAUACACAACUCUACAUCAUCAUCAAUGUCUUCCAAUAGAGACAGGUUCAGCUUGACCUGCAAAGAAACCAUAAUUGACAAUAAUCAUCUCAAUAUUCUGAAGUGCAAAAUAUAUCAUGUUUUCUUUCUCCCUUUACCAUUACAAACAUGGAUCCUUCCGGCUUUUGCGGGCAAGUAAUGCAGGGGAUAUCCUUGAUUCUCUCAUGAAUUAUGUCUGCACAUUCUCCAAGUAUGAUGAUAGUGUUUGAGAAGAAAUCCUCUUUUGUUUUCUCCAGGAUCUCUGGAAAUGCACCCUGAUAAAUGAACCAAAUCAUUUAGCAGAGUGUUCGAUCUCUUUAAGAAAUGAAGAACGGAAAAAAAAAUAAAUGGCAUGCUCCCUUACAAACCUGAAUAAAAGUUGUGGGAUCAGAAGAAAUAUUGAGACAAUUUAUAAUGCUCUCAAUAACCUGAAAUGAAAAGCAACAAAGAUGUAGUAAAAUUGAACCGGUCGACAGGUAAUUGGCAGCCGGUUGACCUGUGAACUCGACCGGUAGGCACUGGUCAUUUCUUCAUGCACCACCCAAACUGAUCAGUGGCUACCGGUACCAAAACAACUUGGUACCGGUUGAUGCAUUUUGUCGACCGGUUGGUAACUAUCAGAGAAUCAAAAAAUGCGGUAAUUUAUAUUUAUUUAAUAUACUUCAUGUCAUUUAAUUGUGAGCAUUUCAAUUUAUCAUGAUGCCGUAAUUGGUAGUUUAACAUGGUAUUAGAGUUUUGGUUAAACAGUCUAUCCAACAACUCAUACCGUUUGAAUCGUCUAAGAAUGCCAAUGGAUAUUCUCAGAUGGAUUAAACCCAAAUUUGAUCAUAGGGAUGAAAUAACUUUGUUAAUUUAACAUGUAUUUGUUUUUUUUUUUUUAAAAAAAAAAGAAAACUUAGUACCAUUUUUUUUUAUUCUUCGAUAUCUGAACUUUAUUAAACCUUAAAUUUGAUAAAGUAAAUUAAGUACUGAAAUGUCUUAAGUUUUACGAAAGACCCGUUAGUAUUAAUAUAUUAGUUUUGCGAAAUAGGGGCACCCUUCGGCUAACAAUCUCCCCCUAUUUGAUGAUGACAAACCUUCCUUAUCUAGGAGAGAAGAAAUCUCCCCCUCAAUCCAAACAUGGAUCAAUUAAAGCGAAAAUUAUAAAUGACAUGCAAAAUUUGAAUAGGAGACAAUGUGAAUUCUGAAAAUAUCAUAUCAUAUAUAAUAAUAUCGCAUAUACACAACACAAGACUAAUGAUAUGGAAAUGUCAUGCAUGUGUGUGCCCCCUAGACCCUUUGGCAACAUAAAAAAGAAACGAAGGGGAGGGGGGGGGUCUCGAACAUAUCAAGGCGGAGGUGGAGGAAACACUGAGCGAAGGUAGGCCAUCAUCUCCUCAUGCUGGUGAUCCAUACGCUCCUCAAGACGGCCAAGUCUCUGAUCUAGAUGCUCAAACUGAGAGGUCAUCUCCUCAUGCUGGUGAUCCAUACGCUCCUCAAGACGCCCAAGUCUCUGAUCGAGAUUCUCAAACUGAGAGGUGAAGCCGGUCUGAUACUCAUCUAUGCGAUCCUCCAUAGAGUGGCAACGAGUAUCAUUGACGACUGCAAGCUCCUCCAUACGAGUCCUGAGAGAACUGAUCUGAGCGGAUAAAUCCAUCCAAGGCGCAUGAUCGGGUGCGUGAGGUGCCUGAAAUGGUAUCUCUAUGUGAGAAGGCUCAGAUGGUCCAGCUGUGUAUGUCGGCUUAGAUAUCAUCGGCUCAGGAGGAGGAAUGUCACACUCAGGCAUGCUCUGCUCAAAGUCCCUCUGAGGGUCUAGCCCACCCUCCAUCUCUCCAAUCUCGGCCUCCUCCUCAUCUUCAGGAUGCAGCUGUCCCCGCCCCUGGUCCUGUGGCGGUGGUCGCUCAGCUCUCCUGAUCCAAGAGCCAUCAGGGGCCUUUUCAAACUUCAUCCGGGCAAGAGACUGCUCGUCAUAUGUGUCAUACGUGGUUGGGGCCUCGAAAUCUGUCUCGCGGCUCAAAUCAACCCCGGCAUCCUUGAAUACUCUCGUGAGGAAGCGACCAUAGGGGAGGACGCGGGUCUUGCUCUCACAGCAAGAUAUCAUAUGCAUCAUCAUUAGGUACCCGACAUGAAUCCGUCUCCCUGUCAAAAUGGAAUCCACUAUGAAAGCCUCGAGGUAGGCUACCUCGUCUAGAUGUCCGCCCCGUGGCAACAGAAUGGUGCACACCAUGUGAUGAAGGAUACGGCUAAUCACUGUCAGACUAUGUGCAGAGGGUUUGCCCAUCCCCUGGGCAUCGGCAAGUCCACACAGCCUCUGAAUAGCCUCUCUGGGCUCAAAUCCCGGCACCGUGGGCCACACCUUGGACUCAUACACCCUGAGUCCAACUGAUGGUAUAUCGAAAAUCCGGCAAAUGCUCUCCGGACUCAAGGUGAUCUCAACUCCUCUGACAGUCGACGUGAUCGGUCCUCCAAUCCCGUAGGUCACCCGUGAGUAGAAAGUGCGAAUCAGAGUCGGGAAGAUAGGCUCCGAAAUAGUCACCACUGGCAGCCAUCUCAUCCGUCCAAAAAUCUCCUCAAAUCCAAAGUACUUAAGCUGGGAGAAAUUGAUGCUUCUCCCUGGAACAACUUUCCUCUGGGCAAAUUUUUGUUUAUAUCUCUGGUAGUCUUCGACAGAGGCGAAAAGAGCGGUGUCGUACCUCGCCUUUCGGCGAGCCUCGGACUGAUCUGGCUGAGAUGGCUCAGCAGGGCGCUUGCCCUGAGCCCUGGAAGCGGCUGACUCUCUCCUAGGUGCCAUCCGAAAGGCUGAGAUGAAGGAGACGAGGCUGAAGAGAGGGAUGCACACACACCUGAAAGGCCUCAAGAGCAGGAAUACACUGACGCAGGCUCUGAAACGCCAACUGAGGAGGAAAUCGCCCAAAUGCGCAGCCCUGAGUCCCAAAAUCCAAAACCCUAGACUCCACAAUCCAAUCCGUACGUCUCAGAAGGCUGUAAUGGCAUAUAAAAUCCCUUGAGGGGAGCUGGAACGGCACAAGGCUUGAAGCACCAGAAGAAAUGAAUGAGAAACUGAGGCGCGGGAGGCGCUUUAAAUUCUCACCCCGACGAACCGGUCGACCGGCACCGGCACGGUCACCGCGGUCAACACAUCGAUUUUUGUCCUUUUCCUUGUCUCAAUUUUAAAUUAUCACCAAUUUACACUUAACAUGUUUUUUUUUUUUUUUCAUAUCUUAGUUAUUUUUAAAAUUUUCAUAGAACCAGUAUGUUAUUUUAAAUCUCAUUUAUUUAAUAUUCAUAAAUAAUUUUUUCUUUUUACCUUUUUAUAUAAAUUUUAGCUUCCAUAAUUUCUGAAUUGAUAUAUUGUUUUUGUUGAUUUUCUUAUAGAUUCUAACUUUAAUAUUGAAAAUUUAUUAUUAAACAUAAAAAAAUGACAUACAAUUGUGUUUAAGUACUAAUAUAAUAUAAGAUUAUUACAAACAUAUAUAUUCAAGCUUGUUUAGUUUAAAGUUAUAGACCUUAUGAAAAAAUCAACACAAAUUCUUGAAAAGCAAAAAAAAAAAAAAUUAUUUAUUAAAAAAAUCACAAAAGACAAAUUAAUAUAUGAAAAGAACUAAAAUUAUUAUUAUUAUUAUUAUUAUUAUUAUUAUUAUUAUUAUUAUUGAAUUAAAAAAGUGUUAACUGCCUCAAGAUGUACUUUAUAGUGUGAGUGCAAAAAUUGACUUACUAUGCUGACUGCAAAUGCAAUAUCUGGUCGGGUGUGAGAUAAAUAAAUCAGUUUUCCCACCAACUUCUGGUACCGAGUUGUAUUCACAAGAUUUCCAUGAUGGGUUGGAAACGGGCACAUUCAUGACUAAAUGAGGAAAGUGAAGAAUUGGAGUUUCCAUGCCCUCAAUGUGGUAAUAUUAACUAUCUACAGAAUAAUAUGUUCGGAAAUUGUAUGCUUAAUUGAUUUGAUCGACUGCAAUAUGGCAUGCACACAUUUACUUACCAUCAAUCUGAACUGGUUGUUCUGUUGCAUUAUUUAUUAGUUGUAUUACUGCAAGAAGUUGCUAUCAUGUAUUGAUGACUGUUACUUGCAUGAUUUAGAUAAUCUCAUGAAAAAUUUUUUUAAGUAAUGAUAUAGACAAAGUGUAAGGUUCAUUCAAUGGAUUCUUAUGAAUUGUGAAUAUUUGGUCCUAAGAUGUUUUGCUGCUUGAUUUUUUUGUUUGUAAUAUAGUUUAACUAAUUCAUUUACAAACAUCAGGUGCUGAAUAUGCUGGAUUCCUGUGCAACCCUAACACUGUCCACCUACAAUGUCAUGCAUGUGGAGGAAUGAUGCCUUCCAGAAAUGAUAUUGGUGUACCACAACACUGUAAAUACUUACCAACACUAUUGUUAUUUUGUUGGUUUUGUUGUCUUGAUGGCUAUUUGUGAGUUUGCUUUCCAUAUUACAAUUUCUAUCUUGAAAUCAGGCAAGGAUUCUGCUUGUAUCUAGGGUACUAUCUAUUAUUAUGUAAAUAUUGACCAACAGUUUGGGUAGUUUGAAUCGAGGUUUUGGACUUUAAACUUUGGUUUAAAUUGUAAUCUUUGUAAAAGUGGAAUAAACAAGUUUAUAUUUGAAGUCAAUAUAGUAUUUAAGGGUAUCCUUUGUUCUAAACUCAAAAUAUUUUCAUAUUCUUUUGAAGUAGAAUUAAUUGCUUGAGGAAUGAAAUGAUGAUCAUAGAUACUUUGAGAUAUGUUGAGGUGCUUAUUGGCAUACACAAAGAUUUGGUGGAAGUGACUCUCAUUUUUUGGUGCUCCUGGUUUGCUCACGUCGCCGUUUAAAUGACCAAGCUUGCCUCUGCUAUCUAUUGCUAGCAAGAAUGAAAAUAGUUGGGAAAAGCUUCUAGUAAGUCUUAACCGGUCGACCAGUUAAAUGCAACCGGUAGACACUGGCCAUUUCUUGAUGCACGUCCCAAAAUGGCCAGUGGCAACCGGUUGCAAACCAAUUUGAUACCGGUUGAGGGUGUUCCUCGACCGGUUGACACUGCCAAAUUUUUCCCCCAAAACCCAAAUGGGCACAUGCUACCGGUAGCAAAACAAACUACUACCGGUUGAUGCAUAGCAAAACAAAUAAUGAUGAAGUAGCUUGGAAAUGUAAAGAAAGAAAUGAAAGUAGGCUACUUAAUUAGAAUCAUCCACAAGGAAAAAAAAGUGAUAAGGUCUAGGUUAUAAAAAUUCCACUACAUCAUACUGACGUAUGCAUAAAUUGAUGAGAUUCAGGCUAAGAGGUGGAUGAAUUCAUAGCAGUUCCAUAAGGGACAAGAAACAAAGAAGCCAUAUUUCAUGGACUUGUAGAUAGCUUUUAAUAAAGAGCCAUAUUUCAUGGACUUCAAUGGCCCCAUAUGUCUGUAACACAAAAGUAGGGUCAUAACUCAAUUCAAGGAAUAGAUAGUGGUUAGAGAAUACCUUACACAUUGUUUUUUCAUCAUAAAAUCCCACUUUACCAAUAAAGCGGCCUUUGUGUAAACAUAGCUGCAAAAAACAUUGUUCUCUUCCAUGGGAAUAUCUGGCACUCCAAACAAUAAUUUUAAGAAGGCUCUCAUUUACAUCGAUUUGACUUUUACAUUUUAGAUCAUGCACCAACUUCUUGUGUAUCAAAUCCAGGCGUUCACAGUCCAAACAUUCCCCCAAAAGCAAGUAUCUCCUUCACUUAUUAUUUUUUAUUCGCUUUUGUUUUUUCUUCCAGUGGAAGGGUUUAAAAGUAUAGAAAAUAGAGUAUAGUUGAGGGGAAUUAAGUUGAGAAUUUCAAGUUCCUUUAGAUGUGAUUUGAAAACAAAGAUGAGAUCUUUGAGUAGUGUAGGACUUGGUCUCAGCAUAGUUUUUGGGUGCCUUCUGUUAGCUCUAGUUGCUGAGCUUUACUACUUGCUCUGGUGGAAGAAGAGGCUCACCAGCACAGAGAUGGAGGAUGAUUACAGCAGCCCAGCAAGGGAGCUCCUGUACAUGUACUGUUGGAAGAAGCCAUCUUCUUUGAGCUCCAGAGCUCUCAAUCCCCAAGAACUAUGCUCUUCAGACAGAGUAACUGACACCCAUGUGCUUGAACCACAUCAGGCUCAUCAUCAGCUUCAUAUGCAUGGAAAAGAGGACUAUUUGCUCAAGCCCUUUGGAGAAGAAACCAUGGAGACUGAACUCAUGAGAUUGCAUGAUCUCUCUGGCCCUCCAAGAUUUCUCUUCACCAUCAAGGAAGAAACAAAGGAGGAUUUAGAAUCUGAAGAUGGGAAGUCUAGAGGUGAUAAGAGUGCAAAGGGGUCAAGAAGUAGGAGCCUGAGUGAUCUUCUUCUAACAGUGGAGACUCCAUUUUUGACACCUCUUGCUUCUCCACCAUUUUUCACUCCUCCUCUUACUCCUAUGGACUCCUCUUAUAACCACCAAGGAGUCAACCCGCUCUUUGAAUCAGCGGCAGAUGCUGAUCAGUUUAGCAAAAUAAGUUCAUCACCACCUCCCAAGUUCAAGUUCUUGAAGGAUGCUGAGGAGAAACUCCACAGAAAAGUAAUGGAAGAAGCCAAAAAGGAGCAGUUGCAGUUUGAAGUGUCUGCAGAUUUUGCAGUUAAUCCUCCUUCCUCUUCAAAGCUUCACAAGGAUGAAGAAGAUGGAUCGUUUAUCACCAUUGUUGUUGCUAAGAACAAAGAGAAAGACCUCACUCAUCAUUCAAGCUCUUCACAGAUACUUCCUCUGGUUUCUUCCCCUUCAACAUUCGACCCACCAGCUAGCAAGAAACCCAUCUUGCACCACAGCUUCACAAAUUAAAUAUUUCCUUAGUUUCAUUUUAUGACUGAAUUUACUGAUUCUUUUUUUUUCUAGAGAUUUUGGGUUUUCUCUUACUACAUUUUAUGAUUGUCCUUGGCAUGCAAAAUAAAGACACAAAAUAGAUAGAACAACUAAAUAAAGGGUUUUGAAUUAGAGUGAGCCUUUCUCCUUUAAAGAUAUAUUGUAUUUUUCUUAUAUCUAGUCUUUUGUGGAACCUGUCUUUCACUCCAUUUGAAGCCACCAUAGAUUUAAAAGGGGUACUAAGAGGAAGACCUAAGUAAGUAGACAGAAGACCACCCGCCUUAUAACCAAUCUCUAAAGGCCACUCUUCUAAGUUCUCCAUCAUUUCCAUUGGAAUUAAUUUGCUCUAAUCUAGAUUAAUUUACAACCUUAAUAUAGCCUCAAACCACAUAAAAUCGACUCAAAUAAGUCAUUUGGUUCAAAGAAGACUUACAGGAAAAAAUAGGAUCAACAACAAACAAAUUGUUGGACAGAAGUAAACACUACAGCUGCAGAUGGAUGUGUAAUGGAAAUUUAAAGGCUCACAACAAUGGAAAUCAAUGGCUCACAAGUGAGGAUUAAAAAUUAAAAGUUAAAACAGUGCCCUUAAUGGGGAAGUCAAAAGUGAUCCAAUGCCAUCGGCCUGUUAGAAGCAAUCUCAUUUUCAUGUAUAGCACCAUUCUAGAAUUGAUAUUUGAACUUCAAGUCUAUGCAAAACACAAUGGAGAUAUUUGUUUUCAUAAGACAUCCAAAUGCACCUCAAAUAAGAAUGUAUUUAAAAUAGUAAAUAAAGAAUGGGUUUAAUAAGGAAACGAGAGGGCCAAAAGUCAGUACGAUAAUUCAUGCAAGCAGGCAAGCAUAGCUCACCCUAUUGUAGUAAGUUGUAACCGGUCGACCGGUUUAAUACGACCGGUUGACCAGGUAACUCGACCGGUAGACACCGGUCAUUUUUUGGUGGGAUUCCCAAAAUGGUCAGUGGCUACCGGUUGCAAACCAACAUGCGACCGGAUGAUGCUAUUUAUCGACCGGUUGACACUGCCAUUUUUUUUCCCCCAAAACCAAAAGCGGGACUUGGUACCGGUUGAUGCAUUGCCUCAUCCGGUUGAAAAUACCCAAGUUUUAUUAAAAAAAAUAUAGUAGGCUGACCAUAUUCGUAGAGAUUAUAGUAGAUUAGACAAAGGGAGGAGAAUACAUACGUUUUACGAUGAACCAAUACUGAGUAUAACCUUCCUAACGUAUGAUUCUUCUAUGGUUUUGAUGGAAAUAGUCAUAACCUUCCUUUUGCCAUCCGAAACCAGGGAUUUCAGACUCAGUAUUUAAAAUACAAAAAUUUUCAUGGCACCCAAAUGGGAACCUACAUUAUGUGAUGUCUACCAACAAUUUAAAAUAUAUAGAAGAAGGUUUCAAGAGAUGAAAAUAACCUAUAUAUCAAGAGCUAUAAACAAAAUAAGAUAGGUAAUAUAUAUACAUGUAGAGGAAAAUACAUCAUCCAUAUACCAUCAUUUGCAUUGAGCGAAUACAUUUACGCCAUUUAUGUGAAUGGCCGAUGACAACAUCCAUAAGUAAUACGAGAAGUCAUAAUAACAAAAGGGCAUUUAUAUUAGCCAAAUGUCAAAAAACAGAAUGAAAGUUUAAUAACUAUAAAACUAGUACAAAAUGUAGAAGGGGUCAUUAAUGGUCUGGUCCAUGAAGCGGGAAGUGGGAUCGGAAGAAGACCAUCAUCUCAUCAUGCUGGCGUCGUAUAACUUGCAUACCCUCUUUCACUUCCUCGUGUAAACCAUCAAUGCGAUUCUCCAGAGAUGUCAACCGUUGGUCAUUGGCUAAUACAAUCUCCUCCAAGCGGGUACCAAGGGACUUAAUCUGGGCAUUGAGGUUAUCUGAUGCCUCAGAGUCGUCCGGUCCAAUUAGUGAAGGAUGAUUUGUUAACGCCCUAGCUCUUACACCACCUGUUGACGGUAUUUGUGUGACAUUUGCUUUUGCAUGAGUUCUUCCCUGUACAUCCUGAUCUUCAUAUUCUUCAUCGUCGGAGGGCCCAUUGUCUGAAGAGACGUCAACCUCUGAGGGGGGAACGGAAGACUUCCUUGCCCAUGAACCAUCUUUCUUCCGUACAAAAUGCAUGCGCCGAAGUGAAGCCCGAUCAUAUGUAUCAAAUGAUUUGAGUUUUUUCCCGUCUGUCUCAUUGCGCAAAUUGACAUCGAAGUACUUGACAAUCUUUGUGAUAAACAUGCCAUAGGGGAGAACUGAAUCUUCGCUGAUUGAACAUGCUUUCAUAUGUUGGAAAAUUAUGUAACCAAUAUUAACCUUUCUUUCUGUGAGAAUGCUGUCAACCAAAAAAGCCUCCAAGAAAGAUACAUCAUCGCGGUGCCCUCCUUUAGGGAUGAAAAUGUACGAUAUCAUGUGAUGUAGGAUACGACUCAACACAGUCAACAAAUGGGAAGUUGGUCUAUCAGCUCUCGGGUAACCACAUAGCCUCUGUAAAGCUUCUGCAGGUUUGAAACCUUCCACCCUUGGCCACUUCUUAGCUUCAUACAAACAAACCCCUUCGUUUUGGAAUCUCUAAAAUCCGAUAAAGUGCAGCAACAUCAAAAACGAUCUGUACACCGUUAAUUGUGGUAGUAAUGGGUCCUUCGUCUUCGAAUGUCAUAUUGGAGUAGAAACAUUUCACAACCUUGGGAUAAACGAACUCAUUGACGGAGACAAUCGGAAGCCAACCCAUUCUGGCGAAAAGCACAUCAAAAUGGAAAUAACUGAGCUUUGCAAAAGCAAUGUUCCUACCCUGGAUUACGGUCCGAUUCGCAAAGUGAAGAUGAAAUCGUUGGGCUAGGUCAGGGGUUGCGAACAUAGAUCGAUCAAAGGUGGCCUUCUUACGAACCUCCGGACUUGCUUCCACGGCCGGAUGUUUACCAUUGUUGGGGGUGCGUUUUGCUCCAUGGGAGGUGUUGUGGGUGCUUUCGCUUGGUUGUUGUCGGUCGGAGGUCUUUUUGUUGGUCCCGCGCAUCCUUGAUACCGCCGGCCUCUUCCCUUUCCGACCGGGUGAGGAUGCUUCGACCGGUGCUCGUUUUGGGGGCAUGAGUAUUCAGAUGGGCUUCAGCUAUUGCGUGAGGAUGAAGAAGACUGAAGUGGAAGACGGACGGGUUCAGGUCUCGCGCGAGGAUGAAGAAGAAUGGAGUAGAAGACAAAGGGGUUGAGGGGUAGAACUGGUUUGAACAUCGGUCGACCUUCGUGGAAAGACAUCCAGUUUAUGAACUAAUUAAAUUUUAAUUAACUUGAUGUCUUACAUUAUAUUUGCUACACUUUUAAUGUAAAAGUUUCCAUAUGAACUGAUUAAACCUAUAAUGGAUUAAAUGAAUAAAUAUUUUGAUGUACCUUAAAGAAAUUAAUUGAAGUUAAUUUCACAAAAUUUAUAUUAAGAAAAAUAAAAUAUGACAACUUAAGUUAAUUAAAUCAUAUAAAUUAACUAAUCUUUUUUAUAGGUACGGUAUAGUCUAAUGAACUCACUAAGAUAUAGUCACACCUAAUAGAUUAAAAUUGUAAUUAACUAACAUAUACUACCAUAGAGGCAUCAAAAUUAAUUAUGGUUCUAUGACAAAAUGUUCGAACAAGUACGAUAUACCAUCGUGAGUGAAAUAAAUUAAUGAAUCUGAAUUUAUUUAAAAUUUCCAUAAGUAGAAUAUCAUAACUUAUCUCAUUUUACGUAAUUAAGUGUAAUUAACCUACCUUUCUCAUGUCAAUGAUAUAUUAUGAAGCAUUAAUUAAAAAUAAAUUACGUUAAUUCAUGGAAAAAUAUAGUGUAAUGAACUCACUAAGAUAUACUCAGACCUAUUAGAUUAAAAUUGUAAUUAACUAACAUAUACUAUGAUAGGGGCAUUAAAAUUAAUUAUGGUUGUAUGAAAAAAUGUUCGAAUAAGAACGAUAUACCAUGGUGAGUGACAUAAAUUAAUGAAUCUGAAUUUAUUUAAAAUUUCCAUAAGUAGAAUAUCAUAACAUAUCUCAUUUUACGUAAUUAAGUCUACUUAACUAACCUUUCUCAUAUAUAGGAUAUAUUAGGAAGCAUGAUUUUUAAAAUAAAAUACCGUUAAUUGAUGAAAAAAUAUAGUAAGUAGGAAACGGUAUCAAAACAUAGUUACAAUAAAUUGGCUAAACAACAGUAACAAAUGUCAAUAUUAUCAAUUAAGUCCAUAUCUCCCCUUUAUAUUUUCUUAAGUUAUACAAUUAUCCAUUUGCAAUGGGUGUAAAAAAUAACCACAUUAGGCUGACUUUCCCAACUGAUAUAAAUGUUAUAUUUAAUGGCACAUAAAAAACUGAUGCAAAUAUCCAAACUAUCAACCACUAAGUGUACCAUUGUGGUGGUAGGUUUUCAACAUGUGGCAGCCUAUUAAAAAAUGUAAUAACUCCAGCAACCAAUCACAUUCAUAUCUUAGUAUAUAUUUGGGGGAGUUUUAGUAUUGUAAGAACCUUAGCAUCUGAACGAGGGCUGCUAUUUGUUGGAGAACAGGUCACAAAAAACAUCCAGAAGACAAAUCUUCAGGUCAAGCUGCAUCACACUUGGACCUUCCAUUUUAACGGUAUGAUCUUUAGCUCAAUAAAGAAUAGGUAAACAAAUCCAUAAUACAUUUUUUAAGCUUAAUGCCUUCAUCUUUGAAAUGGAUGGGGGAAUAUUUCGAAAACCUAAUAGUGAUUUUUAAAUGGUAUGUAUUGAUGUUAAAGAGUUUGGAUUUUGAUUGUCUAAAGCACAUUGUUAGUAAUAUGCAUCAGUGAUCUGUUGAACAGUUGAGAUUAAUUUAGUUAAUAUAAGUGAGUCAUGUUGGCUGUAAAAAUCACAACAUCAUCAAAAUUAUAGGGUAAUACAUAUUCAAAUGACUUAAAAAGAGAGAAUGAACCUUAAGAAAUGUGUAUUAUUGACUCCCAAUAUGGGGUAAGUUUGGAAUAAGUUUGGCGGUGUACCCAAAAGCUUUCGUGCUUUUAGAUAGAAUUAUAUAAAAGUCAUUUUCCAUGUUUUAACAUAUGUGACUGGCAACAUUAACCAUAAAGCAAUUAGCCUAAAUAGGGCAACCUCCUUAGGCUAAUUGUUUCCGUGUUAUUUUAGCCUAAACCGAUCCAUGUUUCCGUGUUAUUUUAAAGAAAGUGGAUGUGAGGUAUUAAUUAUUGUGACUGGCAAAUUCCUUGAAGAUGGCAACUAAGAUUAAUGUUGGAAAUUUUGUUAACAUAGUAUGCCUAAAUAAGGCAACAUUAUAAUGUUCUGAUAAGGAAUGAAGGCCUUAAUGAAAUCAACAACGAAAAGAAACAAUUAGCUAAUCGGUUUAAAUAUUAAAACAGUGAAUACCGGAUGAGGAAUUUCUCAACCGGUUGAGAAAAUUCCUCAACCGGUAGAAACUGGUUAACAAAAUACUCACCCGGUUGAGAAAUUUCCUCAACCGGUUGAGCCAUUUCCUCAACCGGUUGAGCAACUGGUAUCAACCGGUUGAUGUUUUUUUGACCAGUGCCUACCGGUUGAGGAAUUUCCUCAACCGGUUGACGAAAUUCCUCAUCCGGUAGCUACUGGUUUAAAAAGUCCACAUCCGGUCGACCGGCUUACAUCGACCGGUCGAUAGAUCUUCUGAACCGGUAGAGACUGCCAAAUUUUGUGAACACCACCAAAAUGCAUCCGGUGAAUUUGUAGGUCAACCACAUUAUAAUAGCUUAGAGCAAGGGAAGAGAGUAGAUUCGGGUUACGAGGAAACAAACAAUUGUAAUGAUUUUAAAAAGUUUUGCUUAGGAUUGUGUAUAGCAGAGUAGUAUCAAUUUUGCAACAUAUGACCUUUUAAAUGGAAAAUCAUGGGGAAAUUAUCACGUCUGCAGUAUACACCGGUUCUAUAAUUUAUCAAAUUCUUAAUUUUUUUUCCCAAAAAAUGAGAAUCGAUGACGUUGUCAAAUUCGGUUUGUCUUCAAGUAUGCAAUCAAUUGAUACAAAAGUGAUACGAUAAUUUGUGAAAGUAUUAUUGGGGAAUUUUUUUACCUUAUUUAUGUAAUGUAGAUGAUGCAAUCGGUGAAGGAGAAAACAAUCAAGAGGGAGUUUGAAGUGAAGGAGGAGGACGUCGUCAAUGAGGAUGCAUUUAUCGGUGCCACAUACGACCUGGGUGGAAACGGUUUGAAACAGAAGGUGUUGAAGGGUAUUUCAGAUGAAGAAGUCUACAAAUUGCAAUUCGAUCGCAUAGAUGAGGCUGAAACAUUUUACAACAUGUUAGCUAGAGUAGCUGGAUUUAGUAUUCGAAAGGAUGAUUUGAAGCGAGACAAGAAUGGAGAUAUAAUAUCUCGAAAGUGGGUGUGUUCUAGAGAAGGGCAGCGAGCGACAAAGUUUAUUGAAAAUGACAAGCGACAGCGUGAGCCACGAUCAUUGACUAGGGUUGGAUGUGAAGCUGCAUUUCGUGUAGGCUUGAAUAGGAAAGAUGGAAAGUGGAUUGUAAAGGAAUUUAUAGGAAAUCAUAAUCAUAAUUUGGUCGAUGCUAUCAACACACAAUUCCUUCGGUCUCAUCGAACAAUAAGUAAUCCCGAUAAGGCACAAGUUGAUGUUUUGCGUAAAGUAGGUGUUAAAGCCACACAAAUUAUGGACUAUAUGGUAAAACAAUCAGGGGGACAUGAGCACGUCGGUUUCACACAAAAAGAUAUAUACAAUCACGUUGAUGCAAUGCGUAGAAGUGAAAUUAAAGACGGUGAUGCAGAAGCGGCAUUGGCUUAUUUGUGUGGAAAGGCAGAAAUGGAUUCCUCAUUUUUUUAUAAAUUCAACAUUGAUGAAGAAAGUUGACUAGCAAAUUUGUUUUGGGCUGAUUCAACUGCUCGAAUGGAUUAUGCGUGUUUUGGAGAUGUCCUAGCAUUUGACACAACCUAUAGGACAAAUGCCUAUAAAAAGCCUCUAGUAGUGUUGGUCGGUGUUAAUCAUCACCAUCAAACUGUUGUAUUUGGUUGUGCGUUAUUGAUAGAUGAAAGUGUUGGGACAUAUGAAUGGGUGUUGGAGACAUUUAUUGAAGCAAUGAUGAAUAAGAGACCCAUAUCUGUUGUAACCGAUGGGGAUAAAGCUAUGCGUAAGGCAAUUAAAAAAGUAUUACCUGAUACGUGUCAUCGAUUGUGUUCAUGGCAUUUGCAACGAAAUGCAUUCACGAAUGUGCAUAUUAAGGACUUCUCAAGCAUAUUUGCAAGGUGCAUGUUCAUGCGUGGGAAUGAAGAAGAAUUCGAAAAGGUUUGGCAUGAAAUGGUUGCAAAUUUGGGACUUAAUGAGAAUCGUUGGGUGGCCGAGAUAUAUGGGAAACGUAAAAGAUGGGCAGAGGCGUAUUUACGUGGAAAUUUCUUUGGAGGGAUGAGAACCACACAAAGGUGUGAGAGUAUGAAUGCAUAUCUAAAUAGAUUCUUAAAAAUUCGCUUGCGACUGUAUGAGUUUGUACAACAAUUUCAUAGAGCCAUACUGAGAAUACGGCAAAACGAGGCAAAGGCAGAGUUCGAGUCGAACAAUUUUUCACCCGUGCUUUCAACCAAACUAGCCAUACUUGAAAAUCAUGCUGCGACGGUAUACACAAAAGAAUCUUUCCUUAAAUUUCGUGAGAAGAUGAAAAAUGCUGAGUUAUUCUUUGUGGUUGGUGUUGUAAGUGAUCAUUCAAUGCGGGCAUACACAUUAUCUAAGUUUAGACACCCGAACUUAAAUUGGGAAGUACAAUUUUGCCCGGAUAUUGUAACAUUAAAAUGCUCAUGCUUGAUGUUUGAGUCAAUUGGCAUCCCAUGUUGCCACAUGGUGGUGGUUAUGAAAGUGGAGCAUUUGGAAGAGAUUCCUCAGUCAUGUAUUAUGAAGAGGUGGACAAAGUUAGCAAAGGUGUAUACAAGAUCAGUACCAGUGAAUGAGACGGAUAACAACAUGGAUCGGUUUGUACGAUAUGGUUCAUUGAGUUCGAUGUGCAACAAGCUCUCCUACUUUGCGUCAGAUACGUCAUCUUCAUUUAUAGAGGCCAAAAAUGAAAUACAAAAUUUGACGGCGAGAAUGGAGGAACUCUAUAACUAUAAUUUGAAAGGGAAGAAAAUAGCAUCAGAUGGAGCGACAGGUACUAACCAAGUUCGUGAUCCAAAUAUUGUGAAGACUAAAGGGAAUCCAGGCAAAGUGGCAAUGAAUGUUCAAAAGGGAAGACGAUGCAGUCGUUGUAAAAGAGUGGGUCACACAAUUCGAAAGUGUCCAGAAGCUACAAUCCCUCAAAAUGCUCAGCCGGGUUAUAUGGUAUGUCAUAUUCAAUAAAAAUUGCCCCUAAGAUUAAUUUUUGUAGGUGUACUAACAUAAAUGACUAACAUAAUUGUUUUGAUGGCAUUAUGAGUACGUAGGAGGAAACUAAUUUGUCUUCCCAAUGUGACAUUCAAAGGGAAAUGAUGCCUUCAACAAAUUCAUCAGUUGACAUUUUUGCAACCUUACAUGUAUGUACAAUAGGCUUGUUAUAUAAUUUCCAAACAUUGAUAACAUAUAAUUCAAUAAUAAUUGACAACACUUAAUUAUUGAAACAUGCAGGGAAUGUUAGGGGAGCAGUUGCCGAAUGACCCAUCUGACAUGUACAUAGAUUGGGGUGAACUUAAUAAUGUAAGAUCGCGAAUGAAGAAACACUUUUGACAUGAAUUUCAAAUAUGCAUUAUUUAAUGAUUAGGUUUAAUUAAUUGGAAUGGAAUUGGGUAGCUGAAAAAAACAAUGAAAUGUGCAUGUGCAGAUAGCAGGAUUUCAGCAACAUGAACAAAGUAUGUCAACACCAUGUGAAGGUGGGGAUCCAAACAAAUAUCCAAAUGAAAAGGAUAUGCAACCUUUUUUUUAUUCCUUAGCGGAGUAAGGGAUGGUAGGUAUUAAAUCAGUAUUUAUAUUAGUUGACGUUAUCACUUCCACUAAUGUGUACUUUUAACUUAACUAUUUAAUGAAAAGUUUGAAUUUUGAUCAAGAGUCAAGUUGAUUGAUAGAAUGCAAUAUCCUCUACAUUUAUAAUUUAAUUGAUAACAAGGGAUAAAAUGAUUGGUAAAUGGAGAAACCGAUUCAUUUAUAUCAUGUCGAAAAAAACGGUUAAUUAUGCGGAUUUAAUUAAAUUCAAUUGUGGUUAAAGUUUGACAAUUAGGUGGUUAUGAGUUAACUAUAGGAAAGUAAUCAAUAUGAUGUAAUUCACAUGAAAUAUGUAAAUUUAGUGAUUUUACUCAAAAUGGGUAAAUCGUAGUUAGGUCAAUUGUAAUGCCAGUUUCCAUCAAUUUAAAACCUUGUAAUUGAACUUAAUGUUACAUUGUCGAAUGUUUCCAUAGUGAAAAGUUAUUGGUACAACUCAUAGCAUACCUUUUUUGUGCACAAUAGCAUUGCAGGAGGAAACCGGUUGAGGAAAUUCCUCAACCGGUUGAGGCAUUUUUGACCAGUGGCUACCGGAUGAGGAAUUUCCUCGACCGGUUGAGAAACUUCCUCAACCGGUAGCUACUGGUUAAACAAAUCCUCAGCCGGUUGAGCAAAUGGCCAUCAACCGGUUGAGGAUUUUUGUGACCAGUGGCUACCGGUUGAGAAAAUUUUCUCAACCGGUCGAGGAAAUUCCUCAUCCGGUAGCCACUGGGAAAAAAGGCCUCAACCGGGUGCUCAACCGGUUGUGCCAAGCCGGUCGACCGGUUAUAGCCGUCCUCGACCGGUUGAAGUUGGCUAACAAUAUACUCAACCGGUUGAACAACUUCCUCAACCGGUUGAUUCCCAUCUUCACCCGGUUGCCACUGGUUAAAAAAACAUGAACCGAUUGAGCAAAUUCCUCAACCAAUUUGCUAUAUUUGUCAAACAGUUCCCACUGGUCAAAUCAUUCGUCAACCGGUUGAGACAACUUCUUCAUUGAUCAACCACUUUCCACAACUGAAAAUAUGAGGAAUGUUCUCAACCGGUAUGAAUAAUGCGUAUGCCUAUGAAAAGUGGACAUAGAUAAAUCGUUGGACUGGUUCUUACCGGCUGAACGGCAUUCGUCAACCAGUGUAGUAAUGUACUAACUAUAUAUUGUUAGUAUAGAUAAAUGAAUAAUUACAGAUCUGAUUAGGUUAAAGAUCGUACAAAAUCACACAUGUCGAACAUGAAUGAUACCAAUAUAUUACAAUUUCAUUUUGACGACCAUAUUGAAAGAAGAGUAUUUGGAUAUUGAAAUAAAAUAGACUUAAUCAUUAAUAAUGUAUGGUCAUCGAAGCUCACAACUUCCCAAUAAACAUGACGAUAUGUGGAUAUGGAAAUGAUAAAUAUUUGAAAAAUAAAAAAUUUCAUAAUAAUAAUUUUUUCAUUGCUCGUGUCGACGUCUUUGUACAAACAAUAGCCACAAUGGUUUGUUUUUCUCUAUUUCCCUCGUGUAAAACUAAAUCACAUGCUAUUUCUCGACGUAUUUUCAUAGAAUUACAAAAGUCGGAGCUCGUCAUCGGAUCACCAUUUUUGAAUCUCUGCAUAUGUCUAAUGACAUGCACUCCACAGUCCCACCUAAGAAAGAGAAAAGAAAAGCAAAACAACUUAUUCAAUGGUUGUCUAAUUAUACCUCAGGAAAAGAAUAGUAAUGCGAGUUAUGUAUUCAUACUAACCCAUUCUCUUGGGUCGGAAUCGAAGGAGCCCAAUCAAUGGAGAAUUGGAAGACAUCUUUCCCUAUGUCAGAUAGUUUGAAGAACAUUUGACAAAAUUCAACCUAAUUUAUUAUGAAAGUGUUAAUAAAUAUGGAAGAGGAAAAAAUAGAAUAGAAGAAAAAUAUAAACAUGAAAGCAUACCACUGUUUUGACACUCUGAAACCGGAACUUGUCUCGAUUCUUCGAUCGUAAUGAGUCCAAAAUUUGGGUAUGAGAGUUUUUGAAGUCAAUGACGCACAGGUACCAAUGACCAGGGCAUUCGUCAUGCAUUGGAAUAAAUAGCUGUAAAGUUAGAAAAACAAUAUAUAUGAGUUGGGGCAAAAAAAAUCUACUAUAUUAUAGGUGAAAACAAUAUCUAUUCUAAAUUUCAUAUAUGCAAUUAAACAUUAGAAAUAAUUACUAACCUUCUCGCAAUCAUCCAAUUCACUAAUGUACUUACUAACGAUGGAUGUUUUUCUAUCGAAAAAAGGAUGAGGACUCCCGCACAAAAUCAUUUUCUAAUAAGAAAACAUAAUACGAACAUUACUAUAUUGUACUUAAUAUGUAAGUAAACAACAAGAGAAAUAUGAGCUUACUGAAAAUGUCGUGGGAAGAUAGCAUCUUAUACUUCGUAUGCCUAUGAAUUGUCUUUCAAAAUAAUUUAGCUUUGAGGCUUCUAAAUUUAUUACCUGUUGUUGAACAAUAACUUCAAUAAAUUUAUUUAACUAAUAUAGGAUGCAUUUGAUAUAAAUGAAGUAGGUACUUACAACAUCCAUCAAAUUUUUUCUAGGACGUAAGCAUGCAAAAUCUCCACGAACUCCAUGUUCAUGACCAAAGUCAACAAGAAGCUCACUAAAAUAAUAAUAUGUUCAAACAAACUUCAGUAAAUUGGAAGCAUAUGAAGGCAAAAAUUGUAACAACACAUCUAUGAAUGUUCUAGACACGACAAACCUUUUUGACAACGCUUUAUUGAAAACAUAAUCAGCGACAAGAGAUUGAAGUACAUUGAAUGAUUGAGUAUCCACCACGUCUUCACGAAUGGACAUGGGGAUUGACUAAUUCGAAAACAAGACAUAAUUAUUAACUACAUAUGUUAAGUAUCAAAAAAUAAGAACAAUGAUAUUAAACUAUUUGUAUUAUACCUCUGAUGCUUCACGUUUUACCAUCUUCCUUGAUUUCUGUACAAACGGGGAGACCUUGAAUUUACUUGGUUUCCUCUCCCUUGAUGAACGUGUUUUCAUGACAUGAUUAGGAUAACCACAUAGUGCUCGUAAUGGUUCCUAAUAUGGAAAAUGUCAGUAAUAUACAUCUAUUUACUAUGUAAUGGUUAAGUAGUUGUAAAGAAAAUAAUUUUUUCUUUUAUAUAAUACAUACCUUUCCAUAAUCUCUUCUAAGUGGUAAGAUAUUUUCAUUUUCGUCUGGAAUGAUAUGCACUUCAAUUGAUGUAGCACAUGCAUCUUCAUUCUUUUCAUUCAAGUCCUCGGUGCAUAACUUCUCAUUUGACAAAGUGUGAAGAUAAUGUUCAUUCACAUUCAUAUUGUUCGUAUCUUCCAAACUUCUCUCGCAUGAGAGCAUGUCAUUCUUCGUUCCUUCCUCGUGCAUUCUCAAAGGUUUUCCGCUUGACCUAAGGAAGAGACCUUUCACUUGAGUAUAAUUCUCCUCAAAUUUAGCCAAAAUUUUAUCACAACUACUACUACUUGCACCAUAAGCCAUAUCAAGUAGAUGUGUCUUUAAUUGUUGAAAGGUUUUAUCCAUCUCCAUUAACUUCCCACCAUCAACCUAGUGAUAUAUACGAACGUGAUUAAUAACAUCAUAAUACAAAGGUUCAAUGCUAAUAUAGAUAGUCACGAUGAAUAUUGUAAAACACUUACUCGUUUAAUAACAUCUUUGUUUAGAUUGGAUACAAAUAUCUCAUCGUCCUCAUUCUCACUCGCCAUUGUCGUUGCAUUUCCAUCAACGCAAUCCCUUAUCUCAUUUUCUAUCACCCAUAUUUUGAGCUACAAUAUAUUCAUCAAAAUAUAAUACAUAUCAGAUUUUAAAUCACUAAAAACUUAAAUCAAUAGUAAACGACUUUCAAAACUAUAACUUACAUCCUCAUUUGCAUAUCCACCAAGUUUUUUCAAUCUUCGUUUCCUGUCCAAUACUUCAUCAUCUCCCCAAGCAGUAAUCCGAGGAGAAGGUCGAGUAUAUAGCGGUAGGAAUUUCUCUUCAAAGGAUAUAUGCUCGUGGUAGAAUAACUACGAGUAUAUUUGACAUAGAUAUAUAGUUAGUUCAUAAAUUAUAUUAAAACAAAAUCGUAUUUCACUAUGAUGUAAAUUAAUUACCAUUAAAAACAAUAAGCAACCGCAAACCCCACUUUGUUGUUUCUUCUUAAACUCUUCAAUCCCGUGCACAAGAUAGGACAACACAAAUUCUGCCCAAUUCAUCUUCUUUAUUGAAUCGAUGUCUUCCACAAGAUGUAAGAAAGAGCGAUUCACAAAAAGCUUCAUUGUAGGGCACAAUAAUGCACCCAACACAAAUAAUACAAAACGAACUUUAAAAUCGUUUCCUCCCUCUUUAUCCUCCCUAAUUUGAUUUUCUAACAUCACUAAUGGCAAUCGCCCUUUUUUAUCACAAUAUUUUUUACAUAAAUCAUUCUUAUGACCAACAUCUUUGUUCAUGCCAAUCUUGAACCCUCUUGCCCUCAAUCCCAUAAUAAAUUCAACAUCAAUGGGGGAUAAUUUGAUACAAGUAUUAUACAACUGUAACAUAUAAGUGUUCGGAUUAAAACUAUUUAUCAACCAAAGACAUAACCCAUGAUCAAUUUUCCUACAUCGAAGUUGCAAGAGGCUACCAAAUCCUAUUUCUUCUAUGGCUGCCUUUUGCUUUGGUUCUAAAUUUUCAAUCACUCUAAUAACUCGCUCGGGGGAGCAUCGAGUUUGAAGAUAUAACUGAAAAGAUACACAAACAUCAAACAUGUUUACAUUAAUAUAAUUUCCAACAAAUACAAAAGUAAAGAAAUUAAAUAUUCAUUACAAAAAAAAAUUACCUUUGGAACCACACCCUUUUGAAGUGAAUAUUGUUUUGAACUUUCUUUGGACUUUGCCAUGAAAUUUUCUUUUUCUACUUUUGAAAGUGCAUUCCACUUCUUGCCCAAUUUUUUCCUCAACUACAUUAAUUGCUCACAUAAUUUAAAUUCUUAUUUUAAAAUGUAAUUAUAUUAGACGUAGCAAAAUUACUCCUUACAUCAUCAUUUAUCUUGACUCCUUUAUCCUUCUCUUUCAUCAUGGCUAAUUGAUCAUUACUACAAAACAAUUUCAAACAAAUUUAACAAUAACAACCACAAAAAAUACAUUAAAAAACAUAUUAUUUUACAUAUUUCUAUUUUGCCUUACUAGUAAUGUAUCCAAGCGCCGAUAGGCCUCUUUGGAUUUCUAACAACUGCAAGUCCAUCGCGUUCACUCCUAAAAAUUAAAUCAAAGCAUUUAAGUCAAUGUUUAUAAUAUGAUUUCAAAUAUAAUAAAUCAAACAUACUUUCACCACCACUACAAAAUCCUCCCUAAAUCUAUGUACAUUUUAAAUGGUCACAAAAUUAGCAUAUCAAUCUUUUUCAAUCUCCAAUUAUGGAUCUAACCACAUUAUUUUCAUUAAUGUCAUCAAUCCAUAAAUCUCACAAAAACCAUGAAAUAUAAUCGCUACAAUAUUGUAAAACACAUUAUCAAUACUCACAUUUUUUUCUUCUUCUUCUUCCAGCUAUGUCUUCAAUUCGGGUCUUCAAACCACGAAAUUUAAAAGCCGAAAACACCCCUUAAACAAAAUAUAAAAUAUGAACAAAAUACAAGGGUUAUGGAUAGGAGGGAGGGAGCGCGAAUAUCGUACUCUUUACUUCAAAACCCAAAAAAAACCCAAAUAUGAUUUCCUUUUUUUUUUCUGGAGUAGAUUGAGAGAGGGUUGUGAAUGUGGAGACGGGCUGGUGAUAAAUUUGGCACUAGACACUCCUUGAAUGAAGAGAGGAAAAAAAAGGAAACUAGACCCGGCUGUCGAGGAUGAGUGGAGAUCAGAGCACGGGGACACAACCGACUAUGGAGGAGUGUGGAGAUGAGAGCACGAGACACAGCCAACCAACCUAUGGAGAAGCUUGGAGAUGAGAGAGAGCACGAGACACAGCUGGAGGAGAACGAGACACAGCUGGGGGAGAUGAGAGCACGACACACAGCUGGAGAUGAGAGCACGAGACACAACUGGAGGAGAAGAUGCUCGGCUAUGGAGGAGAAGAGAGGGGUUGAAGACGGCUAUGGAGGAGAAGAGAGGGGCUGAGAGGGGGAGAGAACAGGUAGAAAAUGAGGGAAGAGAGGGAACAAACGGGAAAUGGGCUGAGACCGGGAGACAACAGGCCACAGGUAGCCAGUUUUUCCUUUUUUUCAUUUUUUUUUUAUUUUCAAUGGUUGAGAUUAAAACUUUUGCAUCCAACGGCUACAAAAAAUCUGAGGUAUGGUACCUCCCUCAGCACCAUAGAAGUUUCCCCUUUUUGCAUGCCAAAUGUCAUAAACACCCUUCCUAAUACUAUAAUAACUACUUUCAGGGUAAAUAAGUAAAUCAAUCAUUAUUUUUAUUUCUCAUGCCAAAUGUCUAAAUUACCCAUUCCAACAUUCAUAUAAAGGUCACUUUUAGGGAUAGAUAAGUAAAUCAGUCACUAAUGUUAUUUUCAAGUCAAAUGUCUAAACUACCCCUUCCAACAACUAUAUAACAACUACUUUUAAGGGUAAAUAUAUAAAUGAUUCGCCAAUGAUUUGCUAUAAAUACUUCCUCAUUUUAGUUUUUUUUUCACACAAUUCUAUAUUCUCUCUCUCUUUACAUUGCUUACAAUUUUAUCUAAUAUUUCUUUCUACAAUUCUAUAAUUAUAAAUUCUCUACUAGUUCUCCAAUUCAGGACUUUAAGCUAUCUACUCUCAAGUAUUCGUUAUUUAUAAAUUCUUUUGUGUUAAAGAUAUCCACUAACUGUAUAAGUAUUCAUUAUCACAAUGUUGAGGUGUAUAUAUUUAAUUAUUUUAUUUACUUUUAAAUUUUUUAAUUUUUAUUUAAUUAUCUCUUCCUUUUACAUUUCUUUAAUUAUUUUUGUGCUAAAAUUGAAAAUGGAUCCUCAUUACCAAAAACAAUGAGAACCUUGCGUAUAAUGUUAAUGAAUUUAAUGAAUUCAAGCCUUUUGAGAAGAACCCCAUUGCCACUAGUGUCCCUUCCUCUAAACCUUUCUCUAACCUUUCCCUACCAAAUUCUAGAGGAAAAAAGACCCAAGGCUAGUAGAUCCACACCUGUAGUAUGAAAUCACUUUAUUAUAGCAAAUAGGCAAAAUACAAGUGGAGAGGUAGAAAAUCUAGCAUAAUGUAAAUAUUGUAAGUGUGUGUGUAUGUAUAUAUAUAUAUAUAUAUAUAUAUAUAGGCGGAGAGGUAGAAAAUCUAGCACAAUGUAACCAUUAAGGUUUAGACCCUCUACUGUUUAGGCAAUUGGAUCGACUAAUUAAGGCUCUGCCUCAACCAUUUACACACAUGCUAUUGGAAGAGAGAUAAGGUUAAAAUGCAUCUUCUACCUUUCCAAUGGCUAAUGAACUAGUUGAAUUGAUUGCUCAAUCGAUCAAGACCUAGUUGUUUCUUUUAGGGUUCUCAAGCUAAGAAUCUAUAAAUUGAAGAGUUUUAGAGCAUUUAUUUCUAAGAGAACAACUAUAUUGCAUUGAUAAACAUUUUUUUCUUCUCAUUUUGAGCUCUUUUACAAGUGCAUUGAAUUCCUAACUUGCUAAUCUUUUUAUGCACCUUUGAAUCUCUCCUAAUUUUUUCUUAUAUUGAGAGCUUGACUUGUUACUAGGUUUGAAAACCUUAAAUUCUUGCUUACCUACUCCUUAUGAGAGAAUCAAUUCAAGUGGGUUGAAUACUUGACGAGAUUGUAAAGGUCCAUUGGAACCUUGGAAUCCCAAUGUAAAGAGUUCAAAGACUUUGAUUAUAAAAGUCUUGAAGAUAAUGAAACUCUUACUUAAUUAGAAGCUUGAGGAAAGUCAAAAUAUGUAGCUUGUUGAUUGCAAAUCUCUAUUGUAAAUAAAAUAUGAAAGCCUAAAUACGUGACAAUUCUGGAAAAAAAAAAAUAGAGAUAGAGUUACCAUAGUUUUAUAGUAUUCUGAGUUGUCAUCCUCUACGAUCAGCUUUAGUGUGUUUAUUUGUUUUUAAAUUAAAAGGAUUAAUUAUUUACUAAAUUUAAUGAAAACCUAAUUUUAAUAAAUAAAGAUAAAAUAAGAACAAAGAUUUUCUAAGAUAUUUAAUGAAAUAAAAUCAAAUAAAAUAACUAAUGUUUCAGAAAGUUUCACAUUCCAGUGUCAAAUCCUUAGAGAGAAAGAGCAUUAUAAAAUCUAGGAUAUAAGAUUUAAGUGAAUCUGUGACAAAAUUGAAUCUUAAGACAAUAUUGCAUUCGACACUUAGAUUUUUCUUUUUCAAAAUAGAUUUCUUUUCUUUUUCAAAAUAGAUUCUUAAAACCAUUAAGUGAAUGAGAUUAAUUAAUGGUUAAAGGUUUGACCUUUUAACCUUUUCUCCUCCUUGUAACUUUAUUUUGGGAGAGAUAAUGAUAAGGAAGAUUAUGAUAAUUAAUGAUUAAGAUUUACCAAUAAUCACUAAUAUCGGGUAAUAAUCUACUAUCUUGAUAAGAAUUCUCUGUAACUUAUUUAAGGUGACCUCAUAUAGAGAAUUUAUUUGUAUCAAUUAGAUCUUGAAAACAUUAAAAAAAAAAAAAAAAAGCCUAGUAUAACUUUACAAUGGUCUUGCUACUCUUCUUUGGAUUUUUCACCUUCAUGUUAGCAUCUCCGAAUCAAUCAAGUUAGCUAAACAUGGUGGAGGAUUUCUCCUCACAACCUAUGUUUGGUUGGCAAGAAAGUCAAAUAGAAAGAUAGAAAAAGAAGAAGAAAAGAAAAAAAGGGGUAAAACUUUAUUAAAGAAUUUCAAGAUGAGAGAUCAAUGGAGAGAUCAAUCUCCCUCUCUCUGUUCUUUUUCAAAUCAAGAACUCCCUAGAAAACCUAAAAAUUGAGUUUUUAUAGUUUCUACAAAACCCAACACGUGGCAUGUUCCUAUUAGCCACUUAUUUUACAAAUAAUUACCUAAAAAUGAUUAAAAAUAAAAAAAUAAAAUCAUGAUUUCCAAUCGUGUGGGGCUCACGUAAGGCGGAUGAAGUACCGAAAAUGCAAUUCUCAAGAUAGAGUAGGUGAAAUAUCAAAGUAGUAGUGUGUAAUUUCAAAAUUAGGGUUAUUUCGAACUGGUUUCAAAAUCAUAAGUUGAAUUUUGAAAUCAUUUUGAAAUGGUCCUUUAACUCUAUGUAGUUGUUUGUAGAUGACCAUAACUUCUUCAUUUUAGCUCCAAUUUAUACACCAUUUGAAGCGUUAGACUUCUGACUUCUUAAGCUUCAAAACCAUAUGUGGUUUACCCUAAAAAGAUUACGAGAAUUACUUUAAAAAUCGUGUGAAAGUCAUGAUAUGUAUUAUGUAUACCAAAUCUGAGUUCCAAAUUCCAUUUUAAGCUUCAUUGCAUUUGCUUCCAACCCCUUUCGUUAUGGUUGCUUGCCAUUUAUCUCAUUCUAUAACAUUCAUUACUAGUAUUUCAUGCCCAUGACUCACUCUUCAAAAUUUCUUAGACUUUUUAUGGUUCACAAGUCUGGAAUAUCUCAUUUAUGCAUAUUUAACCCUUUAUACUAUCUUGGUUGAGAAGGACUUUUGCAUUUAAUGUUCAAAAUAGAAGUUAAAUCCAUAAUUAGGGUCUUAGCAUCACUUCGAGUUAAGUUGAAUGAUUUGAGCUUUUUAUAUUGCACAAAUCAAAUCAUAUAUGUGCUAUUAGAGUGUAUAUUUUGGUUCCAAUCACUUGAUGAACCACUAUAAAAGAGUUUGCAUUUCUCUUCUCUCAACUUAUUUAUAUUACUCUUGCUUUGGUCCUCAUUUCUCAUAUUAUUCGGUUUUAGUUGUCAAUUUUGAAAAAAAGUUUUAACACCCAAUUCACCCUCUCUCCCCUAGGUGAUAUCUUAAUCGAAUUAGUUUUUUUUUCGCAUUUCAUUUAUUCCAAAUUUAUUAAAUGUGAGCCAUUUUUAUACGUUGAGUGAUGCAUAUGACCAAUAGUUAGGAGGAUGCCCACUUAGUUGGGAUGUACAUAAACUACAACGAUGUAAUUCUCACCUCUUUUCCCUAUUUUUUUUUCCAUGUAAUUUGUUAAAAUAUUUAAUGAAAAUAUUAUCUUUUAUAUUAUUUGAUAUUCCAACAUAUUAACUUUAUUGUUAUUAUGAUAAAAAAAACAAAUUCAAAUAUAAUUUUUUUCUAUUUUUUAAAAUUUCUACAAAUUUUACAACUACAAACUUGAUAAAUAUAUAAAAGAUAUGUAAUUAUUUAAGAUGUUUGACGUAAUAUUAAGCAAUUCUACUUAAUAAUAAAAAAUUCUAAGACUCUAAAAAAGGACUUGAAAAAAUAAAUUAAAUAUUUACGACGUAGGAUAGCCCACCAAAUCGGUCCACCGAAAUGGGCCAUCAACACGACUAACUGGUAUAGCACAAAAUGACAAGAUUGGCUCUCGGGCUCAUAGGUCUUAUUGGGAGUCCAUUUGGCUUACAUAGGCCAACAUGACAUGAUACGACACGAUUUUCAAUUAGGCCGUGUCCGCUCAACAUGACCCCUUCAACAUCUCUAUCAGGUAUAGUGGCAACAAGGUUAGAACAACUACCUUAACCUCACCUGCCACGACCCCUGGUAUGUAGUCCCCCAUGCUUGGCCUCAAUUUAAUUUGUAGACAUGGAAAGAACCCCUAACUUGGUAAAGAUGCAAACGAGACAUGGAGCACUAAAGAGACUCACGGAAAUCUAAUGGAGCUUACAAGUAGUCAAGGAAGAGACCCUGGGGUCAAAAGUCAAUGGGUUUCUCAAAUAGAGAACAGAGGUGCAAGGCACCAAUAAUAGACUAAGUAGUCACGAGGAUAGUCAUCCCAUACAUUGUGACUCAAAAAGGAAACUCCAUGAGCUAGGGCAUGGAUGUUCACGUGGAACAUACUCACCCUACUAUUGCCAGCAAGUGGCUCCCAUAGACGCUCCCAAAAGAUCUGGGCAAUGUUAGUAUCGUGAAACUCCAUUAAAGAAAGCUCUCGCUUAAGAUCGACAUGACGAUUGACGUAUCAGGAUUAGUAGAUUUCCCUGCACUCCUUAGAGAAGAAGUAAUAAAUUAGAAGAUAAUUUAAAGAAGCAAGACUAUGGACCGAAGUAGCUGUCCCAGAUCUACACACCGGAGAUGAAAGCGGUGAUGGAGAAACUCUCCAAUGUAUGCCUAGAUGACAUCUCAGUGGAAAACGGAAAGGAUGAAAUACAAAGAGAUGUAGACACAUAUAUACCUAAAGAACUGCACAGUAAAAGUGGCCAAGAAAUUGAUUAAAACAAUCCUAUGAUGUCAGAAGCGCAAAUUAUUGGUUAAAAAAUAUCCUUAAGAAGUCAAACAAGGAAAAAUACAUCUAAAGACCAGGGAGAGUGUUGGAGUGGAAGAAAAUGUCUAGAAAGGUUCGGCUUUAAAUGGGUGAGUAAUUUGCAUGAAAUUAUUAUUUUCAUACUAAUAGAAGCCUUAAUGCAAACAAAGUUAAAAAAACACAGAGAUAAAAUAAUUACACAAAGGUACGCAAGGUUUUAAAUAGUUCGACCAACAUUAUCUACAUCCAUGGAUGAAAAAGAAUCAUUAUGCUAUACCAUAAAGAAUAUUACAGAAGAUAAAAUCAGAUAAAAUUAUUAAAUUUUUAAAACAUCUCGUAUUUUCCCAUUCCUUAUGUCUACACUUUGAACGUCUUCACUCCAAAGGGUGUUUCUCAUGUUUUCUUAUAUCUUCAUCCAUUUCGUAUAAAUUUUACAAGCUCGUUUUGAUCUUACAAUUUUUUCUCCUUAUGAUGUAAAAUAUUUAUAAAGAUAUUUUUAAUAUUUUUUCUUAUUGUAUAAAGAAAUAUAAUAUUAUAAUAAUAUAUCCCUUUAGCAAUAUCAUUCACAAUAUUCUUACAAAAAAAAAUAUAUACUAAUUAAGAAUUUAAGAUACUUUCCCACACAUAAGAAUAAAACUACUAGGUAAUUUAACUAUUCAUUAGUCUUUUCAGUAGUUUUCAGUAAAUUAUACUUGAUUGGUCAAUGUCCUUAUUUAGUGGCUAGUUUCAACUCAAGGAAGUACGUAGAGUGAGUCCCUUAACAUUUGGAAUAAAAUUACUAUCAUAAGCUAGUUAAUCUAUCAUAUGGAUAAGGUCAUGCAUGAAAGAAAAUGGAUUUUAACUUUUACAUCACGUAUGAUGAUGAUAUAAUUUGUUAUCUAAAACCAAAAUACUUUUAAGAAAUAUUUUUUAAAACAACAUAUAAUGUGUUUUUUAAAAAACAUUUCUUAUUUUACUAUAAUUAUUUAAAAAAAAAAAAAAUCAUAGUAUGGUCCCCGCAUUUCGGCUCAUGCGUUCCCCACUCGAUGGUGAGCUCUAUUUUUAUUUUGAAAAAUGAUUUAAUCGGUUAAAAAAAUGACUUGGAGUCGUCACUUAUUUUUGUUUUAUUUUUAAAAGGGUAAACAAAAUAAGAAAGAAAACCCUAAGUGUGACUCCUUAUUUGGAAAAAGUGAUCUGCGAAAAACCGGAUCGGGUUCGGGGGUCAGGUUACUUAUCGGGAAGGUACGGUAAAGACCGUAGCACCCCUCUAAGCCCCUAAAAUGGGUUUCUACUAAUAAAAUGAAACUGACAUGGCAAUUGAUGAGGAAAUCAAUGAAUAUCAAUAUGAUCACACACCGAGAAUCAAAGUAUGCAUGAGGAAUGGACAAAGUAAAAGAGAAUGCGUACCUUAGCAGUGAACGACAAUGCACUAUCAUGGAAUGGGGUUAGUGAACAAAGACAGGUUGAUUAUAUACAUAUCAUGGAACAUAGCAAAUCAAUCACGCAUGACAAAUAAAUCAAUUAAUCAAUCAAUUAGUCAUGAAUUCACAUAUGUGAGGCCCCCACCAAAGCCCAUUUUAUCUUGCCUGAAUCAAUUCCGAUAACUCCAUUGUUCGGAAUUACGGAAUUUGAUUCCUUGCUUAUUUCAAAACAUUUUGAAAAUAGAGGAAGUAUGAAAAUUGCUUACUAGAAAUAAAAGUGGCAGCAAAGCUUUAUUAAAAAUGUGAUUUUUGAACCUAAAGAAACUCUAAGGAUAAAGUAUGAGGCAAUUGGGACUAUUUGAAUACCAGGAUUUAAAAGAAUUUACAAAAUGGGAUUCCGGAUGUGAGAUAUCCGAAGAAGAGGGAACGUCGACCGGACAGAAUUCCGGAUGUGAGAUAUCCGGAGAAGGUGGAGCGUCGGCCGGAUAGAAUUCCGGAUGCGAUAUGUCCGAGUGGAAUGUCGGCGGGGAGGAAUUCCGGAUGUGAGAUGUCCGGGUGGAAUGUCGACGAGGAGGAAUUCCGGAUGCGAUAUGUCCGGGUGGAAUGUCGGCGGGGGAGGAAUUCCGGAUGUGAGAUGUCCGGGUGGAAUGUCGGCGGGGAGGAAUUCCAGAUGCGAUAUAUCCAGGUGGAAUGUCGGCGGAGGAGAAUUCCGGAUGUGAGAUACCCGGAUGGAAUGUCGGGGGAGGAGAAUUCCGGAUGUAAGAUGUCCGGAUGGAAUGUCGGGAGAGGAGAAUUCUGGAUGUGAGACAUCCGGAUAAGGUAGAACGUGGUUAUGAGUAGCAUGAAGGGUAGGUAUGGGUUGUAUGGAUAUGGAGGCUUGGGCGAGUGGUUUUAAUGGGUACGUGAAGGAGUGAAGGAUGACAUGCACCCGUGAGACUCCAUGUAAGCGAGGGAGUGGGAUGGAGAAUGAAUGAGAGGAAGAUGGGUGUGGUGGAGGAUGCUUGAUUCCUGCAAGCUUGAGUGAGGAAAUGGGUAUGACGACCUAGAGAAAGAGGUGGAUAGAUGAACGAUGGGUAAGGUAUGCACUCAAGGAGGAAAAGAAAACGAGGAGAUAACAGGAUAGCAACAAAAAGAAGAACAUGAAGACUUUAACCAGCAUAUCGGACUCAUUUCAUCAUUUCAUCCAUGGGUCCAACAUCCAGUGAGUUAAGAUGGAAAAUACGCGUCAGAAUAGGGCAUAAAACACAGCAAGCUCUCCCAACAUUUAAUCAGUAAUCACCAAAACAGAACAACCCAACAGGCAAAAAUGCAAAAUCACUGAGAAUCAGCCCUGGACAGUAUUAAAAAAAAAAUGGAAAAUAUAAAUAAAUAAAAAACGAAUGGUCAUACUUGGAAAUCUCCCUUCUCAGCUCCGUGUCCUGGACUCUUCCCAACAACUUUACGCUCCUCCUUUCUUCGCUCCUUACCCCAGUUCCACCAAUACUCUUUUUUUUCUCAAAACUCCCAGAAAAACUCCUCUCUUCCUCCGCAAUGCUGCCCUCUCCCCUUUCGUUUUUUUCGUCUCUUUUUCUUUCGUCCAUUUUUUCCUUCCUCUCAUUUCCUUCCUUCUCCUCCUCUCUUCUUUUUUCUGGAUUUGCCUUUUUUCUGGAUUUUCCCUUUCCAACGAUCUUUGCUGCAGCCACCUUUUUCUGCCCCACUCCUUCUGCAGCCACCUUUUCUUCUCUCUCAUCCGUGCCCCCUGACGGCCUGCAGGACCCCCUCCAGAAAGUUCCUCCACGUGUCAAAGUCCUACUACAACUUCAAAAAGCGAGGUUGAUUCCUUAUGGCCACUAAAGAUGUGACACGUGGCCCGCUAGGAUAGUGACACCUGGCUAAAAAUGUGAUCUACAAAAACAAAUAGAGAAAAAGUGACCCAUGCCUAAAUGGGGGUCUACACAUAGUUAUGUAAUAAGAAUAAUUAUAUUUUUUUUAAUUUUUUCUAAUUUUAAAUUGAUAAAUCAUGUUUUAUUGUGAUUCGAGGAAAAUAGCACAUUUAAUUUUUCAUUUGUGUUAUCUAAAAGAAUAAAAAAAUAAUGGAGAAUAUUUAAUUGUUUUUAAUUUUUUAUGGUAAAAUCAUUUUAAAAAUAAUAUAUAUAUAUAUAUAUAUAUAUAUAUUGUAUAGUGUUUUUUUGCUUAUUUUUUUAUAUAAUUUUUUUUUAUAAAAGCAUUAAAAAAAAGCAUCAAGUGAACGAUGUCAAUUAAUAGGUAUGAUGUGUUAGAUGUUAGUGAGAUAUAAAAAAGUAUCUCUAAUACUAUUACUUUUAUUAUAAAAUAUAAGUAUGAGAAAAAUAUAUUAUAAUAAAAAUAUAUUAUAAUCACAAUAUAAAUAUAUUUAUAUUAUAAUGCAUUACAAUAAAACAUAAUUGGAAACCCAUUUUAUUACAUUAUAAUUACAAUAAAUGUUCAAAUACAUACACACAUAAAAUUUGUGACAUAAUGCAAUAAUAUAUGAAUUUUGAAAACACAUUAAUAUUAAAUGGUAGUGUAUUUAGUUUGAAUAUUUUGAAGGAUAAAAAAGAAAUGAUGAUAUUUAAAUAAGUAUUUUUUAUUUAAAAAUAUAAAUAAUUUUUUUUAUGAAUUUAUAUUUAUCUUUUAUUUAAUUAGUAAAUAAAAUAUAUAAUAAGAUAAUUAAGAUUAACUUAUUUAUAAUAAUUCUAUUUUAAUUCACUUAUAAUAUAAUAUAUAUUUAUAAUUUAUCAAUUAUGUCUUCCCUAAACAAAAACUUGGUCCAUUGAUAUAGGUCAGUUCUUGAUUUGUUCGAGGAUCUAGGUUUAUUUUCUAUUCUUGUGGGCUAGUGAAAUGUUUUUUGUAAGUGUAAGUGUUACAAUAAUCCCACAUGAAGUUGGUAAUAAAAAAACACCCCCUAACGUACCGGACAAAUGAUCAAGGCAAAAAAGAGUAUAUAAUUUUGGCAUUAAAUACAAAAUUGAAAAAGGGCUCACGUGGCAAAAGUCGAGUAGUGAAGAAAAUGAAACUAAGAAUAAAGAUACAGGAAAGUUAAAGCCAACAAGGUAAGCACAAUCCAUGAAGUAAUGAAGAAAAUGAAGUUAGGAGUAAGAGUAAUUGAAAGUCAAAUCAUAACAUCUUUUAUUGACUUAGAGAUUUACUCGACCAAAGCAAAAGCUAUUAGAUGCUUGUCUUGUAAUGCAAUCUUGCCCUUUGUUCAAUUCACAGCCUUAAAUGAUUCACUGUCAUCCAAUAGAUGGAAAUGGUGAUCUUAAUCGGUUUUUAAAAAUAAAAAAAUAAAACAAAUUUUUUUAGUAUAAUUAAAAAUUAAUUAAGGAUUAAAGAUUAAAAAAUAAGACUAAAGUUUAAAUUUUAAAAUGUUGAAAAAUUAAAAUUUUAAAAAUUUAAAAAUAAAAAAUGUAAAAUAAGAAAUAAUUGAAGUUAGGAUCUAUAUAUGUAUCAUAUAUUUGUGCGUCGGUAUAGAAGAUUGGGAAAUUGGGAUUGGAUUAAAGUACAAAAUUCAAAAUGAAAUUACAAUAAGAAUACGGCAAAGGGAUAACGUUGGGACACCACUACUGAUGUACACUUCUAAGGCUAGACGUAAAAGUAGGUUGUGCCAUGUCAUGCCACCUGCAACAAAAUAAGGGGUUCUACAGAUUCUCUUAUCAGAAUCAUUUGAGAUAUAGGAUGGAUGCAUAAUGCAAUCUUGCCCUUUGUUCAAUUCACAGCAUUAAAUGAUUCACUAUCAUCCAAUAGAUGGAAAUGGUGAUCUUAAUCGGUUUUUAAAAAUAAAAAAAUAAAACAAAUUGUUUUCGUAUAAUUAAAAAUUAAUUAAGGAUUAAAGAUUAAAAAAUAAGACUAAAGUUUAAAUUUUAAAAUGUUGAAAAAUUUAAAAUUUAAAAAUUUAAAAAUAAAAAAUGUAAAAUCAGAAAGAAUUGAAGUUAGGAUAUGUGUAUCAUAUAUUUGUGCGUCGGUAUAGAAGAUUGGGAAAUUGGGAUUGGAUUAAAGUACAAAAUUCAAAAUGAAAUUACAAUAAGAAUACGACAAAAGGAUAACAUUGGGACACCACUACUGAUGUACACUUCUAAGGCUGGACAUAAAAGUAGGUCGUGCCAUGUCAUGCCACCUGGAAAAAAAUAAGGGGUUCUACAGAUUCUCUUAUCGGAAUCAUUUGAGAAAUAGAAUGGAUGCAUAAUGCAAUUUUGCCCUUUGUUCAAUUCAUAGCCUUAAAUGAUUCACUAUCAUCCAAUAGAUGGAAAUGGUGAUCUUAAUCGGUUUUUAAAAAUAAAAAUAUAAAACAAAUUAUUUUCGUAUAAUUAAAAAAUAAUUAGGGAUUAAAGAUUAAAAAAUAAUACUAAAGUUUAAAUUUUAAAAUGUUGAAAAAUUUAAAAUUUAAAAAUUUAAAAAUAAAAAAUGUAAAAUUAGAAAGAAUUGAAGUUAGGAUCUAUAUAUCAUAUAUUUGUGUGUCGGUAUAGAAGAUUGGGAAAUUGGGAUUGGAUUAAAGUACAAAAUUCAAAAUAAAAUUACAAUAAGAAUACGACAAAGGGAUAACAUUGGGACACCACUACUGAUGUACACUUCUAAGGCUGGACGUAAAAGUAGGUUGUGCCAUGUCAUGCCACCUGGAACAAAAUAAGGGGUUCUACAGAUUUUCUUAUCGGAAUCAUUUGAGAUAUAGGAUGGAUGCAUAAUGCAAUCUUGCCCUUUGUUCAAUUCACAACCUUAAAUGAUUCACUAUCAUCCAAUAGAUGGAAAUGGUGAUCUUAAUCGGUUUUUUAAAAUAAAAAAGAUAAAACAAAUUGUUUUAGUAUAAUUAAAAAUUAAUUAAGGAUUAAAGAUUAAAAAAUAAGACUAAAGUUUAAAUUUUGUUUGAAUUUUAAAAUGAUGAAAAUUUAAAAAAUUAAAAAUUUAAAAAUAAAAAAUGUAAAAUCAGAAAGAAUUGAAGUUAGGAUCUGUAUAUCAUAUAUUUGUGCGUCGGUAUAGAAGACUGGGAAAUUGGGAUUGGAUUAAAGUACAAAAUUCAAAAUGAAAUUACAAUAAGAAUACGGCAAAGGGAUAACAUUGGGACACCACUACUGAUGUACACUUCUAAGGCUGGACGUAAAAGUAGGUUGUGCCAUGUCAUGCCACCUGGAACAAAAAAUAAGGGGUUCUACAGAUUCUCUUAUCGGAAUCAUUUGAGAUAUAGGAUGGAUGCAUAAUGCAAUCUUGCCCUUUGUUCAAUUCAUAGCCUUAAAUGAUUCACUAUCAUCCAAUAGAUGGAAAUGGUGAUCUUAAUCGGUUUUUAAAAAUAAAAAAGAUAAAACAAAUUGUUUUAGUAUAAUUAAAAAUUAAUUAAGGAUUAAAGAUUAAAAAAUAAGACUAAAGUUUAAAUUUUGUUUGAAUUUUAAAAUGUUGAAAAAUUAAAAAAUUAAAAAUUUAAAAAUAAAAAAUGUAAAAUCAGAAAGAAUUGAAGUUAGGAUCUGUAUAUCAUAUAUUUGUGCAUCGGUAUAGAAGAUUGGGAAAUUGGGAUUGGAUUAAAGUACAAAAUUCAAAAUGAAAUUACAAUAAGAAUACAGCAAAGGGAUAACAUUGGGACACCACUACUGAUGUACACUUCUAAGGCUGGACGUAAAAGUAGGUCGUGCCAUGUCAUGCCACCUGGAACAAAAUAAGGGGUUCUACAGAUUUUCUUAUCGGAAUCAUUUGAGAUAUAGGAUGGAUGCAUACAAGGAAAGGAGACUCCUCCUCCUCCUCCUCUAAAACUUAUAUUUGUGUGUAGGUGAGAAGUUGGGAUUCCCCGAUCAAUUAAAAGGGAAAUUUGAUAAAAGUAAGAUUAUGAUAUAAGCUUUUAGAAAAAUAAUUGAUAGGAAGCUUUACAUCCAUAAGUUAUGAGAUAUUUUCAUGCUAUGUCAUUUUCUAGUAGGAUAGGUGGUAGGGGAUGACUUAUCCGAUGGCUUUAUUUCCAAAAUAGCCGGUAGCUGUGAAAUGAUUUAUACCUUUUAAAUUAAAGAAAAAAGUAAAAAAAAAAAAAAUUGAAAAAUGAAAAGGGAAAAGAAGUAUAAAACACAAAAUUUUUAAAAAAAAAAAUCCUUAUAAACUAAUUUUCCUUCAUUCCUUUUUCUUCCUUUCUUUCAUCAGGGCCAUGAUCCCCAAUUUUCAAACAUGGCAGAUAGAAAGAAUGUAAGGAAAAAGGAAGCCAUAAAUGUGGAAUAUGACAGUGAAAUAUCUUUCUGCAGUGUUACCAUGAGUCCAUGAGAGUGUAAAUGAUGAGACUUUUUACAUGAUGGAGAAUAGAAAUAAUAAGUCAUUGAUUUGGGUAUCCAAGAUGUGGUCCAAUUUUGAGAUGGAUAAGGCACGAGGACUAGACAAUUGGGGGGCCAUUUCACCCAAUCAUGCAUGACUUUAGAGCCCACGAGAGUGUAAAUGAUGAGACUUUUUACAUGAUGGAGAAUAGAAAUAAUAAGUCACUGAUUUGGGUAUCCAAGAUGUGGUCCAAUUUUGAGAUGGAUAAGGCACGAGGACUAGACAAUUGGGGGGCCAUUUCACCCAAUCAUGCAUGACUUUAGAGCCCACAUUAUGUGGUUUGUGUUUUUGACAUAUCAUAGUGUAGGGUGAGGGGGUGAGGCCCCACUUGGCUCCACUUGGUCUACCCUCUUUCAUUGGUAUAAAUAUUUUAAUCUUCCAAUAUGUUGGUGAAGUACCAAUCAAAGUCGUUGAAACCCACUUUCAUGAAUCAUCCCAACUUGGCCUCUUUGGAUUAGCAGUGAAAAUGGGAAUGCAUUAUUUUAUUUUAUUUUUAUUUUUAUUUUUUUAGAGGUUAUUUAUUCCUCUAACCCACGGGCUACCCUAUUGAAAAGACAAAGGAUGGAACCCAGCAUUAGAUUUUUUGGGUCCUCAAAGUAGGCUUUUUUUUUUUGACCUUUUUAUUUAUCCUCUUAAGCAUAUAAGGCUUCAAAUAUUAACCAUAUUCUCUUUUAUUUGGAUUAAAAUUGAUUAUUACUUUGCCUAUAUUUUUGGUUUUAGGUAUACAGUUUUAUGUAUUUCUAUUCAAUUUAGAGAAGCCUAUUACAUAUACAAUAUUAAAAAAAAAAAAAAUUAAUCCCAAAAAAUAAACACUUUUUUCCUUUUAACCAUACAAGACAUUUAUAAUUAAUCAAAUUUUAUUCUUUUUGAUCAAGAUUAUUGGACAUACAAUUCAAAAAUAUAUUUACCCAAUUAAGAAGAGACCGCUAUAUAUAUAUAAUACUAGAAAAAAAUUUCUAACAAAUAUGAGAUAUUAUAAUCAUCAUCAUAUAGGGUUUACUUCUUUUUAUGUAAAUAUUUUUCAUUGUAUAUCCAAUGUCUUCAUAAAUAUAUAUAUAUAUAUAAAAGAAGUUUACUAUAGAAGGAAGUAUACUUUGUUAUUUCAUUUUUUACUCAAUUUCGUUACAUUUGAAAAUCACAGCAUACUUUUUUGUUCGAUAAAAUCUUAAAAUAAGAUUGCAUUUUUUUUUUCAACAAUACCAUGAUUAACGGUGAGGCCAAUAAACUAAGUUGACAUGGAUUAUUACUCACACCAAUAGAUUUUUUAAGUUAUAAAUAUUUAUUUAAAAUAUUUUUAUUAUCACCUAAUAUUUUAGGUUGCUUAUUGUAUUUUUGGAUUAUAUUACAAAACCUACAAAUGGUGUAAUGUGUACUUGCAUUUUUCAUAAAUAUAAAAUCCAAUUUUUAUCCAAAUAUAAUAAAUCAAAUGAAAUUGAUGUUAAAAUGGGUUGGUUUGGUUUAAUAACUAAAUUCAUUCUUCCACCAACUUGAUUCAAUUAUCAAAUUAAUUAAUAACCAACCUAAACCCGACCUUAACCACCCUUAAUUUUCCCUUUGAAUGUAUACCGAUCACACUUAAAAUAUCCACUUCAUUGUUUAACAUUCGCUUUUAAUUCCAAAAUUCCCAAAUUCCCAAAUUAUCCUUGAUCUUAUGAAUGCUUAUGUAGAUUGAAGAUGCUAAAAUUCUUCAAAGAAAAUAUUGGAGAUUUCAUUCCACCAUUUUCUAAGUACAGAGAUACAUUUUCUAUAUUUUUUUUGUAACUUUUUUUCAAGGCCGAGCCUUUGAGGAAAAAGAAACCUCUUUUUUACAAUCACUUUUCAUUGUAAAAGAGUAACUUUUGUAAUAUGUUAGAAGAUUUUUUGUAACAUGUUGACAUACUUUAUUAGUUUUUGAGCACAUGAGGACAAUAGUAGUUGGACUCGUCUUCCUAAGUGCAUGUCAGUCGAUCAAAUCAUCCUGUAAGUUCAGAAGGUUGUCUUCUUUUAUGAUCUUGAUUUUAGGAUGAGGUGAUUUUAUACGUUUUUAAAUAUUUCGUUUGAGAGGUGAUGUAUUAAAGAUAUGUUGGUUUUUUGGUACCUCUAUAUAUGUUUAAACCAAAUUAAACAUUAUAAUUUUGUCAUUCCUUGUUAAGACAUGAAAGUUGACCGAUAAUACUUCCUAAGAAUCAACUUAUUCACUUUUUUUUAAAUUUUAUUGCAAAUAUAAUCAUAAAAUCAUUGUUAAAAUGAUCAAACUUUUUAAAAGAAUUAAAAACUAAUAGACAAAAUGGGGCGGAAGAUUCCAAAAUUAGGCAAACAUUGGUAAUUCUGCACGAGAAAAUCAUUUUACCAAAGUCAAUGUUUUUACCCUGUCCUUGCCUUGUCAAUAUCACUUUCCCUUCCCCUUAUCACGUGGCGCAAUAAAUACAAGAUUAAGGGCAGAAAGAUCCCCACGAAAUUACCAAAACGGCCCUCAUGCCCUCAAUACAAAGACCGACACGUACGGUUGGGUGGAAUUAACGCCUUAACCGUCGGUGGGCCCCGGAAGGACAGUGGCACUCUCGUGAAUGAAACAAACAAUCAGGGGGUAACAUGGUCAUGAAAAUUAUUUUAUAGCUCCCGCCAGACUAUAUAUUGAGGCCUUCGAGACCUGAGCCCAACAAGCAGGGGGUAACAAAUUAAAUUCAUUGUCAACAUCAAAAAUAAAAAAUAGAAUAAAAAAUUUGAAAUGAAUAUGUGACUACACGAUAGCUUCAUAUUGGUUGUCUUUUGAAAAGUGACUUUUGAAUAACAAAUAAAAAGUUUUAAAUGUCGUUAGCAUGUUAGAUGGACGAGAAUGCAACUUACCUCUUUGAGUGACAUAAAUUCAAUGAACAACAACAAACCCACCAAUCAAUUAUGGGUCACAUUUAAGAAUUAAUACAAAAGAAAGCAAUGAAAUAUAAUAAUAUAAAAAUAAGAUAUGAGUGCAAAAAAACAUGUAAAAAAAUUGAGACUGAUACCUAACACAUGUUGACUUUGUAUUGAUUGUCUGAAAAAUUUUAAAUAUUGUCAGCAUGUUUUUGAUACGUUAGGAGCCUCAUAAGGAUGCAACUAAACUUUGUGGGUGAUAUGAAUUUAAUAGAUAAUGACUAACGUACCCAUCAACCAAUUAUAUGAAUUUAAUAGACAAUGACUAACGUACCCAUCAACCAAUUAAGGGUCACAUUCGGAAAUUAAUAUGAAAGAAAGAAAUGGAAUAUAUAUAUAAAAUAUAAAAGGGCCAAAAAAGCUUAAAUUCAUUAUCAACAUAAAUAACUUUUAUAUUUUAUGUUGAUAAUGAAUUUAAUUUUUAUAUUUUAUAUUCUAUUUUUUAUUUUUGAUGUUGACAAUGAAUUUAAUUUGUUACAUUUAUAUAUUAUUUUUACAUAAUAAUAUUUCAUUUCCUUCUUAUAUAUUCAUUUUCAAUGGUGACCCAUAAUUGGUUGGUAGAUUAGUCAUUAUUCAUUUAAUUUAUAUAACUAAAAAAUAACUUGAAUCAUCAUCUAAUUGAUAUGUUAAUCGCAUUUAUUAUUUACAUUUUUCAAUCAACUUAAUCUGUUGAUAAUAACAACGGUCCAAAUUCAUAAGACAACAUGCUAAAAAAAUUUUAUUAGUAACGAAAAUUCUCAUCGAUAAACUUUUACCAAUACACUUUUCCCCGACUACCAUGUAUCGGAAUUAUUCGUUGAUAAAUGUUUAUUCUAAUAGUGUAUAUUAGUCAAGAAAAGUAAAAUUUGUUGUAAUGUGUUAACCAUGAGUUUAAUUUUUUGCACUAAUUAAUAUUUAAUUUUUAUAUAGUUAUAUUUCAUUUCUUUUUUAUAUUAAUUUUCAAAUGUGAUAAUUUGUUGGUGGAUUAGUCAUUGUUCAUUAAAUUACAUUGGUUCCAACAUGGUAGAAGCCAACUAUAACAAAAGUUGUAUUAUCAAAUGAAGUUCAUUUAAACCAGAUUUUUCUCAAUUCAAUUAAUCAUUAAGCCAGUCUAUUUUUGGGGUUUUGUUUUGUGUUGCACCAUAAUGCAAUUAAGUUAUUUGAUGAGAAGUCUAGCCAAAUUUGAUAUCGGUUGACCCACGCUAGUUGUUUGAUGAAAACCCAUCUAUUUGUACCAUGGAAAAAAAAAUACAUGGCAUUAUUAAAUUUCAGACUAUAAUUUCUUACAUCUUUUCAAUAUUCUAUUUGUAAUGCCAUGAUUAAAAGGGUCGAAAAUACGAAAAUAAUUAAACUCAAUAAGUUAAAAUGAUAGCAAAAUUUUAACCACAUUAAUGUGGUCUUCUUGAGCAGUAAAACAAUUAUAGUAAUUAUUAAUCUUCAUCUAAUUAAUCAGCUAAAAUAAUUAUUAUUAAUUAUAAUGAUUCAUUUUCGAUCGUGGAUAUUAUCUACUUCACUAUAAAUGUGCACCUAAUGCCUUUUGUCUUAUUGAUGAGGUAGGUAAUGUUUGCUUACCCAUUUUCCCUGCUCUCCUGUCACGUCAAGAGGAAAUUGUUCCCACAUGCAUGUCAGCCCUUUGCAGCGCCUGCCUCCGUGCUUUUAAUGCUCCGUCCGUAUUUCAGGUUGGUUAAAAAAUGCAAAAGGUUAAAAAUCAGAAAGAAUAGAAAUUAACAUCUGUAUGUCAUAUAUUUGUGCGCGAAUAUAGAAGAUUGGGAAUUUGAGAAUGGAUCGAAGUAAAAAAUUCAAAAUGAAAUUACGAUGAGAGUACGGUAAAGGGAUAACGUUGGGACACCAGUACGGAUGUACACUUCAAGGAAGUCGGAAUCGUUUGAGAUAUAGGAUGGGUGCAUAGAAGGGAAGGAGACUCCUCUAAAACUAAUUUUUGUGUGGAGGUGAGAAGUUGGGAUUCCCCGAUCAAUUAAACAUGGCUGAGGAGAGGGAUCCAGUAGAGUUGGGCAUGGCACUCGGCGCAGAUUCGAACAUGAAAGAAGACAGCGUAACAGCUAAGAAGAGGGCAAAACGGUGGGCAAUCACCGCAGAUGCGAGCAUGGAAAGAGAGAAGGGGACGCUUGAUCAAGACGAAGAUGAAGAUGAAGAUGAAGAUGAAGAUGAUUUGUGUGUAGGUGAGAGGUUGGGAUUCUCCGAUCAAUCAAACGGGUCUAAGGAGAGGGAUCUAGUAGAUCAGUUGGGCGCAGAUUCAAACAUGAAAGAAGACAAGGUAACAAGUGAGAAGUGGAGGGCAGAUUCAACACUGAGCAGCUCAGAUUCGAUAAUGGAAGAAUGCCUUGUACCGCCUGAGGGGUGGCCCACGGCAAUGGUACCGGCAGUGAAACUGUCAAUGGCACCGGCAAUGGCAGAUGUGAACAUGGCAGGAGAAUGGGCAACUCAUGUUGAAAGAAAUAUAAGUGCUCCUUCCACACACGGACUCCUCGCCUCCCCUGAUGAAGAUGAAGAUGCGGAGCAUAAGAAAUUAAUGGACCGCCGCAUGCACGCGCAAGCGACCAAAGGAAAUCUUGAUGACUUUAAAAAAAUUUUAGGCUCGAUAUCCUCCGAACAGGACCUUCAACACUCAGAAAUUCUCUGCCAAGUUAGUCCCCGGAAAAACACAUGCCUCCACAUAGCAGCAAGCUUUGGACACCAUGAUCUUGCCAAGUACAUCGUGAAAGAGUGUCCAGAUCUUAUCAAAAAUAAAAACUCCAAAGGCGACACGGCACUUCAUAUUGCUGCUAGAAAAAGGAAUUUAUCUUUCGUUAAGAUUGUCAUGGAUUCAUGCCCUUCUGGAAGUGGCGCAUCCCAAGAUGUAGAGAAGGCUGAGCCUUCAUUGCUGGGAAUUGUCAACAAAGAAGGAAAUACAGUGUUGCAUGAGGCACUGAUAAACCGUUGCAAACAAGAAGAGGUGGUGGAGAUCCUUAUUAAGACAGAUCCCCAAGUGGCUUAUUAUCCGAAUAAGGAGGGAAAGUCACCAUUGUAUCUAGCUGCAGAAUCACACUACUUCCAUGUCGUAGAGGCUAUAGGAAACUCUGAAGUUGAGGAGCGCAUGAAGAACAGAGACCGCAAAGCCAAGCCGGCAGUCCAUGGUGCCAUUAUGGGAAAGAAUAAGGGUAUUUCCCGCCUCCUUCUCUCUCUCUAUUAAAUUUUCUUCUUCCUCUUCAAACUUAAAAAGCAUUGUUUGCAAUGAUGUUGGGGCUUAAAUAAUCUGUUGCUUCUAACCAUAGAAGAAGUCUACUGGGCUUUUCUCAGCUUUUGCUUCAAUAUUCCUUGUUCCUAAAAAUUCAAAUUUUUUUAUUAAUUUAUGGGAGAUCCAUAAUAUUUACAACUCUUCUUUCCCAACCCAAACCCCGUCGUAAAUAUUCUUCAUCUUUGUUUUCAAAAUCCUAAUCCUAUUUUGUUGUCUUCUUAUUCUUCUUCAAAACUCCAGUCCUAAUUAAUUCUUAAUUUUAUUUUCUAAAUCACAAAAAUUUAAAAUUAACUAUAAAAAAAUAAAAAUAAAAAAUAAAAAUUGCAGUUAUAUAUGGCUUCGUUGUGUGCAUAUGGGAUGGUUUAAUUAAAUAGAGGGAGUAAAAAGGGCCGUAAGAGGGAAGAACAAUUGUCUGUAUAGUUUGGGGUUGACUUCAAGUGAUCAUUUAAGAUUUGAUUUCGAGCUUAAGGUUAGAGUUAGGAUUUUUCUUUUCCCUUUUUUUUCUUUAUGUUUUAUGUUUCUGAUGAAGUAGAAUGUAUCCUACACAUUUGAAAGAAACACAAAUUAUAAAUGAUGUGAUGAUUUUCUAUUAUUCCCCAUUUAACUAUUGCAAUAUCAUUAAGAGUAUGGAUAGGAAUAAGAUAGGUGUUUACAGAAAUCAUCCCGUUGAGUUUGAAAUUUAAAUAAAUGGGGUUUGAAAUGAGUUUGAGAUUUUUUCAAAGAAUUAAACGGAGCCAAAUGGGGUGGGACAUGUAUGAAGACGUUUAAAUUUUUUUUAAUGGGACGGGACUGAAAAAUAUUUUGAAUAAAUGAGAUGGGGCUUGGGAUAGAAGUGACCAUCCCGAACCCACCCCAUUUCAAUCCCUAAUUAAGAAGAAGAUAAGGUAAAUAACAAAAUUUGCAGAAAUUUUAAAAUCCAAGGAGGGAACUUAUAAUUAAAGGAAGCUUUCAAAAGCAUGGGCACCCCAUGUGGUACAACCUCGCACCAAAUUAAUACUGUUUUGUUGAAUUACAGAUAAUAAAAUAAUCAAUUAAAAAAAAUCUCUUUUCUAUUUUUAUAUUAAUUUUUCCUUCCUUAUUUUAAUUAUCUAAUAAUUGAACCCUUUCCAAAAAGAAAAGCAAUCUUAAUUUUAUUUUUUAUAUGUUCAUUUUUUUUUUUAUGUAAUUUUAGUUAUUAAUGACUUGCACUCAUAUAAUAAUAUCUUUAUUAGAAAAAGGUUGUUUGAAACAUUCAUAUAAAUUUUUCUUUUAUAUAUGAUGAAAAAAUGCCAGAGAUGUUGGAAAAAAUACUGGCCAUGAAGCUCGUCCACCAAAAAGACGAAGAUGGAAGGACUCCACUUCAUUGUGCAGCAUCCAUUGGAUAUCUCGAAGGAGUUCAAAUGCUGUUAGACCAAUCUAACUUGGAUCCAUAUCAAAUGGACUCUGAUGGCUUCUGUCCCAUCCAUGUUGCAUCAAUGAGAGGCAAUGUGGACAUUGUCAAAAAGUUGCUCCAGGUCUCCUCUGACUCAAUAGAGUUACUAAGCAAACGCGGUCAGAACAUUCUUCAUGUGGCAGCCAAGUAUGGUAAAGACAAUGUAGUCAAUUUUGUGCUCAAAGAAGAAAGGCUUGAGAACUUUAUAAAUGAGAAGGACAAAGGUGGAAACACGCCACUGCAUUUGGCAACCAUGCAUAGACAUCCCAAGGUCGUAAGCUCUUUAACAUGGGAUAAAAGAGUUGAUGUGAAUCUUGUGAAUGAUAGAGGCCAGACUGCUUUGAACAUUGUAUUACCAGUGAAGCAUCCACCUACAUUUCACCAGGUAUAUCUAUAUGAUGAUUUGCAUCUUGUUUUCUAAAUGAUGGGUACUACUAGUUGUUUCACCCUUCAACUGCAUGCCAUGAGUAAGAAAUUAGAAUGCCUCAUCCAUGCAUUGUUACAGUGCUAUGGCAUUUUCCUUCUUAGAUGCAUGCAUGCAAUUAAAUUAUUAAAAGGAUCGAUCAGGACAACAUGGUUUGUUUUCCUUUCCUAGAAGGACCGACUAAUAUUAAUAAGAACUAGAUCAACACUUCAACUCAAGCCACUGACCCCUGAUUGAAGGUCAAUUUGAGCCCAAGAUAUCCUAAAAGUCAAGAAAAUUAUGGAGCCUAACUCAAUCACCAUCACCCUCGCCCAGAUUAGAGCGACUCAACCAAGGUUAGGCUAGGUUUCUCCAGCAAGUGCAUAUACUCUUGAUGUCGGCAAAGACUUAUGGGAAUAAUUUUUUGCAUCAUACUAAAAAGUUUUCAGUGUAGAGAACUGCUAUAUCAUGUGCGCUUGUGGUUCCUCUCUUGCUGCUUCACAUUGCUUAAUUUCAUACUUCUAGUGGGUGUUCAUUGAAUUUACAGGGAAAAGAGAAUAGCUUCCCAACAAAAUAUUACGAAACCCAACUCAUGGAAUUAUAGUCUACUUUUAGUUAUUAUUACGACACAUACAUUUUAUGUUCUCUCUUUCUCACGAUUACAUUAACAGCAACAUUUUUUUCUCUAUUACGCAGGCACUAAUUUGGACAGCACUCAAAUCUGCUGGUGCACGACCAGCGGGAAAUUCAAAGUUCCCACCCAAUAGACGUUGUAAACAGUACUCUGAAUCACCUAAAAUGGACAAGUACAAGGACAGGGUAAACACUCUUUUGUUGGUUUCGACCCUUGUUGCCACAGUGACAUUUGCUGCUGGUUUUACCAUGCCAGGUGGCUACAACAGCUCCGACCCAAAUGUCGGCAUGGCUGCCUUGCUGAUGAGAAAUAUGUUCCAAAUGUUCGUCAUCUGCAAUACCACUGCUAUGUAUACCUCCAUCCUCGCGGCAAUCAUCCUCAUCUGGGCACAGUUAGGUGAUCUCAAUUUGAUGGAUACUGCCCUCAGAUUUGCAUUGCCAUUCUUGGGGUUGGCCCUUACUGCGAUGUCCUUAGGCUUCAUGGCAGGUGUUUACCUGGUGGUCAGUAAUCUUCAUUGGCUUGCAAUUGUUGUCGUCAUUAUUGGAAUCAUCUUCCUUGUCGGUCUCCUAGUACCCUUUUUUUUACUUUUCCUCCCAAGUAAGUCUACUAAUCGUAUCCUUAGGCACAUCUCCUAUUAUCCGUUUCUUAUAUUGGUAUGGGCAUCUAAAAGCCCCGAAAUGAAACGGGAAGAUUAGCUCGCCCUGUUGAUGAUGUCUGCUAGCUCCAUCUUCCCCUAUGUUUGUUGCUUCUUUCAGCAUUAUCUUAAUGAGAAAGUAUGUUAUGUAUAAAUGCUUAGUGUGAUCAGAACUUCAAUAUAUUGACGGUGUUGUACAUGACCAUUUCUUAUAUAAAUCUAUGGUUUUUGGAUCUAUAAUUAGGUAGUUCUAUAUAUAUUUCAAUAAAUACUCCAUUCAUACAUAAAUAACGUGAAUUCGUUAUUAAUAGGUUCAGUUUAAUUUAUUGAUUGAAAUUUGAAUUUGCAAUUGCAAUUUUUACACUUUUUUAAUUAUUAUUAUGAGAAUUUUGAUUUUCAAAUCCAGGUUACAUCUUCUACAUUACAAUUCAUUGGGAAGGGGAAUAGGUUUUAAUUUUGGAAAAAAAAAAUUUAUUGCCUUUUGAGUUCCAAAGAAUUUUUCAAAAUUAAGGAGUUUAAUCAUUUUUAAAAAAUAAUUUGAAAAUAAAAUAUUGAGGGAGUUAACACUAGAACCAAGAAUUGGUUGAAAAGGACUAUAUUAAUCUCUAGUUUAUGCACAAUUAUAUUUUUCAUUAUAUUUUAUUAUAUUAUUAAUAUUCAUAUUUUAUUAAAAUUUAUUUAUUUUGAAUUUAUUUAUAAUUAAAAAAUUAUUUUUAUUUUUAAUAAGACACAAAUUAAAUUUAACUUAUAUUAUAUAAAUUAAAUUUAUAAUUUUGUGAUUUUUACAAAAUAAAAAUAAAAUUUAUUUUUAGAAACAACUAAUUUAAUUCUUAUAAUCAUUUAAGUUAUCUAAAUAUAAAAAUAAAUGAGAAAAUAAUGGAGAUCUUCAUUUCCAUUCCUGUUUUACCGCGUGGCAAACAGCCCCUCAUCUUAAUUAAUAACAUAACAUGAUUUAUAUAUUUGAUGGACGGUAAAAUCAACCCUUUGUUUGGUAACUCAUAUUGUAGUAAACCCUAAGUUGAGUUUGAUGAUAGUCGGACGUAUUGACGACGGAUUUGACGGACAUAACGUUCAAACCCGCUCAAAGACUCAAUCAAACCCACAGAACUUCACAACUGAUUAAAAUAAUUUUAUAAACCAAAAUGAUCAAACUUUGUAGUUUCUGGGAUUCGUGUUGAUGCUUCCAAAUAGGUUCCAAGAUGUUCCCAGUGAGUUUGGAAAAGAGAGAAGUGGAUUCCUUGAGCUUCUCAAACAUUUUCUUAGAAAAUGUCAAACGCUUGGUCUCAAAAUCUAACCUGUAUGAUUCAAACACACCCAUGAGUUUGAGUUGCCGUGCUUCAUAUCCAUUCCGUGUCUGCUGGAAGUCCUAUGUGAUGUAAGUUGGACUAUCAAAUGAAUUGCUUUUGAGUAUCAAAUUUUUUAUUCAACUUAUCAUAUGUAUGUAAUGCAUAGGUUCUUCUCUCACAUAUUGACUUGGCCCUUACUUCCAUCCCAAGCAAGAGAGUGCAGGUAUCUCAUGGCCGGCAGUGGACUAAUGAUAUAUGAACUCAUUUUAAAUUGGGUCUGACUAACUUGGCCACUGGGGUUGUUACCUUGAAAGGACUUGAGUGGGGUUCAUGUUUAAGUCUUUCCUUUUUAAUCUAGGUAUGUACUGUGUGUGCUCUCUUCUUGUUUUAGUUGAAUUCAAAGAAUAGUUGUUUCUUCCUAGUCUGGGUAAGUGGUUGCUUAAGGGUAUCAUAUUAAGAUUUUUAUUAUUUUUAUUUUCUGUUUUUGACUUGGUGCCUUUUCAAGAUUUUGAAUUGUCAAAAAAGCUAGUUAUAUUGUAUAAACAAUCAUCAUAGGAUUAGAAUUAGUAUAUAUAAUUUGGUAUUGAUGUGCAUGUUCUCUUCCUCUGUAUGACCUAUCCUUUGCGAUGAAGUAUUGGACUGGUUUCUUUGUUGCCAUUAUUUCUUUUUUCUUUUAAACUUCUUAAACCAACAUAAAUACAAGCACAGCUAACGGAUUUGAUUAGGCAAGUCAACUACAAUAGGAGAUAUUAUGAGACAAAACGAUUUAAUGAUGAAUUUUGAGAGGCUAAGAAAGCAGGGGAGGGGAGAAAGAUGGAAGACAGGGAAACAAAGGCAAAAACAACCCAAGAAGCAAGCCAUCUUGGCAAUCUCUGAGCAUAAGGAUGCCAAAUUGUUGGAGGACUAUGUGACAGCUAGUUCCAUGGAUCCUGAUUUGUACAGAGCUACGAUACAAGGAGACAUUCUUGAAUUCAUAAAAGCCGUGGAACAAGGACCAGACAAUAGACACGCUGGUGUACCUGCUGCAUCUUGUAUCCAAGUGACCCCUCAGAAGAACACAGUUCUUCACCUAGCAACGAUCUUUGGACAUGACGAGAUUGUAAAACUCAUUUGUAAGGACUUGCCCUUUCUUGUCAUGGAAAGAAAUUGCAGAGGUGACACUGCACUUCACAUUGCAGCCAGAGCUGGCAAUUCACUGCUAGUGAAUUUGUUGAUUAAUUCAACAGAGGGGGUUUUGGGUGUGAAGAAUGAGACGGGUAAUACCGCAUUGCAUGAGGCAUUGCAACAUCGUCAUGAAGAGGUGGCCUGGAAUAUAAUUAACAAAGACAGAAAUAUGUCUUGUUCUGUCAAUAAGGAAGGAAAAUCUUUGUUGUAUUUGGCCGCAGAAGCAGGAUAUGCAAAUCUUGUUAGGUUUAUAAUGGAAAAUCCUGCAGGAAACUACAGCAUUGAAGGAAAGCUCGAGAACAAACCAUCUGUGAAAGCUGCCAUUCUUGGGAAGAACAUAGGUAAAUGAAAUUCUCUUCUCUAAUCUCCCUUUUUUUUUCCCUUUAUUGGUAUGCUUGUCUUCCAAUUUCAGACUUCCAAGAGCCUGCACUUGGAUUGGAAAUUUUUAAGUGACUGCACUUUCACACCUCUUAGUUUUUUCCUACAAAAAGCCCUGCAACUACUACAAACCACCCAAUUCUCUGCACCAGUGAAUCAGAAAACUUUACCCAAACUAUAUUGCAUCCAAUUGUCACCAUUAAAAGGUAAUGAUAUCAUGGCACAUAAGAGCAUUCUCAUUUUUCUGGAAGUUGGAAGACCUCAAUUAUUUCUUGCUUAAUUAAAUCAUUUUAUGCUGAUGGUAGUAUGGUACUUGACUUUCAAUGAACAAUGGUUAACUUUUGGUGAGAUGUAUUUUCUGGUGUAUAACCUGAUAUUUUUAGUUUGAAUAUUCUGAGGGAUAAAAAAGAAAUAAUGAUAUUUAAAUAAGUAUUUUUUAUUUAACAAUAUUAAUAAUUUUAUUUAUGAAUUUAUAUUUAUCUUUUAUUUAAUUAGUAAAUAAAAUAUAUAAUAAGAUAAUUAAGAUUAACUUAUUUAUAGUAAUUCUAUUUUAAUUCAUUUAUAAUAUAAUAUAUAUUUAUAAUUUAUCAAUUAUGUCUUCCCUAAACAAAAACUUUGUCCAUUGAUAUAGGUCAGUUCUUAAUUUGUUCGAGAAUCAAGGUUUAUUUUCUAUUCUUGUGGGCUAGUGAAUUGUUUUUUUAAAGUGUUAAGUGUUACAAUAAUCCCACAUCAGAAGUUGGAGAGAAAAAACACCCCCUUACGCAGCGUGCAAAUCGAUCAAGAUCAAGGCAAAAAGAGUAUAGAUGGAAAUGGUGAUCUUAAUCGGUUUUUAAAAAUAAAUAAUUGUUUUUAUAUAAUUAAAAAUUAAUUAGAAUUAAAGAUUAAAAAAUAAGACUAAAGUUUAAAUUUUGUUUGAAUUUUAAAAUUUUGAAAUAUUAAAAAUUUAGAAAUUUAAAAAUAAAAAAAAUGUAAAAUCAGAAAGGAUUGAAAUUAGGAUCUGUAUAUGAUAUAUUUGUGCGUCGGUAUAGAAGAUUGGGAUUUUGGGAUUGGAUUGAAGUAGAAAAUUCAAAAUGAAAUUACAAUAAGAAUACGGUAAAGGGAUAACGUUGGGACACCACUACUGGUGUACACUUCCAAGGCUGGAGGUAAAAGAAGGCCAUGCCAUGUCAUGCCACCUGGAACAAAAUAAGAGGUUCUACAGAUUCUCUUAUCGGAAUCAUUUGAAAUAUAGGAUGGAUGCAUGGAAGAAAAGGAGACUCCUCUAAAACUUGUGUAAACUUGUGUUUGUGUGUAGGUGAGAGGUUGGGACUCUCCGAUCAAUAAGGAACUCGGAGCAGAUUCGAACAAGGAAGAAGGCGGGGAAGGGCAGAUGGCACCACGCAUGACAUUCUCCGCAGAUGUGGACAUGGAUAGAGAUAGAAGUGCUCCUUACAGCUAUAAACACAUUGUCCCUGCAAUCUCCGCAGAUAGAAGUGCUCCUUCCACACGUGGGCAUGGCUAGAGAUAGAAGUGCUCCUUCCACACAUGUGGGCAUGGCUAGAGAUAGAAGUGCUCCUUCCACACAUGUGGGCAUGGCUAGAGAUAGAAGUGCUCCUUCCACACAUGAACUCUACGCCCCUGCUCCGGAGGAGAGGCUAGCAUCCUUUAUACGCUUCGCAUUCUUAGUAUAUAGGGAAAUUGAAGAAAAUGAGAAGAUGCUUCAUCAAGGAAGUGGAAGUGCUCCUCCCACACAAGGAGUCGUCGCUCCCGCCGAUGAAGAUGAAGAUGUGGAGCAGGAUAGAUUAAUGGACAGCCGCACGUACAUGCAGGCGACCCGAGGACGUGUUGAUGAAUUUAUUCAAAUUUUAGAAUCGAUAUCCUCUGAACAGGACCUUCAACACUCAGAAAUUCUCUGCCAAGUUAGGCCCCGGAAAAACACAUGCCUCCACAUAGCAGCAAGCUUUGGACACCAUGAUCUUGCCAAGUACAUCGUGAGAGAGUGUCCAGAUCUUAUCAAAAAUAAAAACUCCAAAGGCGACACGGCACUUCAUAUUGCUGCUAGAAAAAGGAAUUUAUCUUUCGUUAAGAUUGUCAUGGAUUCAUGCCCUUCUGGAAGUGGCGCAUCCCAAGAUGUAGAGAAGGCUGAGCCUUUAUUGUUGGGAAUUGUUAACAAAGAAGGAAAUACAGUGUUGCAUGAGGCACUGAUAAACCGUUGCAAACAAGAAGAGGUGGUGGAGAUCCUUAUUAAGGCAGAUCCCCAAGUGGCUCAUUAUCCGAAUAAGGAGGGAAAGUCGCCAUUGUUUCUAGCUGCAGAAGCACACUACUUCCAUGUCGUCGAGGCUAUAGGAAAACCUAAAGUUGAGAAGCACAUGAGCAUUAACAGAGACCGCGAAGCCAAGUCGGCAGUCCAUGGUGCCAUUCUGGGAAAGAAUAAAGGUAUGACCCGCCCCAUUCUCAAUCUCCAUUUAAUUCUCCUGCUCUUCUUCUUCUUCUUCAAACCUAAAAAACACCAUUUCCAAUAAAAUCUUAAACCUGUAUUUGAUUCUCAUAGUUGAAAAAAAAUUAUUAAGGAAAGUGAUUUUCUAAUAUGCUGUUUUACCAUGGAAAACAUGAAAGAAAGUAAUUAAAAUUAAUAAGAAAUUUAUAUCAUUUAAAAUUAUUUAAUUUUUAUAUAGAAUAGUUAAAUAAGUAAAAUAAAUUUAAAGUAAUAUAUAAAAAUAAUUUAUCGACUUAAAUUUUAUUUUAUUUUUUAAUUUUUCUUCUUUAUUUUCUGUGUUCACAUAUUCCCUCAAACUUUCAGACCAAACAUAACCUAAAUGAUCACUUGAAGUCAAUCCCAAACUAUCCAAACAAUUCUUCUUUCUUAUAGCCCUUUUUGCCUCCCCUCUAUUUAAACCAGCCAAUAUGCACGCAACAAAGCCACAACAGCAAAUUUUCUUUAGUUAAUUUUAAAAUUUUGUGAUUUAGAAAGGAAAAUUAAGAAUUAGGAGCUAGUGGGGUUUUGAAGAAGAAUAAGAAGAUGGCAAACUAGGAUUAGGAUUUUGAAAACAAAGAUGAAGAAUAUUAUUUACAAGAACGGGUUUGGGCCGGGAAGAGUAGUUAUAAACAUUAUUGAUCUCCCAUAAAUUAAUAAAAAUUUUAAUCUUUUAGGAACGGGGAAUAUUGAAGCAAAAGCUGAAAAAAAAAAAAAAAAGCCAAUUUACUUUUUCUAUAAUUAGUUCAACAGAAAAACAUAAAUGUGUUCUCAUUUUAAUUUCUUUUAUAUAUGAUGAAAAAAUGCCAGAGAUGUUGGAAAAAAUACUAGCCCUGAAGAUCGUCCACCAAAGAGAUGAACAUGGAAUGACUCCACUUCAUUAUGCGGCAUCGAUUGGAUAUCUUGAAGGAGUUCAAACGCUGUUAGCUAAAGACCAAUCUAACUUCGAUCGAUAUCAUAGGGACGACGAAGGCUUCUUACCCAUCCAUGUUGCAUCAAUGAGAGGCUAUGUAGACAUCGUCAAAGAGUUGCUCCAGGUCUCCUCUGACUCGAUAGAAUUGCUUAGCAAACACGGUGAGAACAUUCUUCAUGUGGCAGCCAAGUAUGGUAAAGAUAAUGUAGUCGAUUUUCUAAUGAAAAAAAAAGGGCUCGAGAACCUUAUAAAUGAGAAGGACAAAGAAGGAAACACGCCACUGCAUUUGGCUACCACGUAUGCACAUCCUAAGGUCGUAAACUAUUUAACAUGGGAUAAAAGAGUUGAUGUGAAUCUUGUGAAUAAUGAAGGCCAGACUGCUUUCGACAUUGCUGUAUCAGUGGAGCAUCCAACGUCAUUGCACCAGGUAUAUAUGACGAUUUGCAUCUUGUUUUCUGAAUGAAGGGUACUACUAUUGGUUUCACCUUGAACUGCAUGCAUUGUUAAUGCUAUGGCAUUUUCCUUCUUAGAUGCAAGCAUGUGAAUUAUUAAAAGGAUCAAUCAGGACAACAUAGUUUGUAUUUCUUUCCUAGAAGGACCGACUGAUAUUAAUAAAACCUAGUUCAACUAAAAGAAGAUCAAUUUGAUCCCAUGAUAUCCUAAAAGUCAAGAAAAUUAUGGAGCCUAACUCAAUCACCAUCACCCUCGCCCAGAUUAGAGCGGCUCAACCAAGGUUAGGCUAGGUUUCUCCAGCAAGUGCAUAUACUCUUGAUGCCGGCAAAGACUUAUUGGAAUAAUUUUUUGCAUCAUACUAAAAGGUUUUCAGUGUAGAGAACUGCUAUAUCAUGUGCGCUUGUGGUUGCUCUCUUGCUGCUUCACGUUGCUUAAUUUCAUACUUCUUGUGGGUGUUCAUUGAAUUUAUAGGGAAAAGAGAAUGGCUUCCCAACAAAAUAUUUCGAAACCCAACUCGUGGAAUUAUAGUCUACUUAUACUUUCUAUAGUUAUUAUUACGACGCAUACAUUUGAUUUUUUUUCUUUCUCACGAUUACAUUAACAGCAACAUUUUUAUCUCUACCACGCAGAGACUAAUUUGGACAGCACUCAAGUCUACUGGUACACGACCAGCCGGAAAUUCAAAGGUCCCACCAAAACUGCCUAAAUCACCUAAUACGGACCAGUACAAGGACAGAGUAAACACUCUCUUGUUGGUUUCGACCCUUGUUGCCACCGUGACAUUUGCUGCUGGUUUUACCAUGCCAGGAGGCUACAACAGCUCUAAUCCAAGUGCCGGCAUUGUAGGGACCCCUCCCCUUGGGAAACACGUGGCACGCAGCUCAUAGUGACGCAUGGCACGUGUUAUCAGCCGGACCUUCAUCAUCCGGAUUCCCCUGAGGAUAUGCAUGGUGCAGUUAUCCUAUCCGGACCGCCUCAAGGAAAGGCAAACGACGUUUCAGCUUCUCCUAUCCAAGGAAGAGCAAACGACGCUGGCAGAGCGUAGACAUCCGGAUAGUCUCCACAACACAUCCGGAUAAUCAGCAUGAGCCAUCCGGAUAUAAAUCGUCUGGAUGGUCAAUUAAAGUAAAGCGAGUCUUACACGCAAUCACAACAAGCAGCCAUGGCCCACAUCUUGUCACCUGCAGAGUGAGAAGACAAGAGGAAGUGACAGCAAGUCACUUCCCACGAUCAUUCUACAUAACCACUUCCCACGAUCUCUGACAACCGCAUCACCUACCAUGGUCUCUGACAGCCAUUCGUAGGAUGAUAAUGCUCCUACUGGCACCUAUUAUCAUCAUUACAACAUAAAAUAUCUCCUCACCAUUAAUGAAAGGAGCAGUACCCCUGAAGUUGUAUAUAUAUGCCUUCACACGCAGAAGAAGGGGAUCCCCUGGUAACCUUUUGAUACCUAGUGAAAGGCCAACUGAUUUAUAUAUCUCUCUCUCUUAUCAUGGCUAACAAAACCAUCGGAGGGUGUGUCCGGACACCCUGUCCGGAUGCCUUUUGCAGGUACAAACCGCUGAAUCAAGAACCCCUUGUGUGUUGAGAAUCGCGUGUCCAUCCAUCUAGCAGCAACGUGGACCACUGGAUACGCGAGGCGACAACAUUGGCGCCGUCUGUGGGAAGCUUUACUUUUUAUUUUGAUUCAGUCACUAGCAAAGAUGGCCACACCUUCCCAAAGUCGAUCAUCUGGUAGAGGGGAGGAAGAUAAUCUCGAAUGGCGUCAGGCCAUCGAAAAAAGACAGUUGGCGAGCGAAAAACAGCUAAGAGCUCUCCUCCAGGAGACGGAGAGGUUAAGGGAAGAAAACGCUGUGUUACGCGUUCAAGCCUCAACGUCAGGUCCUCCUCGUCGUCAGCAUUCAAGAGGCCAGGUGGCAAACUCAAGGCCAGAGCCAGAAUCAAUAUAUCCUGGGUCAACAGGAGCUGUCCCAGGAGCAUACAACGCAAGGCCCCAUGAGCCACGUACACCUAUGCCUUGAGCUCCCCGUGAGGAAAGCUCAGAUUCCACUCAUUUUUCAGCAAAAAGACAACAUGAUAGAAAAUCACAGUUGUCAAGUUCUAUGCGCGCAAGACUAGGCCCACAAGAGCCUGGGAGAUCAAGGCCACCAGUAGCCACAACCCAGGCGCCACGCCCCGAUCCUAUGAUCGCUCCCAUGGUGCAGAACGUACCUCCGCAUCGUGACCCCAUGGUCACCCCAGCGAUGCGGAACGUUCACUCACACCUAGCGGAACGACCAGCUGGGAGAAACCUCCCAAACGAGCCACCCAUUGGCUCCAUCAGCAAAAGGCUGGAUGACAUGCUCUCCAUGCCCUUUUGCUCUCAUAUCACCCAUUACGAGCCCCCAAGGGGAUUCCUCGUACCAAAGUUUUCCACAUACGAUGGGACCAACGAUCCCUUCGAUCACAUCAUGCACUAUCGACAACUUAUGACGCUCGAUAUUGGCAACGAUGCAUUGCUAUGCAAAGUAUUCCCCGCCAGCCUUCAAGGGCAGGCCCUCUCAUGGUUUCAUCGCCUACCUCCUAACUCUGUUAACAAUUUCACGGACCUCUCUGAAGCUUUCGUGGGACAGUACUUGUGCUCUGCUCGACACAAGCAGAAUAUCAGCACCCUCCAGAACAUAAAAAUGAGAGACAACGAAUCCUUGAGGGAAUUUGUGAAACGAUUUGGCCAAGCCGUACUUCAAAUAGAGGCUUGCAGCAUGGAUGUUGUCCUACAGAUCUUCAAGAGAAGCAUCUGUCCAGGCACUCCAUUUUUCGAAUCACUGGCCAAAAAGCCUCCUACAACGAUGGACGAUUUGUUCAGACGUGCUAACAAAUAUUCAAUGCUCAAAGAUGACGUACGUGCAGCCACUCAGCAAGUUUUGGUUGCCGGACGGGCUUCUAGAAAUGACGCGGACAGAUAUGCCAAACCUCCGGACCGGCCAAAACCAGUUGACCGGAGGCAGGACGGGCCGAGUCGUCCGGAUAGGCCACCCAUCACACCCCUAUCCGUGUCAUACGAAAAACUUCUCCCAAUGAUCCAAGGGUUGUCCGACUUCAGGUGGCCUAGACCCCUCGAAACGGACCCAUCCAUGAGAGACCGCAGCAAGAAAUGCGCCUUCCACAAAGACCAUGGUCAUACAACAGAGACAUGUCGGUCCCUCCAGUACCUAGUUGAAAGGCUCAUCAAAGCAGGACAUUUAAAACAGUACCUCCGCUCAGAAGCUGGAGGAAGGGACGCAUCUCAACAUCAUAACUCUGGGGCCCCGAGGGCCCCAAUCGCCCCCAAGGCUGUCAUAAACUAUAUCAACGGGGGCCCAUCUGACGAGGAAUACGAUUCCAGGAGGAAAAGGCAGAAAUUGCUGCGAGCCGCGUCAGUACGCGAACGCAUUAAUUCCAUCCGACCGGGUCUCACUGGAGAGGGCCCUCGCCCCAUAGAUGGAACAAUCAUUUUCCCACCAGUAGAUCCCACCCGGACGCUACAGCCACAUCGCGAUGCCCUCAUCCUCUCCCUAGAAAUAGGAGAUUUCGAUGUAAGACGUAUCUUGGUCGACCCAGGCAGUUCAGCCGAUCUGGUGCAAGCAUCAGUCGUUGGCCAUAUGGGACAUAGUCUCGCGGGUCUCGAAAACCCCGGACGAAUCUUAUUCGGAUUCAACGGGUCAUCAACCACAUCCUUAGGAGACAUCAUACUGCCGGUCCAAGCUGGCCCAGUCACUCUGACGGAGCCUCACGCUCAUCAGGCUCUGGAGUUGGGCUCAUACUACAGUCCCCAACUGGGGAACAUCUGGAGCAAGCCAUCCGGCUGGGAUUCUCCGCGUCUAACAAUGAAGCAGAAUACGAGGCCAUCCUGUUCGGGUUGGACCUCGCCCUUGCUCUAUCCGUCUCCAAACUCCGAAUCUACAGCGACUCGCAACUAGUGGUAAGGCAUGUCCAGAAAGAAUAUGAGGCUAAGGACGCACGCAUGGCGCGAUACUUGGCCAAAGUAAGAAGCACCUUACAGCAAUUCACCGAGUGGACAAUCGAAAAAAUUAAGCGAGCUGACAACGGGCGCACUGACGCCUUGGCCGGUAUAGCUGCUUCCCUCCCCAUCAGAGAAGCCAUUCUAUUGCCUAUCCAUGUACAAGCCAAUCCCUCUGUCGCAGAAAAUUCCACUUGCAACACCGUUGAGGCAAACCAAGCGAAUGAUCAAGAAUGGACGCAUGAUAUUGCAGAAUAUCUCCGGACAGGCACUUUACCCGAAGAUCCUAAACAAGCGCACAAAAUCCCGGUGCAAGCUGCCCGUUUCACCCUGAUUGGGGGGCACCUGUACAAGCGAUCCUUCACAGGGCCUUAUCUUCGCUGUCUUGGGCAUUCAGAGGCCCAGUAUGUGCUAGCUGAAUUACAUGAGGGAAUAUGCGGAAAUCAUAUGGGAGGACGAUCCCUGGCACAUAGAGCUCAUUCACAAGGAUACUAUUGGCCAACAAUGAAGAAAGACGCGGCAGCAUAUGUCCAAAAAUGUGAUAAAUGUCAAAAAUACGCUCCCAUUCCACAUAUGCCAUCGGCAGUAUUGAAAUCAGUCUCAGGCCCAUGGCCUUUCGCGCAGUGGGGCAUGGACAUAGUGGGACCCCUCCCAGCAGCACCUGCCCAGAAGAAAUUCCUCCUUGUCGCCACUGAUUACUUCAGUAAAUGGGUAGAAGCUGAAGCAUAUGCAAGCAUCAAAGAUAAAGAUGUCACCAAAUUCGUAUGGAAGAACAUUGUUUGCCGCUUUGGAAUUCCCCAAACCAUCAUAGCUGACAAUGGUCCACAAUUUGACAGCAUUGCAUUCAGGAAUUUCUGUUCGGAACUGAAUAUUCGGAAUUCAUACUCCACGCCGCGUUAUCCUCAAAGCAAUGGGCAGGCGGAAGCCACAAACAAAACUCUAAUCAAUGCCUUAAAGAAAAGGCUUGAGCAAGCCAAAGGGAAGUGGGUGGAGGAGCUACCCGGCGUCCUGUGGGCCUAUCGAACCACACCCGGACGACCGACAGGAAACACUCCUUUCGCCCUCACAUAUGGAAUGGAUGCAGUCAUUCCCAUUGAAAUAGGUCUUCCUACUAUCCGGACCGAUGCAGCAAAACAAGAAGAUGCCAACACGGAACUAGGAAGAAAUUUGGACUGGGCAAACGAAGUCAAAGAAAGCGCGGCCAUCCGGAUGGCAGAUUAUCAACAAAGGGCAUCAGCGCAUUACAAUCGAAAAGUCAGGCCCAGAAACUUCAAAAAUGGUACGCUAGUACUUAGAAAAGUUUUUGAAAAUACUGCUGAAAUAGGCGCAGGAAAGUUCCAAGCCAAUUGGGAAGGACCCUACAUAGUGUCUAAGGCAAACGAAAAUGGAGCCUAUCAUUUACAAAAGCUAGAUGGCACUCCGUUACUCAGACCAUGGAAUGUGUCCAAUUUAAAGCAGUACUAUCAAUAAAAAGUAUACACAAGUGCAAAUGAGAAAGAAGUAUGUUUUUAUUGAUAUGAAUAAAUGUAAUUACAAAGAGACCUCCGGACCACAAAAAUACAGAAAGAAAAAUUACAGCAGAAAAAUUGCAAAAAGAGAUAAACUAUCAGGGAGCGGGCUUCUCAUGGAGCUUUUUUUCUUCACCUGGAGGAAUUGAAGGGGUAUCUCGCUUGAUGCCGUUCUUCUUCAUGCAGCAGCGAUACCCAAAGAUAAACGUAUCAUCCACUUGUUGCUGGUAAUCCGCUGCAAGUUCCUCCCUUUCCACAGCAAACUCCCGUUCGAGUUCUUCUUUUUGCACAUCCAGGCGCAGCUGCAAGUCUUCCUUCUGUUUCUUUUCAUUCGAAACUUCUGUCCGGAGUUGAUUCACUUCAUCCCUCAGCCGGGCUGCCUCACCUUCCGCCUCAUGUAGGCGGCCCAUAGUCGAUUCUUCUCGACUCUUCGCCUCAGCCAACUCCACUCGGAGGGCUUCAUUUUCCUCUCGCAUGGUGGAUAGACUGGCCUCAGCCUCCUCCAUUCUCAGACGCAGCUGAUUUUCAAUCUCUCGGCGUCGAGAGGAGAAGGUCUUCAUAUAGUCUGCAGUCUGCAGCAGCUGAGUAAAAAGAUCGUGUUGUUGAGCCAUGCCGCGGAGGCCCCUCACCAGCUGACACACAAACAAGAAAAGCAAAGACAUAAAUCGUACUACAACAAACACAUCAGUGCAACAAAGAGUCAAAAAGCAAAAGCACAAGACAACGGUAUACCGUUUCUAUCAUAUCAAACAUCUUAGCAGAGGGCUUGAUGGCUUUCCAGUCGGGUGUAAUCUGUUUUAGCUUAACUUCCAACUCCGCGUAGCUGAAAGGGCUAGCAGGAGCUGCAUCGUCAGCAGGUUCCUCCUCAGAUGAGGAAACAGAAGGUGACUCUUGUCCCGGAUUCGGGACCUCCACAUCUUCGUCCGGACGCAUCUGUCCGGAUACAUCUUCAGCCGGAAUUAUUACCGGGGCGGCCGAAGUCUCAGUUGCCAUCUCCACCUCGCCUCCAUCCGGAUGAGCGUCAUGGGCAGAAGCGCAGCUAACUUCAAUCUCUUGCUGCCGCUCUUGAAGCCGCCAAGGAGUCCGGACCGUAGAUCGCGCGUCGAACGCGGCUUCUUUGAAGGAGGCCCUUUCACCGGGAUUAUGGCUAAGCGAUCCGGGUCGUCGGAAGGCUGACUUUGGCUUUCUGCCCCCGCUUCCUCCAACGGGGUCGUUUCAGCUGCAUCAGCAUCCGGAUUAAGGUUGCCCGGACGGUUGAUAGACGCAGCUUCCUCAGCCACGUUAGCCAGACGCGCAACCGCGGCCAAGGAAGUGCCCGAAUGGUUCAACCCCGAGAUGCGUCCGGGGCCGCUUGAGAUAGAGUGCGGAGCAGCGUUUACUGGCUCCUCUAUCAUUACUUCCCCCUCAUAGGUAAUUUGCGGAGGAGGAAACUCCCUGGGAGGAGUGGGUUCCUUCACAUCCUUCCCAUUCUUCUUCACCAGCUUCCUCCUUUUUGCUGGAGUUUUCUUUGGAGGAGAGUCCGAACCCCGCUUCUGUCCGGGAGCCUUCCGGAUAGUGCCUUCAUUUUUUUUCUGAUCUCGAUCCUCCAGGAGCUUUCGCCGUCUUUCACCAUCAGCCUCUUUAGCUUCCUGAUACAGGGGGAGCUCCUUCAGAGUAUAAUGCUCCCCAGGUACUAUCUCAUCCUUUGCUAGUUUCCUGGGGAGAAUAUUGAUAACAUAUUCCUGGGACUCCCGGACGACCGCCAUCAAAUUCCACGCGGAAAGCAAUGUCUUGUAGGCCCUCUCCUUGGGAUUUAUCUCGAAUAAUUUGCAGACACAGGCGAAGGACGCAUUUUCCACCCAAUCCACAAGGUGGCCCCUCAAUUCCAGACCUGCAUUGACAGCAACAAAAUGUGAGAAUUCCGUCCAAAAAAAAAAAAAAAAAAAAUCAGCAAAGUAAAAUCCGGACAAAGAAUCGCAAAACAAGAAUACCCGGAAUUUUUAAGGUAUAAUUUGGAGAAAAGGGCCUCGACGCACGCUCCAAUAGCCCCGCCCAUCCACCCCGGACCGCCACCAGCCCCUUCGCCCCUCCAUUUGUCGAAUCUGGCAGCUCUGUCACCACUUGAAGGGAGGGCAGGUGCGCGGACACAUUGAAAAUAUCAUUUUUUGCUUUCUUCAGGGAAUAGACAAAGAACACUUCCAGUAGCGUAAGGUCGAGGCUGUACAGCAUGUUGAUGAUGCUGCAUCCCAUCAGCACCCGGACAAGGUUGGGAUGAAUGAAGAUGGGUGGAACCUGAGAGAAGUGGAGGAAUUCCUUGAACAACGCCGGCAGAGGGAACCGGAGCCCCGCGUUGAAUUGUUCAUUUGUGAAGAGGAUAACGUUUUCUUCACCUUUCUCAGUAGGCAUAGCCGCCUCCUCGUUCACCAAGUCUAUAGAUACGUCAUUUGGAAUGCAGAACCGCUCCCGGAACUCCUUCACAUUUAAUUUGUCUAUCGCCUUUUCGCCAGCCUCGCUAACCCGGGCAGAUGAAACAGUCUUUUUUGGAGCCAUUUCUUACCACAAAGCCAAACCAAAAUCUACAUACAAAAGCAAUGCAACUGUUCAAACCAAGCAGUCAGAAAAUACACAAACCCUAACCCAAAGCAGUCAGAAAAACCCCUCAAAAACCCCCCCCCGAACACCAACAAAGUACCAACAUUCAACAACAAUUGCAAGCGACUUGCCCAAAACAAUGCCCAAGCAAGCCAGAAACCAAGUUUAAAGAACCAGCAAACGCAACCAAAGGAAUGACAGUAGCAAAGAGGUACGUACCAAAUAAAGCUCUGAAGAAGAAGAACGGUUACUGUCUCGGUACAAAAUCACCAGCAGCAAACAAACGAAGUCGCGAUACAAAAACACCGGUACAAAAGAGCUUUCGAAGUUUUUUCUCAGAGAAGCAAAGGGCGCAGGAAAAAGCAAGAAGAAGAAAGGCUCUCAAGAGAAUGCAGUAGAAAAAAAUGCAAAAAGAGGUACAGUGCCCUAUUUAUAGCAGGACAGCCAUGUUAUCAUUGAAACGACAUAUUGCCUGGGGAUACACAGGGUCGGCGGCUUGUCAUAAAUGCCUUUUUGGCUUCCGCACCCCCACUCGCCACGUGGCCCAGUCAGACGAAGGGACCUCUUCAAUUUUCAAAAGCCAGUUAUUUUUAACCCGCCCAUUUUUUCGGGCAAAAUAGGAAGUUAAAAAGGGGGGCAAUGUAGGGACCCCUCCCCUUGGGAAACACGUGGCACGCAGCUCAUAGUGACGCAUGGCAUGUGUUAUCAGCCGGACCUUCAUCAUCCGGAUUCCCCUGAGGAUAUGCAUGGUGCAGUUAUCCUAUCCGGACCGCCUCAAGGAAAGGCAAACGACAUUUCAGCUUCUCCUAUCCAAGGAAGAGCAAACGACGCUGGCAGAGCGUAGACAUCCGGAUAGUCUCCACAACACAUCCGGAUAAUCAGCAUGAGCCAUCCGGAUAUAAAUCGUCUGGAUGGUCAAUUAAAGUAAAGCGAGUCUUACACGCAAUCACAACAAGCAGCCAUGACCCACAUCUUGUCACCUGCAGAGUGAGAAGACAAGAGGAAGUGACAGCAAGUCACUUCCCACGAUCAUUCUACAUAACCAUUUCCCACGAUCUCUGACAGCCGCAUCACCUACCAUGGUCUCUGACAGCCAUUCGUAAGAUGAUAAUGCUCCUACUGGCACCUAUUAUCAUCAUUACAACAUAAAAUAUCUCCUCACCAUUAAUGAAAGGAGCAGUACCCCUGAAGUUGUAUAUAUAUGCCUUCACACGCAGAAGAAGGGGAUCCCCUGGUAACCUUUUGAUACCUAGUGAAAGGCCAACUGAUUUAUAUCUCUCUCUCUCUUAUCAUGGCUAACAAAACCAUCGGAGGGUGUGUCCGGACACCCUGUCCGGAUGCCUUUUGCAGGUACAAACCGCUGAAUCAAGAACCCCUUGUGUGUUGAGAAUCGCGUGUCCAUCCAUCUAGCAGCAACGUGGACCACCGGAUACGCGAGGCGACAACAGGCAUGGCUAUCUUUCUGAUGAGAAAUAUGUUCCAUAUGUUCGUCAUCUGCAAUACCAUUGCUAUGUAUACCUCCAUCCUCGCGGCAAUCAUCUUCAUCUGGGCACAGUUAGGUGAUCUCAAUUUGAUGGAUACUGCCUUCAGAUUUGCAUUGCCAUUAUUGGGGCUGGCCCUUUAUGCAAUGUCCUUCGGCUUCAUGGCAGGUGUUUCCUUGGUGGUCAGUAAUCUUCAUUGGCUUGCAAUUGUUGUCUUCAUUAUUGGAAUCAUCUGCCUUUUCAGUCUCUCAGUACCCUUUCUUUUACUCUUCCUCCCAAGUAAGUCUACUAAUCGUAUCCUUAGGUACAUCUCCUAUUAUCCGUUCCUUAUACUGGUAUGGGCAUCUGAAAGCCCCGAAAUCAAACAGGAAGAUUAGCUUGCCCUGUUGAUGAUGUAUGCUAGCUCCAUCUUCUCCUAUGUUUGUUGCUUCUUUCAGCAUUAUCUCAAUGACUUGGUAGACAAAGCAUGUUAUGAAUAAAUGCUUAGUGUGAUCAGAACUUCAAUAUAUUGGUGGUGUUGUACAUGAUCAUUUGUCAUAUAAAUCUGUAGUUUCUGGAGCUGUAAUAUGUGAAAUACUCUAUAUAUAUUUCAAUAAAUACUCCAUUCAUCCAUACUGAUCAAUGCAUAUUUGUCUUUGCUUUAAAAUUUUUUAGAAAAGAAAAAAAGAAAAAAAAAUCUUGGAAAUCCCAAAAUGAUUAAUUUGAGAAAUAUCAUUAUUUAACAAAUAAAAAAACACAUGAAUAUAUAAACCCCACUAUGUCAUUUUCUUUGAAGUACCCUGUUGCGGAUUUGAUGAGAAAAAGGUAGUAAUCAAAUGGCAUAGCAUAAAAUUUAAAUUAGAGUUUUCUCAUCAAAAUGUGCAGAAUUAAAACCUUUACUAAAACAAUUGAUUUUUAGGAACCAAAUUUUGGUGAAAAAAAAAAAUCAUAAUUCAUCUAUAAAACUAAUUAUUGACAAUAAACUUUUACAUUUCCUACAAACUAUUUAAUGAUGAUACCUUAGUGAUUAACUUCUAAACUCAUUUAUAAAAUGUAACAUUAGACUUUGUUUGAUUUUGAAGAGUUUGAAAGGAAAUGCAAAAGAAAGAAAGAAAAGAGGAGAAAAAUAAAAGGAAAGAAAAAAUAAAUUUAAAGUGAAUAAAUUAUUUUGAUAUAUUAUUUUAAAUUUUUUCAUUUAUUUAACUUUUUAUAUAAAAAUAAAAUAAUUUAAAAUCUCAAGAUUACUAAAAAAUAUCUUGGGAUAGCAAAAAGUUUAUGAUCUUUUUCCUACGUGGAACAAGUGAUAAUUGAGCACCACCUAUUCAAUCCCUCUAAUUAGUUAUGAUUAUCUUAUUUAAUUAAUGAUUUAUGUAUUUCAUAGAUAAGUUGACAAUUUUAUUCUAUACAUUUUAAACUAAACCUCUAUAUACUUUCUUGUAACUAAUUGGAGUCUACGGAUGGUAAUGGGGUGGAUUUUUUUGAGUACUUGCCCGUCCCAUCCUUAAUGGAAUGGAUUUGAAUUUUAACUAAAUGGGUUUAGGAUGGGUUUGGAAAUUUUUUUAAAACUUGGGGUGAAUUUGGGUGUUGUCUUGUCUCAUCCCACCAUAUUAUAUAUAAAAUUAAUUUUUAAAAUUAAAUUAAAUUAAUUUUUAUUUUACUAUUUUUACUAUGUAGAUAAUAAUGAAAUAUUUUUUUUUAAUAAAAUAAGUUAUAAAAAAUAUAAUAAUUUAAUUAUUUAUAAAAUAUAUUUAUUUUAAUAUAAUUAAAAAAAUUUAAAUUAAAAAAAAAAAGUUAAACUGGGUGGGAUGGGGUGGGGCGAGUAUGAAAAUUUCUCAUACCCAUCCCUCCCUGUUUAAUUUUUUAAAUGGGGCAAAGAUGAAAAUUAAUUUUAAUAAAUGGGACGAGGUUGGAAUGGGGGUGACCCGUCCCAUUGCCAUCCUUGCUAGAGUCUAGAAUCGUAAAAACUCAAGAUUACUCACAAUUCGUCUAGGAAUAGCCAAAGUUAAUUAUCUUGUUUCUACGUAGAGCAAGUGAUGAUUGAGGACCAUAUAUCUAGUCUGUCUAAUUAGUUAUGUGAUGCAAGGUUAAAAACCUUAUCUUAUUUCAUAACAUGAUUAUAUUUUAUAGAUCAUAAAAUCAAAUCUUUGUUUGGUAACUCAUAUUUAGUAAACCUUAAGAACCUAAAUUCCCCACGUGUUUGACAUAGAUUCGAAAUUUUGAACCCAAUUUUAAGUUGAGUUUGAUGAUAGUCGGACGUAUUGAUGACAGAUUUGACGGUCAUUACGUUCAAACCCGCUUUAAAAGACUCAAACCCACGUAACUUUGAAUUGGUUAAAAUAAUUUUAUAAAGUGAAACGAUUAAACUUCUUACUUUUUGGGAUUGGUGUUUGUACUUCCAAAUGAUGUUCCUAGUGAGUUUGGGGAAGAGAGUGAUAGGAUUUCAGAAUAAUUAUAAGCCUAAUUCUUGCAAAACAAUCAUCACAUUGGUCUUAAAACUUUGUGAUUUUCACAAAGUAAAUAAAUAAUCAAGAAAACAAUCAUUAAAUUCUAACUUUUAAACCAUGUCUAGAAAAAUAAAGUUUAAACCAAAAAUCCUAAAAAUAUCAAAAUCUCAUCCUAAUUAUCAUUCAUCACCUGAUCAGAUGGUACUUAAAAAAUUGUUAAUGAAGGGAAAUGAACUUAAAACCUAAUAAGAAAUAUUAAUACAAUUUCACAAAUAAAAUAUUUUUAAUAAAGAUUAUAAAAAGAAGAUAUGAUGUAUAAUCAUUUUCAUAAAAACUUUUUAGUUCAAACAUUCUAAUACAUUCAAACUUUUCAACAAAACAUUUUUAUAUUCAUGUCAAACAAUUUUAUAUUAAAUUCAAAUAAAUUGUAUUUAAAAUAUUUUACUCUGAUUAUCAAAUAUCAAAUGGUACUCAAUUAUGUGAGACUUUACAAAUGGGCGGCUACUCUCAAAUUUGUUCCUUUUAAGACAAAACUAAACACUACUAAUACUAGUAAUCUCUAACCAAACCUUUAGAUGUUGGGGUUCAAAUCAAUUGCAUUCUUCAUCAUAAAAUGUAAAUGUUAACUAUUAUAUCGUGUUAAUAUGGACUAAAAAGUCAAUUAUUAUAUCCAAUUGAUAAAGACCAAAAAGUCGAUUAUUAUAUUCCGCUACCUAUGACCAAACAAACCAAAGUCAAACACUUUGUUUUAUUUAUUCAAACUUAUAAAAACAUAAUAUUUUCACAUAUUUAUGUUAUAAACAAAAGAAAAGGUUUUAAUAUAUUUUUCAUGAAAAAUAUAUUUGCUUUAUGCAUAAAAACAAAAAUAACAUUUUACACAUUUAAUUUCAAAAUAACAUGUCAAAAGAAAAUCAUUUUUUUUUAUAAAAUCCUCAUUAAUUUCCCUUACCUCGAAAAACAUUCAUAAUCCUUGAAGAAUUUAAUUCUAUAUAAACAACUUUUCAUCUAAUAACAUAAGAAAAACAAUUAUUACUAUUAAUUAUUUGUCUAAAAUUAUAAGUUUAAUAAUCCUAAAAUUUUAUAUAUUAAUAUUAAUAUUAAUAAGUAUCAAUGAUAAUUUAAUUAAUUUAUUCCUUAUUAAAGUAAAAUUAAUAAAUUGCUAAUUUAUAUAAAACUUUUUUCUUAAAUUUGAUUCUAAAAAACAAAAAUACAUUACUAAUUUAAUUAAACUACAAUUUUUAUUUCAUUAAUUAAAUUUUAUUUAUUUAUUAACUUAACAUCUAUCCUCAUUAGCAUUAUUAUACCAUCAACUAACCCAACUCUCAACACCUACUUAAUAUUAUAUAUAAAGGUAGGACUCGCUUGCUUAUCUUUUUCUUAUUUUAUUUCUUUUCUUUCUUGCACAAACCACACUCAUGGCUACAUUCCAUUUUUUUUUUUUUUUAAUACACGCUUACAAAAAUCACACUGUACACACUCGCCAAGGAACCAACACUAUAAGAAAAAAGGGCAAUAAUGACGCUUUUUAGGCGUCAAUAAAUGUAUAAGAUGACGCUUCUUGAAAGCGUCCUUGUCGCCCCUGUCAAGGAAUGGGUGUAAGCAACCUUGUCGCUUCUAAUUCAAGGAAUGGGUGUAAGUAACAUUUCAAGGUGAAAUCAACCAUUUUGGUUAGAAUAUUUGCUUCUAAUUCAAACCCCAAGCUUUGAUUCCCUUAACAAUAAUAGAUGAGUGAAUACAUAUUUCUUAGAAGCUUUAAUCAUAACAGUCAGUCAGGAUAGAAUAGCAAAGACUAUGUGACCAUAUUUAUUUCUGGUUAUACUUCCACUACCAAAUUGUCGUGUGUUCCCAAUGGUUCAGCAAUCAAAGAAAGCAUCAAAUGCCCGAUAUGGGCAAACAUCAAAAUCUUAGGGACAGUGGGAUUAAGAGUUUAAGGUAGUGAAUGGUUUUUUUUUUUUUUUUUUUUUUAACCACUAUAACUUUAGAUACAGUAUGGCUCUAUACAGGAGCAGGUGGUAGACUGGUGGUGUAAGUAUAUCUAGGUUAAUCUUUGUUAAGUUUGGAUUUCAGAUCAUUUGCAGCUUGUGAUGGUUCUAAUUUUAUCUUUUUCAUUUUGUAUAAGAGAUAAGAAAUCCCAACUACGUGUGUGUACUUAACUCUUAUGCCAUUUAUUUAUCUUCAUGAUGUAUACUUAGUUCUUAUGCCAUUUAUUUAUUUAUAUUUUGAUUGGCAUAUCCCUUUUCCAUUUAUAGGAAUCUUUAAGAUAACCUCUUACUUAGGAGAAACUUUUUGUAUUUGAUUGAUUUAUACAUUGAUUUGUUCUUGCAACUUGUUAAACUGCCUCGAGUUCCAAUUGUUGACAAAAUAUUGAAGAAGUAUCUUGAUUACAGAAUAAAGAGGGAUGGCAUGUAAGUAUAUUUGCCAUGGCUCCUGACAUUUUGAACUCCCUUCCAACUUCUAAAGGUGAUCAAACAAAGUUGCAAUGAUACUGCCUGAGGUUUGAUGGCAGUUAUUUUUAUUGUUUGGUUUGGUGUGUUAUUGAUGUAGUAAUAUCAGGAUAAUUUGUGUCGGAAUGUUUACUAUAGUAAGAGGUAGUUCUUGUAAUUUUCACACUAAUAUGGUUUGAAUAGACAAGCAUGCUUACCUGUUCAGUGAUCAGUCUCAACUAUGUACUUAUUGCAUAAAUGAUUGUUAUGGCAAUACAAGCAGUCUCUCUAUAUAGAUGAGUAGUUCACAUGUGAAAUUUUUGAAAGCCAGUAUCUUAAGAUAUGUAGUUAUCAAAGACAAGUUCAAGAAUAUUGUAACUUCUGAAUCCAAAAAAAAAAAAAAAAAAACCACACACAAUCUUGACAAGAACAAAAAUAGUCAAUGAGAUGGGAAACAAGACAUCUAUUCAAAACCAGUAAUAGACUUACAUUCUCAAGUCCCAAUGAGCCACAUAUAUAAGCAACACCCCAUACAAAUAAAACAAUUGCUUCCUUUUCCACCAAAAGUGCACUGUGUGCCUGACAGAACCAACAACAACAAAGUCAAAUAAGCUGCAAUGUGGAAUACAUAAAAUAAAAUACCACAAUUAAAAUUGCAAAAAAUGAAGUUAACUAAAAUCAACAUAUAAAUAAUAAAAUAAAAAAUAAAUAAAGGAUGUUAAUUUACUUAAUCCUUUAAAACUUUGAUAAUCAGAUGAGUAACAGAGCAGAGGCAGUGUUUGUGACAAAAAAAAAACUGCUAAAUCACAUCCCCUGUAUGCUGUUAUGAUGUGUUUGAAUUUUGGGUUCUCAUCAUCUUGUUCCUUCUCAAUCAUGUACUUUUGUUUCUUCUUUGUAAACUCAGACUGGUUGGAUAUAUACUAGGAUCUCCGCACAUUUUUUACAACAUUCAAGUGAAUUUUGGUUAAUUUUAUGUGAUAAUUAAACUCAUUUAUGUUUUUUUUUAGAUUUAUUUUUUUAUUUUUCUUUUGUUUGUAUGAAACACUUGGAAAUGUUUGAAAAAAAAAUUCUAAAGUUUGUGGGCCUACUUUUCAAGAGUAGUUAAAUAGAUAUGACAUAUCAAAAUAUCUGGAAGAAAUUAAAAAACUCAUCAUUUUAUUUGACAAAAUAUAAGUAAUGAAGAAAAUUAGAAUGAUAAAUGAUUCAAACCAUGAAUGGAUUUUUGAAGGAAAAAGCGUUCAAUAGACACAAUGAUAUAUUUUAGGUAUUUUUAUAUAUCUAUAUAUCUAUAUAUAUAUUAAUCAAAAUUGAUUGAGAAACUUUUGUGGUCUUGAUUAACACUUGUGUAAAACCAAAAAAAAAAAAAAAAAAAUUCAUCUCUGUAAAUAAGGGAUUCACUCACAAAAAGACCACUUUUCCAUGGACCUAAACAAAAUCACAACAAAAUUAGUUUAAUGAUUUGAUGUAUAUAAUAAUAACAACAAGAUCACUUUCAUUUCACACAUGCUAGUAACUUGAAAAUUAAUCAAUUCACUUAAGACCCAUGUGUAGGAAAUCAAAAUAAUAUAAAUUAUACCUAGAUAGAGCACUAAAAAAAUUGAUUUUUUUUAAUAUUUGUAUUUUUUUUUCAUUGGUUUCUCAUUUGUGCUUGCUUUUCUAAUUUUUAUUUUUUACAUUCUGUGGUGGAUGUAAGGAAAUACGCAAAACUGACAAAUUAACCAGAUAAUGAUGGCUGUAUAAAUGUUAUUUAAUUUUCUUGUGUAAGAGGAUUAUUCAGAACAAUAAGAAUAUGGGUGGUGGGUAGUGGGAUGUGGGAGGACAACUAAUCUCUUUGCGUUUAUGUGAAAACAAUAUGUUAAAAGCACAUGCAACCUUAGUUUGUUCUAGUCCAAAACACCCUUGUUCAUUCGUUUUUCCUCUUUUGUUUUUAUUUUUGUUUGCCUCUUCCCCGUGUAGUUGUUUAAUCUACUAAAAACAUUGAGUUUUAACACACAUAGUCAAUAAGAAACACAAUCAUCCCAAAAAUCAUAAGAACACAAAAAAGCCCUAAAAUAAAAUAUGAAAACAGAACACAUUGAGAGAAGAGGACUUACCACUCAUAGAUAUGGGAAUGCAACGGUAUACAUCAAUGACACUGGUUCAUAGUGGAAAUUUUCCAGUGGUGACCACUUGUGAAAUUAUUGAAGUCAGGUAAGGCUACUCCAAAGGGUUAGGGCAUUUCAGUGGUGGGAUUUGUAAAUGAGGAAUGGGUUAUGGCUUCUUAGUGCUGGAUUUCACCCUUGCAAAAAGGGUUUCAUAGUACGGAAAGGGUUUCUCCCAACUUGCGACAUCGACAAUUGACAUGUAGGGACUAGAUUCUCUAGAACGAUAUGCUAUGAGUCUUUGGAAGCUUCUUGUUCAAUCGUCAUUGUUCCUUUAGGUAUGAGAUUCAAGCUUCAUUUUUCGGGUUUUUCGAGAUAUGAAAUAGAGGGAAUGUUUGGCGGUAACAUAUUGCAGAGAGAAAAAAUUCCAAAGAUAGCCAUAUAUUUAUAGGUAAAAUUCAAUGGCACUUAUAAAAGUGCCGAGGAAAAAUAAUACUAGUUAACAAAACGAUGAUACUUCCAAUAAGCGUCAUUGCAUACAAAGUAAAAGAGAAAAUAGUAUAUCAAACAAUGAUGCUUCCAAUAAGUGUCAUUGUGUACCAUGCUACAGGGAUAAUAGUAUGUCAAACAAUGACACUUUUAAUAAGUGCCAUAAAAUAAAGCAUAUUAUAUCAAAUAAUGACGUUUUUUUAAAGUAUCAAGAAAUAAAACGUCAUUAUUUUAAAAUUUUGUAGUAGUGUGCAAAAGCUAAUUUUUUUUAAACACCCAAAUUCUUUUCUUUUUUUUCUUUUAUGUUGUCACAUAGGUACCCAUCCCGAAUCCAUAAAUCCUUUUUUUCUUUUUCUCAAUACCCUAAGUGAGUGUAUAUAUAUAUAUAUAUAUAUAUAUAUAUAAGAUAUAUUAUUUAUUUAUUAUUGUUUUAGAUUUACUAAAAAAAUAUUGAGAAUUUCCAAUCUCUAUCAAUAAAUCAACAUUUAUUCAUAAAUUUUCACUAUUUUUUAUUUAGAAUUUAAAUAAACAAAUUAUAUUCAAGAUUGAGAUUUUUUAAAGAAUAUUUAAGUGUUUAAAACUAAUUAACAAAUCUAAAAUACUAAUUUAAGGGUUAAAAUUCUACUUGAAAAACUAAUUUUCAAAUCCUAAACCUCCAAAUCUUCAAUCCUAUAUUGUCUUAUGUUUUUUUUAUCUUUUUCUAAUCUCAAUGUAAAAGGGUUUCUAUAUAAAGAAAUCAAAAAAAUCUAAUUUAUAUUUAAGGUUUUUAAUGCAAAAAGACCUUUCUAACCUUAUUAAAUUUAUUUAUUUUUUUCUUUUACUCUAAUUUAUGGUUUUACCCUUAACAAUAAAACGGGGGGUGUUACAUAAAAAGCUUGUUAGAAAAAUUAGGCUAAUCCAACCUAUGAUAAUCACCCUAAAGAGGGGGUGAAUAGGGUGAUAGUCUCUUUUUGCAAAUUUAAACUAUGUGAAAGUAAGAGACAAUUAUAUGUAAGUAUAUAAUAAACAAUAUAAAGACGUACAAUUGCAUAUAAAUUAAAAGAGUAGGGAAGAGAGAAUGCAAACACAAGAUUUUAUAGUGGUUCAGCGCAACCCGGCCUACAUCCACUCUCCUCUAGCUUCAAUCCAAAGCUUGAGGUUCCACUAAUUCAAGGCUUCCAAACCAAGCCUUCAAGCAAUAUAAUUGGACUAUGGUUCCAAUUCACCCUCUUGGACUUUUGGCUCCAAGCACCCUUUACACUUCUCAAGAAAUAUCCCACUCUUAAACAACCCCUAGAGUGAUACCACACACUUGAGAAACUUCCUCUCAAAGAUUUACAAAUAAAUGAUCUCAUAAAAUCUUAGUACAAAAACUUUAAACUCAAAUGAUACAAGAAAACUAGAAUUGAAUGGUGCACUAAAGAUAUGCAAAUUUUAGAACAAUGGUGCACUCAAAAAUACUCUUCCAAUGCUCAAAUAUAUUCAAGAAAGGUUUGGGAAGGUUAAGUUUCUUAAACAAUAAAGAUUGGAGCCUUUUUAUAGAAGAAAAAAGUCAAACUAGUCGUUGGGGGUUCGAUCGAUUAACUAGCCAUUAGCAUUUAAUGUUGGCAGGUGACUGUUGGACCUCGACCAGACCUCAAUCGGUUGAGGUUCAACCUUGACCGGUUGAACAACCGUUUUAGAAGAAAGAGAAAAUUUUUUGCACCAUCGACCGGUUGAGCUGGGGGUCAACCAGUUAUUGUUCAUACCCUUGACCGGUUGAAUUAGGGGUUGACCAAUUACUAUUCAUGCCCUUGAUCGGUUGAGAUAGGGGUCGACCGGUUACUGUUCAUCCGGUUUAACUGGUUGAGCCGUUUUUGGUUCAACAAUCAACUUUUUCAACUUAAAACCUUUUAAACAAGUUUGAAACAACAUUUGACACAAGGUUUUAGUUGAAAAUAUGAAAUCAUCCAAUUUUAAAAAUAUUUUAAGCACAUUAAUGUGGUCUUCUUGAGCAGUAAAGCAAUUAUAGUAAUUAUUAAUCUUCAUCUAAUUAAUCAAGUAAAAUAAUUAUCAUUAAUUAUAAUAAUUCAUUUUUUUAUUGUGUAGAUAUUAUCUACUUUACUACAAUGCGCAUCUACGACUUUUUGUCUUAUUGAUGAGUUAGGUAAUGUUUGCUCACCCAUUUCAGCCCUUUGCAGUGCCUGUGUCCAUGCCUUUAAUGCUACGUCCGUAUUUCCAUUUAUCAGCUUAGGUUAGAUAAAAUAUGCAGAAGGUAAAAUCAGACAUAAUAGAAAUUAGGGUCUGUAUGUCAUAUAUUUGUGCGCGAAUUUGGGAUCGGGUUGAAGUAAAAAAGUCAAAAUGAAAUUACAAUAAGAGUACGGUAAAGGGAUAACGUUGGGACAGCAGUACUGAUGUACACUUCAAGGAAGUAGGCCAUGGCAUGUCAUGCCACCUGGAACAAAAUAAGGGGUUCUACAGAUUCUCUUAUCGGAAUCAUUUGAGAUAUAGGAUGGAUGCAUAGAAGGGAAGGAGACGACUCCUCUAAAACUUGUGUUUGUGUGUAGGUGAGAAGUUGGGAUUCCCUGAUCAAUUAAAGAUGGCUGAGGAGAGGGAUCCAGUAGAGUUGGGCAUGGCACUCGGCGCAGAUUCGAACAUGAAAGAAGACAGCGUAACAGCUAAGAAGAGGGCAAAACGGUGGGCAAUCACCGCAGAAGCGAGCAUGGAAAGAGAGAAGGGGAUGCUUGAUCAAGAUGAAGAUGACUUGUGUGUAGGUGAGAAGUUGGGAUUCUCCGAUCAAUCAAACAGGGCUAAGGAGAGGGAUCUAGUAGAGUUGGGCAUGGCACUCGACGCAGAUUCAAACAUGAAAGAAGAUAAGGAAACAAGUAAGAAGUGGAGGGCAGAUUCGACACUGAUCAGCUCAGAUUCGACGAUGGAAGAAAACCCUGCACCGCCUGAGAUGUGGGUGCCAGAAACCUCGCCAAUCUUCGCAGAUACUAAGAUGGCAAUAGACAUCAGCUCAUAUUUCACAAUGAAAGAAUGCCGUGCAUCGCCGUGGGCGCGAGAAUCCAUCAUGUUAGGCAUGCCAAUCACCGCAGAAGCGAGCAUGGAAAGAGAGAAGGGGACGCUUGAUGAAGAUGAAGAUGAAGAUGAAGAUGAAGAUGAUUUGUUUGUAGGCAUGCCAAUCUCCGCAGAUGCGAACAUGGAAACAGAAAGGACAAUGCUUCUUGUAAGAAAUAUAAGUGCUCCUUCCACACACGGACCCCACGCCCCCGCUGAUGAAGAUGAAGAUGCGGAGCAUAAGAAAUUAAUGGACCGCCGCAUGCACGCGCUAGCGACCCAAGGAAAUGUUGAUGGCUUUAUUAAAAUUUUAGGCUCGAUAUCCUCCGAACAGAACCCACUUCUCUGCCAAGUUAGUCCCCGGAAAAACACAUGCCUCCACAUAGCAGCAAGCUUUGGACACCAUGAUCUUGCCAAGUACAUCGUGAAAGAGUGUCCAGAUCUUAUAAAAAAUAAAAACUCCAAAGGCGACACGGCACUUCAUAUUGCUGCUAGAAAAAGGAAUUUAUCUUUCGUUAAGAUUGUCAUGGAUUCAUGCCCUUCUGGAGGUGGCGCAUCCCAAGAUGUAGAGAAGGCUGAGCCUUCAUUGCUGGGAAUUGGUAACAAAGAAGGAAAUACAGUGUUGCAUGAGGCACUGAUAAACCGUUGCAAACAAGAAGAGGUGGUGGAGAUCCUUAUUAAGGCAGAUCCCCAAGUGGCUUAUUAUCCGAAUAAGGAGGGAAAGUCACCAUUGUAUCUAGCUGCAGAAUCACACUACUUCCACGUCGUAGAGGCUAUAGGAAACUCUGAAGUUGAGGAGCGCAUGAAGAACAGAGACCGCAAAGCAGUCCAUGGUGCCAUUAUGGGAAAGAAUAAGGGUAUUUCCCGCCUCCUUCUCUCUCUCUAUUAAAUUUUCUUCUUCCUCUUCAAACUUAAAAAGCAUUGUUUGCAAUGACGAUGGGGCUUAAAUAAUCUGUUGCUUCUAACCAUAGAAGAAGUCUACUGGGCUUGUCUCAGCUUUUGCUUCAAUAUUCCUUGUUCCUAAAAAUUCAAAUUUUUUUAUUAAUUUAUGGGAGAUCCAUAAUAUUUACAACUCUUCUUUCCCAACCCAAACCCCGUCGUAAAUAUUCUUCAUCUUUGUUUUCAAAAUCCUAAUCCUAUUUUGUCAUCUUCUAAUUAUUCUUCUUCAAAACUCCAGUCCUAAUUAAUUCUUUAUUUUAUUUUCUAAAUCACAAAAAUUUAAAAUUAACUAUAAAAAAAAAAAAAAAAAAUUGCAGUUACAUAUGGCUUCGUUGUGUGCAUAUGGGAUGGUUUAAUUAAAUAGAGGGGGUAAAAAGGGCCGUAAGAGGGAAGAACAAUUGUCUGUAUAGUUUGGGGUUGACUUCAAGUGAUCAUUUAAGAUUUGAUUUCGAGAUUAAGGUUAGAGUUAGGAUUUUUCUUUUCCCUUUUUUUUUCUUUAUGUUAUAUGUUUCUUAUAGAUGCGAUGAAGUAGAAUGGAUCCUACACAUUUGAAAGAAACACAAAUUAUAAAUGAUGUGAUGAUUUUCUAUUAUUCCCCAUUUAACUAUUGCAAUAUUAUUAAGAGUAUGGAUGGGAAUAAGAUAGGUGUUUACAGAAAUCAUCCCGUUGAGUUUGAAAUUUAAAUAAAUGAGGUUUGAAAUGAGUUUGAGAUUUUUUCAAAGAAUUAAACAGAGCCAAAUGGGGUGGGACAUGUAUGAGGACGUUUAAUUUUUUUUUAUUGGGAUGGGACUUAGAAAUAUUUUGAAUAAAUGAGAUGGGGGUUGGGAUAGAAGUGACCAUCCCGAAUCCACCCCAUUUCAAUCCCUAAUUAAGAAGAAGAUAAUGUAAAUAACAAAAUUUACAGAAUUUUUAAAAUCCAAGGAGGGAACUUAUAAUUAAAGGAAGCUUUUAAAAGGAUGGGCACCCCAUGUGGUACAACCUCACACCAAAUUGAUACUGUUUUGUUGAAUUACAGAUAAUAAAAUAAUCAAUUAAAAAAAAUCUCUUUUCUAUUUUUAUAUUAAUUUUCCUUCCUUAUUUUAAUUAUCUAAUAAUUGAACCCUUUCCAAACAAAAAAAAAAGCAAUCUUAAUUUUAUUUUUUAUAUGUGAAUUUUUUUUUAUGUAAUUUUAGUUAUUAAUGACUUGCACUCAUAUAAUAAUAUAUUUAUUAGAAAAAGGUUGUUUGAAACAUUCAUAUAAAUUUUUCUUUUAUAUAUGAUGAAAAAAUGCCAGAGAUGUUGGAAAAAAUACUGGCCAUGAGGCUCGUCCACCAAAAAGACGAAGAUGGAAGGACUCCACUUCAUUGUGCAGCAUCCAUUGGAUAUCUCGAAGGAGUUCAAAUGCUGUUAGACCAAUCUAACUUGGAUCCAUAUCGAACGGACUCUCAUGGCUUCUGUCCCAUCCAUGUUGCAUCAAUGAGAGGCAAUGUGGACAUUGUCAAAAAGUUGCUCCAGGUCUCCUCUGACUCAGUAGAGUUGCUAAGCAAACUCGGUGAGAACAUUCUUCAUGUGGCAGCCAGGUAUGGUAAAGACAAUGUAGUCAAUUUUGUGCUCAAAGAAGAAAGGCUUGAGAACUUUAUAAAUGAGAAGGACAAGGCUGGAUACACGCCACUGCAUUUGGCAACCAUGCAUAGACAUCCCAAGGUCGUAAGCUCUUUAACAUGGGAUAAAAGAGUUGAUGUGAAUCUUGUGAAUGAUUUAGGCCAGACUGCUUUGGACAUUGUAUUAUCAGUGGAGCCUCCAACUACAUUUGACCAGGUAUAUCUAUAUGAUGAUUUGCAUCUUGUUUUCUAAAUGAUGGGUACUACUAGUAGUUUCACCCUUCAACUGCAUGCCAUGAGUAGGAAAUUAGAAUGCCUCAUCCAUGCAUUGUUACAGUGCUAUGGCAUUUUCCUUCUUAGAUGCAUGCAUGCAAUUAAAUUAUUAAAAGGAUCGAUCAGGACAACAUGGUUUGUUUUCCUUUCCUAGAAGGACCGACUAAUAUUAAUAAGAACUAGAUCAACACUUCAACUCAAGCCACUAACCCUUGAUUGAAGGUCAAUUUGAGCCCAAGAUAUCCUAAAAGUCAAGAAAAUUAUGGAGCCUAACUCAAUCACCAUCACCCUCGCCCAGAUUAGAGCGACUCAACCAAGGUUAGGCUAGGUUUCUCCAGCAAGUGCAUAUACUCUUGAUGUCGGCAAAGACUUAUGGGAAUAAUUUUUUGCAUCAUACUAAAAAGUUUUCAGUGUAGAGAACUGCUAUAUCAUGUGCGCUUGUGGUUGCUCUCUUGCUGCUUCACAUUGCUUAAUUUCAUACUUCUAGUGGGUGUUCAUUGAAUUUACAGGGAAAAGAGAAUAGCUUCCCAACAAAAUAUUACGAAACCCAACUCAUGGAAUUAUAGUCUACUUUUAGUUAUUAUUACGACACAUACAUUUUAUGUUCUCUCUUUCUCACGAUUACAUUAACAGCAACAUUUUUUUCUCUACUACGCAGGCACUAAUUUGGACAGCACUCAAAUCUGCUGGUGCACGACCAGCGGGAAAUUCAAAGUUCCCACCCAAUAGACGUUGUAAACAGUACUCUGAAUCACCUAAAAUGGACAAGUACAAGGACAGGGUAAACACUCUUUUGUUGGUUUCGACCCUUGUUGCCACAGUGACAUUUGCUGCUGGUUUUACCAUGCCAGGUGGCUACAACAGCUCCGACCCAAAUGUCGGCAUGGCUGCCUUGCUGAUGAGAAAUAUGUUCCAAAUGUUCGUCAUCUGCAAUACCACUGCUAUGUAUACCUCCAUCCUCGCGGCAAUCAUCCUCAUCUGGGCACAGUUAGGUGAUCUCAAUUUGAUGGAUACUGCCCUCAGAUUUGCAUUGCCAUUCUUGGGGUUGGCCCUUACUGCGAUGUCCUUAGGCUUCAUGGCAGGUGUUUACCUGGUGGUCAGUAAUCUUCAUUGGCUUGCAAUUGUUGUCGUCAUUAUUGGAAUCAUCUGCCUUGUCGGUCUCCUAGUACCCUUUUUUUUACUUUUCCUCCCAAGUAAGUCUACUAAUCGUAUCCUUAGGCACAUCUCCUAUUAUCCGUUUCUUAUAUUGGUAUGGGCAUCUAAAAGCCCCGAAAUGAAACGGGAAGAUUAGCUAGCCCUGUUGAUGAUGUCUGCUAGCUCCAUCUUCCCCUAUGUUUGUUGCUUCUUUCAGCAUUAUCUCAAUGACUUGGUAGACAAAGUAUGUUAUGUAUAAAUGCUUAGUGUGAUAUAUUGAUGGUGUUGUACAUGACCAUUUCUUAUAUAAAUCUAUGGUUUUUGGAUCUAUAAUUAGGUAGUUCUAUAUAUAUUUCAAUAAAUACUCCAUUCAUACAUAAAUAACCUGAAUUCGUUAUUAAUAGGUUCAGUUUAAUUUAUUGAUUGAAAUUUGAAUUUGCAAUUGCAAUUUUUACACUUUUUUAAUUAUUAUUAUGAGAAUUUUGAUUUUCAAAUCGGUUGCAUCUUCUACAUUACAAUUCAUUGGGAAGGGGAAAAGGUUUUAAUUUUGGAAAAAAAAAAUUUAUUGGCUUUUGAGUUCCAAAGAAUUUUUCAAAAUUAAGGAGUUUAAUAAUUUUUUAAAAAUAAUUUGAAAAUAAAAUAUCGAGGGAGUUAACACUAGAACUAAGAAUUAGUUGAAAAUGACUAUAUUAAUCUCUAGUUUAUGCACAAUUAUAUUUUUCAUUAUAUUUUAUUAUAUUAUUAAUAUUCAUAUUUUAUUAAAAAUUAUUUAUUUUGAAUUUAUUUAUAAUUAAAAAAUUAUUUUUAUUUUUAAUAAGACACAAAUUAAAUUUAACUUAUAUUAUAUAAAUUAAAUUUAUAAUUUUGUGAUUUUUACAAAAUAAAAAUAAAAUUUAUUUUUAGAAACAACUAAUUUAAUUCUUAUAAUCAUUUAAGUUAUCUAAAUAUAGAAAUAAAUGAGAAAAUAAUGGAGAUCUUCAUUUCCAUUCCUGUUUUACCGCGUGGCAAACAGUCCCUCAUCUUAAUUAAUAACAUAACAUGAUUUAUAUAUUUGAUGGACGGUAAAAUCAACCCUUUGUUUGGUAACUCAUAUUGUAGUAAACCCUAAGUUGAGUUUGAUGAUAGUCGGACGUAUUGAUGACGGAUUUGACGGACAUAACGUUCAAACCCGCUCAAAGACUCAAUCAAACCCACAGAACUUCACAACUGAUUAAAAUAAUUUUAUAAACCAAAAUGAUCAAACUUUGUAGUUUCUGGGAUUCGUGUUGAUGCUUCCAAAUAGGUUCCAAGAUGUUCCCAGUGAGUUUGGAAAAGAGAGAAGUGGAUUCCUUGAGCUUCUCAAACAUUUUCUAAGAAAUUGUCAAACACUUGGUCUCUUCAUCUAACCCGUAUGAUUCAAACACACCCAUGAAGACUUUUCUUCAUAGGACGUCACAUUUCAAACUCCAGCAAACGAGUAAGAUAUUUGAGUUGCCGUGCUUCAUAUCCAUUCCGUGUCUGUUGGAAGUCCUAUGUGAUGUAAGUUGGACUAUCAAAUGAAUUUCUUUUAGUAUCAUAUUUUUUAUUCAACUUAUCAUAUGUAUGUAAUGCAUAGGUUCUUCUCUCACAGAUUGACUUGGCCCUUACUUCCAUCCCAAGCAAGAAAGUGCAGGUAUCUCAUGGCCGGCAGUGGACUAAUGAUAUAUGAACUCAUUUUAAAUUGGGUCUGACUAACUUGGCCACUGGGGUUGUUACCUCGAAAGGACUUGAGUGGGGUUCAUGUUUAAGUCUUUCUUUUUUAAUCUAGGUAUGUACUGUGUGUGCUCUCUUCUUAUUUUAGUCGAAUUCAAAGAAUAGUUGUUUCUUCCUAGUCUUGGUAAGUGGUUGCUCAAGGAUAUCAUAUUAAGAUUUUUAUUAUUUUUAUUUUCUGUUUUUGACUUAGUGCCUUCUCAAGAUUUUGAAUUGUCAAAAAAGCUGGUUAUAUUGUAUAAACAAUCAUCAUAGUAUUAGAAUUAGCAUAUAUAAUUUGGUAUUGAUGUGCAUGUUCUCUUCCUCUGUAUGACCUAUCCUUUGCGAUGAAGUAUCGGACUGGUUUCUUUGUUGCCAUUAUUUCUUUUUUCUUUUAAACUUCUUAAACCAACAUAAAUACAAGCACAGCUAACGGAUUUGAUUAGGCAAGUCAACUACAAUAGGAGAUAUUAUGAGACAAGACGAUUUAAUGAUGAAUUUUGAGAGGCUAAGAAAGCAGGGGAGGGGAGAAAGAUGGAAGACAGGGAAACAAAGGCAAAAACAACCCAAGAAGCAAGCCAUCUUGGCAAUCUCUGAGCUUAAGGAUGCCAAAUUAUUGGAGGACUAUGUGACAGCUAGUUCCAUGGAUCCUGAUUUGUACAGAGCUACGAUACAAGGAGACAUUCUUGAAUUCAUAAAAGCCGUGGAACAAGGACCAGACAAUAGACACGCUGGUGUACCUGCUGCAUCUUGUAUCCAAGUGACCCCUCAGAAGAACACAGUUCUUCACCUAGCAACGAUCUUUGGACAUGACGAGAUUGUAAAACUCAUUUCUAAGGACUUGCCCUUUCUUGUCAUGGAAAGAAAUUGCAGAGGUGACACUGCACUUCACAUUGCAGCCAGAGCUGGCAAUUCACUGCUAGUGAAUUUGUUGAUUAAUUCAACAGAAGGGGUUUUGGGUGUGAAGAAUGAGACGGGUAAUACCGCAUUGCAUGAGGCAUUGCAACAUCGUCAUGAAGAGGUGGCCUGGAAUAUAAUUAACAAGGACAGAAAUAUGUAUUGUUCUGUCAAUAAGGAAGGAAAAUCUUUGUUGUAUUUGGCCGCAGAAGCAGGAUAUGCAAAUCUUGUUAGGUUUAUAAUGGAAAAUCCUGCAGGAAACUACAGCAUUGAAGGAAAGCUCGAGAACAAACCAUCUGUGAAAGCUGCCAUUCUUGGGAAGAAUACAGGUAAAUGAAAUUCUCUCCUCUAAUCUCCCUUUUUUUUCCCUUUAUUGGUAUGCUUGUCUUUCAAUUUCAGACUUCCAAGAGUCUGCACUUGGAUUGGAAAUUUUUAAGUGACUGCACUUUCACACUUCUUAGUUUUUUCCUACAAAAAGCCCUGCAACUACUAUAAACCACCCAAUUCUCUGCACCUGUGAAUCAGAAAACUUUACCCAAACUAUAUUGCAUCCAAUUGUCACCAUUAAAAGGUAAUGAUAUCAUGGCACAUAAGAGCAUUCUCAUUUUUCUGGAAGUUGGAAGACCUCAAUUAUUUCUUGCUUAAUUAAUUGGUGAUAUUCCUGUGCUUCCAUGUUUGAACUAGUGUGUCCAUUGUAAUCUCCUUCCAUGGAUUUCCUUAGGUGUGGCUGCCCAUCAAGAAGAGAUCAGGAAUAGUCCAGAAAUAUUACUGUCUUAUUCUAAUCACAUGAGUAUCUAGCAGUAAAGAAAUAUAUCUGUAGUAGCUGAUUUUUUUAGAUAGGUCCUCUAGUAGCCAAUCGACCUUUUUUCUUUACAAGAAGGCUUCUAUUGUGACUUGUGAAGACAGUGAUAAAUUGACAAUAUUUCUGAUUAUCAUUUGGAUUUAGGAGCAUAUUUUACCAUAUAUUUUGUUCUCACACAUGGCAAGAUUUUCAUUUAAUGUGUUAUCAUCAGUCCUGUGAUCACCAAAAAAUUCGCUUAAAUAUGGUUCACACUUCUUUGUUUGUUUGUUUUCAUUUUUUUGUUUUGGGCGACAUUAGAUGUUCUCAAGAUAAUGUGGGAAAGAGAUCAAUCAUCCUUCAAUUUAAGAUGUGAAGAAGGGAGGAACCCUCUUCACUAUGCAGCAUCUAUUGGUUUUGUUGAAGGAAUCAAUUACUUUUUAGACAAAUACUGUAUCGCUGCUUACCAAGGGGACAAAGAUGGCCUCUCUCCUAUUCAUAUAGCAGCCAUCAAAGGUCAUUUCCACAUAAUUCAAGAGAUGCUCCAGCAUCGCCCAGAUUUGAUGGAGCUGCUCACUUGCAAAGGCCAGAAUACCCUUCAUGUCGCAUGGUACUUGACUUUCAAUUAUUUUAUGCUGAUGGUGGUAUGGUACUUGACUUUCAAUGAACAAUGGUUAACUUUUGGUGAGAUGUAUUUGCUGGUGUAUAACCUGAUAUUUUUAGUUUGAAUAUUCUGAGGGAUAAAAAAGAAAUAAUGAUAUUUAAAUAAGUAUUUUUUAUUUAACAAUAUUAAUAAUUUUAUUUAUGAAUUUAUAUUUAUCUUUUAUUUAAUUAGUAAAUAAAAUAUAUAAUAAGAUAAUUAAGAUUAACUUAUUUAUAAUAAUUCUAUUUUAAUUCAUUAAUAAUAUAAUAUAUAUUUAUAAUUUAUCAAUUAUGUCUUCCCUAAACAAAAACUUUGUCCAUUGAUAUAGGUCAUUUCUUAAUUUGUUCGAGAAUCUAGGUUUAUUUUCUACUCUUGUGGGCUAGUGAAUUUUUUUUUUUUUUUUUUGAAGUGUAAGUGUUACAAUAACCCCACAUCAGAAAUAAAAAAACACCCCCUAACCCUAACGUACCGUACAAAUGAUCUUUUAUUAACUUAGACAUUUACUUGACCAAAGCAAAAGCCAUUAGAUGCUUGUCUUGUAAUGCAAUCUUGCCCUUUGUUCAAUUCACAGCCUUAAAUGAUUCACUGUCAUCCAAUAGAUGGAAAUGGUGAUCUUAAUCGGUUUUUAAAAAUAAAUAAUUGUUUUUGUAUAAUUAAAAAUUAAUUAGGAUUAAAGAUUAAAAAACAAGACUAAAGUUUAAAUUUUGUUUGAAUUUUAAAAUUUAGAAAUUUAAAAAUAAAAAAAUGUAAAAUCAGAAAGGAUUGAAAUUAGGAUCUGUAUAUGAUAUAUUUGUGCGUCGGUAUAGAAGAUUGGGAUUGGAUUGAAGUAGAAAAUUCAAAAUGAAAUUACAAUAAGAAUACGGUAAAGGGAUAACGUUGGGACACCACUACUGGUGUACACUUCCAAGGCUGGAUGUAAAAGAAGGCCAUGCCAUGUCAUGCCACCUGGAACAAAAUAAGGGGUUCUACAGAUUCUCUUAUCGGAAUCAUUUGAGAUAUGGAUGCAUAGAAGGAAAGGAGACUCCUCUAAAACUUGUGUAAACUUGUGUUUGUGUGUAGGUGAGAGGUUGGGACUCUCCGAUCAAUAAGGAACUCGGAGCAGAUUCGAACAAGGAAGAAGGCGGGGAAGGGCAGAUGGCACCACACAUGCCAUUCUCCGCAGAUGUGGACAUGGAUAGAGAUAGAAGUGCUCCUUACAGGUAUAAACACAUCGUCCCUGCAAUCUCCGCAGAUAGAAGUGCUCCUUCCACACAUGUGGGCAUGGCUAGAGAUAGAAGUGGUCCUUCCACACAUGUGGGCAUGGCUAGAGAUAGAAGUGCUCCUUCCACACAUGUGGGCAUGGCUAGAGAUAGAAGUGCUCCUUCCACAUAAGGAGUCGUCGCUCCCGCCGAUGAAGAUGAAGAUGUGGAGCAGGAUAGAUUAAUGGACAGCCGCAUGUACAUGCAGGCGACCCGAGGACGUGUUGAUGAAUUUAUUCAAAUUUUAGAAUCGAUAUCCUCUGAAAAGGAACUUUAAAGCUCAGAAAUCCUCUCCCAAGUUAGCCCCCGGAACAACACAUGCCUCCACAUAGCAGUAAGAUUUGGACACCAUGAGCUUGCCGAGUACAUCGUGAAAGAGUGUCCAGACCUUAUCAAAAAGACAAACUCCACAGGCGACACUGCACUUCAUAUUGCUGCUAGAAAAAAGGAUUUAUCUUUCGUUAAGUUUGCCAUGGAUUCAUGUCCUUCUGGAAGUGGCGCAUCCCGAGAUGUAGAGAAGGCUGAGCAUCCAUUGCUGAUCAUUGUUAACAAAGAAGGAAAUACAGUGUUGCAUGAGGCACUGAUAAACCGUUGCAAACAAGAAGAGGUGGUGGAGAUCCUUAUUAAGGCAGAUCCCCAAGUGGCUCAUUAUCCGAAUAAGGAGGGAAAGUCGCUAUUGUUUCUAGCUGCAGAAGCACACUACUUCCAUGUCGUCGAGGCUAUAGGAAAACCUAAAGUCGAGAAGCACAUGAACAUUAACAGAGACCGCGAAGCCAAGCCGGCAGUCCAUGGUGCCAUUCUGGGAAAGAAUAAAGGUAUGACCCGUCCCAUUCUCAAUCUCCAUUUAAUUCUCCUGCUCUUCUUCUUCUUCUUCAAACCUAAAAAACACCAUUUCCAAUAAAAUCUUAAACCUAUAUUCGAUUCUCAUAGUUGAAAAAAAAAUUAUUAAGGAAAGUGAUUUUCUAAUAUGCUGUUUUACCAUGAAAACAUGAAAGAAAGUGAAAUAUAAUUAAAAUUAAUAAGAAAUUUAUAUCAUUUAAAAUUAUUUAAUUUUUAUAUAGAAUAGUUAAAUAAGUAAAAUGAAUUUAAAGUAAUAUAUAAAAAUAAUUUAUCAAUUUAAAUUUUUUAUUUUUCCUUUUUUAAUUUUUCUUCUUUAUUUUCUAUUUUCACAUAUUCCCUCAAACUUUGGGACCAAACAUAACCUAAAUGAUCACUUGAAGUCAAUCCCAAACUAUCCAAACAAUUCUUCUUUCUUAUAGCCCUUUUUGCCUCCCCUCUAUUUAAACCAGCCAAUAUGCACGCAACAAAGCCACAACAGCAAAUUUUCUUUAGUUAAUUUUAAAAUUUUGUGAUUUAGAAAAGAAAAUUAAGAAUUAGGAGCUAGUGGGGUUUUGAAGAAGAAUAAGAAGAUGACAAACUAGGAUUAGGAUUUUGAAAACAAAGAUGAAGAAUAUUAUUUACAAGGACGGGUUUGGGCCGGGAAGAGGAGUUAUAAACAUUAUUGAUCUCCCAUAAAUUAAUAAAAAUUUUAAUUUUUUAGGAACGGGGAAUAUUGAAGCAAAAGAUGAAAAAAAAAAAAAAAGCCAAUUUACUUUUUCUAUAAUUAGUUCAACAGAAAAACAUAAAUGUGUUCUCAUUUUAAUUUCUUUUAUAUAUGAUGAAAAAAUGCCAGAGAUGUUGGAAAAAAUACUAGCCCUGAAGAUCGUCCACCAAAGAGAUGAACAUGGAAGGACUCCACUUCAUUAUGCGGCAUCGAUUGGAUAUCUUGAAGGAGUUCAAACGCUGUUAGCUAAAGACCAAUCUAACUUCGAUCGAUAUCAUAGGGACGACGAAGGCUUCUUACCCAUCCAUGUUGCAUCAAUGAGAGGCUAUGUAGACAUCGUCAAAGAGUUGCUCCAGGUCUCCUCUGACUCAAUAGAAUUGCUUAGCAAACACGGUGAGAACAUUCUUCAUGUGGCAGCCAAGUAUGGUAAAGAUAAUGUAGUCGAUUUUCUGCUGAAAAAAAAAGGGGUUGAGUACCACGUAUGCACAUCCUAAGGUCGUAAACUAUUUAACAUGGGAUAAAAGAGUUGAUGUGAAUCUUGUGAAUAAUGAAGGCCAGACUGCUUUCGACAUUGCUGUAUCAGUGGAGCAUCCAACUUCAUUGCACCAGGUAUAUAUGACGAUUUGCAUCUUGUUUUCUGAAUUAAGGGUACUACUAUUGGUUUCACCUUGAACUGCAUGCAUUGUUAAUGCUAUGGCAUUUUCCUUCUUAGAUGCAAGCAUGUGAAUUAUUAAAAGGAUCAAUCAGGAAAACAUAGUUUGUAUUUCUUUCCUAGAAGGACCGACUGAUAUUAAUAAAACCUAGUUCAACUAAAAGAAGAUCAAUUUGAUCCCAUGAUAUCCUAAAAGUCAAGAAAAUUAUGGAGCCUAACUCAAUCACCAUCACCCUCGCCCAGAUUAGAGCGGCUCAACCAAGGUUAGGCUAGGUUUCUCCAGCAAGUGCAUAUACUCUUGAUGCCGGCAAAGACUUAUUGGAAUAAUUUUUUGCAUCAUACUAAAAGGUUUUCAGUGUAGAGAACUGCUAUAUCAUGUGCGCUUGUGGUUGCUCUCUUGCUGCUUCACGUUGCUUAAUUUCAUACUUCUUGUGGGUGCUCAUUGAAUUUAUAGGGAAAAGAGAAUGGCUUCCCAACAAAAUAUUUCGAAACCCAACUCAUGGAAUUAUAGUCUACUUAUACUUUCUAUAGUUAUUAUUACGACGCAUACAUUUGAUUUUCUUUCUUUCUCACGACUACAUUAACAGCAACAUUUUUCUCUCUACCACGCAGAGACUAAUUUGGACAGCACUCAAGUCUACUGGUGCACGACGAGCCGGAAAUUCAAAGGUCCCACCAAAACUGCCUAAAUCACCUAAUACGGACCAGUACAAGGACAGAGUAAACACUCUCUUGUUGGUUUCGACCCUUGUUGCCACCGUGACAUUUGCUGCUGGUUUUACCAUGCCAGGAGGCUACAACAGCUCUGAUCCAAGUGCCGGCAUGGCUAUCUUUCUGAUGAGAAAUAUGUUCCAUAUGUUCGUCAUCUGCAAUACCAUUGCUAUGUAUACCUCCAUCCUCGCGGCAAUCAUCUUCAUCUGGGCACAGUUACGUGAUCUCAAUUUGAUGGAUACUGCCUUCAGAUUUGCAUUGCCAUUAUUGGGGCUGGCCCUUUAUGCAAUGUCCUUCGGCUUCAUGGCAGGUGUUUCCUUGGUGGUCAGUAAUCUUCAUUGGCUUGCAAUUGUUGUCUUCAUUAUUGGAAUCAUCUGCCUUUUCAGUCUCUCAGUACCCUUUCUUUUACUCUUCCUCCCAAGUAAGUCUACUAAUCGUAUCCUUAGGUACAUCUCCUAUUAUCCGUUCCUUAUACUGGUAUGGGCAUCUGAAAGCCCCGAAAUCAAACAGGAAGAUUAGCUUGCCCUGUUGAUGAUGUAUGCUAGCUCCAUCUUCUCCUAUGUUUGUUGCUUCUUUCAGCAUUAUCUCAAUGACUUGGUAGACAAAGCAUGUUAUGAAUAAAUGCUUAGUGUGAUCAGAACUUCAAUAUAUUGGUGGUGUUGUACAUGAUCAUUUGUCAUAUAAAUCUGUAGUUUCUGGAGCUGUAAUAUGUGAAAUACUCUAUAUAUAUUUCAAUAAAUACUCCAUUCAUCCAUACUGAUCAAUGCAUAUUUGUCUUUGCUUUAAAAUUUUUUAGAAAAGAAAAAAAGAAAAAAAAAUCUUGGAAAUCCCAAAAUGAUUAAUUUGAGAAAUAUCAUUAUUUAACAAAUAAAAAAACACAUGAAUAUAUAAACCCCACUACGUCAUUUUCUUUGAAGUACCCUGUUGCGGAUUUGAUGAGAAAAAGGUAAUCAAAUGGCAUAGCAUAAAAUUUAAAUUAGAGUUUUCUCAUCAAAAUGUGCAGAAUUAAAACCUUUACUAAAACAAUUGAUUUUUAGGAACCAAAUUUUGGUGAAAAAAAAAAAUCAUAAUUCAUCUAUAAAACUAAUUAUUGACAAUAAACUUUUACAUUUCUUACAAACUAUUUAAUGAUGAUACCUUAGUGAUUAACUUCUAAACUCAUUUAUAAAAUGUAACAUUAGACUUUGUUUGAUUUUGAAGAGUUUGAAAGGAAAUGCAAAAGAAAGAAAAAAAAAGAGGAGAAAAAUAAAAGGAAAGAAAAAAUAAAUUUAAAGUGAAUAAAUUAUUUUGAUAUAUUAUUUUAAAAUUUUUCAUUUAUUUAAAUUUUUAUAUAAAAAUAAAAUAAUUUAAAAUCUCAAGAUUACUAAAAAAUAUCUUGGGAUAGCAAAAAGUUUAUGAUCUUUUUCCUACGUGGAACAAGUGAUAAUUGAGCACCACCUAUUCAAUCCCUCUAAUUAGUUAUGAUUAUCUUAUUUAAUUAAUGAUUUAUGUAUUUCAUAGAUAAGUUGACAAUUUUAUUCUAUACAUUUUAAACUAAAACUCUAUAUACUUUCUUGUAACCAAUUAGAGUCUACGGAUGGUAAUGGGGUGGAUUUUUUUGAGUACUUGCCCGUCCCAUCCUUAAUGGAAUGGAUUUGAAUUUUAACUAAAUGGGUUUAGGAUGGGUUUGGAAAUUUUUUUAAAACUUGGGGUGAAUUUGGGUGUUGUCUUGUCUCAUCCCACCAUAUUAUAUAUAAAAUUAAUUUUUAAAAUUAAAUUAAAUUAAUUUUUAUUUUACUAUUUUUACUAUGUAGAUAAUAAUGAAAUAUUUUUUUUUAAUAAAAUAAGUUAUAAAAAAUAUAAUAAUUUAAUUAUUUAUAAAAUAUAUUUAUUUUAAUGUAAUUAAAAAAAAUUAAAAUUUAAAAAAAAAAAAAAAAAAGUUAAACUGGGUGGGAUGGGGUGGGGCAAGUAUGAAAAUUUCUCAUACCCAUCCCUUCCUGUUUAAUUUUUUAAAUGGGGCAGAGAUGAAAAUUAUUUUUAAUAAAUGGGACGAGGUUGGGAUGGGGGUGACCCGUCCCAUUGCCAUCCUUGCUAGAGUCUGGAAUCGUAAAAACUCAAGAUUACUCACAAUUCAUCUAGGAAUAGCCAAAGUUAAUGAUCUUGUUUCUACAUAGAGCAAGUGAUGAUUGAGGACCAUAUAUCUAGUCUGUCUAAUUAGUUAUGUGAUGCAAGGUUAAAAACCUUAUCUUAUUUCAUAACAUGAUUAUAUUUUAUAGAUCAUAAAAUCAAAUCUUUGUUUGGUAACUCAUAUUUAGUAAACCUUAAGAACCUAAAUUCCCCACGUGUUUGACAUAGAUUCGAAAUUUUGAACCCAAUUUUAAGUUGAGUUUGAUGAUAGUCGGACGUAUUGAUGACAGAUUUGACGGUCAUUACGUUCAAACCCGCUUUAAAAGACUCAAACCCACGUAACUUUGAAUUGGUUAAAAUAAUUUUAUAAAGUGAAACGAUUAAACUUCUUACUUUUUGGGAUUGGUGUUUGUACUUCCAAAUGAUGUUCCUAGUGAGUUUGGGGAAGAGAGUGAUAGGAUUUCAGAAUAAUUAUAAGCCUAAUUCUUGCAAAACAAUCAUCACAUUGGUCUUAAAACUUUGUGAUUUUCUCAAAGUAAAUAAAUAAUCAAGAAAACAAUCGUUAAAUUCUAACUUUUAAACCAUGUCUAGAAAAAUAAAGUUUAAACCAAAAAUCCUAAUAAUAUCAAAAUCUCAUCCUAAUUAUCAUUCAUCACCUGAUCAGAUGGUACUUAAAAAAUUGUUAAUGAAGGGAAAUGAACUUAAAACCUAAUAAGAAAUAUUAAUACAAUUUCACAAAUAAAAUAUUUUUAAUAAAGAUUAUAAAAAGAAGAUAUGAUGUAUAAUCAUUUUCAUAAAAACUUUUUAGUUCAAACAUCCUAAUACAUUCAAACUUUUCAAUAAAACAUUUUUAUAUUCAUGUCAAACAAUUUUAUAUUAAAUUCAAAUAAAUUGUAUUUAAAAUAUUUUACUCUGAUUAUCAAAUAUCAAAUGGUACUCAACUAUGUGAGACUUUACAAAUGGACGGCUACUCUCAAAUUUGUUCCUUUUAAGACAAAACUAAACACUACUAAUACUAGUAAUCUCUAACCAAACCUUUAGAUGUUGGGGUUCAAAUCAAUUGCAUUCUUCAUCAUAAAAUGUAAAUGUUAACUAUUAUAUCGUGUUAAUAUGGACUAAAAAGUCAAAUAUUAUAUCCAAUUGAUAAAGACCAAAAAGUCGAUUAUUAUAUUCCGUUACCUAUGACCAAACAAACCAAAGUCAAACACUUUGUUUUAUUUAUUCAAACUUAUAAAAACAUAAUAUUUUCACAUAUUUAUGUUAUAAACAAAAGAAAAGGUUUUAAUAUAUUUUUCAUGAAAAAUAUAUUUGCUUUAUGCAUAAAAACAAAAAUAACAUUUUACACAUUUCAAAAUAACAUGUCAAAAGAAAAUCAUUUUUUAUUAUAAAAUCCUCAUUAAUUUCCCUUACCUCGAAAAACAUUCAUAAUCCUUGAAGAAUUUAAUUCCAUAUAAACAAAUUUUCAUCUAAUAACAUAAGAAAAACAAUUAUUACUAUUAAUUAUUUGUCUAAAAUUAUAAGUUUGAUAAUCCUAAAAUUUUAUAUAUUAAUAUUAAUAAGUAUCAAUGAUAAUUUAAUUAAUUUAUUCCUUAUUAAAGUAAAAUUAAUAAAUUGCUAAUUUAUAUAAAACUUUUUUCUUAAAUUUGAUUCUAAAAAACAAAAAUACAUUACUAAUUUAAUUAAACUACAAUUUUUAUUUCAUUAAUUAAAUUUUAUUUAUUUAUUAACUUAACAUCUAUCCUCAUUAGCAUUAUUAUACCAUCAACUAACCCAACUCUCAACACCUACUUAAUAUUAUAUAUAAAGGUAGGACUCGCUUGCUUAUCUUUUUCUUAUUUUAUUUCUUUUCUUUCUUGCACAAACCACACUCAUGGCUACAUUCCAUUUUAUUUUAUUUUUUUAAUACACACUUACAAAAAUCACACUGUACACACUCGCCAAGGAACCAAAAGCUUUUUUUUUUUAAACACCCAAAUUCUUUUCUUUUUUUUCUUUUAUGUUGUCACAUAGGUACCCAUCCCAAAUCCAUAAAUCCUUUUUUUCUUUUUCUCAAUACCCUAAGUAUAUAUAUAUAUAUAUAUAUAUAUAUAUAUAUAUAUAUAUAUAUAAGAUAUAUUAUUUAUUUAUUAUUGUUUUAGAUUUACUAAAAAAAUAUUGAGAAUUUCCAAUCUCUAUCAAUAAAUCAACAUUUAUUCAUAAAUUUUCACUAUUUUUUAUUUAGAAUUUAAAUAAACAAAUUAUAUUCAAGAUUGAGAUUUUUUAAAGAAUAUUUAAGUGUUUAAAACUAAUUAACAAAUCUAAAAUACUAAUUUAAGGGUUAAAAUUCUACUUGAAAAACUAAUUUUCAAAUCCUAAACCUCCAAAUCUUCAAUCCUAUAUUGUCUUAUGUUUUUUUGAUCUUUUUCUAAUCUCAAUGUAAAAGGGUUUCUAUAUAAAGAAAUCAAAAAAAUCUAAUUUAUAUUUAAGGUUUUUAAUGCAAAAAGACCUUUCUAACCUUAUUAAAUUUAUUUAUUUUUUUCUUUUACUCUAAUUUAUGGUUUUACCCUUAACAAUAAAAUGGGGGGUGUUACAUAAGAAGCUUGUUAGAAAAAUUAGACUAAUCCAACCUAUGGUAAUCACCCUAAAGAGGGGGUGAAUAGGGUGAUAGUCUCUUUUUGCAAAUUUAAACUAUGUGAAAGUAAGAGACAAUUAUAUGUAAGUAUAUAAUAAACAAUAUAAAGACAAUUGCAUAUAAAUUAAAAGAGUAGGGAAGAGAGAAUGCAAACACAAGAUUUUAUAGUGGUUCGGCGCAACCCGGCCUACAUCCACUCUCCUCUAGCUUCAAUCCAAAGCUUGAAGUUCCACUAAUUCAAGGCUUCCAAACCAAGCCUUCAAGUAAUAUAAUUGGACUAUGGUUCCAAUUUACCCUCUUGGACUUUUGGCUCCAAGCACCCUUUACACUUCUCAAGAGAUAUCCCACUCUUGAACAACCCCUCAAGUGAUACCACACACUUGAGAAACUUCCUCUCAAAGAUUUACAAAUAAAUGAUCUUAUAAAAUCUUAGUACAAAAACUUUAAACUCAAAUGAUAUAAGAAAACUAGAAUUGAAUGGUGCACUAAAGAUAUACAAAUUUUAGAACAAUGGUGCACUCAAAAAUACUCUUCCAAAGCUCAAAUAUAUUCAAGAAAGGUUUGGGAAGGUUAUGUUUCUUAAACAAUAAAGAUUGGAGCAUUUUUAUAGAAGAAAAAAGUCAAACUAGUCGUUGGGGGUUCGACCGAUUAACUAGCCGUUAGCAUUUAAUGUUGGCAGGUGACUGUUGGACCUCGACCAGACCUCAACCGGUUGAGGUUCAACCUUGACCGGUUGAACAACCGUUCUAGAAGAAAGAGAAAAUUUUUUGCACCAUCGACCGGUUGAGCUGGGGGUCGACCAGUUAUUGUUCAUACCCUUGACCGAUUGAAUUGGGGGUUGACCGAUUACUAUUCAUGCCCUUGAUCGGUUGAGAUAGGGGUCGACUGGUUACUGUUCAUCCGGUUUAACCGGUUGAGCCGUUUUUGGUUCAACAACCAAAUUUUUCAACUUAAAACCUUUUAAACAAGUUUGAAACAACAUUUGACACAAGGUUUUAGUUGAAAAUAUGAAAUCAAAACAAAAUAAUUCUUGGAUGAUUUCGGUGCAUAUGUAAAGAAUGUAAUGCAUGGAAAUCCUAGUGCACCAACAAUCUUAUAAAAAGAUCUUAUGAAACUUGGGUCUUAAAAAACACUUCUCUUUGAGGUGGUCUUCUUCUUCAUGAUUUUUCUUUGGCUUGAUUUGUCUUUAUGAUUGCCACUUUGGAAAUCGUCUUACUUAAUUACACUUGAAAUAUAAUCAUUAGUUCUAAACUUUGUUUUGUUAUCAUCAAAACCGAGAUUGACCGAAUCUUGAUUUCACAAAGCCUAAUAAUAUUUUAAAUAAUUUGAAAGUAAAAAAUCGUGCUAGAACCAAAAAUUGUUUGAAAAUGAGUACAUCAAUUUCUCACCUAUGCACAUUCUUUUUAAAAUUUUCUUAUUAUGUGAAUGAGUUUCAAAUAAAAUGAUAUUUAAUGCACUGGAUUGGUUAGCAAGUCUAAUGAUUUUUUUUUAAUUAAUUUAGAACUUAAAAAUGGGCUCAAUUAAUUUCAAAAUUUCAACCAAAAUAGUUAAAAAUAUCCCAAAUGUAUGUGUAUUAAAAGAAACUAAAUUAUUCAUAUAACUAGAAAGAGUAAAUUCAUAACUUAUUUAAAAAUAAUAUUAACUAUUAACAUUUUCUAAAAAUAUUAUUAUUCAUUUAAAAUAUAUAUAUAUAUACUUGACAUUAUUAAAAUAUCAGCAUUCAUAUUUUAUAAUAUCCACUAUAUAAUUCUAUUUUUUUUUAAAUAUAUAUGAUUUUUAUUUUUAUUAUAAUGUUAGUUUCAUAUUUUAUGAAUAUUAUCUGUGUAUUAUUUAUUUAUUUCAUAUUGAUCACUUAGAAUUUAUAUGAUAUUGAUAUUCAUUUUAAAAUAAAUUUAGGUUUAUGUGGCUAUUUUUAAAAUACUAUAAUUCAUUAUUAGAAAGUUUAAUAUAUUAUUAGUUAUUUUUUUAUAGAAAAUGUGUUUUAAAAAAAUGUUUAAUAAAUAAAUAAAUAAAUAACCAUUUAGCAAGAGGGGUUUGUAUAGUGGGUGAGAAAAAUGAAAUAAAAUCCAUGACGCUAGGAGAUCUUUUUCAUCGCAAUGAAUCUAUUAUAUAAAGGAAAAAUGUGAAUGAACCAUUUGCCAUGUUAAUUUUUUUGAAAUAGUGUAAGGAAACAUAUUUUGGUUGUUACAUGUUUUCCAUAAGAAAAGUAUGUUUGGAAACUUUCAAAUUUUUUUUUAAUAAUAAUAAUAAUUUUUAUUUACAGUACUUUAUUUAUUUAUUUUUAUUUUUCAUAUUUAUAUAAUUAUUUUUUAAAACAAAUAAAAAUAAUUAAAAUAUGUUCUUAAAAAACUCUAUUUUUUAAAUAAGUUCUCAAAAAUAAUAUUUUAUAUUAAAAAUAAUAUUUUCUAACUGACAAGAAAAUUCCAAACUUAUUCGUAAGAAAUGUGGUUCAUGAUUGGUUGGUGGUUAGUCACUAUCCAUUUAAUUCAUAGAAUUAAACGUUUAUACACCUCAUCUACCAACAACGGUUGUAUCCUCAUCGUGUCAUGUGCAUACCAUUUAAAAUUCUCAAAUAGAAAAAUGAAAUGAAAAUUAAUAUAAUUUUGAUUUAUUAAUAUAUUUGGAUUAAUUGUUUUAUAGAAUGAGAAUAUGAAUAAAAAAUUUAUUAGUAUAGAAAUCAAAUUCCACUCUUAUGAGGAUUUUGAUUCAUUUAUACUAUGUCAUAGUGUUUUACCUUACGCUUGGGUUGAAUAGUAUAUAAUAUCCAUAUCUUAGAAUAUCAUAUCCCCUCCUUAUUCAACUUAUUUGCAAGAUUUGUAUUUGUCAUUCAAAAGUCAUCUUUUAACACGACAAUUAAUACAAAGCUAUUAUGUAGUCAUAUAUUUAUCACUUUUUUUUUUAUGUUGAUAGUGAAUUUAACUUUUUACGGUUGUAUCUUAUUUUUAUAUAAUUAUAUUAUAUUUAUUUUAUUUUUUAUAUUAAUUUUUAAAUGUGACUCACAAUUGGUUGGAGGGUUAGAGACUUCAUAAUAUUAGAAAAACAAGUUACAUCCUCAUCCUAUUGACAUGGUAACAACGUGUAAAUCUUUUUGUCUAUCACUCAAAAACCACAUUUUAGUGAGGCAACCUAUACAAAACCAUUGCGUAGUUAUAUAUUUGUCUCAACUUUUCUUUAAGUUGACAAUGAAUUUAAUUUUUUGCACAAAUAUCUUAUUUUUAUAUAAUUGUACUCCAUUUAUUCUUUUAUAUUAAUUUUCAAAUGUGGCUGAUAAUUGGUUGGUGGUUUAGUUAUUAUCAAUGGUUUAAACUAAUCCAAUUAUUGACUAGUGACCUUUUCGAUCCAAUUCACACCUUUAAGUCGUUUUAUCAUUGAAUUUAUAUUACUCAAAAACAAGUUACAUCCUCAUCCAGCUAACAUGCUAAUGACAUUUCAAGCUUUUCAUCAGUAACUCAAAAGCUAGAUUUUAGUAGGAGAGCCAAUAGAAAGCCAUUUUAUUGUCAUAUAUUCGUUUCAAUUUUUAUUUUUUAUAUUGACAAUGAAUUUAAGGUUUUUUUUUUUUGCCCUUUUAAUAUAUAUAUAUAUAUAUUCCAUUUCUCUCUUUCAUAUUAAUUUCCAAAUGUGAUCUGGUUGGUGGGUUAGUCAUUGUCUAUUAAAUUCAUAUCACCCACCAAAUUUAGUUGCAUCCUUAUUAGGCUAACGUGUCAAUAACAUGCUAACAACAUUUAAAAAUUUUCAGUAAGACAAUGAAUACAAAGUCAUCAUGUGUCAUACAUCUGUCUCAAUAUUUUUACAUUUUUUUUUUUUUGCACUUAUAUCUUAUUUUUAUAUUAUUAUAUUUCGUUUCUCUUUUUUGUAUUAAUUCUUAAAUGUGACCGAUAAUUGGUUGGUGGGUUAGUUGUUGUUCAUUGAAUUUAUAUCACCCAAAGAGCUAAGUUGCAUCCUCAUCUAUCUAACAUGCUAAUGACAUUUAAAACUUUUUAUUUGUUACUCAAAAGUCAUUUUUCUGUAAGACAACCAAUACGAAGCUAUCAUGUAAUCAUAUAUUCAUUUCAAAUUUUUUUAAUCUAUUUUUUAUUUUUGGUGUUGACAAUGAAUUUAAUUUGUUACACAUAUAUUAUUUUUAUAUAAUAAUAUUUCAUUUCCUUCUUAUAUAUUCAUUUUCAAUGAUGACCCAUAAUUGGUUGGUAGAUUAUUCAUUAUUCAUAUAAUUAAUAUCACUAAAAAAUAACUUGAAUCAUCAUCUAGUUCAUAUAUUAAACCACAUUUAUUAUUUACAUUUUUCAACCAAUUUAAUUUGUUGAUAAUAACGACGGUCCAAAUUUAUGAGAUAGUCUGUUGUUAAAAAAAUUUUAUUGGUAACGGAAAAUUCUCAUCGAUAGACUUUUGUCAACACAUUUUUCCCUAACUAUCAUGUAUUGAGAUUAUCCAUUGAUAAAUGUUUAUUCAGAUAGUAUAUAUUAAUGAAGAAAAGUAAAAAAUUUUGUAAUGUGUUAACAAUGAGUUUAAUUUUUUGCACUAAUUAAUAUUUUAUUUUUAUAUAGUUAUAUUUCAUUAAUUUUUUUUUAUAUUAAUUUUCAAAUGUGGAUAAUUUUUCGGUGGAUUAGUCAUUGUUCAUUGAAUUACAUCGGUUCCAACAUGGUAGAAGCCAACUAUAACAAAAGUUGUAUCAUCAAAUGAAGUUCAUUUAAACCAGUUUAUCUCAAUUCAAUUUAUCAUUAAGCCAGUCUAUUUUUGGGGUUUUGUUUUGUGUUGCACCAUAAUGCAAUUAAGUUGUUUGAUGAGAAGUCUAGCCAAAUUUGACAUCGGUUGACCCAUGCAAGUUGUAUGAUGAAAACCCAUCUAUUUGUACCAUGCAUGGAAAAAAAAACAUACAUGGCAUUAUUAAAUUUCAGACUAUAAUGUAAUGCCAUGAUCAAAAGGGUCGAAAAUACGAGAAUAAUUAAACUUAGGAAGUUAAAAUGAUAGCAAAAUUUUAAGCACAUUAAUGUGGUCUUCUUGAGCAGUAAAGCAAUUAUAGUAAUUAUUAAUCUUCAUCUAAUUAAUCAAGUAAAAUAAUUAUCAUUAAUUAUAAUAAUUCAUUUUUUUAUUGUGUAGAUAUUAUCUACUUUACUACGAAUGCGCAUCUACGGCUUUUUGUCUUAUUGAUGAGUUAGGUAAUGUUUGCUCACCCAUUUCAGCCCUUUGCAGUGCCUGUGUCCAUGCUUUUAAUGCUACGUCCGUAUUUCCAUUUAUCAGCUUAGGUUAGAUAAAAAAUGCAGAAGGUAAAAUCAGACAUAAUAGAAAUUAGGGGCUGUAUGUCAUAUAUUUGUGCGCGAAUUUGGGAUUGGGUUGAAGUAAAAAAGUCAAAAUGAAAUUACAAUAAGAGUACGGUAAAGGGUUAACGUUGGGACACCAGUACUGAUGUACACUUCAAGGAAGUAGGCCAUGGCAUGUCAUGCCACCUGGAACAAAAUAAGGGGUUCUACAGAUUCUCUUAUCGGAAUCAUUUGAGAUAUAGGAUGGAUGCAUAGAAGGGAAGGAGACGACUCCUCUAAAACUUGUGUUUGUGUGUAGGUGAGAAGUUGGGAUUCCCUGAUCAAUUAAACAUGGCUGAGGAGAGGGAUCCAGUAGAGUUGGGCAUGGCACUCGGCGCAGAUUCGAACAUGAAAGAAGACAGCGUAACAGCUAAGAAGAGGGCAAAACGGUGGGCAAUCACCGCAGAAGCGAGCAUGGAAAGAGAGAAGGGGAUGCUUGAUCAAGAUGAAGAUGACUUGUGUGUAGGUGAGAGGUUGGGAUUCUCCGAUCAAUCAGACAGGGCUAAGGAGAGGGAUCUAGUAGAGUUGGGCAUGGCACUCGGCGCAGAUCCAAACAUGAAAGAAGAUAAGGAAACAAGUAAGAAGUGGAGGGCAGAUUCGACACUGAUCAGCUCAGAUUCGACGAUGGAAGAAAACCCUGCACCGCCUGAGGUGUGGGUGCCAGAAACCUCGCCAAUCUUCGCAGAUACUAAGAUGGCAAUAGACAUCAGCUCAUAUUUCACAAUGAAAGAAUGCCGUGCAUCGCCGUGGGCGCGAGAAUCCAUCAUGUUAGGCAUGCCAAUCACCGCAGAAGCGAGCAUGGAAAGAGAGAAGGGGAUGCUUGAUGAAGAUGAAGAUGAAGAUGAAGAUGAAGAUGAUUUGUGUGUAGGCAUGCCAAUCUCCGCAGAUGCGAACAUGGAAAUAGACAGGGAAACGCAUCUUGUAAGAAAUAUAAGUGCUCCUUCCACACACGGACCCCACGCCCCCGCUGAUGAAGAUGAAGAUGCGGAGCAUAAGAAAUUAAUGGACCGCCGCAUGCACGCGCUAGCGACCCAAGGAAAUGUUGAUGGCUUUAUUAAAAUUUUAGGCUCGAUAUCCUCCGAACAGAACCCACUUCUCUGCCAAGUUAGUCCCCGGAAAAACACAUGCCUCCACAUAGCAGCAAGCUUUGGACACCAUGAUCUUGCCAAGUACAUCGUGAAAGAGUGUCCAGAUCUUAUAAAAAAUAAAAACUCCAAAGACGACACGGCACUUCAUAUUGCUGCUAGAAAAAGGAAUUUAUCUUUCGUUAAGAUUGUCAUGGAUUCAUGCCCUUCUGGAAGUGGCGCAUCCCAAGAUGUAGAGAAGGCUGAGCCUUCAUUGCUGGGAAUUGGUAACAAAGAAGGAAAUACAGUGUUGCAUGAGGCACUGAUAAACCGUUGCAAACAAGAAGAGGUGGUGGAGAUCCUUAUUAAGGCAGAUCCCCAAGUGGCUUAUUAUCCGAAUAAGGAGGGUAAGUCACCAUUGUAUCUAGCUGCAGAAUCACACUACUUCCAUGUCGUAGAGGCUAUAGGAAACUCUGAAGUUGAGGAGCGCAUGAAGAACAGAGACCGCAAAGCAGUCCAUGGUGCCAUUAUGGGAAAGAAUAAGGGUAUUUCCCGCCUCCUUCUCUCUCUCUCUCUAUUAAAUUUUCUUCUUCCUCUUCAAACUUAAAAAGCAUUGUUUGGCUUAAAUAAUAUGUUCCUUCUAACUAUAGAAGAAGUCUACUGGGCUUUUCUCAGCUUUUGCUUCAAUAUUCCUUGUUCCUAAAAAAUCAAUUUUUUUUAUUAAUUUAUGGGAGAUCCACACUCUUCUUUCCCAACCCAAACCCCGUCGUUGCAAAUAUUCUUCAUCUUUGUUUUCUGAAUCCUUUUUUGUCAUCUUCUUAUUCUUCUUCAAAACUCCACUCCUAAUUAAUUCUUUAUUUUCUUUUCUUUUCUAAAUCACAAAAAUUUAAAAUUAACUAUAAAAAAGAAUUGCAGUUGCAUAUGGCUUCAUUGUGUGCAUAUGGGAUGGUUUAAAUAGAGGGGGUAAAAAGGGCUGUAAGAGGGAAGAACAAUUGCCUGUAUAGUUUGGGGUUGACUUUAAGUGACCAUUUAAGAUUUGAUUUCGAGCUUAAGGUUAGAGUUAGGAUUUUUCUUUUCCCUUUUUUUUCUUUAUGUUUUAUGUUUCGUAUAGAUGCGAUGAAGUAGAAUGUAUCCUACACAUUUGAAAGAAACACAAAUUAUAAAUGAUGCAAUGAUGUUCUAUUUUUCCCCUUUUAACUAUUGCAAUAUUAGUAAGAGUAGGGAUGGGAAUGAGACAAGUUUUUACAGAAACCACCCCAUUGAGUUUGAGAUAAAUUUGAGAUUUUUUUUAAAAAAUUAAAUGGAGCCAGAUGGGGUGGGACAUGUAUGAGGACGUUUAAAUUUCUUUUAAUGAGAUGGGACCAAGAAAUAUUUUGAAUAAAUGAGAUCGGGGUUGGGAUAGAGGUAACCGUCCCAAGCCCACCCCAUUUCAAUUCCUAAUUAAGAGGAUGAUAAGGCAAAUAACAAAAUUUACAUAAUUUUUAAGAUCUAAAGAAGAACUUAUAAUUAAAGGAAGCUUUUAAAAGGAUGGGCACCCCAUGUGGUACAACCUCACACCAAAUUGAUACUGUUUUGUUGAAUUAUAGAUAAUAAAAUAAUCAAUUAAAAAAAACUCUCUUUUUUAUUUUUAUAUUAAUUUUUCCUUCCUUGUUUUAAUUAUCUAAUAAUUGAACCCUUUCCAAAAAAAAUAAAAAUAAAUAGCAAUAGUAGCAAUUACUAGUUUACUAUGAAUUUAUCUUAAUUUUAUUUUUUAUAUGUUCAUAUUUUUUAUGUAAUUUUAAUUAUUAAUGACUUGCACUCAUAUAAUAAUAUAUUUAUUAGAAAAAGGUUGUCAUAUAAAAUUUUUCUUAUAUAUGAUGACAAAAUGCCAGAUAUGUUGGAAAAAAUACUGACCAUGAAGCUCGGCCACCAAAAAGACAACCAUGGAAGGACUCCACUUCAUUGUGCAGCAUCCAUUGGAUAUCUCGAAGGAGUUCAAAUGCUGUUAGACCAAUCUAACUUGGAUCCAUAUCAAACGGACUCUGAUGGCUUCUGUCCCAUCCAUGUUGCAUCAAUGAGAGGCAAUGUGGACAUUGUCGACAAGUUGCUCCAGGUCUCCUCUGACUCAAUAGAGUUACUAAGCAAACGCGGUGAGAACAUUCUUCAUGUGGCAGCCAAGUAUGGUAAAGACAAUGUAGUCAAUUUUGUGCUCAAAGAAGAAAGGCUUGAGAACUUUAUAAAUGAGAAGGACAAUGUUGGAAACACGCCACUGCAUUUGGCAACCAAGCAUAGACAUCCCAAGGUCGUAAGCUCUUUAACAUGGGAUAAAAGAGUUGAUGUGAAUCUUGUGAAUGAUUUAGGCCAGACUGCUUUGGACAUUGUAUUAUCAGUGGAGCCUCCAACUACAUUUGACCAGGUAUAUCUAUAUGGUGAUUUGCAUCUUGUUUUCUAAAUGAUGGGUCCUAUUAGUAGUCUCACCCUUCAACUGCAUGCCAUGAGUAAGAAAUUAGAAUGCCUCAUCCAUGCAUUGUUACAGUGCUAUGGCAUUUUCCUUCUCAGAUGCAUGCAUGCAAUUAAAUUAUUAAAAGGAUCGAUCAGGACAACAUAGUUUGUUUUCCUUUCCUAGAAGGACCGACUAAUAUUAAUAAGAACUAGAUCAACACUUCAACUCAAGCCACUGACCCCUGGUUGAAGGUCAAUUUAAUUGAGCCCAUAAUAUCCUAAAAGUCAAGAAAAUUAUGGAGCCUAACUCAAUCACCAUCACCCUCACCAAGAUUAGAGCGACUCAACCAAGGUUAGGCUAGGUUUCUCUAGCAAGUGCAUAUACUCUUGAUGUCGGCAAAGACUUGUGGGAAUAAUUUUUUGCAUCAUACUAAAAAGUUUUCAGUGUAGAGAACUGCUAUAUCAUGUGCGCUUGUGGUUGCUCUCUUUGCUGCUUCACAUUGCUUAAUUUCAUACUUCUAGUGGGUGUUCAUUGAAUUUACAGGGAAAAGAGAAUGGCUUCCUAACAAAAUAUUACGAAAUUAUAGUCUACUUUUAGUUAUUAUUAGGACACAUACAUUUUAUGUUCUUUCUUUCUCACGAUUACAUUAACAGCAACAUCUUUUUCUGUACCACGCAGGCACUAAUUUGGACAACACUCAAAUCUGCUGGUGCACGACCAGCGGGAAAUUCAAAGUUCCCACCCAGUAGAUGUUGUAAACAGUAUUCUGAAUCACCUAAUACGGACAAGUACAAGGACAGGGUAAACACUCUUUUGUUGGUUUCGACCCUUGUUGCCACAGUGACAUUUGCUGCUGGUUUUACCAUGCCAGGUGGCUACAACAGCUCCGACCCAAAUGUCGGCAUGGCUGCCUUGCUGAUGAGAAAUAUGUUCCAUAUGUUCGUCAUCUGCAAUACCACUGCUAUGUAUACCUCCAUCCUCGCGGCAAUCAUCCUCAUCUGGGCACAGUUAGGUGAUCUCAAUUUGAUGGAUACUGCCCUCAGAUUUGCAUUGCCAUUCUUGGGGUUGGCCCUUACUGCGAUGUCCUUAGGCUUCAUGGCAGGUGUUUACCUGGUGGUCAGUAAUCUUCAUUGGCUUGCAAUUGUUGUCGUCAUUAUUGGAAUCAUCUGCCUUGUCGGUCUCCUAGUAUCCUUUUUUUUACUUUUCCUCCCAAGUAAGUCUACUAAUAGUAUCCUUAGGCACAUCUCCUAUUAUCCGUUUCUUAUAUUGGUAUGGGCAUCUAAAAGCCCCGAAAUGAAACGGGAAGAUUAGCUCGUCCUGUUGAUGAUGUCUGCUAGCUCCAUCUUCCCCUGUGUUUGUUGCUUCUUUCAGCAUUAUCUCGAUGACUUGGUAGACAAAGUAUGUUAUGUAUAAAUGCUUAGUGUGAUAUAUUGAUGGUGUUGUACAUGACCAUUUCUUAUAUAAAUCUAUGGUUUUUGGAUCUAUAAUUAGGUAGUUCUAUAUAUAUUUCAAUAAAUACUCCAUUCAUACAUAAAUAACGUGAAUUUGUUAUUAAUAGGUUCAGUUUAAUUUAUUGAUUGAAAUUUGAAUUUUCAAUUGUAUUUUUUAAACUUUCUUAAUUAUUAUUCUUAUGAGAAUUUUGGGUAAAGUUUUGUUUUCAAAUCCGGGUUACAUCUUCUACGCUAGGAUUCAUUGGGAAGGGGAAAAGCUUUUAAUUUUGGAAAAAAAAAAAAAAAAUUGGCUUUUGAGUUCCAAAGUAUUUUUAAAAAUUAAGGAGUUUAAUAAUUUUUUUAAAAUAAUUUAAAAAUAAAAUAUCGAGGGAGUUAACACUAGAACCAAAAAUUGGUUGAAAAAGACUAUAUUAAUCUCUAGUUUAUGCACAAUUAUAUUUUUCAUUAUAUUUUAUUAUAUUAUUAAUAUUCAUAUUUUAUUAAAAAUUAUUUAGUUUGAAUUUAUUUAUAAUUAAAAAAUUCUUUUUAUUUUUAAUAAGACACAAAUUAAAUUUAACUUAUAUUAUAUAAAUUAAAUUUAUAAUUUGUGAUUUUUACAAAAUAAAAAUAAAAAUUAUUUUUAGAAACAACUAAUUUAAUUCUUAUAAUCAUUUAAGUUAUCUAAAUAUAGAAAUAAAUGAGAAAAUAAUGGAGAUCUUCAUUUCCAUUCCUGUUUUCCGCGUAGCAAACAGUCCCUCAUCUUAAUUAAUAACAUAACAUGAAUUAUAUAUUUGAUGGACGGUAAAAUCAACCCUUUGUUUGGUAACUCAUAUUGUAGUAAACCCUAAGUUGAGUUUGAUGAUAGUCGGACGUAUUGACGACGGAUUUGACGGACAUAACGUUCAAACCCGCUCAAAGACUCAAACCCACAGAACUUCACAACUGAUUAAAAUAAUUUUAUAAACCAAAAUGAUCAAACUUUGUAGUUUCUGGGAUUGGUGUUGAUGCUUCCAAAUAGGUUCCAAGAUGUUCCCAGUGAGUUUGGAAAAGAGAGAAGUGGAUUCCUUGAGCUUCUCAAAACAUUUUCUUAGAAAAUGUCAAACGCUUGGUCUCAAAAUCUAACCCGUAUGAUUCAAACACACCCAUGAAGACUUUUCUUUUGAAUAUUUCAAACUCCAGCAAACGAGUAAGAUAUUUGAGUUGCCGUGCUUCAUAUCCAUUCCGUGUCUGCUGGAAGUCCUAUGUGAUGUAAGUUGGACUAUCAAAUGAAUUUCUUUUGAGUAUCAAAUUUUUUAUUCAACUUAUCAUAUGUAUGUAAUGCAUAGGUUCUUCUCUCACAUAUUGACUUGGCCCUUACUUCCAUCCCAAGCAAGAGAGUGCAGGUAUCUCAUGGCCGGCAGUGGACUAAUGAUAUAUGAACUCAUUUUAAAUUGGGUCUGACUAACUUGGCCACAGGGGUUGUUACCUUGAAAGGACUUGAGUGGGGUUCAUGUUUAAGGUGGUGUUUGUUUUUUUGGUUUUUUGCUGAAAGUAAUUUAAUUUUAGAAUUUAAGUCGUUUGUUUUUCUAAUUUUUCAUAACUUAUUAUAAACUUUUUACUAAAUAAAAAAAAUUAAAAUAUGUAGCUUUUUUUAAAUAGAAAAAAUAACAUAUUAGUUUUUUUUACUUUUUAAUACUUGAUAGAAAUAAAAUAUUACAAAAACAAAUAACCUAAUAUUUAACAUUAUUAAGUAUUAAGGUUCUAUUUAGAAUUAAGUAAAAAAACAAACACCACCUGAGUCUUUCUUUUUUAAUCUAGGUAUGUACUGUGUGUGCUCUCUUCUUGUUUUAGUCGAAUUCAAAGAAUAGUUGUUUCUUCCUAGUCUUGGUAAGUGGUUGCUUAAGGGUAGCAUAUUAAGAUUUUUAUUAUUUUUAUUUUCUGUUUUUGACUUAGUGCCUUCUCAAGAUUUUGAAUUGUCAAAAAAGCUGGUUAUAUUGUAUAAACAAUCAUCAUAGUAUUAGAAUUAGCAUAUAUAAUUUGGUAUUGAUGUGCAUGUUCUCUUCCUCUGUAUGACCUAUCCUUUGCGAUGAAGUAUUGGACUGGUUUCUUUGUUGCCAUUAUUUCUUUUUUCUUUUAAACUUCUUAAACCAACAUAAAUACAAGCACAGCUAACGGAUUUGAUUAGGCAAGUCAACUACAAUAGGAGAUAUUAUGAGACAAGACGAUUUAAUGAUGAAUUUUGAGAGGCUAAGAAAGCAGGGGAGGGGAGAAAGAUGGAAGACAGGGAAACAAAGGCAAAAACAACCCAAGAAGCAAGCCAUCUUGGCAAUCUCUGAGCAUAAGGAUGCCAAAUUGUUGGAGGACUAUGUGACAGCUAGUUCCAUGGAUCCUGAUUUGUACAGACCUACGAUACAAGGAGACAUUCUUGAAUUCAUAAAAGCCGUGGAACAAGGACCAGACAAUAGACACGCUGGUGUACCUGCUGCAUCUUGUAUCCAAGUGACCCCUCAGAAGAACACAGUUCUUCACCUAGCAACGAUCUUUGGACAUGACGAGAUUGUGAAACUCAUUUGUAAGGACUUGCCCUUUCUUGUCAUGGAAAGAAAUUGCAGAGGUGACACUGCACUUCACAUUGCAGCCAGAGCUGGCAAUUCACUGCUAGUGAAUUUGUUGAUUAAUUCAACAGAGGGGGUUUUGGGUGUGAAGAAUGAGACGGGUAAUACCGCAUUGCAUAAGGCAUUGCAACAUCGUCAUGAAGAGGUGGCCUGGAAUAUAAUUAACAAAGACAGAAAUAUGUCUUGUUCUGUCAAUAAGGAAGGAAAAUCUUUGUCGUAUUUGGCCGCAGAAGCAGGAUAUGCAAAUCUUGUUAGGUUUAUAAUGGAAAAUCCUGCAGGAAACUACAGCAUUGAAGGAGAGCUCGAGAACAAACCAUCUGUGAAAGCUGCCAUUCUUGGGAAGAACAUAGGUAAAUGAAAUUCUCUCCUCUAAUCUCCCUUUUUUUUCCCUUAAUUGGUAUGCUUGUCUUUCAAUUUCAGACUUCCAAGAGCCUGCACUUGGAUUGGAAAUUUUUAAGUGACUGCACUUUCACACUUAGUUUUUUCCUACAAAAAGCCCUGCAACUACUAUAAACCACCCAAUUCUCUGCACCUGUGAAUCAGAAAACUUUACCCAAACUAUAUUGCAUCCAAUUGUCACCAUUAAAAGGUAAUGAUAUCAUGGCACAUAAGAGCAUUCCCAUUUUUCUGGAAGUUGGAAGACCUCAAUUAUUUCUUGCUUAAUUAAUUGGUGAUAUUCCUGUGCUUCCAUGUUUGAAUUAGUGUGUCCAUUGUAAUCUCCUUCCAUGGAUUUCCUUAGGUGUGGCCACCCAUCAAGAAGAGAUCAGGAAUAGUCCAGAAAUAUUACUGUCUUAUUCUAAUUACAUGAGUAUCUAGCAGUAAAGAAAUAUAUCUGUAGUAGCUGAUUUUUUUAGAUGGGUCCUCUAGUAGCCGAUCGACCUUUUUUCUUUACAAGAAGGCUUCUAUUGUGACUUGUGAAGACAAUGAUAAAUUGACAAUAUUUCUAAUUAUCAUUUGGAUUUAGGAGCAUAUUUUACCAUAUAUUUUGUUCUCACGCGUGGCAAGAUUUUCAUUUAAUGUGUUAUCAUCAGUCCUGUGAGCACCAAAAAAUUCGCUUAAAUAUGGUUCACACUUCUUUGUUUGUUUGUUUCCAUUUUUUUGUUUUGGGCGACGUUAGAUGUUCUCAAGAUAACGUGGGAAAGAGAUCAAUCAUCCUUCAAUUUAAGAUGUGAAGAAGGGAGGAACCCUCUUCACUAUGCAGCAUCUAUUGGUUUUGUUGAAGGAAUCAAUUACUUUGUAGACAAAUACUGUAUCGCUGCUUACCAAGGGGACAAAGAUGACCUCUCUCCUAUUCAUAUAGCAGCCAUCAAAGGUCAUUUCCACAUAAUUCAAGAGAUGCUUCAGCAUUGCCCAGAUUUGAUGGAGCUGCUCACUUGCAAAGGCCAGAAUACCCUUCAUGUCGCAGCAAAGAGUGGAAGAGCUGAAGCAGUUAGUUAUAUGCUUAAAAAAAUGCCGGAGCUUGAGAAGCUUAUAAAUGAGAAAGAUAAGGAUGGAAACACACCUUUACAUUUAGCCACUAUUUUUGAGCAUCCAAAGGUCGUAAGAGCUCUAACAUGGGAUAAGAGAGUUAACCUAAAGGCAGAGAACAAUGGAAGGUUGACAGCACUUGACAUUGCUGAUGAGUACAUGGACACAAUGGUUUCUUUUCGCAAGGUGUGCUUUACAAACUAUUUGUUAGGGGCUAAUCAUCUCAUUUUACUUGUUUAUAUUUAUCAUAUUAUUUGAAAACAACAAACGUUUUUUUAAAGAAUAUAAACUUUUAAAUUAUGUCUUCCCUAAACAAAAACUUGGUCAUUUCUUAAUUUGUUCGAGAAUCAAGGUUUAUUUUCUAUUCUUGUGGGCUAGUGAAUUGUUUUUUUUAAGUGUUAAGUGUUACAAUAAUCCCACAUCAGAAGUUGGAGAGAAAAAAACACCCCCUUACGCAGCGUGCAAAUCGAUCAAGAUCAAGGCAAAAAGAGUAUAUAAUUUUGACAUUAAAUCCAAAAUUGAAAAAGGGCUCACGUGGCAAAAGUUCAAUAGUGAAAAAAAUGAAGCUAAGAAUAAAAGUAAAUAAAAGUUAAAGCUAAUAAGGUAAGCACAAUUCAUAGAGUAUUGAAGAAAAUGAAAGUAAGAAUAAAGGUAAUCGAAAGUUAAAACCAACAAGGUAAGCACAAUCCAUGGAGUAUAGAAGAAAAUGAAGUUAAGAAUAAGGGUAAUUGAAAGUCAAAUCAUAACAUCUUUUAUUAACUUAGACAUUUACUUGACCAAAGCAAAAGCCAUUAGAUGCUUGUCUUGUAAUGCAAUCUUGCCCUUGGUUCAAUUCACAGCCUUAAAUGAUUCACUGUCAUCCAAUAGAUGGAAAUGGUGAUCUUAAUCGGUUUUUAAAAAUAAAUAAUUGUUUUUGUAUAAUUAAAAAUUAAUUAGGAUUAAAGAUUAAAAAAUAAGACUAAAGUUUAAAUUUUGUUUGAAUUUUAAAAUUUAGAAAUAUUAAAAAUUUAGAAAUUUAAAAAUAAAAAAAUGUAAAAUCAGAAAGGAUUGAAAUUAGGAUCUGUAUAUGAUAUAUUUGUGCGUCGGUAUAGAAGAUUGGGAUUUUGGGAUUGGAUUGAAGUAGAAAAUUCAAAAUGAAAUUACAAUAAGAAUACGGUAAAGGGAUAACGUUGGGACACCACUACUGGUGUACACUUCCAAGGCUGGAGGUAAAAGAAGGCCAUGCCAUGUCAUGCCACCUGGAACAAAAUAAGAGGUUCUACAGAUUCUCUUAUCGGAAUCAUUUGAAAUAUAGGAUGGAUGCAUGGAAGAAAAGGAGACUCCUCUAAAACUUGUGUAAACUUGUGUUUGUGUGUAGGUGAGAGGUUGGGACUCUCCGAUCAAUAAGGAACUCGGAGCAGAUUCGAACAAGGAAGAAGGCGGGGAAGGGCAGAUGGCACCACGCAUGACAUUCUCCGCAGAUGUGGACAUGGAUAGAGAUAGAAGUGCUCCUUACAGCUAUAAACACAUUGUCCCUGCAAUCUCCGCAGAUAGAAGUGCUCCUUCCACACAUGUGGGCAUGGCUAGAGAUAGAAGUGCUCCUUCCACACAUGUGGGCAUGGCUAGAGAUAGAAGUGCUCCUUCCACACAUGUGGGCAUGGCUAGAGAUAGAAGUGCUCCUUCCACACAUGAACUCUACGCCCCUGCUCCGGAGGAGAGGCUAGCAUCCUUUAUACGCUUCGCAUUCUUAGUAUAUAGGGAAAUUGAAGAAAAUGAGAAGAUGCUUCAUCAAGGAAGUGGAAGUGCUCCUCCCACACAAGAAGUCGUCGCUCCCGCCGAUGAAGAUGAAGAUGUGGAGCAGGAUAGAUUAAUGGACAGCCGCAUGUACAUGCAGGCGACCCGAGGACGUGUUGAUGAAUUUAUUCAAAUUUUAGAAUCGAUAUCCUCUGAAAAGGAACUUCAAAGCUCAGAAAUCCUCUCCCAAGUUAGCCCCCGGAACAACACAUGCCUCCACAUAGCAGUAAGAUUUGGACACCAUGAGCAUGCCGAGUACAUCGUGAAAGAGUGUCCAGACCUUAUCAAAAAGACAAACUCCACAGGCGACACUGCACUUCAUAUUGCUGCUAGAAAAAAGGAUUUAUCUUUCGUUAAGUUUGCCAUGGAUUCAUGUCCUUCUGGAAGUGGCGCAUCCCGAGAUGUAGAGAAGGCUGAGCAUCCAUUGCUGAUAAUUGUUAACAAAGAAGGAAAUACAGUGUUGCAUGAGGCACUGAUAAACCGUUGCAAACAAGAAGAGGUGGUGGAGAUCCUUAUUAAGGCAGAUCCCCAAGUGGCUUAUUAUCCGAAUAAGGAGGGAAAGUCGCUAUUGUUUCUAGCUGCAGAAGCACACUACUUCCAUGUCGUCGAGGCUAUAGGAAAACCUAAAGUUGAGAAGCACAAGAACAUUAACAGAGACCGCGAAGCCAAGUCGGCAGUCCAUGGUGCCAUUCUGGGAAAGAAUAAAGGUAUGACCCGCCCCAUUCUCAAUCUCCAUUUAAUUCUCCUGCUCUUCUUCUUCUUCUUCAAACCUAAAAAACACCAUUUCCAAUAAAAUCUUAAACCUAUAUUUGAUUCUCAUAGUUGAAAAAAAAAUUAUUAAGGGAAGUGAUUUUCUAAUAUGCUGUUGUACCAUGAAAAACAUGAAAGAAAGUGAAAUAUAAUUAAAAUUAAUAAGAAAUUUAUAUCAUUUAAAAUUAUUUAAUUUUUAUAUAAAAUAGUUAAAUAAGUAAAAUGAAUUUAAAGUAAUAUAUAAAAAUAAUUUAUUAACUUAAAUUUUUUUUCUCUCUUUUUUUAAUUUUUCUUCUUUAUUUUCUGUUUUCACAUAUUCCCUCAAACUUUCGGACCAAACAUAACCUAAAUGAUCACUUGAAGUCAAUCCCAAACUAUCCAAACAAUUCUUCUUUCUUUGCUCUUUUUCUUAUAGCCCUUUUUGCCUCCCCUUUAUUUAAACCAGCCAAUAUGCACGCAACAAAGCCACAACAGCAAAUUUUCUUUAGUUAAUUUUAAAAUUUUGUGAUUUAGAAAAGAAAAUUAAGAAUUAGGAGCUAGUGGGGUUUUGAAGAAGAAUAAGAAGAUGACAAACUAGGAUUAGGAUUUUGAAAACAAAGAUGAAGAAUAUUAUUUACAAGGACGGGUUUGGGCCGGGAAGAGGAGUUAUAAACAUUAUUGAUCUCCCAUAAAUUAAUAAAAAUUUUAAUUUUUUAGGAACGAGGAAUAUCGAAGCAAAAGCUGAAAAAAAAAAAAAAAAAAGCCAAUUUACUUUUUCUAUAAUUAGUUCAACAGAAAAACAUAAAUGUGUUCUCAUUUUAAUUUCUUUUAUAUAUGAUGAAAAAAUGCCAGAGAUGUUGGAAAAAAUACUAGCCCUGAAGAUCGUCCACCAAAGAGAUGAACAUGGAAGGACUCCACUUCAUUAUGCGGCAUCGAUUGGAUACCUUGAAGGAGUUCAAACGCUGUUAGCUAAAGACCAAUCUAACUUCGAUCGAUAUCAUAGGGACGACGAAGGCUUCUUACCCAUCCAUGUUGCAUCAAUGAGAGGCUAUGUAGACAUCGUCAAAGAGUUGCUCCAGGUCUCCUCUGACUCGAUAGAAUUGCUUAGCAAACACGGUGAGAACAUUCUUCAUGUGGCAGCCAAGUAUGGUAAAGAUAAUGUAGUCGAUUUUCUGCUGAAAAAAAAAGGGCACGAGAACCUUAUAAAUGAGAAGGACAAAGAAGGAAACACGCCACUGCAUUUGGCUACCACGUAUGCACAUCCUAAGGUCGUAAACUAUUUAACAUGGGAUAAAAGAGUUGAUGUGAAUCUUGUGAAUAAUGAAGGCCAGACUGCUUUCGACAUUGCUGUAUCAGUGGAGCAUCCAACUUCAUUGCACCAGGUAUAUAUGACGAUUUGCAUCUUGUUUUCUGAAUUAAGGGUACUACUAUUGGUUUCACCUUGAACUGCAUGCAUUGUUAAUGCUAUGGCAUUUUCCUUCUUAGAUGCAAGCAUGUGAAUUAUUAAAAGGAUCAAUCAGGACAACAUAGUUUGUAUUUCUUUCCUAGAAGGACCGACUGAUAUUAAUAAAACCUAGUUCAACUAAAAGAAGAUCAAUUUGAUCCCAUGAUAUCCUAAAAGUCAAGAAAAUUAUGGAGCCUAACUCAAUCACCAUCACCCUCGCCCAGAUUAGAGCGGCUCAACCAAGGUUAGGCUAGGUUUCUCCAGCAAGUGCAUAUACUCUUGAUGCCGGCAAAGACCUAUUGGAAUAAUUUUUUGCAUCAUACUAAAAGGUUUUCAGUGUAGAGAACUGCUAUAUCAUGUGCGCUUGUGGUUGCUCUCUUGCUGCUUCACGUUGCUUAAUUUCAUACUUCUUGUGGGUGUUCAUUGAAUUUAUAGGGAAAAGAGAAUGGCUACCCAACAAAAUAUUUCGAAACCCAACUCAUGGAAUUAUAGUCUACUUAUACUUUCUAUAGUUAUUAUUACGACGCAUACAUUUGAUUUUCUUUCUUUCUCACGAUUACAUUAACAGCAACAUUUUUAUCUCUACCACGCAGAGACUAAUUUGGACAGCACUCAAGUCUACUGGUGCACGACGAGCCGGAAAUUCAAAGGUCCCACCAAAACCGUCUAAAUCACCUAAUACGGACGAGUACAAGGACAGGGUAAACACUCUUUUGUUGGUUUCGACCCUUGUUGCCACCGUGACAUUUGCUGCUGGUUUUACCGUGCCAGGAGGCUACAACAGCUCUGAUCCAAAUGCCGGCGUGGCUAUCUUUCUGAUGAGAAAUAUGUUCCAAAUGUUCGUCAUCUGCAAUACCAUUGCUAUGUAUACCUCCAUCCUCGCGGCAAUCAUCCUCAUCUGGGCACAGUUAGGUGAUCUCAAUUUGAUGGAUCCUGCCUUCAGAUUUGCAUUGCCAUUAUUGGGGCUGGCCCUUUAUGCAAUGUCCUUCGGCUUCAUGGCAGGUGUUUCCUUGGUGGUCAGUAAUCUUCAUUGGCUUGCAAUUGUUGUCUUCAUUAUUGGAAUCAUCUGCCUUGUCAGUCUCUCAGUACCCUUUCUUUUACUCUUCCUCCCAAGUAAGUCUACUAAUCGUAUCCUUAGGUACAUCUCCUAUUAUCCGUUCCUUUUACUGGUAUGGGCAUCUGAAAGCCCCAAAAUCAAACAGGAAGAUUAGCUCGCCCUGUUGAUGAUGUAUGCUAGCUCCAUCUUCUCCUAUGUUUGUUGCUUCUUUCAGCAUUAUCUCAAUGACUUGGUAGACAAAGCAUGUUAUGAAUAAAUGCUUAGUGUGAUCAGGACUUCAAUAUAUUGGUGGUGUUGUACAUGAUCAUUUGUCAUAUAUAUCUGUAGUUUCUGGAGCUGUAAUAUGUGAAAUACUCUAUAAAUACUCCAUUCAUCCAUACUGAUCAAUGCAUAUUUGUCUUUGCUUUUUUAGAAAAGAAAAAAAGAAAAAAUAAAUCUUGGAAAUCCCAAAAUGAUUAAUUUGUGAAAUAUCAUUAUUUAACAAAAUAAAAAAAACACAUGAAUAUAUAAACCCCACUACAUCAUUUUCUUUGAAAUACCCUGUCGCGGUUGGUGAAAUAGAAGGGAGAAUUAUGUUUUGGGUCUGGCCCGAAAAUUGACUAAAAUUUCACAUAUUAUACACAUUUAAACCCAAGACCCAAAUAAAGUGUAAAAAUUAAGUUAAAGGAUAUUCUUAACCCCUACAUAGGCACACAGUGAAUGUAAAUUUCAAUUUUUUUUUUCCCUUUUCUAUUCCCAAUUAAGUAUUACUCACUUUUAACUUUUGUUCUUUUUUUAAAGAUAUUGAAUCUUUUUACUCAAGGAUAAAAAAGUUUCAUAUAAAAUUUAAUUUUUUUUAUUAUUUUCAUAUAAAAAAUAGUAUUAAACAAGGUUUUCAAUUUUUAUUUUUAAAAAUAGUUUUCAUUUUUUAAUUAAAUAUUUUUUCAAAAAUAAAAUAUAAAAAAUAUAAAUCAUAUUACCAUUUUUUUAGAAAGUAUUUUUUUAAAUAGUUUUUGAAAGUAAUUUGUCUUUAUUUAUAAUUUAAAAUAGAAAAUAAUGUUGAUUUUCACUUAUUUAUAAAAGAACGUUUUUAAAAAAAUGAAAAAUCUAAAUUAUUAAAAUAUAAUUAUUAUGGUUGCAUGAAUACUGGUGCAAUAAAGACCAAAAAAGUUUAUGUGAAAGGUCAACCCUAGUUUUAGAGUUUGGACUCGUAAAAACUCAAAAUUACUCAAAAUUCAUCUAGGAAUAGCCAAAGUUGAUGAUCUUGUUUCUAUAUAGAGCAAGUGAUGAUUGAGAACCAUCUACCUAGUCUAUCUAAUUAGUUAUGUGAUGCAAGGUGAAAAACCUUCUUUUAUUUCAUAACAUGAUUCUAUUUUAUAGACCAUAAAAUCAAUUCUUUGUUUGGUAACUCAUAUUGUAGUAAACCUUAAGAACCUAAAUCCCCCAUGUGUUUGACAUAAAUUGGGAAUUUUUGUUGUAAUAUGUGAGUCAUAUUGGGAGAAAGAUAUAUACGGAGAAAAAUAGGCCAAUGUCAAAGUGGAGCGGAGUGGAACGAUAGCAUUUGUCAUUUAAAUUUGUAUUUUUAUUAUUAAGGGUGAAUGAGAAGUUGGGGGGUGUGAGGGGACAACACCUCCUGUGGUAUGGUUUAGGGGUAUUUUUUAAAUUUUAUUACUUAAGAGUUAAUAUAAAUGUUUUUUUAUAUAACCUUAAUUUGACAUAUAGUGAAUUCUUCCCUAUUCUCAUAAACGUAGACAAUCCGUCGUUAAAUUUAUGCGUCUUUUUGUUUUUCUCUAAUUUCUUCAGCAAGAAUCGUUGCACGAAUAUCAACAAUUUUGAACCUAAUCUUAAGUUGAGUUUGAUCCUAGUCGGACGUAUUGAUGAUGGAUUUGACGAAGAUUACUUUCAAACCCGCUCAAAGACUCAAACCGACCUAACUUUGAAUUGGUUAAAAUAAUUUUAUAAAGUGAAAUGAUUAAACUUCUUACUUUUUGGCAUUGGUGUUUGUGCUUCCAAAUAGUUUUCCAGAUGUUCCCAAUGAGUUUGGAGAAGAGUGUUAGGAUUUCCUAUAAUUAUGCAGAAUAAUUAUAAGCCUAAUUCUUGCAAAACAAUCAUAACCCUAGUUUUAGAACUUUGUGAUUUUCAUAAAGUAAAUAAAUAAUAAAAAGAAUAGUCAUUAAAUUCUAACUUUUAAACAAUGUUCAGAAAAAUAAAGUUAACACCAAAAAUCCUAAUAAUAUCAAAAUCUCAUCCUAAUUAUCAUUCAUAGUUUGAACAGAGGGUGUCUAAAAAAUUGUUAAUGAAGGGAAAUGAGCUUAAAACCCAAUAGAAAAUAUUAAUACAGCUUCACAGAUAAUUUUUUUUUUAAUAAAGAUUAUAAAUAGAAAAUAUAAUGUAUAAUCCUUUUUAUAAAAACUUUUUAGUUUAAACAUGUUAAUACAUUCAAACUUUUUAACAAAACAUUUUUAUAUUAAUGUCAAAACAAUUUUAUAUUAAAUUCAAAUAAAAUAUAUUCAAAAUAUUUUUAUUCUGGUUAUCAAAUAUCAAAUGGUGCUCAAUUAUGUGAGACUUUACAAAUGGGUGGUUAGCCUCAAAUUUGUUUCUUUUACGACGAACCAAAUACUACUAAUACUAGUAAUCUCUAACCAAACCUCUAGAGAUUGGGGUUCAAAUAAAUUACAUUCUUCACUAUAAAAUGUAAAUGUCAACUAUUAUAUCUCAUUAAUAUGGGUUAAAAAGUCAACUAUUAUAUUCAGUAGAUAAGGGCCAAAAAGUCCGAAUAUUAAAUCCUGUUACCUAUGGCCGGCUAAAAAAACCAAAGUCAAACACUUUAUUUUAUUUAUUCAAAUUUAUAAAAACAUAAUAUUUUCACAUGUUUAUGUUAUAAACAAAAAAAAAAUUUAAUAUAUUUUUUAUGCAAAAUAUAUUUGAUUUAUGCAUAAAAACAAAAAUAACAUUUUACACAUUUUAAAAUAACAUGUCAAAAGAAAAUUUUUUUUUUUUUUUACAAAAUCUGCAUUAAUUUCCCUUACGUCGAAAAAAAACUUAGAAUCCUUGAAGAAUUUAAUUAUGUAUAAACAACUUUUCAUCUAAUAAUAUAAGAAAAACAAUUAUAUAUUACUAUUAACUAUUUGUCUAAAAUUAAUUAUAAGUUUGAUAAUCGUAAAAAUUUAUAUAUUAAUAUUAAUAUUUAUAAGUAUCAAUGAUAAUUUAAUUAUUUUAUUCCUUGUUUAAGUAAAAUUAAUAAAUUUCUAAUUUAUAUAAAACUUUUUUCUCUAGUUUGAUUCUAAAAAAUAAAAAUACAUUACUAAUUUAAUUAAACUACAAUUUUUAUUUCAUUAAUUAAAUUUUAUUUAUUUAUUAACUUAACAUCUAUCCUCAUUAGCAUUAUUAUACCAUCAACCAACCUUGUAAUUCACCCAACUCUCAACACCUAAUUAAUAUUCAUAUAUAUUUUCCUCAUUCUCCCAAUAAAGGUAGGUAGGACUCGCUUAAUUAUCUUUUUCUUAUUUUAUUUCUUUUCUUUCUUGCACAAACCACACACUCAUGGCUACAUUCUUUUUUUUUUUUUCCUACAAACUUCCAAAAAUCACACUGUACACACUCGCCAAGGAACUAAAAGCUAAUUUUUAUUUUUUUUAAACACCCAAAUUCUUUUUCUUUUUUUCUUUUUUUCUUUUAUAUAUGUUGUCAAUACCACCCCAAAUCCAUAAAUCCUUUUUCUCUUUUUCUAAUACCCUAAGCAUAUAAUAUAUAUAUAUAUAUAUAUAUUGAAGAUUUAAGAUAUAUUAUUUAUUUAUUAUUGUUUUAGAUCUACUAAAAAAAUAUUCAGAAUUUCCUAUCUAUAUCAAUAAAUCAACAUUUAUUCAUAAAUUUUCACUCUUUUUAUUUAGAAUUUAAAUAAACAAAUUAUAUUCUAGAUUGAGAUUUUUAAAGAAUAUUUAAGUGUUUAAAACUAAUUAACAAAUAUAAAAUACUAAUUAAAAUUCUACUUGGAAAACUAAUUUAAAACCCUAAACCUCCAAACCUUCAGUUCUAUAUUGUCUUCAAGGAUUGAAAUAUCGGUUUUUACGGAUAUAUCGGUACUUCAAUUUUACGGAUAUAUCGGAAAUAUCGGAGAAAUAUCGGUGGAUAUUUUUUCAUAAAUAUCGGUGGAGUGAAAAAUAUUUAAAAUUAAUAGGAAUGCUUGAAAAAACUUCAAAAAAUGAUAACAUAAGUAAGAAUACACAUUUUAAAGUUAUCUUGUAAGUGUAAUUGAUAUAUAUAUAAUUAAGAAGAAAAAUAUCAUAAAUAGAGAUAUAUUGGUAGAUUCGAUAUUUGAAUUUUAAAAAUAAUAUAUAUGAAUUUUGAAAGUGUAUAAAGUUAAAAUUGAGUUAAGAAAUAUGAGAUUGCAAUAGUCCUUAUACUAAGAAAGAUAUCGAUGUAGUUUCAAUAUAUUAUUAGAUGAAGGGAGUUCAUCUUGUUGAAGACAGUAUUUAUUUUAAAAAUUUUAAAAUAUUUUUAUUAAAACAUAUUUUAUUAUAUUUUAAAUGAAAAAUUAAAUUAAUUUAUAUAAAAUAUCUUAUUUGAGAUUUAAUUUUUAAAAUUUUAUUAAAAAUAUGUGAUAAUAACUUUUUCUAUUAAUAUUAAUUUAUUUAAUAAUAAAAAUAAAGGUUGAUAAUUAAUAAUUAUUUAUAUAGAGAGUGGAAAAUUGUUCUCAUGAUUUUUUUACAUAUUUUAUUAUAUUUUAAAUGAUAAAUUAAAUUAAUUUAUAUAAAAUAUCUUAUUUGAGAUUUAAUUUUUAAAAUUUAUUAAAAAAUGCGAUAACAACUUUUUUUAUUAAUAUAAAUUUAUUUAAUAAUCCAAAUAAAAGUUGAAAAUUAAUAAUUAUUUAUAGAAAAUUGUUCUCAUGUUUUUUUUAUUUUUUAUUUUUUAUUUUUUUAUCUCCCCUAAAUCUAAAAAUAAAAAAAAAUAAAAAAGGCACCCACUUCUCUCUCGGGCAUCAAGAACCCUUUUCUGAAGGUGUCUUCUAGUGAGAGAAUCCCUAAAAAGCCCUAUUUUCCUCUGCUACUCUCAAAUCUCAAUCCUCGCAGGUACUAAUCUAAUCAUGUUAUUAUUAUUUUUUUUUUUGCAACCCCCGUUUGAUUCCCAAGAAAAUCCAUCCCCAUUCGAUUUCCGGGAAAAUUCAUCCUCGUUUGAUUUCCGAGAAAAUCCAUUCAAAACUCCCAAAGAAAACCAAAAAAAUUGCUUUUCUUUUGCUCCCUGUGUUUUCUGGAUCUGUUUUAGGGGUCUCUUUGCUGUUGUGCCAUUGGAUUUAAAUUUCACGAACCCUAAAUCCACGAUUUUUGAGCCAGGCUGAAAAACACAACUGCGCGGGCUGGACUGGUAGGAAAUAUCGCGAUUUUUCUCCGAUUUUUCGGUGCUUCACCGAUAUUUCGCCGAUAUAUCGGCGAUUUUGUCGAUUUUUGGCCGAUUUUUCCGUCGAUCGAUAAUCGGUGCCGUUUAUCGUUUCCAUGCCGCCCGAUAACCGAUAUUUCGACGAAAUAUCGGCGACAUUUUCCGAUUUUUCAAUCCAUGAUUGUCUUAUGUUCUUUGAUCUUUUUCUAAUCUCAGUGUAAAAGGAUUUCAGUAUAGAGAAGUUAAAAAAAUCUAAUUUAUAUUUAAGGUUUAUAAUACAAAAAGACCUUUCUAACCUUAUUAAAAAAAAUUAUUUUACUCUAAUUUAUGGUUUUACCCCUAACAACAAAAUGGGGGUUGUCACAUAAGGAGCCAAAUAAUUAAAUAAUUUUUAAAAAAUAAUUUAGAACUUAAAAAAAGUGUUUGGUCCGAUAGGACUGAACUACCUUAUAAUCCGCUGUUAGCGUUUAGCUUGGCACUUAGAAAGAAGAGUCUCUAUCACCUAAUUUAUAGGAAUAAGAGAAUUUUUUUAGUGGGCAACUCUUGUUUAGUGAUUACGCAUAGCCCUUUGUCUUUCAAAAUCUGUGAGUUGUGCCAAUAUAGACCUUAUCCCACGAAAGGUGAACCCGGAUGUACAGAAACUUUCUUGUUCACACUUAUCGGCUUUCAAAAGGGGAACGGAGAGACUUGACUGAUAACAAAAGAAAAGAAGAGAAAGGGACGGGACUUUUACGAGCUCUCCAAAACAGGCUAAGAGUCUAGCUUGUCUUUGCCCCUGCCCUACCUUAGCUUUCCUCUUUAGACUUCUUUUAAGAUUCUGGUCUACCUGCCCGCUUUUCGCCUUGGGAAAGACCUAGCGAUUGCCGGGGCAUAUGAAGAAUACUUCGAAACUGCUGGAUGCAGAAGACAGAUUUUAUGUUGGAAAUGCCACUCCUUCUACUGCUAUUCCCACUUCUGGAAGGAAGUGUUUUUCUAUUUUCUUUAGUAAUAUAUAUGUCACACCCUAAGACCCACUCUAAGGGCGUGACGGUCAUUUUACACCUCAAACCCGAAGGCUUAAAGUAUAACCUGACCCAAACAAUCAUAUUGUAAUUGGAAGUAACCAAUUACCAAAAACCUGUUCAGAGUAGCAGAACAAAAUUCUAAAAUCUCCAAACUUAACUUUAGAACUAAGCAUCCAUUAUCCAAAUAGAUUGCAACUCAACAAUUCAAGUACUAACGAAUUUUUAUAAUCUCCAAAUCUCAACUUCAAUCUAUCAUAAAAAAAAAAAAAUUUAAAAGCUCAAUAUCUAAAUAGCUUCCAAAAACUAAAUAAACCAAAUGAACAUAAACUUAUAAGCUAACAAUAUUCAAAAAUAACAUCCUAAGAAAAAUCCUAAUGAUGACCAAUUUUCCCGCCUAGUCAUCACUCCUCGCCCGAACUAAAGGUACUUGAAAAAUUUUCAACAAUUGGGAAUAAGCUCACAACCCAAUAAGGAAUAUUAAUGCAGUUCAUGGAUCAAAUAUUUUCAUUUCAAAUAGAAGAUAUCAUUAUUAUUUUUUUCUCAUCAAAUAUCAGAGUUUCAAAAAUACCAAUAUAUUCAAAUUUCAACCAACCAUUUUCAUAUCAAAUUCAAACACUUUCACAUAAAAUUCAAUCAAAUCUAUUCAAUUUUCAUUACUCUGGUUAUCAAAUAUCAAAUGCCCAUUUAGGUGUGACUUUUCAAAUGGGUGGCUUACUCCUUAUCCCCAUCUUCACCCAGGCUAACGGGGCCCUCCUUAUUCAGGGGGGAGAGUGGAGCCUCGAGAAGCACUGUUGAGAGGAAGAUCCUUGGCCCCUCUUCAUUCUCUACAGGGUUCCAAACCUUUCUUCAACAUAGGUGACAACGAGUGGGGCAGAGAUGGAAGAGAUCGAACACGGGAAUAAGAAGCAAGCUCGCCUUCCUUUUUUAUCAUUUUGAUAGACGGGAAUGGAGAAAGUAGACAAAACAGACCCGCAUUUCCCAAUCGAGGGUUCCUUUUUCGUCUCGCAUUUCUGGAAAAGAAGAAUAUUGAAAACUCUCCUAACCCAACCCCUUCCUUCGUAGAGCCGUGUAUUGUAAGUGAUCUGAACCUGCCCGGAGUGAGCCCCCCAUAGAGGCAAGUGAAGUUGGUGAGCCGUAUGAUGGGCAACUAUCUCCUGCAGUUCGGAGAGGACUCAACUGUUAGUUAGUAACUCCUUGGAUUCGGGGUGGACCCUUUCACUCUAUUUUAUUAUAUACGGUUCGCAAAAAGAAUGUUUUUUGAUACACCUAAGGACAUGGAUUCUAUAUGAACCAAUGGAUCGUGACAAGUCGUUACUACUAGCAAUGACUUCCUCUUUCAUUACUUCAUCCUUUCUAUAUCCCUCUCCCUUGUUCUUAGUUACUCAUCAAAUGGCACUCAGUUCAUAUCUUUAAGUUCGAUCAUUGACAAGGUUCAAAGAAAGGGUGGGCCAUUGAUAAAGAAUCGAUUCCAAACCACAAUGCUAGCAGAUGGCGGAGACUCAAUUAAUUUCAAAUUUUCAACCAAAAUAAUUAAAAAUAUCCCAAAUGUAUGUGUAUUAAAAGAAACUAAAUUAUUCAUUUAACUAGAAAGAGUAAAUUCAUAAUUUAUUUAAAAAAUAAUAUUAACUAUUAACAUUUUCUAAAAUAUUAUUAUUCAUUUAAAAUAUAUAUAUAUAUAUAUAUAAUUUUUAUUUUUAUUAUAAUGUUAGUUUCAUAUUUUAUGAAUAUUAUAUGUGUAUUAUUUAUUUAUUUCGUCUUUAGAAUUUACAUAAUAUUGAUAUUCAUUUUAAAAUAAAUUAAGGUUUAUGCAUGUGGCUAUUUUUAAAAUACUAUAAUUUAUUCUUAGAAAGUUUAAUAUAUUAUUAGUUAUUUUUUAUAGAAAAUUUGCUAUUAAUAUGUAAGAAAAUCUUUUAAAAAAUGUUUAAUAAAUAAAUAAAUAACCAUUUAGCAAGAGGAGUUUGUAUAGUGGGUGAGAAAAAUGAAAUAAAAGCCACGGCGCUAGGAGAUCUCUUUCGUGGCAAUGAAUCUAUUAUAUAAAUGGAAAAUGUGAAUGAACUAUUUGCCAUGUUAAUUUUUUUGAAAUAGUGUAAGGAAACAUAUUUUGGUUGUUAGAUGUUUUCCAUAAGAAAAGUAUGUUUGGAAACUUAAAUGAGUUCAAUAUUUUUUUUUAAAUAAUAAUAAUAAUAUUUUUUAUUUACAACACUUUAUCUUCUUCUUUUUUUCAUAUUUACAUAAUUAUUUUUUAAAAUAAAUAAAAAUAAUUAAUAUAUGUUCUUAAAAAACUCUAUACUUUAAAUAAGUUCUCAAAAAUAAUAUUUUAUAUUAAAAAUUAUCAAAUAUGUUUUCUAACCGACAAGACAAUUCCAAUCUUAUUCAUAAUUUUCCUAAUAAGAAAUGUGGUUCAUGAUUGGUUGGUGGUUAGUCACUAUCCAUUGAAUUCAUAGAAGUAAAUGUUUAUACACCUCAUCUACCAACAAUGGUUCUAUCCUCAUCGAGUCAUGUGCAUACCAUUUAGUUUACAUUUUAAAAUUCUGAAAUAGAAAAAUGAAAUGAAAAUUAAUAAAAAAAAAUAUUUAUUAAUAUAUUUGGAUUAAUUGUUUUAUAGAAUGAGAAUAUGAAUAAAAAUUUUAUUAAUAUAGAAAACAAAUUCUACUUUUAUGAGGAUUUUGAUUCCUUUGUUCUAUGUGAUAGUGAUUUAUCUUACGUUUGGUGGAUUGAAUAAUAUAUAAUAUGUAUAUUUUAAGAUAUCAUAUCCUUUCCUUAUCCAAUUUAUUUAUAAGAUUUGUAUUUAUCAUUCAAAACUUAUCUUUUAAUAAGUCAAUUAAUACAAAGCUAUUAUGUAGUCAUAUAUUCGUCACUUUUUUUUUUAUGUUGAUAGAGAAUUUAACUUUUUGCCAUUGUAUCUUAUUUUUAUAUAAUUAUAUUAUAUUUAUUUUAUUUUUUAUAUUAAGUUUUAAAUGUAACUCAUAAUUGGUUGGAGGGUUAGAGACUUCGUAAUAUUAGAAAAAUAAAUUACAUCCUUAUCCCACAAACAGGGUAACAACAUAUAAAUCUUUUUAUCUAUCACUCAAAAACCACAUUUUAGUGAGGCAAGCUAUACAAAGCCAUUGUAUAGUUAUAUAUUUGUCUCAACUUUUCUUUAAGUUGACAAUGAAUUUAAUUUUUUGCGCUAAUAUCUUAUUUUUAUAUAACUGUACUCCAUUUAUUCUUCUGUAUUAAUUUUUAAAUGUGGCCCAUAAUUGGUUGGUGGUUUAAUUAUUAUCAAUGGUUUAAAUUGAUCCAAUUAUCGACUAAUGACCUUUCUGAUCUAAUUCACACCUUUAAGUCGUUUGAUCAUUGAAUUUAUAUUAUUAAGAAACAAGUUGCAUCUUCAUCCAGCUAACAUACUAAUGAUAUUACAAGCUUUUCAUUGGCAAUUCAAAAGCCAAAUUUUAGUAGGAAAGGCAAUACAAAGCCAUUUUAUUUUCAUAUAUUCAUUUCAAUUUUUAUUUUUUAUGUUGACAAUGAAUUUAAGGGUUUUUUUUUUCUUUUUGCCCUUUUAUCUCUUUAUAUAUAUAUAUAUAUAUUCCAUUUCUUGCUUUCAUAUUAAUUUCCAAAUGUGACCCUUAAUUGGUUGGUGGGUUAGUCAUUGUCUAUUAAGUUUAGUUGCAUCCUUAUCAAGCUAAUGUGUCAAUAACAUGCUAACAACAUUUAAAAUUUUUCACUAAGACAAUCAAUACAAAGUCAUCAUGUGUCAGGACCCCAAAAUUUGUCCCAAUUUUAUUUUUACAUUAAUUUCGAGCUCAAUUUUAUGCUUAGGUUUCAAAUCCCAAUUACAUGUUUUUUUAACACACUCAUCAUUUAAUAGUUUUUAUUAUUUUAUAUAUUAUAUUAUUAUUAUUACUUUUUAUUAUUAUUAUAUUAUAUUAUAUUAUAUUUUUAUUUUUUUAUUUUUAUUUUUAUUUUUAUUUUCUCUCUCCUCUCUCCUCCCUUCCUACUCCCCAACCACUUCUCUCUCCUCCCAUACUCUCACCACCGCCACCAUCCCAUUUACCAUAAUUUUUUUUCAUUUUGCCCCCAUUUUUUCUCCCCAUUUUCGCCCCCACUUUUCUCUUCUUCACACAUGCUGGCCCCCACCACUCCUCUCUCUCCCCCACUUUUUCCCCCCCAAAUUUUCUCCCUUCUUCCGACGUACGGCCCUUGGAUUUUUUUUCUCCCUUCCCCCUCAUUUCUUUCCUUUGGUCCUCCAUUUUCAUGCUUUCCCCCACAAUUCUCGAGGUCAAGCCCCCCAUUCCGCCCCCAUUUUUUUUCCUCCAUUCUCUCCAUCUUCUUCCUCCUCUCCUCACUCCCCCGGCCGGCUCUCUCCCCAUUCUUCUUUUUCCACCUUUUUCUUCUCUCUCCCACACGGCAGUAGCUCCCCCUGAUUCUUUUUUUUUUUUUUUCAUUUUUGUUUUUAAUUUUUUUUUAUUGCUUCCCUUCUCAAAAGACCCACACAGCCGGCCUCCCCAUCCUCUCUUUUCCAUUUUUUUUUCUCUUUUUAUUUUUCCAUCUUCUCAUUUCUCUCAUCCCCUCACUCCCCCAUCACACACGUUUUUUUAUUAUUAUUAUUACUAUUAUUAUUAUUAUUAUUACCUUUUUUAAAUUUUUUCUUAUUUUAAUUUUAAUAGUAAUUGUUAUUAAAAUUGGGUUUGUAUAUUUAUAUUUGUUUAUGGGUCUUAUGUUUGAGUUUUGUUAAUUAAUAUAAAAUUUGAGUUAAUUUAUUAUUGAUUGAUUAAUUUAAAAUUUGUUAAUUUGGUUUUGUGAAUAUAUUACAUUUAGUGAUCAAUGUAGGAUAUUUGGAUUAUAUCAAUUACAUAUUAUUUAUUGGGAUUUGGGCCUAUUGUUAAUUUGUUAUUUGUUUAGGCUUAUUGAAUUAGGCUUGAAAUAUUAUUUCUCUUGACUAAGCAUAUUUUUUAUAUGGGCUUAUUAAUUAAUGUGAAUUUUGGGGCACAGAAUGUGGGUGAGAUUUAUUGGAUUAUUUGAAUAUUUGAUAUGAGUUUGGCAAAUUUGAAUUAUUUAAUUUGGAUGUGGGACAAUUGUGGUGUAUAUUAAAUUAGGCUUAGAUUAUGGAAUAUUAAAUUUAGACCUAAUAGAAUUUAUUUUAAUUUAUCCAAUUUUAGGUUUGGUUGAUUGUAUUUGUAUUUUUUGUUAUUAAUUUAGAUGUUUUGGGUUAAGACCUAUAGUAAUUUGGGCUCAUUUUAAUUGGCAAAAUUUAUGAUACUAAUUUGAAAUUGGAAUUUAGGAUUGAAUAUCUGCUUGAGAUUUUGCAAAUCUUUGGGUAUUUACAUUUGUGCUAUCUUUGUUUUUGCAUGGAUCCAUUAUGCAAUUUUGUUACGUGGAGUUUGUGGCAAGUUUAUUUUGACACAUAUUUUAUUUCCCACUUUUAUUUGGUUUUAUUUUUAUUAAUUCUUGUAAAUAUUUAUUUGUAUAUAUUUAUUGAAUGUGUACAGAAUUGAACAUCGAACAAAUUAGAAAUUUUGUUUAAAUGAGAGGAAGAAUUCAGUAAAUGUAUUUUGAUAAAACAAUAAUUUUAAAAUAUUAUUUUUAAUAAAAGAAAGUUUUUAUUAUUAUUAUUUAUAAAAAUCCAAAAGAAUUGUUUUUAAUAGAAUUUGAAAAAUUGUUUUUAAUAACAUUGUCCAAAAAUUUCUUUGCUUAAUAAAAAUUGUCCAAAAAUUGUUUUGUAAAUAAAGUUGUGCCAAAAAUUAAUUUUUAAUAAAAUUGUCCAAAAAUAUUCUUUUAAAUGAAUUCUUUUUCUUUAAUUAAAAUGGGAUUAAAAGUGUUUUUUUUUUAGAAAUAGAGGAUUUAAUUUUAUUUUUUUAAAAUUUAAUUAAAAUUUCUUUUGCAAAUAAAGUUAUGUUCGCUUUUUUUAAAUGAAAAUAAAUCAAAAUAUUUUUGUAAAUAAAAUUGUAAAAACUCAUUAUUUUCUAGUUAAAAACAAGUAAAAAUAAUCUUUAUACCCAAAUUGGACUUUUGUAAUAAAUUCUUCUCAUACAAUAAGUGUAAAUAACUUUUCUUAAAAAUUAAAUACAAAUGAAAUUGAAUCAAAUCACUUGAAGAAAAUGUUUUGUAAAUACAUAAAUUGAAAUCAUCAAUUCAAGAUCAUUUUUUUUUAUAAAAUCCUUUGAAAUUUCUUGGAAAUUAUUAUUAUUUUUUUUAUUUUUUAUUAUUUAGUUCAAUUAAUCAAUUUUUGCAUAAUUCUUUUAUUAUUUAUUUUGUAUAUUUUUGUAAUAAGAUUUCAUCAUUAUUUUUGUAUAUAUUGAUUUUCACCAUGACUUGUAUAUACUUAUUUGUAUGAUUAUUUUUUGGUAUCCAUAAUUAAUUAAUUAAUUAAUUGUCAUAAUUCCUUCAAUUCGUUUAGUAGAGGCCGUAUGUAUACGGGCUUAGAGGAGUGUUACAGCUCAUCACCGUACCUUCCCAAUAAGUAACCUGACCUCCGAACCCAAUUUUGAUUUUCCACAGACCUGUUUUUUUUUUUCCUUCAAAAGUCACACUUAGGGUCUUUUUUUCUUAUUUUAUUUUUCCCUUUAAAAAAAAUAAAAUAAGUGGCAACUUCAAGCCUUUUUCUAAAAAUCAAUUUUUCAUUAAACAAAUAAUAAAAAAACGAGUCACGCCGUCGAGUGGGAACGCACAUAAAAAUGCGGGGUCCACACACAUUUGUCUCAAUAUUUUUCCUUUUUUUUUUUUUUUUGCACUUAUAUCUUACUUUUAUAUUAUUAUAUUUCGUUUCUUUCUUUUGUAUUAAUUCUCAAAUGUGAUCCAUAAUUGGUUGGUGGGUUAGUUAUUGUUCAUUGAAUUUAUAUCACUCAAAGAGCUAAGUUGCAUCCUCAUCUAACAUGCUAACGACAUUUAAAACUUUUUAUUUGUUACUUAAAAGUCACUUUUCUUUAAGACAACCAAUACGAAGCUAUCGUGUGGUCAUGUAUUCAUUUAAAAAAAAUAUAUUUUAUUUUUCAUUUUUGAUGUUGACAAUGAAUUUAAUUUUUCACACUUAUAUUUUAUUUUUAUAUAAUAAUAUUCCAUUUCCUUCUUAUAUAUUCAUUUUCAAUGGUGACCCAUAAUUGGUCGGUAGAUUAGUCAUUAUUCAUUUAAUUCAUAUCACUAAAAAAUAACUUAAAUCAUCAUCUAGUUGAUAUGUUGAACCAUAUUUAUUAUUUACAUUUCUUAACCAACUUAAUCUUUUGAUAAUAACGACAAUUCAAAUUCAUGAGAUAGUAUGUUUUUAUAAUUUUUUUAUUAGUAACGGAAAAUUCUCAUCGAUAGACUUUUGUCAACACAUUUUUCCCUAACUAUCAUGUAUUGAGAUUAUCCGUUGAUAAAUAUUUAUUCAGAUAAUGUAUAUUAAUGAAGAAAAGUAAAAUUUUUUGUAAUAUGUUAACAAUGAGUUUAAUUUUUUGCACUAAUUAAUAUUUUAUUUUUAUAUAAUUAUAUUUCAUUUCUUUUUUAUAUUAAUUUUCAAAUGUGGAUAAUUUGUAGGUGGAUUAGUCAUUGUUCAUUAAAUUACAUCGGUUCCAACAUGGUAGAAGCCAACUAUAACAAAAGUUGUAUUAUCAAAUGAAGUUCAUUUAAACCAGAUUUUUCUCAAUUCAAUUAAUCAUUAAGCCAGUCUAUUUUUGGGGUUUUGUUUUGUGUUGCACCAUAAUGCAAUUAAGUUGUUUGAUGAGAAGUCUAGCCAAAUUUGAUAUCGGCUGACCCAUGCAAGUUGUUUGAUGAAAACACAUCUAUUUGUACCAUGGAAAAAAAAUACAUGGCAUUAUUAAAUUUCAGACUAUAAUGUAAUGCCAUGAUCAAAAGGGUUGAAAAUAUGAGAAUAAUUAAACUCAGUAAAUUAAAAUGAUAGCAAAAUUUUAACCACAUUGUUGUGGUCUUCUUGAGCAGUAAAGCAAUUAUAGUAAGCGUCUAAUUAAUCAAGUAAAAUAAUUAUUAUUAAUUAUAAUAAUUUAUUUUUAUUGUAUAGAUAUUAUUAAUGCGCAGCUUUUUGUCUUAUUGACGAGGCAGGUAAUGUUUGCUCACCCAUUUUCCUUGCUCUCCUGUGGAAAUUGUUCCUACAUGCAUUUCAGCCCUUGCAGUGCCUGCGUCCACACUUUUAAUGCUACGUCCGUAUUUCCAUUUAUCAGCUUAGGUUAGAUAAAAAAUGCAAAAGGUAAAAUCAGAUAUAAUAGAAAUUAGGCUCUGUAUGUCAUAUAUUUGUGCUGCGAGUAUAGGAGAUUGGGAAUUUGGAAUUGGAUUGAAGUAAAAAAGUCAAAAUGAAAUUACAAUAAGAGUACGGUAAAGAGAUAACGUUGGGACACCAGUACGGAUGUACACUUCAAGGAAGUAGGCCAUGCCAUGUCAUGCCACCUGGAACAAAAUAAGGGGUUCUACAAAUUCUCUUAUCGGAAUCAUUUGAGAUAUAGAAUGGAUGCAUAGAAGGGAAGGAGACUCCUCCUCCUCCUCUAAAACUAAUUUUUGUGUGUAGGUGAGAAGUUGGGAUUCCCCGAUCAAUUAAACAUGGCUGAGGAGAGGGAUCCAGUAGAGUUGGGCAUGGCACUCGGCGCAGAUUCGAACAUGAAGAAGACGGCGUAACAGCUAAGAAGAGGGCAAAACGGUGGGCAAUCACCGCAGAAGCGAGCAUGGAAAGAGAGAAGGGGACGCUUGAUCAAGAUGAAGAUGAUUUGUGUGUAGGUGAGAGGUUGGGAUUCUCCGAUCAAUCAAACAGGUCUAAGGAGAGGGAUCUAGUAGAUCAGUUGGGCAUGGCACUCGGCGCAGAUUUAAACAUGAAAGAAGACAAGGAA